UUAUAGCGAGCGGAACACUAAAAAGUUGGAAACUCGAUACGAUUCGAGUCGAUUUUACCUGUUAAUCGGUGCCCGCCGAAAACCCCGUCCCUCAAGAAAACUAUCGAUGGGGUCCUUUGAAGCCGGUGGUGGUUCGGAAGGAGCGACUGCAGGUGCUCUUCGCGACGGCCUCAGGCGUACUGCUCGAUGGAUUCGCGAGAAAGAAGAUCCCUUGCUUCCUCCGCCGAUUCAAGCUGAAGCUCUCACUUUGGUAAGAGGAUUCGAUGUGCUUUAGAUCUAGAAGUAGACAACUUAUACUUGGAAGUCGGACAACGCGGCUCUGUGUUGAGACAAUUUUGCCUACUUUAUUUUUAUUUUGCUUUUUUUUUCUCACUCUUUUUAAUUAUUUUUUAGUAAAAAUAAAUAUUUAUUGAAUUUAUAUUAUAAGAUAAAAAUUAAAUUUGAUUAUAUAAAUAAAAUAAGAUUAAAUUAAAAAAUAAUUUUUUAUUUUGAAUUUCUCAUAUUAAAAUUUAAAUAUUAUUUGUAUUGAAAUAUAAUAAAUUUAAAAAUAAUUUUUUAUUUUGAAUUUAUCAUAUUAGAAUUUAAAUAUUAUUUAUAUUGAAAUAUAAUUUUAAUUUUAUCAAUUUAAGAAAUUUGUUAUUCAAGAAAAAUAACAUUCUUGUUAUGAAUAUUAAAAAUCAUAUUCAUUUUUGUCGCACUUCUCUUAUAGGAUAAUUUUAUUCAGACUAUAUUCAUUUUAUAUUUGAUUUUAUCAUAACUUAAGUAGGUACCAAAUGUAAGAUAUAAUAAAUUUUAGGGAAAAUUUUAAAUAAGGACCUACAAUGCCAUCAUUUUCUCAAAAGAUGACAUAAAAUGAAGUUUGUCUCAAAUAAGGAGCCAAAGUGCCUUCAUUUUCUCAAAAGAGGAUCUGGAGUGGAGUUUGUCUCAAAUAAGGACCCAAAGUGAUCAUUGAGUCUCAAAGAAUGACCUCAUUUGCCGGUCGGUGAAUAAACGUAUCUCCGAUGCAUAUUCCAGUAACCUGAUCAGGGAUAUUUUUGUCCAUUUUUUUUUUUUAAUUUUCAGUUGUCUUGUUCUUUAUUAUUAUUAUUAUUUUUGGGUCAAUAGUGGCAUUGUUCAUCAUCUUCUUUGUCCCUUAUUCGUCUUCUUAUCAAGAACAUCGGACUUGGGAAGGGCUAGUGAGGGCUCGAUGGCCCUUGCCCGUUGUCAGCAAUGGGCGUGGAGCCCUCACUCGUUGCCGACAAUGGGCGUCGAGCCCUCACCGGCCCUUACCAGCGGCCGGCGCUCUCUAGCCUUACCCUAAAUCUGGUGUUCUUGAUUUGGGCAAGAAGAAGUGAACAUGGGACGAAGAAGACGAUGAAUAGGGCAACCAAAAACGAAAAAAAAAAAAAAAUGGAUGAAAAUACCGUAAUUAGGCCAUCGGAUAUAUAUUGAAGAUGCAUUUAUUCACCGGCUGGCAAGUGAGGUCCUUCUUUGAGAUGAAAUGACUACUUUGGGUCUUUUUUUGAGACAAAAUUCACUUCAUGUCAUCUUUUGAGAAAAUGAUAGCAAUUUGGGUCCUUAUUUGAAACAAACUUCACUUUAAGUUAUAUUUUAAGAAAAUGAUGACAUUUUGGGUCCUUAUUUGAAAUUUUUCCUAAAUUUUAUUCAAUCUUAAAUUUUAUUUUGAUUGCCAAAAACAAUCUUAGGAGUUACCAUAAUAGUUCUAUACCCAUUAAGGAAUAUUUAGUUUAAGUCGCAAUCUAACUACAUUAUUUAUAAUUCGAAAGUCUAAAGUUAAUGAGCCCGCCACGAUAUUAUCAAGGUACUAGGGGUCAAGAGGACUAUCUAUACAAGGUAUGCUAAGACUAGCCAUAAAGAAAUUCUCUCGCGAUGUAAAUUGAACCCGUGACCUUGCAGAAGACAAAACGAUUAUAUGUUUUAGUUGUCACGCGCGUGUUUUAUACUUCAUCAUUAGAGAUAGAAAAAGGGGAUAAAACGGUAAUAUGUCGCUUUGGGAAAGAUCCGGUGGGGCCCACCACGAGUUCUUCACUUGGUCAGGUGCCCCGUUUAAUUGGGGUUUCAUUUCUCACUCCACUUCUUGCCCAGCCAGAGGCCACUCGGAAGCUCGCUGAUCACGCGCUCGCUCUCCCAUUUUCAGCUCUGCUGAGUCGCGUUCUCCGGUAAUGACUCGCUCGUGUUCUUCCGAUUCGUCGUUCGCGUCUUUUCCAUCCGUUGGUCGCUGCAUCAUUUGCUAUUUUUGGUUCUCUUCUUGCUGCUACAUUGGUCGAAGGAGCAAUUUGUCGCUUGAUUGCGUUGCCUGCUGUGGAGUUUGAGCUUACGUUCGUUUUCGGUCGAUGUGCAGAAGUGUUCAUUGGGUAAAUGAGGGGGGAGAGAGGAGAGGGCAUGACUUGAUUUGGCCCGAAAUGGAGUUACAGGGGGAUGUUUUGGAGACGGCGGGAUGAGGUUGAAGUGUUUUUGCUCUCGUCGGAGUGACUUUUUGAGUGCGCGGUGCGAGAAUAGCGGCGGCUGCUUGGUUUGAGUCCGUUGAUUUUGCUCUACUUCCCUGCUCAAGUAACUUAUGUUGAGCACUUUAUCGCGACUGAGCUUAGCUUGUGUGUUGGAUGAUUCUUUAGCUGGCAGCCUGGCACUUCUUAGAGUCUCGUUUUACAUAUUAUGUAGAGGAAAGCAGUAAAAAGUUGCAGUUUUAAGGAAUCGUGUGAGAAAUGUUGCGCUCAAACUCUGAAAAUUAUCAUUCUUGUCGUCUGGUGCAGUGUUUCCUCAGCAUGAAGUAAUUUGGUGUUUUUCCAUGGUACUUGCUGUAGGUUGGCUAGUGUUAACCAUGUAAUGGCAUGAGUAUGACCACUUCAAUCGUACUUUACUUUAAGGGCACGUUAGUUUAGACUUAAGUAAAAGGUUUCCCGCCAAAAUUUAAGAUAUUAUUCAAAUUUCAGAAAAUUAUGAAAAAGUUAUAGGCGAAUGUACGUGUCAACCUAUGAGUACGGUGAAAGUUUCAUGACUUUCGCAUUUAUAAAAAGUUAAAUUGUGUGAGCUGCAAUAUAUAGAUUAAGCAAAAACAAAAACAUAGAAGUCAUUCCUGACAUGCUCGAAGCUUGGACAGGUUUAACAGCUUUUUCUUCUAGUUCUGCCUGGGUUCCUCAAAGCCUGCUUGAACUUCCCCACCCUGGUUCAAUCGCAGAGGACAUCCAAUCCAAUUGCUGAAUUGGGUUCUUUGUUUUUCUGUCUCUUUAACUUGGUUGAAUUCUGCCUCUUUGGUCUUGGUGCAUAGAAAUGAGCCUUCAGAUGAAGUUUCUUUGUUUGGAGAAUUGAUAGCAACUUUUUUGGGUGAAUGGUUAUGAGAGUACUUGGAGUGUGUGAUUUUUGGUUCUGGCUGCUCUGUCGUUCUUAUGGAUGAUAAACAGGACUCUGUAUGAUGCUUGUCAUCUCAAAACCAAUGUUUUUAUUCUUUGUGGGACAGUUCUGCUUCCAUGGGAUGGAACGAUAAAAUCAUCAAGCAGCCGGAAGAGGAAACUCAUGAACGUGGACCCUAACUCUACACUCUCUGUCUGAUUUAUCCCACAUAUUCUUCAAUUGUAUUCCUGUACCUGAUUAAAUAAUGUUAUUAUUCUGGUAUAAGAAUGCCUUCCCCUUCAAAAGUCUCUUGCCACGUUUAUUUUCCAUUUUCCCUUAAUGGUAUUCCAUAUCAUAUGCAGUAUAUACGAGCAAACGACUUUUCUAGUGUUCCUAUAUGUAUCAGAUGAUCGACUUACCUGCAUCUUCUGGUUAUACAUCAAAUUUUUCGUUAACUUCUCUUCCAAAGAUGAGGCUCUUCUUUAGAUGCUAGUUUUAUUCUAAGCACAAACUGAAGUUUUGAGCCAUGUAAGACAUCUGUCCUCAAAUCUCAGCAAUUAGAGGACACACAUGCAGUACAUUGUGCAUCUCAGUAUUUACAACUAUUGUCACGCUGCACGUAGCAUUACACUUUUUGAUGAGGAAUAAUUGGUCAUUUACUGGAUGUUGCUAUCCAUCAGUCUUUUCAUAGAUGCUUGGAAUCCACUUGGUUUACAAUUAUCUGGACUUCCUUUCUUAGAGAUAUUGCCUUUUGUUCUAAUGCUUAGGUACCUUGAAGGUAACUAGGAAGUUCAGGGUACUUCAACAUCAAGUUCAUCAAGUAUUAAAUAAUGGGCCCCAAACCUGGACCCGCUACUUUUGUCAUACACUGUCUCUAUGCACUACCCAUAUUUGACAUUUACUGUGAGGGAUUCAGUCACUUGAUAAUUUCUUCUCUCCAUCAUUUUCUGAAAGCUAACCUUGCAGACUCCAUGCAAGCAAAGGACUUAGCUGCGCAUUUAUUUGUUGAUAUGGUUCAGGGUCAUGUAUGUCAUGAUGAGAGGACACUUGUGAAGGUAGUAGAAGUGUAUGACUUGAGACUGACAAACCUUGAGAAUGUCAUAUGCCAACUUAAAGCUACAAACAUUAACUUUAGACAAGUCACUGCAUUAACAUUUCUUAAGCAAUAUAUUUUCAAGUUGAUAAAGUCCCAGUCCUAUAUGACAGCAGUCACUCUAUUGGAGCACUUUUCUAUUCACCGAUUUGGGAAAUCCUUCCUUCUUGCUAUGAUGGAAAAGAAAGAAUUUAGGGCUGCAGAGAAGUAAGUGGGCCACAUUUAUGGGCAAGCCAAUGUUAUGUGUACUUGUCCAGGAAUAUAUAGACAGAAAAAUGCUAAAGUAUGCUUACGUGACAAUAAAGAAAAACAAUCUCCAGCAAGAAUUUGCUGAUGUAUAUCAUCAAUGUAAAGAAAGGUACUUCUUUGCUGUUAAAAUUUUUUGGAAGUGACAUUUGCUUUAGAUUUAUUUAUUAUGUUGCUGAUAGUGCAUGGAAAUCCAAAUUUCUUACUGCAGCCAUUGUAUUGAGAACAGCUAGACUAAUUUAUUCUUUUGUAGUUCAAUGAAGCUAGCAGAAAAAGGGUGCUGGGAUGUUGCUGGGUCAAAGGCAAAGGGUGAUAUACAGCUCAUUGAAUACCUGGUAUUAGUCUAAAAUAACGUGUACCUUAAUUUCUCCCCUAGGCAAUGCUGAUGAAGGUUUGUGUUCUUGAGAAAGCGAUAGGUGAUGAAGACAAGGCUUUCGGUUAAGUAAGCUCACGUCGUUUCACUGUGGAAGAUUCGGUGGCAGAGGCCCCAAAAAGCCCACUUCAUUUACUUGUUCAAAAACACAUAGUUUAUACACAUUCAAAAAUGGAAACACAUAUUUAAAAGGAUUGAAGUAUAAUUAAUCAACUUCAUUAAAACACAUUUGAGCAACCACAUAACUUCACGCACGUCUGUGAUAUUUAAAGACUAAUUCUUUCAGUUCACACCUAAGAUAUUGAAAUUAUGUAGGAUAAUCCAUGGAAGCAUCUUCCUCCGAAUUAAGCUCUCUAUACUUAAUCCUUAUCGUAAUCUUAGACCUUACUCCAAUUAUUUUUAGCCGAAUAUAGAAACAACCGAGCUUUGUCAGCAUAUCAAUCUUUAGGCUACUGUGAGUGUGAGAGUAACAGUAUGUUGUGAGCCACAAAUUUUUGAAGAAGUGGACUUCACAACAAUUUCUAAUUAUUUUUUGAUUGUUUUUUAGCUACAAAUAAGCCGUUAUUUUCACAAUAGAUUAAGACGAUCACAUAAACAUUUUUCUAAACAACCAUAACUAUCUCCACCACCUCAUUGUCACAACCUCUUCUGUACAAUCCCAUUUCCACUGGCCAAACUAUCGUAGUGUCAUGUAAUUGCUGCUUGAUAAACCUCAUCCUCUAGAUGCAUACACUUUUUUAAUUGGAGGAAAUUUUCCAUCAAUCACGUUUUUAAUUUGGUGGGUUUCAAGUUUUAGGCAUUGCUCACAUGUAAAAUUAACUAGAGCUAAAAUAUUAAUCUGAGGAAAAAAUUUCAAUUGCUCAACUGUUUAAAUUAUGGAGAAAGCCGCCGAAAAUGAUUCUAAACGAAAGGGAUAUACUUCCUUUGGGGCCCACAUUUAAUUUCUUUCUAAAAGUGUAUAGAAAUGAGGGGAAAUGCAAAACUUUGCACUUUUCUUCUAAAAUUGGCCUUCCUUUUAAAGGAUGAAUAGAAUGAAUGGUAAUUAAGUCUAUCAAUGAAAUUAAGUUCCUUUUUCUUUUUUUCUUUUUUUGGUCGGAAAAUUAAGUUCCAUUUACAUCAUUUAUCCAAACAUAUUUCGAGCAAUUUUAACUUUUCCUCUCUUCUUUCAUGGACGGCUUGUUUUUUGUUCUUAAUUUUUAGAUUUUCAAAUUUAUGGCUUUAGUAUGUUCGAAAUUUAGGGCUUUUUGGGUAAUAAAAUUUUAUGGCUCUUAAAUAGGAUUAAUAUUAUUACAAAAGGCUGCAUCCCACUUGUAGUUAGAAUAUCAAGGGAAGCAAUUUUGAUCUUUGCUUUACACGUAAUGCAAUGUGUGGCAUCUUUUUGCAUGUGUACAAGUUAGCAUUGUAUCGUGUUGACAUUUUAUAUGGUGACACUUAAUAAUCUCAUUUGUCGUGUCGUUUUGUCUAACCUACUUUAUUGAAAGUAUUGUUUUUGUAUUUUGACAGCUCUAAACGUUUACUAAACAUGUCUUGUUCGGGUUUUGCCAUAUUCAUGUUAUACCCGAACUCGACAUGACACAAUUAACAUGACACAACAUGAAUUGUUGGCUGUAUGUAUAGUAACAUGAUCGCUGACAAAAACAAUGAAAAAAAAUCCAAAGUCUCUAAAUUAUCGCAGUUUAAGGACCGCUCGACGAAACUCACUUGAUUUUUUUUUCCGAAAAAAGAAAAAAAAUUGCUAAAAAUGUCCCAGGUUUUUGGGCCUUAUUGCUCCAAAAAACCCUGACCUUUGCGGCCAAGGGAAUUCUUUCUUUUUUUUUCCCCCCCCCCCCCCCCAACCCCCCAAAAAAUAAUAAUAAUAAACAAUGUUCUUCUCUUUUUUGUGUGAAUGUUCCUCGAUGCUCCACUUCUCCUAUGUUUUGGUUCAAAUUUGGUAAUUUCAUAUUUUAAUUAUAUCUUAAAUUGUCACCUUCUUAAUAAAGUUGGAAAUACAAGGUAGAGAUUAACAAAUGGUCGUCAUUUCUCUCUUAUUUAUUUCGUGCUGGCCCCACAUGCCAAUAAUUUUAUAUAAAAUGAAUCUAUGAUAUGAUGUUACGGAGUUAUUCACUUCAAAAUUUCGAAUUUAAAUUAUUGAUCUUUAUGUUGCUUGCGAAAUAGAGAUAUAAUUUGUUAAAUGACACCAAAUGAAACAUAAUGCGUUAGUAUUAAGUUACUAAUGAUAUAUGAAAUACUUGUUCACUGUCCUUGAGUUCUUUUCCAGGUCCUUUUUGUAUUACAAUUUUGUUGGCAUAUCAUUCAGCUCUUGAAAUGCCGAUAAACCAACUAAUAUAGAAGUAUGCAAAAUAUUCAAAAAAAUAAAAGAUAAUUUAGGAAAAAGCUUAGAAAAGAAGGGAAUGAAGUGUCUGGGCUUACUUUUAGAAGGAAGCAGCGAUCUUUAGAGGUAGCAUCCAAAAGGCUUUUGAAUUAUGAAUUCGCAACACAUAGAAACCUUCAUGAACACAAAUUAAAAGUUAAUAAGCGACUGAAGUGUUAUCAACUUUCCUCUUUCUUUGAUUCUGCUCUUUGUGCAUGGCAAUCCAAGGGCAAAAGUUGGAACAAAAGAUGCUUUUCUGCUGCAUAAAAGGAGAUCGAUGAACUAAUUUCUAUGAACAAGUAUGAACAUGAAAUCUUUAAUUAAUUAGUAAUUGAUUGACUAGGAGCAAUUGCAAAUGCUUUUAGUCCUCACCUUUUAUCUUCUUUAGGACCUCACUCUAUUCAAGUCAAACUUGUUGGCCUGAACCACUCACGAGUAAUGUGUACGUUAAUUUUUCAAUUGGGCUAUAAAGAACUAGAAUGUGUACAAGUAUAUUGCAUUCAAUUAAAAAUACAAGCAUACGUUCGGUUUUUAUUUGGUUAUUGAAAAUCAGAAUUCGAUAAACCAUUCAAAAGAUAAUAACUGAGUUGGGACGGAAUUACAAAUGUGUGAAAGACGUCGAGAAAGGACUGAGCUAGUAAUUGUGGAUGUGAUUUUAUAUUUUAAUUUUGUUUAAAAUUGUCAUAUUCUUGAUGAAGUUGGAAAUGUGAGGUAGACAUAAACAAAAAUGAUUGUGGUUAUUUAUCCUUUAUCUAUUCCACACCGGCACCACAUGCUACAAUUCCAUGUAAAAUGAACUUAUUCUUAACCGUAUGUUAUCACCGAGCCUUUCAUUUUGAAUUUCCAAAUCCAAAAAAUUGAUCAAUAUCUUGUUUGUAAAAUAGAGCUAUAAUUUGUUAAAUGGCACCAAAUAGAGUUGCAAAUGCUCCCACUGUGCUCUCGUUUUAUGCAAUCGUUUCUUUCUCCAUGUUAGUCUGACAGAUUAGAAAUUAGGUUAUUGAUUCAAUGGAAGAAGAAGAAGAAGAGAUGAAAGGAAGUAAAAGGAAGCUGCUGAGGAAAAUCCAGAGAUGACCAAGGUUUGAAACAAUGGAGUGCAGUGCUUGUCCGCAUUUUUUUGGAGGGCCCACCUUGAGAAUAUCGCUAAAAAGAUUUUUUAUCCAAUAAAAUGGAAGUAGAAUAGGAUUAUCGGCUAAAUUUGAGACAAGUCAGGUUAAAUUGAUUAAUCACAUAUUUGAAAAAUGAAUUUAUUCUUUGUAACAGAAGAGGUGUAAGAAAUGAGUGAUAUAAAGCAAGGUGAAUCUCCUAACAUGCGCAUAUGGCUUGAUUUAUUUAAUUGUUUUCAUGCGUGUGUCAGAAGAUCGAACUAGUUUUUUUUUUUUCCUUACUAUUGGAUAUCAUGUAAAAAAAUUAAGAAGUAUCAUGCUAUGGAAUUUGGUAUGUUUUAUGUUGUGAUGAUUGAAACUAUCAUUAGUUGAGAGUAGGUAAAAAGUAGCAUAUAGUUAAAUGCACAAACUUCAGCAUAUCCUUUUAUUACUCAUUUACUUUUCUUUAUUUCAAGUAAAGAAUGUCAAUUUUUAAGGCUUUGAAGGGAGAAAACGAGUUUUUUUUCUUUUCUUUUCUUGCUAAAGAAGGGAGAAUAUGAGUAAGAGGUGAAAGAGAACAUACUUUCUAGGAUUAGUGGUCCAACAAUUCAAAGAAAACAGAAUAUUACUCAUCUAGAGUGUUCUAUAGGGAGGUAAAAUUGUCGAAUGAAAACUCCUUAAGAGAAGACUUACUCUUAGGAUGAUCAAUUUUGAGAUGAGUAGGUUCUUAACUUAAAAUCAGGUUAUUUUGUAAUAAUCGGUUCUCCAUUUUUGUAACCGAGAACCAAACUAGUUGACCCUGAACCAGCCUGCUAUUGUUUUUCUUUAAAUUGAUCUAGGACCUUCAAACACAGAGAAACCUCACAACGAAUCAAAAAAUGGUCUUUGGAUUCAAGCAAAACGUGGCAACUUGCAUGCAAUAGAGUGUAGCGCGCUUGCAGACCUACUCGUUCUAGUUCAAAAAAGAUCAAUACUAAAUUACGAUGCACCUAACAAUCAGACAGCAAGGCCAUCAUAGGAUUAGCCACAUCUAAAGUAAAAAAUAAAGGCUUUCUUUUUUCAUUGAAGUCAAAUCUAAGCUAGGGACCUACCUCGUUAACAGGCAACAGCGACUCCAGAAGAGAGAAUAAGAGACCCUCCUCUGCUACUCAGCAGCAGCCACCCCACAUCCCUAGUAGACAAAAAGGGCCCAGAACACACUUAGUUCAACUGAUUAUUGUAAUAACAAGGCGACAAAUCAAUAGAAACAGCACGCUAAUAAGAGAUGAAAAAGCAAUUAUCUCCCGCGAGCUGAGAUGUGAAGAUAGGCUGAGAAUGGAGAGAGAGGAGUCUGUAAAAAGCCUGGGCGAGAACUUUCAAGAGGGAAAAGAACAGAGAAAACAAGUGAGGAAUAAUCAGUAGAUGUUAGUCUCCAAUUGUUCUGCAAGAGAGAGGCCUAAUGCAAAAGAUAAAGUGAGAAAUGAGGGGGGGGAUGANNNNNNNNNNNNNNNNNNNNNNNNNNNNNNNNNNNNNNNNNNNNNNNNNNNNNNNNNNNNNNNNNNNNNNNNNNNNNNNNNNNNNNNNNNNNNNNNNNNNNNNNNNNNNNNNNNNNNNNNNNNNNNNNNNNNNNNNNNNNNNNNNNNNNNNNNNNNNNNNNNNNNNNNNNNNNNNNNNNNNNNNNNNNNNNNNNNNNNNNNNNNNNNNNNNNNNNNNNNNNNNNNNNNNNNNNNNNNNNNNNNNNNNNNNNNNNNNNNNNNNNNNNNNNNNNNNNNNNNNNNNNNNNNNNNNNNNNNNNNNNNNNNNNNNNNNNNNNNNNNNNNNNNNNNNNNNNNNNNNNNNNNNNNNNNNNNNNNNNNNNNNNNNNNNNNNNNNNNNNNNNNNNNNNNNNNNNNNNNNNNNNNNNNNNNNNNNNNNNNNNNNNNNNNNNNNNNNNNNNNNNNNNNNNNNNNNNNNNNNNNNNNNNNNNNNNNNNNNNNNNNNNNNNNNNNNNNNNNNNNNNNNNNNNNNNNNNNNNNNNNNNNNNNNNNNNNNNNNNNNNNNNNNNNNNNNNNNNNNNNNNNNNNNNNNNNNNNNNNNNNNNNNNNNNNNNNNNNNNNNNNNNNNNNNNNNNNNNNNNNNNNNNNNNNNNNNNNNNNNNNNNNNNNNNNNNNNNNNNNNNNNNNNNNNNNNNNNNNNNNNNNNNNNNNNNNNNNNNNNNNNNNNNNNNNNNNNNNNNNNNNNNNNNNNNNNNNNNNNNNNNNNNNNNNNNNNNNNNNNNNNNNNNNNNNNNNNNNNNNNNNNNNNNNNNNNNNNNNNNNNNNNNNNNNNNNNNNNNNNNNNNNNNNNNNNNNNNNNNNNNNNNNNNNNNNNNNNNNNNNNNNNNNNNNNNNNNNNNNNNNNNNNNNNNNNNNNNNNNNNNNNNNNNNNNNNNNNNNNNNNNNNNNNNNNNNNNNNNNNNNNNNNNNNNNNNNNNNNNNNNNNNNNNNNNNNNNNNNNNNNNNNNNNNNNNNNNNNNNNNNNNNNNNNNNNNNNNNNNNNNNNNNNNNNNNNNNNNNNNNNNNNNNNNNNNNNNNNNNNNNNNNNNNNNNNNNNNNNNNNNNNNNNNNNNNNNNNNNNNNNNNNNNNNNNNNNNNNNNNNNNNNNNNNNNNNNNNNNNNNNNNNNNNNNNNNNNNNNNNNNNNNNNNNNNNNNNNNNNNNNNNNNNNNNNNNNNNNNNNNNNNNNNNNNNNNNNNNNNNNNNNNNNNNNNNNNNNNNNNNNNNNNNNNNNNNNNNNNNNNNNNNNNNNNNNNNNNNNNNNNNNNNNNNNNNNNNNNNNNNNNNNNNNNNNNNNNNNNNNNNNNNNNNNNNNNNNNNNNNNNNNNNNNNNNNNNNNNNNNNNNNNNNNNNNNNNNNNNNNNNNNNNNNNNNNNNNNNNNNNNNNNNNNNNNNNNNNNNNNNNNNNNNNNNNNNNNNNNNNNNNNNNNNNNNNNNNNNNNNNNNNNNNNNNNNNNNNNNNNNNNNNNNNNNNNNNNNNNNNNNNNNNNNNNNNNNNNNNNNNNNNNNNNNNNNNNNNNNNNNNNNNNNNNNNNNNNNNNNNNNNNNNNNNNNNNNNNNNNNNNNNNNNNNNNNNNNNNNNNNNNNNNNNNNNNNNNNNNNNNNNNNNNNNNNNNNNNNNNNNNNNNNNNNNNNNNNNNNNNNNNNNNNNNNNNNNNNNNNNNNNNNNNNNNNNNNNNNNNNNNNNNNNNNNNNNNNNNNNNNNNNNNNNNNNNNNNNNNNNNNNNNNNNNNNNNNNNNNNNNNNNNNNNNNNNNNNNNNNNNNNNNNNNNNNNNNNNNNNNNNNNNNNNNNNNNNNNNNNNNNNNNNNNNNNNNNNNNNNNNNNNNNNNNNNNNNNNNNNNNNNNNNNNNNNNNNNNNNNNNNNNNNNNNNNNNNNNNNNNNNNNNNNNNNNNNNNNNNNNNNNNNNNNNNNNNNNNNNNNNNNNNNNNNNNNNNNNNNNNNNNNNNNNNNNNNNNNNNNNNNNNNNNNNNNNNNNNNNNNNNNNNNNNNNNNNNNNNNNNNNNNNNNNNNNNNNNNNNNNNNNNNNNNNNNNNNNNNNNNNNNNNNNNNNNNNNNNNNNNNNNNNNNNNNNNNNNNNNNNNNNNNNNNNNNNNNNNNNNNNNNNNNNNNNNNNNNNNNNNNNNNNNNNNNNNNNNNNNNNNNNNNNNNNNNNNNNNNNNNNNNNNNNNNNNNNNNNNNNNNNNNNNNNNNNNNNNNNNNNNNNNNNNNNNNNNNNNNNNNNNNNNNNNNNNNNNNNNNNNNNNNNNNNNNNNNNNNNNNNNNNNNNNNNNNNNNNNNNNNNNNNNNNNNNNNNNNNNNNNNNNNNNNNNNNNNNNNNNNNNNNNNNNNNNNNNNNNNNNNNNNNNNNNNNNNNNNNNNNNNNNNNNNNNNNNNNNNNNNNNNNNNNNNNNNNNNNNNNNNNNNNNNNNNNNNNNNNNNNNNNNNNNNNNNNNNNNNNNNNNNNNNNNNNNNNNNNNNNNNNNNNNNNNNNNNNNNNNNNNNNNNNNNNNNNNNNNNNNNNNNNNNNNNNNNNNNNNNNNNNNNNNNNNNNNNNNNNNNNNNNNNNNNNNNNNNNNNNNNNNNNNNNNNNNNNNNNNNNNNNNNNNNNNNNNNNNNNNNNNNNNNNNNNNNNNNNNNNNNNNNNNNNNNNNNNNNNNNNNNNNNNNNNNNNNNNNNNNNNNNNNNNNNNNNNNNNNNNNNNNNNNNNNNNNNNNNNNNNNNNNNNNNNNNNNNNNNNNNNNNNNNNNNNNNNNNNNNNNNNNNNNNNNNNNNNNNNNNNNNNNNNNUGUUUUCAGAUGCAAGCCUAGUCAAGCCACCACAAUUUGGACCAGAGUACGAAAUGGCCACUUCUGUUCAUAUCCACUUAAAAACCAUUUUGUUAAACAGAAAAAUGUGGCUCAAUCGGCUUGUGAAUCUUCCAUUAUAUUAUUAACAAAGACGUUUUUACUCCUGUAAAUGCUACAUUAUCCUCCCACCCCAAACAUGCAUAAAUCAUAUUGUAUCCAUCGUGGGUCAGUAAUUUUCUAUGCUAUAGAUACGUAAAAGUCAUGUCUUUGCUGUAAGCAGUAAAAUCGCAUGAAAACCACAAAAACCACACUUUAUGACGAGUUUCUCUAAUUCAAUCCACAAAGACAAAGUCCACCUAUAAAUUGUCCACAUAAUAAACACGUGUAAGUACAUUGAAACCAGCAGCUUUGCUCACUUUCAAGUUUUCCAUUGUAACCAGCACCUAAAAAAAAAUACAAUCAUGAAUUUUUCAUAAUUUCUGGAAAGCAUUUGAAUUUUGUCAUUUUUCCAGAAAUUACUAAAAUUGCCAAUAUAAUGGAAAAUGGUUUAAUGGACAUCCAAAAAUUUUCUAGCUAAUUGAAUCUGUUAAGAUAAAUUUUUGUUCUUGACAAUUCUAAUCCAUAGCCUAUGAAAGGUUUAAUGUGAUCAUUGAAGGGAAUAGACUAACACGAUCGAUAUUUGGAAAAAUCUAGUUUUGAACUGUUUUCAAGGUAAAAAAAAGAACAAUUUCUGCAAAAACUGAGUAUUUUGAAUGUUUCAGGCUUUAAGUAAUUUUGGACAAUUGGGAUAUAUAUAGGGCCGAUGAACCCAAAAAUCUGGUCUAGAAGGGUUCUUCCAUAAUUUUAUCAAGCGGGGAGUUCAGUCAACCAUUAAUGUUUUGCAAACACCACCAGGAUAAGGGCCAACAUGCUUUUCCACCAGAUUCAAUCAGUCUAACCAUUCAUAACCGAUUAGUUUAGAUGAGAAGAUUGUAGUAACGAAAAUUAGCAAUAUAUAUGUGAUGAUGAUUUUACAAAAGUUGAGGGAAUUUCACGUGUAUUAUUCUGUAUGCCUUAAAAGGAUGGCAGGCGUUAUGCGACGGGUAAUAAUCACAUGUAUUUUAUUUUUUGUGCUAUCAAUUGAAAUAGACUGCAGAAUAAAGGCCGGGCUAACCUCGAGGAGAAGCGAUGCAGAGAUAAAAUCACUGUGAUGGGUUUCAGCGCUUGAGAAGAAGUUGUCUAGAAGCAGAUCGAGUGAGUCCCGCAAGGCAGCGCAAUCCCGAGGAUCACCUUCGCACCUCGACCUGGACCGGCUUGGUUUCGAAAUACGCCGCGGUAAAUUUGCAGAUCAUCUCAGGUCAGAACAUCACGAGAAAGGACGAGUAGUGGCUACAAAAUCACCAACAACAGGCAAGGAACUUACUAUCUCUCGAUUAAAUCGCAGCUCUUCUCUGGUAUUAUCUGGAGAUCCCAGAAACAACCCUCGUGUUCCGAGCGAAGACCGCGCCACCAAACCCAGGAACCCUAAUCUCGUCAGCGGAGUCCACGAUCAGAAAUUAUAGCAAGCGGAACACUAAAAAGUUGGAAACUCGACACGAUUCGAGUCGAUUUUACCUGUUAAUCGGUGCCCGCCGAAAACCCAGUCCCUCAAGAAAACUAUCGAUGGGGUCCUUUGAAGCCGGUGGUGGUUCGAAAGGACCGACUGUGGGUGCUCUUCGCGACGGCCUCAGGCAUACUGCUCGAUGGAUUCGCGAGAGAGAAGAUCCCUUGCUUCCUCCGCCGAUUCAAGCUGAAGCUCUCGCUCUGGUGGAGGAUUCGAUGUGGUUCAGAUCUUAGAAGUAGAGACAACUUAUACUUGGGAGUCGGACAACGCGGCUCUCUGUUGAGACUCUUUUGCCUAUUUUAUUUUUAUUUGCUUUUUUUCCUCACUCUUUUUAAUUAUUUUUUAUUUAUUUUUUCUCUUUCAUCAUUCUCUAAUAAAAUUUUAUUAAACAGUAAAUUAUACUAAUAUACCUAAAAUCCCAAAAUUAUGUAGUAAACAUAAAUAUUUAUUGAAUUUAUAUUAUAAGAUAAAAAUUAAAUUUGAUUAUAUAAAUAAAAUAAGAUUAACUUAAAAACUAAUUUUUUUUUAUUUUGAAUUUCUCAUAUUAAAAUUUAAAUAUUAUUUAUAUUAAAAUAUAAUUUUAAUUUUAUCAAUUUAAGAAAUUUGUUAUUCAAAAAGAAUAACAUUCUAUAAUGGAUAUUAAAAAUCAUAUCUAUUUUUAUCUCACUUCUCUUAUAAGAUUAUUUUAUUCAGACUCUAUUUAUUUUAUAUUUGAUUUUAUUAUAACUUAAGUAGGUACCAAAUGUAAGAUAUAAUAAAUUUUAUUCAAUCUUAAAUUUUAUCUUGAUUGUCAAAAACAAUCUUAGGAGUUACCAUAAUAGUUCUAUACCCAUUAAGGAAUAUUUAGUUUAAGUCGCAAUCUAAUUGCAUUAUUUAUAAUUCGAAAGUCCAGAGUUAAUGAGCCCGCCAAGAUAUUAUCAAGGUACUAGGGGUCAAGAGGACUAUCCAUACAACUAUCCAUACAAGGUAUAUUAGGACGAGCCAUAAAGAAAUUCUCUCGUGACGGAAAUUGAACUCGUGACCUUGCAGAUGACAAAACGGUUAUAUGUUUAGUUGUCACGCGCGUGUUUUAUACUUCAUCAUUAGAGAUAUAAAAGGGGGAUAAAACAGUAAAAUGUCGCUUUGGGAAGGAUCCGGUGGGGCCCACCCCGAGUUCUUCACUUGGUCAGGUGCCCCGUUUAAUUGGGGUUUCAUUUCUCUCUCCACUUCUUGCCCAGCCAGAGGCGACUCGGAAGCUCGCUGAUCACGCGCUCGCUCUCCCAUUUUCAGUUCUGCUGAGUAGCGUUCUCCGGUAAUGACUCGCUUGUGUUCUUCCGAUUCGUCGUUCGCGUCUUUUCCAUCCGAUGGUCGCUGCAUCAUUUGCUAUUUUUGGUUCUCUUCUUGCUGCUACUUUGGUCGAAGGAGCAAUUUGUCGCUUGAUUGCGUUGCCUGCUGUGUAUUUUGAGCUUAGGUUCGUUUUCGGUCGAUGUGCAGAAGGGUUCGUUGGGUAAAUGAGGGGGGAGAGAGAAGAGGGGAUGACUUGAUUUGGCCCGAAAUGGAGUUACUGGGGGAUGUUUCGGAGACGGCGGGAUGAGGUUGAAGUGUUUUUGCUCUCGUCGGAAUGCCUUUUUGAGUGCGCGGUGCGAGAAUAGUGGUGGCUGCUUGUUUUGAGUUCGUUGAUUUUGCGAUGCUUCCCAGUUCAAUUAGCUUCUGUUAUUGAGCACUUUAUGGCGACUGAGCUUAGCUUGUGUGUUGGAUGAUUCUUUAGCCGGCAGCCUGGCACUUCUUAGAGUCUCGUUUUACAUAUUAUGUAGAGGAAAAUAGUACAAAGUUGCAGUUUUAGGAAUCGUGUGACACGUGCUGUGCUUGAACUCUGUCAAUUAUCAUUCUUGUCGUCUGGUGCAGUGUUUCCCGAGCAUGAGGUAAUUUGGUGUUUUUUCAUGGUACUUGCUGUAGGUUGGCUAGUUUUAACCAAGUAAUGGCAUGAGUAUGACCACUUCAAUCUUACUUUAAGGGCACGUGUGUUUGGACUUAAAUAAAAGGUUUGCUGCCAAAAUUUAAGCUAUUAUUCAAAUUUCGGAAAAUUACGAAAAAGUUAUAUGUGAAUGUACGUGUCAACAUAUGAGUACGGUGAAAGUUUCAUGAGAUUCGCAUUUAUAAAAAGUUAAAUUGUGUGAGCUGCAAUAUAUAGAUUAAGCAAAAACAACAACAUAGAAGUCAUUCCUGACAUGCUCGAAGCUUGGACAGGUUUAACAGCUUUUUCUUCUAGUUCUGCCUAGGUUCCUCAAAGCCUGCUUGAACUUCCCCACCCUGGUUCAAUCGCAGAGGACAUCCAAUCCAAUUGCUAAAUUGGGUUCUUUGUUUUUCUGUCUCUUUAACUUGGUUGAAUUCUGCCUCUUUGGUCUUGGUGCUUAGAAAUGAGCCUUCAGAUGAAGUUUCUUUGUUUGGAGAAUUGAUAGCAACUUUUUUGGGUGAAUGGUUAUGAGAGUACUUGGAGUGUGUGAUUUUUGGUUCUGGCUGCUCUGUCGUUCUUAUGGAUGAUAAACAGGACUCUGUAUGAUGCUUGUCAUCUCAAAACCAAUGUUUUUAUUCUUUGUGGGACAGUUCUGCUUCCAUGGGAUGGAACGAUAAAAUCAUCAAGCAACCGGAAGAGGAAACUCAUGAACGUGGACCCUAACUCUACACUCUCUGUCUGAUUUAUCCCACAUUUCGCCAAUUGUAUUCCUGUACCUGAUUAAAGAAUGUUAUUAUUCUGGUAUAAGAAUGCCUUCCCCUUCAAAAGUCUUGCCACGUUUAUUUUCCAUUUUCCCUUAAUGGUAUUCCAUAUCAUAUGCAGUAUAUACGAGCAAACGACUUUUCUAGUGUUCCUAUAUGUAUCAGAUGAUCGACUUACCUGCAUCUUCUGGUUAUACAUCAAAUUUUUCAUUAACUUCUCUUCCAAAGAUGAGGCUCUUCUUUAGAUGCUAGUUUUAUUCUAAGCACAAACUGAAGUUUUGAGCCAUGUAAGACAUCUGUCCUCAAAUCUCAGCAAUUAGAGGACACACAUGCAGUACAUUGUGCAUCUCAGUAUUUACAACUAUUGUCACGCUGCACGUAGCAUUACACUUUUUGAUGAGGAAUAAUUGGUCAUUUACUGGAUGUUGCUAUCCAUCAGUCUUUUCAUAGAUGCUUGGAAUCCACUUGGUUUACAAUUAUCUGGACUUCCUUUCUUAGAGAUAUUGCCUUUUGUUCUGAUGCUUAGGUACCUUGAAGGUAACUAGGAAGUUCAGGGUACUUCAACAUCAAGUUCAUCAAGUAUUAAAUAAUGGGCCCCAACCUGGACCCGCUACUUUUGUCAUACACUGUCUCUAUGCACUACCCAUAUUUGACAUUUACUGUGAGGGAUUCAGUCACUUGAUAAUUUCUUCUCUCCAUCAUUUUCUGAAAGCUAACCUUGCAGACUCCAUGCAAGCAAAGGACUUAGCUGCGCAUUUAUUUGUUGAUAUGGUUCAGGGUCAUGUAUGUCAUGAUGAGAGGACACUUGUGAAGGUAGUAGAAAUGUAUGACUUGAGACUGACAAACCUUGAGAAUGUCAUAUGCCAACUUAAAGCUACAAACAUUAACUUUAGACAAGUCACUGCAUUAACAUUUCUUAAGCAAUAUAUUUUCAAGUUGAUAAAGUCCCAGUCCUAUAUGACAGCAGUCACUCUAUUGGAGCACUUUUCUAUUCACCAAUUUGGGAAAUCCUUCCUUCUUGCUAUGAUGGAAAAGAAAGAAUUUAGGGCUGCAGAGAAGUAAGUGGGCCACAUUUAUGUGCAAGCCAAUGUUAUGUGUACUUGUCCAGGAAUAUAUAGACAGAAAAAUGCUAAAGUAUGCUUACGUGACAAUAAAGAAAAACAAUCUCCAGCAAGAAUUUGCUGAUGUAUAUCAUCAAUGUAAAGAAAGGUACUUCUUUGCUGUUAAAAUUUUUUGGAAGUGACAUUUGCUUUAGAUUUAUUUAUUAUGUUGCUGAUAGUGCAUGGAAAUCCAAAUUUCUUACUGCAGCCAUUGUAUUGAGAACAGCUAGACUAAUUUAUUCUUUUGUAGUUCAAUGAAGCUAGCAGAAAAAGGGUGCUGGGAUGUUGCUGGGUCAAAGGCAAAGGGUGAUAUACAGCUCAUUGAAUACCUGGUAUUAGUCUAAAAUGCUUUGUUCCAACUGUGGCAUCUUUCUUUAGAUGAGCUUGAAGUUGUAUGGUUUUAAGUUGCAACUUUAGUAGAUUUGUAUCAAUCUUUUGAGGUUGGCAGUUUGGCCUUCUACAGGGGUUCCUCAAAUAGUUUUAUCAGUCCUGUCUUUCUUAGGAUCGGGUAUUGGCAGAACUGUUUCAGUAAUUCCACAUUUAAUCUCCUGCUAUUGGACUUUGGUGCAAUGUCUAAUGGUUCUUGGUCCUUUCCAUAGAGAAAUGUGAUUAAUUUUCUGGUCAUAAGUAUGUCUUCUGAUGUAACUAUAGCAUUUGAGCUGUGGACAUAAAUGACAUCUUGUGGCUUGAGCAAGAAAUUCCUGUGGUGCCACCUCCUCCUCUGUGAUGAACAUUUGUCCUAUUACUGUUGUUUUUUCCUCCUUGCCUUUGCCUUUUCCCUGAAGGUGAUGUUUAAGUUUUGAAAUAACAUAUUACCAGUUUGUAGCUGUCGUUAGACAUAAAGAAGGGAGACUUUAUGUGCUUUUGUUUGUUCUAUUAAGAUUUUACUCUUCCACUUGAAAGGUCUAUUUGGCAAUGGAAGCUGGUUAUCCAGAAAAAAGUUGAUGAAUUGUGCGAUCAAUACUCUCUUCAAGGUUUUCCAAAAGCCAAAGGUGUGCCAAUGUCUAUUUUGUUUGCCGAUAUAUUAGGAUAAACAUAUUGCUGUAAUUUCUUCUCUCCAACCUGUAAGUUUAGAAAAAUAUGUUGUUGCACUAGUUUUGCUGAAACAGUUUUUGUCAGUCACUGCUGUGAUUGGAACCUCUAUUGUGCUACUAGAAUCCAACUAGAUGCCUCGAGUAGGUUACUGGGAACCUUAGAUAGGGUUUCUUCCUGCUUUGUUUGCAUAAAGUACCUGAACUAUGCAUAAGAUACUAUAGGCACUGUUAACGAGGUGUUGGCAUGCUUGUCUAUUGAGUUAACUUUGGGGCAAUUGCAUUGAUCAAUGUAGAUGGCUAUCUUUGUUCGAAUAUACCUUCUAAUGUGAAUAUCUUUAUCAAUAUAUUGCUUGCAUUUUGUCAGAGAAUGUGGCAAACUGAUUGGGAUUCUUAUGGCCAGUAUAUUGUUAUUCAGUGAACUGAAUGGAUGUUUUGCUUACGUUCUCUUGUUGCUAUAACUUGUAAAUCUUGGUUUGAAUUGUAUCUGGGGAAACUGAAGUCAUUAUGUCUCGAAAAUUGCUGAAUCAUUUGAUAUCUUGAACCAGACAGUUGCAUCUGCAAUUAGGUCUCUAGUUCUCCAUGAUUGAGGAAAAGAAUAGUUCUGCUUGUGCCUGAUGAUCUAGAAUCAAUUGCUUGCCAUAUUAUGUGGACCUUGAAAAGUUUUUAGUAGACCUUCGUAUACGUUGGGUAUUAAACUUCUCUGAUAAAUGUGUAUUCUGUUGCACUAUCAUCAGUAUGUUGUAAGUAUGCUAUGCCUAGAUAUUUAGUCCUUGGUGGUCGCAUGUUGUGGAGUAUAACAGUAGGAUUUUCUCAGUAAUGUUGCAUUCUCUUUUUCAAAUAUAAUAAUUUGUAACCGUUGGCUUGUUUAGAAUUGGAUGCAACUUUUCUGCAUUGUAAGCACUAUUUGUGCCUCAAAGAACUGGGCAUUGAAGAUGUUUUUUUGGGUUGGUCGAGUGGAUAGUUUGCAUACGGCAACAUACUGCAUUGAAGAAUCUAAAGUUGUUGGUGUGGACUGUGAAUGGAAACCCAAUUAUGUAAAGGGCAGCAAGCCUAACAAGGUAAUUGGUAAGUCCUGUUUGUCCUCAUCUUCCUAUCCAUAAUCUCUUGGAGGUUUUAUAUACUCACUGAAAGUUGUCUUUGUGCCUUUUUGUUCCAAACAAAUCCAUUGUUGCCAGAAAAGAAAUUAAAUGGUUUAAUGAUCAAGAGUUAUCGUCAAGCUUUUGGUGAUUGCCACUAUCUUUCUUACGUUUCAACGGCCAUGAAAUCAACCAUGAAGCAUGAUAUUCAACAAUGGCAUGCUGAGAACAAAACUUUUAAGAUGAUUUCAGAUGUGCUGUAUUAUAUGGUGCGCUUCCUUUCAAAAAAAUUGAUGAGGGAUAUGCUUGGCCAGAUGUAGGACACGUUUGAAGGCUGCAUUUGGAAGAUUCGUGUAAAAUGCUAAAGAGUAUCUACAUGCCUUUUGAUAUUUGUUAACCACUAUCAGAAUGGUUUAAAUCAGACAAGGCAGAUGUAGAUGGUAUAGGAUUACAGAGAGGAUAUGGAACUACAAGAAGACAUGGUUUUGUCUCCACUUCUCACCAUCUUAUAUGUGGUUGCCAUUGGUUUGGCUAGUCUCACCAAUCAAUGUCCCUUCUGCUGUUGACUUAGUUCUCUUGUUGUGUGUUAUUUGGCUCUAAGCAGUGACUUGGUCUCUUCAGCCAAAUUACAGCAGCUGCUUGCUCUGCUGAGGUGAUUUAGAGGUUUUGGUUGAGCAAGUUGUGGCUGCAAUUUGGUGGAGAAGAUCAAGGCACUGUCAAGUCUCAGGUUGGCAACUUCGUGUCAAUUUUCAUGACUUUUUGUCACCUUUGUGAUCGGCUCGUUCCACUAUGACCUCUCUGUCAGCACAAAUAUCUUAAAAGGUCAUCCAUUAAUGUCAGAAAUUAAUUAAGUCUGAUGUUUAUUUUGAUUUUCAGGUGUCCAUCAUGCAAAUUGCUUCCGGCAGAAGUGUUUUCAUUAUUGAUCUAAUAAAAUUGUCAGGGGAUGUGCCACAUAUUCUGGAUAACUGCCUGAGUCGUAUUUUACAGUCUUCAAGUAUUCUAAAGCUUGGUAUGAGAAAUUAAAUAGUGUAAUUGUAUUCUAUCCUUCGCUUCUUGGUCCAAGCAUCAGCCUUAAUCUGGUAUCACCAAUAUGCAUCUACUAAUCUAGGGAAAAGAAAAUCAUUGUACUGACAUAAGAAUUUGGAAUUUAUGGUACCAGACGUACAUAGGGGCAUCAUAAAGCAAGAGUUUGGACAAGGAAUAAUUAUUGGUGCAUGUUUGGUACUGAUAUGACUAAGGGUGAGUGGCAUUGAAUGUUUCAGUAUGUUUGUUUUGCUGAAGUGAAUAGCUUUCCACAGAAUUUCCUGAUGUUCCUGCCCUAUGCAGGCUAUAAUUUUCAAUGUGAUAUGAAGCAACUCACCAGCUCCUAUAAAACUCUGGGGUGUUUUAAGCAUUUUGAAAUGCUGUUGGACAUUCAGAAUGUAUGACUAGUAUCUUGGGGCUUGCUGUGGUAAAGUGGACUUGCAUUGUAUGACUAAUAUUGCUGCCCUGCUUACUAACAGUGGUGAAAAGGGGGGAACAUGAUUUCUUCUUGCUCAGAACUCAUGUUGGAAUCUGUGAUGCAUGCCUUUGUGGUCGCUUUUUGCCCUGAUGAGUAAUUACUUUUACCGUUAUCUCUUGCCUCUAACUAGGAAAUACUUGGUGCUGGUUUGAACAAGACAAAAAGGAAUAGCAACUGGGAGCAACGACCUUUGAAUCAAAAUCAGGUUAUUCUACAUGUUCUUUUUCUGUUUUCUUCUCAGAAAGGAAAUUGCCGGAAAGAUCACACGAUUUAAUAGCAGAACUCAAAUGGUUGCAAUAGCAUACUAUAAUGUGUGGAAUGCAUCUGGAAGAACGAUAUCAGUACACAGAACUUCAUGGAGACUUCCAAUUAUAUCUUAAUGCUCUGAACAUUCGAGAGCCUAGGGUCAGCAGACAUGAUAAUCAUUUGCUUAAGCGAUUUCUUGAGAUCUUUAGUGCAACAAAAAUUCUCGUGGUGUCUAUUUAAGACAAUGUUUAUGCCGAUAAUUUUUAAAAGAAAUUUUCCUUUUUUUUUUUUUAACAAACACCAUUUGCUAUUUCAACUCCAAGAAAGGGAGAGAAACAUAAAGUAUAUUAAAGAGCAAACACAGUGCAGAAAAGAAAAGGAGAAAAGUUAUGAUUAGAGCAGUUGUCCUUUGAUGUAACUAAGCCAUCGCAAUGUGCGCAGCUGGAAUAUGCCGCUCUUCAUGCUGCUGUUCCUGUGCACAUAUUUCAUCAUAUACAGGACCAAUCUCAGCAGGGUACUGCAGAUGGUAAUGACAAAAUCGAAUGGAAGUCUUCUAUAGUAAGUGGACAGCACCUUUUAGUUUUCCUUAAUUCUCCAAUAAAGAGAAGCUGAAGUGAAAUGACAUUCUUCUUAAGUUUGGAGCCAGCUUAUUUGACCAUUUAAAUUUUUUGCAGAUUUCACACUUGGAUGAUGCCAAGACAACUAAAAAGAAUGUUUGGAACAGAACAAAGUGCAGAGUGGACACUAACUAGCUGGACAAUCAAUUCAUGAACUGGCGGAGCUAUUUGCUGCAGGGAAUUUUUUUCUUAUGUAAAUAGCUUUUGCAUAUAAGGACAUCAUUACUUAGUGAUCCAAUUAACAAUUCUGAUUUGCAUAUGGAAUGGAUUCAUUGCAAAUGAGUGCUUCAGUUCCGUCUUCUUGUGCUGGGUCGCUUUUUCUCAAGAGAAUUCAGGUGCCUCAGAAAGCUCGUUGGUCGAAACCUGACCACGGCCACACUUGAUGCUUUUGACUUCAGGUUUCCUAACACGAAGUUACUAUUGAAUUUCCUUGAUAUGCUGCGACUGUAUAAAUCCGAUGCAUAUGUACUCGACAGGAGCCAAAUUGUCUUGCUGAGCCAUUCACCAAAAUGAGCAGCCAUCUAUGCAGAUAUUGUAUUGCUCUACCUUGCUCGCUGUAAUUUGCAUUCGUCGUGCCUUUUGCUCUAGCUAAGCGCUUUCUGGGGAAAGAAAGCGUGCUAUAUCUGGCAAUGAGAAGAACCGAAAAAAGGGACGAACGAAACCAAAAAUAACCGCAAUUUUGGUAUGCGCAUGAUCACGUUUAUAUCCUUUUGGAUGUGGUGGAGUGGUCUUGUAAUAUAAUGAUUGAUUUAUUGUUGCGGAUCUUUCUUUGAUUUUUGAAUAAUUGAACUUCCACCCACCUGAUGAACCCCAUGAAUGUAGCGAUUAGGGACGAAUUUGUCUUGCCUCCGAAGCCGAAUCCGAAUCUGGCAUUACAGGUUAGUAUCAAAGAUCUAGAAGCCUUUGUCGCAUGUAAUCCCCAACUUCACUUAACAAAAGAAAAGCAUCAUAAAAAAAAAUGUGCAUGGGUUUAUAUCCGAUGUCAAAAAGAGAAGGUCCAAAUCCUGGUCGCCUCUCUCUCUUACACGGAAGUUUCCAUCCCCAACAGAAAAAAAACCACCUCUAUGUUUGCUGUCAUCUCCAUUUCUUAACAUUAGAGAGACCCCUCCUCUCUCUCUCUCUCUCUAUGAAAAAAAUCCUUCCCAUCCGAGAAAGGGGAAAGGCAGAGAGGGAGAAAGAGAGGGGAGAUAUUGAGGACACAGAUGGACCCGUGGUCGCGGAGCUACCGAUCCCAUGGAGUUGGCCGGAGUCUAGAGAUCAUGACGAUUCAAACUCUUAACCAAAACCAGAUGUACGUUGCCAAAUCCCGGCCUCGCAUGCUCGAACACGCUUCGCCCCCGCACAGACUAGACAACGUCAAGGAGUCGGCGAUAAAAGCAUCGUGGUGGAACGAUCCGGAGAAAAAAGAGGAAGAGGAGGGUGGCCAGAUACAAGCUUUAUUCGGUCGAAGGCAAGUUCAAGGCUUCUUUCAAACAAAGAUUCCGAUGGUCGAAGCGCAAAUGCUCGAGCAUUGGGCGUCGAUUUUAAUUCGUAGAAAUUACAUUAUAUCAUGCUGAUCGUCAUGAAGAGAGGCAAGGGUGAUCAGUCAGCAGGAAACAAAGUGGUUUGUUGUGUUUAUUGGGUUAUCAUCUUAAUAAUCAUCUAAUGGUAAUUAAGGGGAAAAGUGCCAAAAAAGUCCUAAAUCUUUUGUUUUUGUGCCGAUUUAUUCCUAAACUUUUUUUUGUGCUAAUUUAGUCCUAAACAUUUUUACGUUGUACAAAUUCAGUCAUUUAUGGCCAAUUUUGGCCGGAUUUUACUAACUGGACGCCGACCAGUUAACGUGACUUGAUCGGCGCUGACUUUGAUAACUUUUAAUAAUAUUUUGUAAUUUUUUUAAUUUUUUCUUUUUUUCUUCUCCUCUUCUUCCUCCAGCCAGUCGCUGAGGCAGCCGAUGAGGUCGAGGUCGACCUUGCUGGCCACCUUGCCAGUUCACCAGUGGCCGCAGAGUGAACCCUACCAGCUUGGCAUGAGAGGCGGUCUCGAGCNNNNNNNNNNNNNNNNNNNNNNNNNNNNNNNNNNNNNNNNNNNNNNNNNNNNNNNNNNNNNNNNNNNNNNNNNNNNNNNNNNNNNNNNNNNNNNNNNNNNNNNNNNNNNNNNNNNNNNNNNNNNNNNNNNNNNNNNNNNNNNNNNNNNNNNNNNNNNNNNNNNNNNNNNNNNNNNNNNNNNNNNNNNNNNNNNNNNNNNNNNNNNNNNNNNNNNNNNNNNNNNNNNNNNNNNNNNNNNNNNNNNNNNNNNNNNNNNNNNNNNNNNNNNNNNNNNNNNNNNNNNNNNNNNNNNNNNNNNNNNNNNNNNNNNNNNNNNNNNNNNNNNNNNNNNNNNNNNNNNNNNNNNNNNNNNNNNNNNNNNNNNNNNNNNNNNNNNNNNNNNNNNNNNNNNNNNNNNNNNNNNNNNNNNNNNNNNNNNNNNNNNNNNNNNNNNNNNNNNNNNNNNNNNNNNNNNNNNNNNNNNNNNNNNNNNNNNNNNNNNNNNNNNNNNNNNNNNNNNNNNNNNNNNNNNNNNNNNNNNNNNNNNNNNNNNNNNNNNNNNNNNNNNNNNNNNNNNNNNNNNNNNNNNNNNNNNNNNNNNNNNNNNNNNNNNNNNNNNNNNNNNNNNNNNNNNNNNNNNNNNNNNNNNNNNNNNNNNNNNNNNNNNNNNNNNNNNNNNNNNNNNNNNNNNNNNNNNNNNNNNNNNNNNNNNNNNNNNNNNNNNNNNNNNNNNNNNNNNNNNNNNNNNNNNNNNNNNNNNNNNNNNNNNNNNNNNNNNNNNNNNNNNNNNNNNNNNNNNNNNNNNNNNNNNNNNNNNNNNNNNNNNNNNNNNNNNNNNNNNNNNNNNNNNNNNNNNNNNNNNNNNNNNNNNNNNNNNNNNNNNNNNNNNNNNNNNNNNNNNNNNNNNNNNNNNNNNNNNNNNNNNNNNNNNNNNNNNNNNNNNNNNNNNNNNNNNNNNNNNNNNNNNNNNNNNNNNNNNNNNNNNNNNNNNNNNNNNNNNNNNNNNNNNNNNNNNNNNNNNNNNNNNNNNNNNNNNNNNNNNNNNNNNNNNNNNNNNNNNNNNNNNNNNNNNNNNNNNNNNNNNNNNNNNNNNNNNNNNNNNNNNNNNNNNNNNNNNNNNNNNNNNNNNNNNNNNNNNNNNNNNNNNNNNNNNNNNNNNNNNNNNNNNNNNNNNNNNNNNNNNNNNNNNNNNNNNNNNNNNNNNNNNNNNNNNNNNNNNNNNNNNNNNNNNNNNNNNNNNNNNNNNNNNNNNNNNNNNNNNNNNNNNNNNNNNNNNNNNNNNNNNNNNNNNNNNNNNNNNNNNNNNNNNNNNNNNNNNNNNNNNNNNNNNNNNNNNNNNNNNNNNNNNNNNNNNNNNNNNNNNNNNNNNNNNNNNNNNNNNNNNNNNNNNNNNNNNNNNNNNNNNNNNNNNNNNNNNNNNNNNNNNNNNNNNNNNNNNNNNNNNNNNNNNNNNNNNNNNNNNNNNNNNNNNNNNNNNNNNNNNNNNNNNNNNNNNNNNNNNNNNNNNNNNNNNNNNNNNNNNNNNNNNNNNNNNNNNNNNNNNNNNNNNNNNNNNNNNNNNNNNNNNNNNNNNNNNNNNNNNNNNNNNNNNNNNNNNNNNNNNNNNNNNNNNNNNNNNNNNNNNNNNNNNNNNNNNNNNNNNNNNNNNNNNNNNNNNNNNNNNNNNNNNNNNNNNNNNNNNNNNNNNNNNNNNNNNNNNNNNNNNNNNNNNNNNNNNNNNNNNNNNNNNNNNNNNNNNNNNNNNNNNNNNNNNNNNNNNNNNNNNNNNNNNNNNNNNNNNNNNNNNNNNNNNNNNNNNNNNNNNNNNNNNNNNNNNNNNNNNNNNNNNNNNNNNNNNNNNNNNNNNNNNNNNNNNNNNNNNNNNNNNNNNNNNNNNNNNNNNNNNNNNNNNNNNNNNNNNNNNNNNNNNNNNNNNNNNNNNNNNNNNNNNNNNNNNNNNNNNNNNNNNNNNNNNNNNNNNNNNNNNNNNNNNNNNNNNNNNNNNNNNNNNNNNNNNNNNNNNNNNNNNNNNNNNNNNNNNNNNNNNNNNNNNNNNNNNNNNNNNNNNNNNNNNNNNNNNNNNNNNNNNNNNNNNNNNNNNNNNNNNNNNNNNNNNNNNNNNNNNNNNNNNNNNNNNNNNNNNNNNNNNNNNNNNNNNNNNNNNNNNNNNNNNNNNNNNNNNNNNNNNNNNNNNNNNNNNNNNNNNNNNNNNNNNNNNNNNNNNNNNNNNNNNNNNNNNNNNNNNNNNNNNNNNNNNNNNNNNNNNNNNNNNNNNNNNNNNNNNNNNNNNNNNNNNNNNNNNNNNNNNNNNNNNNNNNNNNNNNNNNNNNNNNNNNNNNNNNNNNNNNNNNNNNNNNNNNNNNNNNNNNNNNNNNNNNNNNNNNNNNNNNNNNNNNNNNNNNNNNNNNNNNNNNNNNNNNNNNNNNNNNNNNNNNNNNNNNNNNNNNNNNNNNNNNNNNNNNNNNNNNNNNNNNNNNNNNNNNNNNNNNNNNNNNNNNNNNNNNNNNNNNNNNNNNNNNNNNNNNNNNNNNNNNNNNNNNNNNNNNNNNNNNNNNNNNNNNNNNNNNNNNNNNNNNNNNNNNNNNNNNNNNNNNNNNNNNNNNNNNNNNNNNNNNNNNNNNNNNNNNNNNNNNNNNNNNNNNNNNNNNNNNNNNNNNNNNNNNNNNNNNNNNNNNNNNNNNNNNNNNNNNNNNNNNNNNNNNNNNNNNNNNNNNNNNNNNNNNNNNNNNNNNNNNNNNNNNNNNNNNNNNNNNNNNNNNNNNNNNNNNNNNNNNNNNNNNNNNNNNNNNNNNNNNNNNNNNNNNNNNNNNNNNNNNNNNNNNNNNNNNNNNNNNNNNNNNNNNNNNNNNNNNNNNNNNNNNNNNNNNNNNNNNNNNNNNNNNNNNNNNNNNNNNNNNNNNNNNNNNNNNNNNNNNNNNNNNNNNNNNNNNNNNNNNNNNNNNNNNNNNNNNNNNNNNNNNNNNNNNNNNNNNNNNNNNNNNNNNNNNNNNNNNNNNNNNNNNNNNNNNNNNNNNNNNNNNNNNNNNNNNNNNNNNNNNNNNNNNNNNNNNNNNNNNNNNNNNNNNNNNNNNNNNNNNNNNNNNNNNNNNNNNNNNNNNNNNNNNNNNNNNNNNNNNNNNNNNNNNNNNNNNNNNNNNNNNNNNNNNNNNNNNNNNNNNNNNNNNNNNNNNNNNNNNNNNNNNNNNNNNNNNNNNNNNNNNNNNNNNNNNNNNNNNNNNNNNNNNNNNNNNNNNNNNNNNNNNNNNNNNNNNNNNNNNNNNNNNNNNNNNNNNNNNNNNNNNNNNNNNNNNNNNNNNNNNNNNNNNNNNNNNNNNNNNNNNNNNNNNNNNNNNNNNNNNNNNNNNNNNNNNNNNNNNNNNNNNNNNNNNNNNNNNNNNNNNNNNNNNNNNNNNNNNNNNNNNNNNNNNNNNNNNNNNNNNNNNNNNNNNNNNNNNNNNNNNNNNNNNNNNNNNNNNNNNNNNNNNNNNNNNNNNNNNNNNNNNNNNNNNNNNNNNNNNNNNNNNNNNNNNNNNNNNNNNNNNNNNNNNNNNNNNNNNNNNNNNNNNNNNNNNNNNNNNNNNNNNNNNNNNNNNNNNNNNNNNNNNNNNNNNNNNNNNNNNNNNNNNNNNNNNNNNNNNNNNNNNNNNNNNNNNNNNNNNNNNNNNNNNNNNNNNNNNNNNNNNNNNNNNNNNNNNNNNNNNNNNNNNNNNNNNNNNNNNNNNNNNNNNNNNNNNNNNNNNNNNNNNNNNNNNNNNNNNNNNNNNNNNNNNNNNNNNNNNNNNNNNNNNNNNNNNNNNNNNNNNNNNNNNNNNNNNNNNNNNNNNNNNNNNNNNNNNNNNNNNNNNNNNNNNNNNNNNNNNNNNNNNNNNNNNNNNNNNNNNNNNNNNNNNNNNNNNNNNNNNNNNNNNNNNNNNNNNNNNNNNNNNNNNNNNNNNNNNNNNNNNNNNNNNNNNNNNNNNNNNNNNNNNNNNNNNNNNNNNNNNNNNNNNNNNNNNNNNNNNNNNNNNNNNNNNNNNNNNNNNNNNNNNNNNNNNNNNNNNNNNNNNNNNNNNNNNNNNNNNNNNNNNNNNNNNNNNNNNNNNNNNNNNNNNNNNNNNNNNNNNNNNNNNNNNNNNNNNNNNNNNNNNNNNNNNNNNNNNNNNNNNNNNNNNNNNNNNNNNNNNNNNNNNNNNNNNNNNNNNNNNNNNNNNNNNNNNNNNNNNNNNNNNNNNNNNNNNNNNNNNNNNNNNNNNNNNNNNNNNNNNNNNNNNNNNNNNNNNNNNNNNNNNNNNNNNNNNNNNNNNNNNNNNNNNNNNNNNNNNNNNNNNNNNNNNNNNNNNNNNNNNNNNNNNNNNNNNNNNNNNNNNNNNNNNNNNNNNNNNNNNNNNNNNNNNNNNNNNNNNNNNNNNNNNNNNNNNNNNNNNNNNNNNNNNNNNNNNNNNNNNNNNNNNNNNNNNNNNNNNNNNNNNNNNNNNNNNNNNNNNNNNNNNNNNNNNNNNNNNNNNNNNNNNNNNNNNNNNNNNNNNNCUUGUAUUUGAUAUUCAUAUAUAUUUAUAUUUGCCGAAAGUUUUUUUCUUUUUUCCGAAUUUCCGUACUUUCUGAAUUAUAUUUUAACAUUCAAUUCGCAGGUGUUAAAUAAAUCGAAAGGUCUUCUAUGGUUGCAUUUUGAUUUGACAGUUCUCAUAUUUAGAGUACCCUCCCAUCAAUCUCGGAUUAACAAAAAUGAGGAAAACGGAAGAGCCCGAAGUGGACCUUCUCCUGUCCUUUCGAAACUUACAUAGCUAUUGUUCCAAUGGCCAUUAAACUUAAUGGAUCUUGAUGCAAAAUGUGAUAGAACUUUCAUAAACAAGCUCGAAGCAAAUCGUUAGCAUGAAACCUAAGUAGAAGAGGAAAAGGGGAAAAAAACCCAUGAACAAAAACCGAACCAGUUCUAUCGGUUUAACACAUUCGUCCAAUUAUCCAAUCGAUUCACGGUUUUCUAAUUUCAAAUCAAUUCAGCCGAUGCGGUUGUUACUUAUGCUGUACAAGCAAUCAAACACAAAGCCAUGGCCCUUUGGAUUAAAUGCCUAGGCACAGUAGUUUAGCAGCUAAGUAAUAAAUUAUGCAGUCAAUACAUUGACUUUACUUGCGACUUUUCUCGUGUUAUAUUUUUAAUUAAUAUGCUCAAAAUUAGAUUAUUUUAUGUUUGAUACGUCUAACUAGUGUUUUGACUCGUUAAUGCGGCCUGCAUUAUAUAUGAUUUAGUUCUUAAAAAUUCAAACUUGACUUAGCAAGCUACUUGGUCUUGUCUUGAGCUCCGGAUAGUAUUGACUUAAAAGUUUAGGUAGACAACGAGCGAAUCAGACCAUAUGAUUAACUUGCGAGUAGCUUUUAACUUCUAGAGUGUCACCAUUGUAACCUAGUACGAUAUAGAGGAACAUCUAAGGGUAGUUCAGGCAUGACCAGUGACCCAAUUUGGCAUAGUAUGGUCUUGUGUAUUUAACCAAUUAGAUAACCCUCAACGUUUCAGUCCAAACCAAACAAAAUAGAUUGUUGAGAGGGGGCUUAUUUCACCCUUCCAAUAAUUAUUUAUAACAUUUUGUUUUUAUCAAUUCAACAGUAGCCAAUGCCAAAGAAAAUUUGGUUUUCGAUAUAAAAACGUAUGGCUGUCUCCUCUGCUGUGUAAAUUCAUGCGUAAAGGAAUCAAGUUUGAGAGAAUACGAUUACAGUGAUUGCAAAAUGCCAAUACAUGAACUUCCCGAGAUCCAAGAUUGUACACUAAUGAAAACUUUUGCGCUCAAAAUUCUUCCAAAUGAGAAAUUACUUUCUUUUGGGAACCUUUUCACUGAAAAUCUUGCCUGUGAUUAACGGAUUAUUUGCUGAUUCCACGACAUUCGCUUUUUCCAAAUUCUCUCACUCACAACUGUAGUGAAAUUACCUUUGCUAAAUAAGAGCACGAUGUCAAAGCUUGCGAAGUACACCACAUUAGAAGAGGACCCUUUAUAUCAAGAAUCCUAUGAGGAGUAUCAACAACAUGGAGCACAUUAUAAGCACCAGCAGCAAAGAACUUUGCAACACCUUUCCAUAAGGUCUCAUGACAUAUCUCAUUCCUGCCCACAUCUCCAUCCUGUGAUGUUUGAAGAUGUUCUCUGAAUUUUAUGAAAUGCAGGUUGAAUCUACACAAAAAGGAUAGGAUUUACUAAUUAUCAACAAAUGAAUGUAACUAAGAUCGGAGCAUCACAAUUUACACCAUGAAAGAUAAGGUAUAAAUGCACAAACAUCAUUUGCACCAAUUGCUGUUGGACCACAAUGAACAGAGACUUCAUGAGCUGGCCGAUAAAAAAGGAAAAUACAGGCUUGGGAGAAGCAAUUAAUUAGCAACACUUUCCUUGUUUGUAUUUAGGAACAUAAUACAGAACAGAAAGAUGAAUUUAUUAUUUGUUUAUUUUGCAAUAUCCCGCUAGCAAAAUCAGCAAUACAAGAUAGUUUGCUAGGAGGUGAAUUUCAACUUUACAAAGUCCAUGUCGCAUGAGAAUUGAGCUUAUCAAAUAAAAAAGAUCAAAAACCUAUAUGACAACAUUCAAAGGAUAGUAUCACAUUGAUAAACUGAUAGAAUGGGGGAGAUUGCCCUCAUGCAUACUUGCACACUGAUUUUCAUGUGAAAUUCCACAGCUCGUAUAGUAUAAACACACAAGUUAUUUUUUCAUUGCCAUGGUACAACUAGUAGUUGCAUACCUCCCUCUGCAGAGCCUCAUCAAGUUCAGGAGUGAUCACAGUAGAAUGCAACGGCGUCAAACACCUCUGCAUCAGGGUGACAUACAAAAAAAAUCAGCAGCUACAUAUUUGAUUAACAGAGAGGUUAAACCUCAUGAACAUACAAAUAGCAGACUCAACUGAAAAUACAACAUUUAAAAUCAUUCAGUUAUGUGUUGUUGAGACCAGCUAAAGUGUUUUGGAUCCUCACAAGCAUCAAAACUUCCUCAAGACACUCUUGUUGGCCCACGAGCCUCCUCAAGGUUGGCAUGUAAGAUGGUCAUCAGCUGUUGCUGAUGCUUCCUCUGCAAAAUGUAUCUUCUUCACUUUGAUUUCAAGUUGCAAAGCCCAGUUAGCCAGACUCGGAUCAAUCAUGUGAUAAAACGAUUCCAUGAUAACAAUAGGAUCAAUUGGGAUGCAAACUUAUUGGCAAAUUCUUGAGCUCCUCACCCCCGCUUGUUUCACAGAAAGGGUGAAAAGUUGUCCCAAUUAUACAAAAGGUCAUUGAUACAGCUCAUUGAAUUGAAGUCCCCAAGUAAACCUUGAUCAUCACAUAGACCAACCAGACCCAUCAUAAAAUCAGUACCAAUUUACCUUGCUUGAUAAUCUUUCAAAACAAUAAUUUGACUACUGGUUAUGAAAGGGCAAUCUACAAUCAUAUUUGAGAGACUAGCCAAAACUACUCUUCAUUUUUUUGCAUCACUGACUAGAAAAACUUUAACUUUGAUUUUUAUAUUAGCUCAGCUCCUUAUACUUACUGGAAUUAAUGCUUAUCUAGAAGGUUCAAGAGAAACAUCAAGGGAACAAUAAGAAACUUGACAGGGUUCAUCACAGAAAAUCAAAAUGUGUUUGUCCCCAUCAGGAUAUUUGCCAUUAGUUAAAUUUGACAUACAAAAGAACUUACAAAGGAACUCAAAAUGGCCAGGGAUUUUUUCAAAGAAAAUAUGAACUUUGGAUAUUGGGAAAUUCUGGGCGUAGUAUACAGUAAUGAGAAGCAGAAAUUCAUCGGCCUCUAGAUGAAAAUUUCAAAUCCUGGGUAUGCCGAUAGGGGAACUGUUAAUCACUAGGUAAUUUUUGUCUACCUUUGCUGAUAUUUUCAUUCUUGCCUUGCAAGCUGCUAUCUGUUUGCAGUCCACAGAAGCUGCCAAUGGAAGGAUAAACAAAAAACAUUGCUACAAUGUAAUCAACAACAAUUAUAUGGUGGCAAAUCCGAAGUUUCCAAAAUCAAUCAAAUAGAUACCCGGUCAAAUCAUUCUAAAAAAAUAGAGCUUCGAUAAAGUAUUACUCUAUUUGCUCAUGCUGGCCAUUCAAGGAUGAAGAAUCUUACUGUGCCUUCUUUUGACAUUAGGGUCUACAUUUUGAUCUUGGCUAAAGCAUCAUGUCAGCUUCUGACCAACUCCCCCACUCCUUCAAUUAUAUAAGACUAGCAAUUUAGGAAAGUAUAGAACCCUGUCAUAGACAACUUCUAUCAAAAGAAGACAAUGAUAAAAAGUAGGUCAUGAAUCUCAAACGAAAAGUUAUUGUUCACUGCUUAUUUACCUCUGUUCAGGAAACAUCACUCCAUGAGUCAAAAGACAGAUCUUGUUCAUAAUUUCUAAAGAUGUGCGUUCCAGAUAAGUUAGGUAUUGCUUCCAAUGAGACAACCAAAAAUAUCCAAAUCAAUUAAAUCCAACUUUUCAAGUCCCUGAAGCUAAGUAAGUUUCUCGCAGUAUCGAACUCUUAGAGAUCGUAACUUCUCACAUCCCGUCAAAUUUGGCAAAGUCUCCAUUGAUUUGCAUCCUGUAAAAUCCAACUCUUCUAAGAACUUUGCACCGUCAAGACCUUGAAUUUCGACCCCAUAGCCACUAAUUUCUUCAAACACCAUGAUUCUGGACAGAGAAGCCUUCUAAUGGAAUUGCAGUCACAUAUAAAUAUGACCUCCAAGAAUGCCAAAUUAUCAUGGCCUUGAAUUUUAACUAGGCUAUUGCAAUGCUUAGGGCAUAAUCGUUUAAGACGAAUUGAUCGUGAAAGGUCCAAUCUUUCAAUGGAACUGCACUUUUUUUUAUUGAAAGCUCUUCCAAGUCCAUGAAUCCAUCGAGCCUAAGCAAUAUCAGCUCAUCACAUUCCUCAACACCGAGUUUCAAGGGUCUUGAGGAAAGCUCAAGAUGCGUUCAAGUAGAUGGCAUACCUGAAGAUGGAGUUCUUACAAUCGGGGGCUCUAACAGAUUUGUUAAGCCCGGAGGAAGCUCUGGCAGUGACUGGAGCUCCUUACAGCCCCUUAGGUCAAGGCGUUGGAGAGAAGAAGGAAGCUCUGGUAGCGACUGGAGCUCCUUACAGCCCCUUAGGUCAAGGCAUUGGAGAGAAGACGGAAGCUCUGGCAACAACCGGAGCUCCUCACAGCCCCAUAGGUCAAGGCGUUGGAGAGAAGAAGGAAGCUCUGGUAGCGAUCGGAGCUCCUGACCCCCUAGGUCAAGGCGUUGGAGAGAAGAAGGAAGCUCUGGUAGCGACGAGAGCUCCUUACAGCCCCUUAGGUCAAGGCUUUGGAGAGAAGAAGGAAGCUGUGGCAGCGACGGGAGCUCCUUACAGCCCCAUAGGUCAAGGUGUUGGAGAGAAGAAGGAAGCUCUGGCAGCGACCGAAGCUCCUUACAGCCCCUUAGGUCAAGGCGUUGGAGAGAAAAAGGAAGCUCUGGCAGCGACGGGAGCUCCUUACAGCCCCUUAGGUCAAGGCGUUGGAGAGAAGAAGGAAGCUCUGGCAGCGACCGGAGCUCCUUACAGCCCCUUAGGUCAAUGCGUUGGAGAGAAUAAGGAAGCUCUGGCAGUGAUCGGAGCGCCUUACAGCCCCAUAGGUCAAGGCGUUGGAGAGAAGAAGGAAGCUCUGGCAGCGACCAGAGCUCCUCACAGCCCCAUAGGUCAAGGCGUUGGAGGCGUUGGAGAGAAGAAGGAAGCUCUGGCAGCAACCGGAGCUCCUCACAGCCCCAUAGGUCAAGGCCUUGGAGAGAAGAAGGAAGCGCCGGCAGCGACCGCAGCUCCUCACAGCCCCCUAGGUCAAGGCCUUGGAGAGAAGAAGGAAGCUCUGGCAGCGACCGGAGCUCCUUACAGCCUCCUAGGUGAAGGCUUUGGAGAGACGAAGGAAGCUCUGGCAACGACCGGAGCUCCUUACAGCCCCCUAGGUCAAGGCUUUUGAGAGACGAAGGAAGCUCUGGCAACGACCGGAGCUCCUUACAGCCCCCUAGGUCAAGGCUUUGGAGAGAAGAAGGAAGCUCUGGCAGUGACCCGAGCUUGUCGUUGCCCCUUAGGUCAAGGUGUUGGAGAGAAGAAGGAAGCUCUGGCAGCGACUCGAGCUUGUCAUGGGUCCCUAGGUAAAGGUGUUGGAUAGAAACGCUUCCUGGCUGGUUAAAUAUCAAUGUGCCAUUGAGAUUUAAAAUUUCCUCUUCCAGAUGAUGGUAUCCAUUGAGAAAUAGAGCCUGCAGAUUUUUCAACCUUCCAAUAACACUGGGAAGCUUUUUGAUCGUAGAAUAACUCAAGUCAAGAUGUUGCAAAUUCUGUAAAUCUCCAAUUGAGCUGGGGAUUUCUCUUAGUGAGUAACACCUUGAGGCGCUCAAUUUCUUCAGCUUCCUCAAAUAACCAAUAGAUAUAGGAAUCUCUGUAAUACCGGAUUCAUCUAAAAUAAGUUCUUCUAAAUCUUUUAAUUUGCCCACCUCCUCUGGUAGUUCCUUGAGUCUUUUACAGUUAUACAAGUGCAAGGAAAUGAGGCUCGUGAGUUUGCCAAUAGAAGGGCGGAGAUGCUCCAAUUUCCAACAUUCGCUCAAAUUGAGAAUCUUCAACUGUGUGAAAGUCGACAGAUUAGGAGUACUUCUUAAAUUAUGGCAAGAUGUAAGCCUGAGAACUUUAAGCCGCUUUGACGCCUAAUAGAAAAGGAGAAUAAGCUGUCAAAGAAUGGGUUAAUCAACUAAACAAAAACAAAACCCUAAAUUCGUUCUUUUCUCAAUCUUACCAUGAAUGACCUCCAUCCUUGCCAAUACUCUCUGAUCAUGCUGUGAGAUAAAUCCAGUACUGAUAAAUUCGAUAGAUGCAUUGAAAGAGACGAGUCGCUUCGCUCGACGCUCCACUCAAGCCAUCUCACUUCAGAACGGAGUUCAUCGUUGGAGGUUCCGCUUGAAGUUGCCAGCAAAUUGUCACGAAAACGGAAACAAGAGAGGUGUCUCCACAAAAUUUUGCAGAACUGGGAGGGGGACCUAGAGGGGAGCCAGGCGGGGCGUCUCUGCAAGAUUUUUGACUUUCAGUUAUUUUUUUUCUUUUCUUAAAUCUUGGAUUUUGCACUAUCUAUAACCUUUCUAUACUUCCCAUGCACAAAUAUGGCUCAUAUUUAUUUUAUUUUCUGACGAACUUUUCGAAAAUUAAACAAAUGACGUGAAAAAUAAAGAAAAAAAUGGCUAUUGCUCUAAAACAACUAAGGUAAAGGCAACUCAAUGUUUUAUCUUUUCCUUCUUUCUUUCAAAUUUUGUAGCACAUGCACUUUGACUUUUAUUUAUUAUGAAAUAUAUGAAACCAUAUUACAACAUACAAAUGUUUACUUGUAAAUUUUCAUGACUUUUGUAUAAUUUUUCAAAAGAAUUUGUUGAAGAGUGCCGGUGGGCUACUUGUAAGUAGCUAUGGAAACACCCGGUUUUCAUUUCAUUAUUUAAAUGUAAUAAUGCCGAAGAGAAAAUAUGGGAAAUUUUCAAUAUAUUUCCAUAUAUAGAAAAGAUUAUACGGAGAGUCUAUCUAUAACUUUUAUUAUAGGACUGUCUAAGAAAAUCAAAUUAGAUAUGCAUAAUCAAAAUAAAUAUAGAAAAUUAGAGAAAAUUAUUCUAAAUAUCUCUAGAAGAUAUCUACAUAUCUUUAACAUCAUUUACUAUUGUUCUAAAGUGUUUAAUCAUUUCUUUGAAAACUUAAACAUUUUUUUUUGUUAAGUACGUUUAAAAAGUGACGUGUUGACAUUGGACAAUAGCGUAUAAAUUAUAUCAUGACGCAGCUCAAAUGGACAAUAUAUAAUAAUAAAAUGACAUGAGCAUCAUUAUGAGAAAUAGUUGUAUGUGUUAUAAGUAACUUAUAGCGGAUACAAAUUUUUGUUAUAAGAAAUCCACUCUUUAUCAUACAUCUAACCUAAUCCAUGAAAUGAGCAAGGUCAACGUGAUAAAACCUUAAAAAACAGGAAGAUUUUCCUAAAAAUACUUUUAAGGGGAUUUUUGCUAUCUUAUCUAUUAAAAGGAAAUAAUAAUUAAAAGAGAUAAAUAUAACUAGUAGAGUAGAGGGAUGGGUAUCUUCAAAAUCAAAUGGGAGAAAAAAUAUAUUAAACAUUGUACUCCUAAAUCAUAGGACUACCACCAAUACAUCUGGCCGUACCAGUAAGCAAGAACUAUGUGAUAAGUGUGAAAUUUUUUCCAAUCUUAUUGUUUUCAAUUAAUUAUCAAUUAUUAUAAUUGGCACAUGCUAUCUUUUUUUUUUUUCAAUCAAGAAAUAUUCAUUUAUCUGAUCUAUAAUGUUUAUACUUCAUCUUCAUUCAUUAUUGUAGUCUUUAGAUUAUCAAUAUUUUCAACUAGAUAUGACAAUUACAUGCUUUUAGUAAAUGAGAUUUAUAGUGUAAAAUUGUAGUUAAAGGAACUUAAAUCGAUUGUCAAUCAAGUCUUUAUAGAUGUAAUUUAUAUCAAUGAAAUCAAAUCAAAUGGUAUAACGUUCUCAUCCUUUAAAUACUUACAAUCCAUUUAGCUAUCACAAAUAAUCUAAGAUGGACAUAAAUGGAUGUCUAUAUAAAUCUUUCUUCCUAAAAAGUAAGAGAAUCUAUCUAUCAUAGAUGAAAUAUUAGAAUAGAUCAAAUUAAAUAUAUUAAAAUAAGAGGGAAAGAAAAAGAAAAAGAAAGGAGUGUCAUAUUUUACCCAUGCAUAGACUCUUAGUACUUUUGGGACUCCCUCGUAGUCAUUGUCCCAUGGUCCAAUACGUUUCUCAAGCAGUUGUCCUUGGCAAAAAAUUCUCCUUCCAAGAUCUCUUAGUUGAUCAUGCACUAGAAAUUCACCAUGAUCUCCAAUUUUAAUUAAGCACCUCAACUUCAACUCUUCAAUACCUUGACUUGGAUAAAACCCACAGUCUUCCCACAUGUACAUGGCAUAUUCGCUUGUUUUGCCAAUAAAGUAACAAACAAUAUCGAGAAAAAUCUGCUUUUGUUCAUCUUCUAAUGCAUCAUAACUUAUUUGCAACAUCUUCUGGACAUCUCUAUGUGGUUGGUUUUUUAAUUUCUUCUUCACAUCUUCCCAUACUUUUCGAUUUUUUUUAUACAAGUAAGAACCUGCAACUUGAAGAGCCAAGGGAAGCCCACCCAUGUUGGAUAUGAUGUCACGAGAUAUACCCUCAAAUUCCCUUGGAGAAUGGUUCAUAUGAAAUGCAUGUCUGUUAAACAAAAGCAAAGCUUGCACCUUAUCCAAUUCAUUCAAUUCAUACUUGUAGUCUACCUCAAAUUUAGAUUGAUCAAGAACGGCUUCGUUUCUAGUUGUAACAAUGAUCACACUUCCUGCCAUAAACCAAUCACGCUCCCUAGCCAACGCAUCUAGUUGACUCUUGUCAUCUAUAUCAUCCAGAAGAAUGAGAACCUUUGUCCUUUUGAAUCUAGAUUGAAUUUUACUAAUUCCAUCAUCAAUGCUAGACACUUGACUUUUGCUCUGUAGUAUAAGACUCUGCAGAUACAUAAUACCGUGGCACUUGGUAGUUUCUCGAACAUCUGGAAGGAAGCUGACAUGCACAAAUUUAUUUGAGAGUUGAUUGUAGAUGCACUUGGCAAGAGUUGUCUUGCCUAUCCCGCCCAUGCCAUAAAUUCCAAUCAUUCGAGCAUAGAUGGAAGGAUUGUCAAUCCAAUUCAUAAUUUCCUUCAUACGAUCAUCAAGUCCAACUAGUUGCUUAGACACAUCCAGCUGAAAAUCUUCCCAUAACUUGCUUAUAACAUUUUCAACCACAUGUUCUAUUAAUUCUCCCUCAUGCCUGUCAAACAACAAAAACAAUGAGAAGUUAUGAACCUAGACAUAGUUUAUGCGAAGUAUUCUAUCCUUAUCAACUUAGCCAACCCUUGUUGGCUAUAGGAGCUCGAUUUUAUCUAGUGGUGAUCAAGCUUUGAAGAUCAAGCAUUGGAGUCAUUUGGAAGCCUAUUGUUUAGUGAUUGAUAAUAUUGGCUGGAGGUAUUGUUGUUUCUUUGUUUUUUUUUUUUUUUGCUCUAUACCGGAGGAAAAUGUAAAUUCUUGGGCACUAUGGGAUGCUUUGAUUUCAGUUGUCGUUGGUUUAGUUUUCAGGGACAUCUUGGGGCGUACUGGUGUUUGUUGUCUUCUCGAGGCGUUACGGCUGUUUAUUUUGGCAAUCUUUUCCAAGCUUGCAAUAAAAGUAAUCCAUCUGCAUUUCCUCGAUUUUGCCAAAAGACGAAAACUUACUUAUCAAAAAAGAAAAGUUCGGUAAAGUACCUGUCCGCAAUUUUUUGAGAUUCCCAUCCCUGUAAGUAACUGACUUCAUUAAGUGCUCGUUGCCCCUCUUGGAUAUCCUUCUCAUCAAAAUGUUCCCGACUUGAAUGAAAGGCAUUUCCAAAAUUUCCUUUUAGAUGCCGCACAUCGGAUGGGGAAACUUUGUAAAAUAUAGGCAACACUAUGUGUGACGCGCUCUUCUUACGGUCCAUGAUAUGAACAAGCUCACGGAGGCACCAUCUGCUCGAAGCAUAAUUUUCGGAGAUGAUGGGGAUCGAAAUCUUAGACCGUGCGAUGGCAUCGAGAAUCUCUGAACCAAAUUCCUCACCAAUUGGGAUGCUGUUCUCGUCCCUGAACACGCAAAGUGCUAUAGUCCCUACUUUGAUCAGACUAUGAUAGAGGUGAUCAGUGAAAGUAUUGCGGGUAUCCGAGCCUCUAAAGCUCAAGAACACGUCAUAUUGACCGCUACCUACACCUAUGGCUUCUGGAGAGAUGAAUGAAGAAGUGGAUGCUCCUUUAGUGCUCUCUUCCUCUGCCCUCUUUUUCUUUCCCUGACUCUGCCCUCUGUCCAUGGUGAUCUAAGGGGGAAAGUUGAAAAGAAAGAUCCUUUUUUUGCUGCUUAAAAGGAUUGUUGAACAACGAAAGCUGCCUUUAGAAUGUUUUUUUGCAAAUGCUUGUUGGCUCCGAAUAACGUGUUCGUUAACUCCCUAGGUAAUAAAGACACGACCUUCAGUUAAGUAAGCUAACAUCAUUUCACUGUAGAAGAUUAGGUGUCACGCCCCGACCCUCAGGCACGCACACAUCCCUUACUCUUGGUCGAUUUUAAAUUGCGAUAUCCCAGGACUAUGUAUCGCCGACCCUUUCAUUCUUUAUAGCACAUGCGGAAGCAGUUAUAAAUCCCCAGACAAUAAAGCAAUGGGAUAGAAAAAGCAGGCCAUAUAUUUUCCUUACUGAAAAUUCACAACUAUAUCUUUUUACAUGCAUCUCAUAGUAUUCUACAAUACUAUAUAUAUGCGGCUCUGGUCUAACGUCUAUUCACAUGCAAACAAGGUCUGACAAGACAGGACAGGAUCUCGGUCCUCAUCCGGGUCGUACUCGAUGUCAUACUCGGGGUCCUCCUCCACGUACUCCUCUUCAGGUUCCUCAACAAGGACCUCCUCGUCAGAUUCAUGCUCCUUAGGCUCCUCAUCCAGAUCCUGAAAUGGUUAUUCAAUAACCACUGAGACAAUGUCUCAGCAAGUUCUACCUCCUAAGACCCGAUUAGUAAACUAAUACACCUUAGGGCUGCCUAUGCACAACAUGAGUCAGAGGACUUACCUUGGCCUCAGAUUCCACCUGCAGAUUAGCACAGAUCAAAUAGGCACCCAAGCAAUCACAUCACAGAUCGAAGCAUCGAUCAAAUCGACCGAGUCGAUUACACGCCAACAAGACCACUCACGGUCACUUUCAUUCAAUCAACCAAUUCACAAUAUCAGAUUAAAACAAUGAUCAAUCGACCUAGUCGAUUACAUGUCAUACCAAUCAUUCUCCACGGAGGAGUACCUAAAAGCUAGAACACGUGCAUUUUCAAGGACGACAUUCCAAGUCUCCGAGCCACGUGCCUCGAACCUUGGGCCCACGUGCAUUCUCUAAGGCGACCUCUUCGCCAAGGUGAUACAUCAAGUCACCGAGCCACGUGCCCUUUUAGAUGCUAUUUCCGAAUACUGGACCCACGUGCAUUCUCUAAGGCACUAGUUCACCAAAGUGACGCAUCAGAUCACCGAGCCACGUGUCCUUUUAGAUGCCGUUCUCAAACACUGGACCCACGUGCAUUCUCUAAGGUACUCGCUUACCAAAGUGACACAUCAGAUCACCGAGCCACGUGUCCUUUUAGAUGCCUGGGUCCACGUGCAUUCUCUUAGGUGCUAUCUCACCAAAGUGAUGCAUUAAUUCACCGAGCCACGUGCCAUUUUAGAUGCCAAACUCUGUCACCGAGCCACGUGCAUUCUCCAGGACGACAUACCGAGUCUCCGAGCCACGUGCAUUCUCUCAGGUGACCUUUUCGCCAAGGUGACAUAUUCAACCACUCAAUUCACGUGCAUUCUCCAGGUGAUAUUCCAAUUCACCGAGCCCACGUGUUUUCUUCAAGUGAUUACCAAUCUACUAUCAAUACCGACAACCAAUGCCCAACGAUUUCUCAAUCAAAUAAUUAAAUCAACUCCACAAAGCAUUAUAAAUGCUGAAUAACAUACUUGGCUAUUUACCAAUCUACAAUUCAAUCUCAAUCAAUUCCAAUCAAUUUAGGGUAAAUCCAUAAAAUAUCACAAUUUAUUCAAUUCCAUACAACGUGGAGCUCAAAUAAAUAAACGGACUGCACCACGACGAUCAGCACGAGAUUUCGGUCGUCGGCCAUCAAAAUCUUAAUUUCCGAAAAAUAAUUAAUUAAUUUAUUAAUUUCGAAAAUUAAAAUAAUUAAUAUUAAAAAUUCAAUUUAGCUCAAAAUAAAGCCCGAUUAAAUAAACGGACUUCACCACGGUCAUCAGCAUAAUUUUCCGGUCACUGGUCAUCCCAGUUGAAUUUUCGGAAAAUAAAUAAUUAAAUAAUUAAUUUCAAAAAUUAAUAUUUAAUUCCUAAACAUUCCAAUUAGGCCUGAAUCGCCUAAUUAACACCCGAUAAGGGAUGGGAAAAAUCCCAAGAAGCAUCCAAUAAAUACUACAAGCAAUUCUCUAUCUAAUUACACUAAUCACACAACUAAUAUGUAAAGCAAUUAACUAAUAAUCGCUAAUCAAUUCUAAUCUAACUACCUAAUUACACUUAAUUAACACUAAUCAACCUUUAAGUAUAAUUAGCAAAUUAAGAAGGCAUUAGGGAGUAAAACUCACUCAAAACGACGGGCUCGACGCGAGGAUCGACUUUCCUCAAAGUGGGCCGAGCAUUCGGGCUCGGGAAGGCGGCCAAAACGGGCCAAAACCUCACUGUCAUACCCAUUUUUUGUCUUCUCUGUUUGCUGCUGGAAGGGGCGGUUCCGGCGCUGAUUCAAGCUGUACAAGGCUGGCGGAGGGCGAGGGGACUCCGGUGAGGCCGGAUGGUGGCCGAAGGAGGCCGAACCAUGGCCUGUGAUGGUCAAAACGAAGCUGAACAGAGGCAGAACAGGGGCUGGGUCGCACAGCGGGGACGGCAGGCGCGAGCGUGAGGCGGACGGCGGCGAGGCGGUGUGCGGCGACGAUGGCAGCUCCGGCGCGAUUGCAGCCCCUUCAACCGACGAUGGCUGCUGCUUCUGUUUUCAUCUUCUCUGGUUCGCAAGGUGAGAGGGAGAGGGUGGGGCGGAGCUGCGCGAGGCAGCAGGACGGUGGACGGCGGCGACUCCGGCUCCGGAUGCUUGCUACGACGGCGCUGAGAGGAAUCGCUGCUUCGGCCUGCUGGUUCGCUGGUCUUCAGCUUCCAUGGCGUCGUGCAGCUGAAGAUGAAGAUGCAGGGGAGAGAGGCAGCGACGAGGAAGAAAUGGGGAACCGGUUUCCCCUUUUUCCUCUCUCACUCUCUCUCUCUCUUAUGUCAUCCGCACGUGGGCCACCAUGGGCUGUCAUCCACCCACAUUUCUAGCCCAAAAAUGCCCCUUCUAGAAGCCUUUAGAUAGGCCAAAAUGUGGGGGUAAGUGUGGCAUACGAAUUUUGCUAGGUUUUCUUUCCAAUUGAGCCUUAACUCCUCUUGAAUUAAAUCAAAUUGACUCCCAUAAUUUCAUUCAACACCUCAUCAUUCCAAUUGGUAUUUUUCCUUAUCAAUGUAGCCCACUUGUAUCCCAAUUUCACAAUCCAUGGCUUCAAUUGAACGUAAACGGCCCUAUUUAUCUAGUCGAAAUUAGAACCUGAAAAAUCUGGAUGUCACAUUAGGUGGCCCUGAAGAAGCCCCCAAAAAGCCCACAUCAUUUACUUGUUUAGAAACAUAAAUUUGAAAUUAAACAAAUUACAUUGUAAUUAAUCGACUACCUUAAAACAUAUUUGAACAAUUACAUAACUUCACGCAUGUGUAUGAUAUUUGAAGGUGAAUUCUUUCAUUUCAAGGUAAGAUAUUGAAAUUACGUACGUAACUCCAUGGAAGCAUCUUCCUCUGGAUAUAAGCUCACACUAUGCCUAAUCCUUGUCAUAAUCUUCGACCUUGCUAUUAUUAUUUUUAUCCUAAUACAUAAACAACCCUAACUAUCUCCACCACCUCAUUUUCACAACCCCUUCUAUGUAUUCCCAUGUCCAUUGGCCAAACUAAUGAAGUGUCAUGUAAUUGUUGCCCAAUAAACCAGAUCCUCCAUAUGUGUACACUUUCCUAAUUGGAGGGAAUUUCCAUCUAUCACGUUUUUAAUUUGGCGGGUUUCGAGUUUUAGGCAUUGCUCAUAUGUAAAAUUAACUAAAUCUAAAACAUUAAUCAAGGAAAAAUUUUCAAUUGAUCAAUUGUUUUGAUUAUGAAUGAAGUCGAUGAAAAUGAUUCUAAAUGAAAGAAAAAUACUUCCUUUUGGGCCCACAUUUUAUUUCUUUCUAAAAGUGCAUAGAAAUGAGAGGAAAUGUGAAAAUUGCACUUUUCUUCGGAUUGGCCUUACUUCCUUUUUAAGGAUGAAUAGAAUGAACGAUAAUUAAGUCUAUCAAUGAAAUUAAGUUCCAUUAACAUCAUUUCCACCCAACAUGCAUCCUAACAUUUUUCGAGGACUUUUAACUUAUUUCUCCAAGCAAACUCGAGCUUCUCCGACGAGCUGAUACGUUCUUCUCUCUUCAAACGGCUCGGAACUAGGUACUCUCCCUCUUACUUAACUUCAAUUAAUCUCAUACCAUCUUUGUUCUCCUUCCCUCCCUCCCUCUUUUCUCUUUUUGUGUGAAUGUUGCUUCUCUAUUCGUAUCGGGUUGUUUGCUUCACUUCUUUGAUGUUUUCAUUCAAAUUUUGUGAUUUCACAUUUUAAUUUUAUUUAAAAUUGUCAUAUUCUUAAUGAUGUUGGAAAUGCAAGGUAGAGAUGAACAAAUGGUCAUCGUCAUUUCUCUCUUAUUUAUUUCGCGUUGGCCCCAAAUGCCAAUAAUUUUAUAUAAGAUGAAUCUAUGAUAUGAUGUUACCAAGCUAUUCACUUCAAACUUUCAAAUUUAAAUUUUUGAUUGAUAAAUUGUCUGCAAAAUAGAGUUAUAAUUUGUUAAAUGACACCAAAUGAGCAUAACGCGUUAGUAUUAAGUUACUAAUGAUAUAUGAAAUACUUGUACACUGUCCUUGAGUUCUUUUCUGGGUCAUUUUUUUUAUUACAAUUUUGUCAGCAUAGCAUUCAACUCUUGAGAAGUCAGUAAAACAAUGAUAAAAGAAGUAUGCAAAAUAUUAAAAAGUAAAAGAUAAAUUAGGAAAAAACAUAGAAAAGAAGGGAAUGAAGUGUCUAGGCUUACUUUUAGAAGGAAGCGGCGAUAUUUAGAAGUAAUGUCCAAAAGGCUUUUGAAUUAUGAAUUCACGACACAUAGAAACUUUCAUGAACAUGAAUUGAAAGCUAAAAAGGGAAUGAAAAAUGUAUGGCAAUUUGAGGGCGAAAAUUGGAACAUAAGAUGCUUUUUUGCUGCAUAAAAAGGAUCGAUGAACUAAUCUCCACGAACAAUAACAAACGUAAAUCCGUUACCGCACAAGGAAAAACGAACAUGAAAUCUUUAAUUAAUUGGUAAUUGAUCGACUAGGAGCAGUUGCAGAUGCUUUUAGCCUCCGCCUUAUCUUCUUUUGGACCUCAAACUAUUCAAGUCAAACUUGUUGGCUUGAUCCACCCACGAGUACCGUGUACAUUAAUUUUUCAAUUGGGCUAUAAAGAACUAGAAUUCGUGUACAACCAUAUGGCAUUCAAUUAAGAAUAUAAGUAUAAGUUUGAUCUUUAUUUGGUUAUUGAAACUCAGAAUUUGAUAAAUCAUUUAAAAGAUAAUAAUUGAGUUGAAACGGAAUUAGAAAUGUGUGAAAGACUUCAAGAAAGGACCAAGCUAGUAAUUGUGGAUGUGAUUUUAUAUUUUAAUUUUGUUUAACAAUGUCAGUUGGAAAUGUGAGGUAAAGAUAAACAAAUGGUAGUGGUUAUUUAUCUUUUGUCCAUUUCACGCUGGAACCACAUGCUACAAUUCCAUGUAAAAUGAAUUUAUUUUGAAUUAGUAUGUUAUCACUGAGCCUUUCAAUUCAAAUUUUCAAAUCUAAAAAGCUGAUUAAUAUCAGCUAUUAGAUGGCACCAAAUAGAGGAGCGAAUGCUCCCUUAGUGCUCUCUUUUUAUGCACUCUUUUUUCUUCUUAUUGAGAUUAUUGAACGUGGUUAUUUAUCUGUUAUCUAUUUCACGCUAGCACCACAUGCUACAAUUCCAAUGAAUUUAUGUUGAAUGGGUAUGCUAUCACCGAGCCUUUCAUUUCAAAUUUUCAAAUCUAUAAAGUUGAUUGAUAUCUUGUCUAUAAAAUAGAGCUAUAAUUUGUUAGAUGGCACAAAACGGAGGAGUCGAUGCUCCGUUAGUGCUCUCUUUUUAUGCACUCUUUUUGCUUCUUAUUGAGAUUAUGAAUACAAGCAUAAAGACACAAGAAGCACAGCAAAGGAACGACCUGAAAUGGAAGUAGAAUACGAUAAUUGGCUAAAUUUGUGAUAACUCAGGUAAAAUUGAUUAAUCACAUUUUGAAGAACGAAUUUAUUGUUUGAAAAGAAAGAGGUGUAAGAAAUGAGUGAUAUAAAGCUAGGUGACUCUCCUAAUAUGUGUGUAUGGCCCAAUUUAUUCGAUUGUUUUCAUGAGUGUGUCGUAAGAUCAAGUUAUAUUUUUUUUCUUACUAUUGGAUAUCUUGUAAAAGAUCCUAGGAAGUAUCAUACUAUGGACUUUGGCAUGUUUUAUAUUGCGAUGAUUAAAAUUGUCAUGAGUUGUGAGCAGGUAAAUGUAGCGAUAUAGUUAAAAUGCUCAAACUCUCACCGUACUCUUUAAUUCCUCAUUUACUUUUCUUUUCUUCAAGUAAAGACUCGGUCAAUUUUUGAAGCUUUGAAGUGAGAAAAUGAUUUUUUUUCCUUUAUAUUACUCAUUUGGAAUGUUCUAGAGGGAGUAAAAUUAUUGAAUGAAGUCUUCUUAAGAGAAGACUUACUCUUAGGAUGAUUGGUUUUAGGAUAAAUGGGUUAUAAACAAAGAAUUAGGAACUUAUUAUGUAAUGAUUGGUUCUCCUCUUUUAUAACCGAUAACCAAAGUAGUUGACCCAGGAACCAGCCUACUUUUAUUUUUCCAUAAAUUGAUCUAGGAUCUUCAAACGUAGAGAAACGUCACAAUGCAUAAAAAAAUAGAAUGCUCUAUAAAUUCAACCGAAAUGUGGCAAAUUUGCGUGCAACAAAGUCUAGUGUACUUGCAGACCUACUCGCUCUAGUUCAACAAAAGAUCAGAUAGGAAGGCCAUCAUAGGAUUAGCCACAUCUAGAGUUGAAAACAAAAGGCUUUCCUUUUUUCAUUGAAGUCAAAUCUAAGCUGGGGACAUACCUCGUCAAUAGGCAACAGCGACUCCAAAAGAGCGAAUAGAAGACCCUUCUCCUAUGUAGCACAGACACGGCGACACGACACGACACGACACGCGACACGUCAUUUUUCAAAAAAUAGAGAAUUCCGACACGUUCCGACACGUUAAAUAUUAAAUAAAUAUUUUAAAUUUUAAUUAAUUUGAUUCAAAUUUACAAAUAAAUAAAUAAAGAAUUUACAAUGAAUUUAUAUCAAUAAUAUUAAUAAAUCUAACACCCUUUUUUUUUAAUUUCAUUAUCUCAAAUUUACAUUUAUUUUUCGAAAUUCCCCCCUCCCCCAAAUUUACUUUUAUUUUUCGAAACCACCCCCUGCGCCCAAAACUUCCCUCGUCUCUUUCCCCCCAAAUUUUUUUCACCUUUUUUUUCCCUCCCCACCACCUGACAGCCCAUCACUUCCCCCUCCCUCCUGUCACUUUCCCCUCCCUCCAACACGCCAAGUCUUUUUUUAUUCUUUUCAACACCCUACCAGCGCGGAACGGCGCCUUCUUCUCCUCCUCCUCGCAUCCUUUUUUAUUAUUUUCCUUCUCAAAAGUUCAAAACCCUAGCAGCGCGGCCCCUUCUUCUCCUCCUCCUCGCCGCACAAUGCCUAUCUCCGAAAGCAUCGAAGACUCGAUCAAGAAAAGCACCAGCAUUCGCCGAAGGAGCGGAAAAGGGAGUAACCCAGAAAAAGUUUCAGUGAAAAGGAAUCGGAAAAGAAGGCGGAACGCGGGGUCCCUGUGCGCCGAGAGGCUGCACACCGCCGCGAACUCCUCCUCCUCCUCUCCUCCCCCUUGCCGCUGCCGCCGCCGCCCCACUCGAUGACACCGCCCUCCCCCACAAGCGCCUCCCUCCUAAAGUUUCUUCUCACGGCCCUCGCCCUCUUUCUCUGACCGUCUCUCGCCGUCACGGGCUCGCCUUCGCUCGGGGGCCUCAUCUCUACUUCCCUCUCAUCCGCCCUCCAUUCUCUAUCGGACACGCGCGUCGAAGCGUGUCAACAAAAGUUGACCACGUGUCGACAAAUCCGACACGCGUUGACCGUGUGUCGGAGCGUGUCCAAGCGUGUCGAGGUGUCCGACACGUGUCGGACACGACACGGAGGCAUGUGGGACGUGUCCGUGUAUCAUAGCCCUUCUCUGCUAUUUAGCAAGCACCCCCACAUCCCCAAUAGACAAAAUGGGCCCAGAGCACACUUAGUUCAGCCGAUUAUUCCAAUAAUACAGUGACAAUCAAAAUAAAUGAGAUGCUAAUAAGAGAUCAAAAAGUGAUUACCACAAGCAAGUUAAGAUGUGAACAUAGGCACGAGAUCGGAGAGAGAGGAGACCGUAAACAAGUUUGGGCGAGAACUUUCAAGAGGGAUAAAGAGCGAGUGUUGGACAAAUCAGAAGAUGAUGCUCUCGAAUUGUACUGCAAGAGAGAGGCCGAAUGCGAAUAAUAAAGUGAGUAGAGAGAGAGAGAGAGAGAGAGAUAGAGGGAGGGGAAUUUAAUAAAUUAUUUAAAAGAUUAUAAUUGAGUUGAAACGGAAUUAGAAAUGUGAGAAAGACAUCAAGAAAGGACCAAGCUAGUGAUUCGGAAUGUGAUCUUAUAUUUUAAUUUUGUUUAAAAUUGUCAUAUUUUUUAUGAAGUAGGAAAUGUAAGGUAGGGAUAAACAAAUACUCGUGAUUAUUUAUCUUUCAUCUAUUCUACCGCCGGUACCACAUGCUACAAUUCCAUGUAGUUUAAAAUUGUCAUAUUUUUUAUGAAGUUGGAAAUGUAAGGUAGGGAUAAACAAAUACUCGUGAUUAUUUAUCUUUCAUCUAUUCUACCGCCGGUACCACAUGCUACAAUUUCAUGUAAAGUGAAUUUAUUUUGAAAUGGUGUGUUAUCACCAAGCCUUUCAUUUCAAAUUUUCAAAUCUAAAAAGUUGAUUGAUAUGUUAUGUAAAAUAGAGAUAAAAUCUGUUAGAUGGCACCAAACGGAGGAGCGGAUGCUCCCUCAGUGCUGUCUUUUCAUGCACUCUUUUCUUUCUCCACGUUAGUCUGAACGAUUAGAAAUUAGGUAUUGAUUCAAUCAGAAGAAAGUAAAAGGAAGCUGCUCAGGAAAAUCCAGAGACGACCAAGGCUUGCAACAAUGGCGCUAAGUGCUUGUGCCCAUUUUUGUUGGAGGGCCCACCUUGAGAAUAUUACCGCAGAGAUUUUUUUUGUUAACCAAUUAAAUGGAAGUAGAAUAGGAUCAUUAGCUAAAUUCCUGAUAAGUCAGGUUAAAUUGAUUAAUCACAUUUUGAAGAAUGAAUUAAUUGUUUGUAACAAAAAGAGGUGUACGAAAUGAGUGAUUUAAAGCUAGGUGAAUCUCCUAAUAUGCGUGUAUGGCUUGAUUUAUUUUAUUAUUUUCAUGUGUGUCAAAAGAUCAAUUACGUUUUUUUUUUCUUACUAUAGAAAGGGAAUAUACUUUCUAGGAUUAAUAAUCUAACAAUUCGAGGAAAACAUAAUAUUACUCAUAUGGAAUGUUCUAUAGGCAAGUAAAAUUGUCAAAUGAAUCUUCCUAAGAGAAGAAUUACUCUUAGGAUGAUCGGUUUUAGGAUGAGUAGGUUCUAAAUUAAGAAUCAUGAACUUAUUAUGUAAUACUUGUUUCUCCGUUUCUGUAAUUGAGAAACAAACUAGUUGACUUUGGAGCCAACUGACUUUUUUUUUUUGAUUUGUUUUUAUAUAAAUUGAUCUAGGACCUACAAACACAGAGAAUUCAAGCGAAAUGUGGCAAUUUUCGCGUGAGAGUCUAGCGUUUGCAGACCUACUCGUUCAAGUUCAAUAAAAGAUCAAUACUGAAUUAGGAUGCAACUAACAAUCAGAUGGUAAGAAAAUCAUAGGAUUUGCCAUAUCUAAAGUCGAAAACAAAGGCUUUCUUUUUUCCAUCUAAGUCAAAUUUGAGCUGGGGACAUACCCCGUCAAGAGGUAACAACAACUCCAAAGAGAGAAUAAAAGACCCUCCUUUGCUAUUUAGCAACCACCCCACAUCCCCAUAGAGAAAGGGCCCAGAACACACUUAAUUCAGCUGAUUAUUCCAAUAACAAUAUGACGAAUCAAUAGAAACNNNNNNNNNNNNNNNNNNNNNNNNNNNNNNNNNNNNNNNNNNNNNNNNNNNNNNNNNNNNNNNNNNNNNNNNNNNNNNNNNNNNNNNNNNNNNNNNNNNNAAUAGUGGAAUUUUUGAAGAUGGGCGAUUCUUUUUGCUUUAUUCUAGCCUUAUGACAAUGCUCUGCGUUGCCACUCAAAUUAUUGAUCGACUGAUGGCACCCCUAUUGUUGAUUGACGUAGCAAUUGGAUUAUAAUUGGACUGUGUGGCCACUCAUAUCAAAUUGAACAUGGGCAAUACUUUUUGCUUUAUCCUUGCCUUUUGCUUUACCCACCCCAUUAACCAAAAAGGAUUGAUAGUUUCACGUUGGAGUCAAGUUAUUCACAUUGGAAAUUAGUUUCCACAUUAUGCUUUUUCGAAAGAGCCACGCAAUCACCCCCUUUAAUUAGCAACUUUUGCAAGGUGUUCGUAUUGGGAAUUACUUCCUCUCUUGCCUCAAAAGAUAAGUCGGAUGUGCUUAAGAUACACACAAUCCCGCCGUGGAUUUGUGCGUCUUUGAUGAGGAAAUUUACUUCUUUAACAGACUAACCCUCAUCUUUUGUUAGCUCUGUUUAUAAUGAGAUCACAUCGCCAUGCAAAUCAAAGUGAAGACUGCUAGAGGCGUUGAGAUGGUCCAAAAUCUACUAUUUAACUCAUCUCUAGUGACUUGGAUCAUAUAUGGAUUAGCUAAAAUUUAAAAAGUAGGUUGUUAUGAAUUUAAAGUAAAAAAAUUAAUUUAAUAUAUAUUUUAAUGAGUUUAUACAAUAUCAGGAUAAGGGCCAGCAUGUGAUUCCACCCAAUUCAAUCGGUCUAACCAUUCAUAACCAAUUAGUUUAGAUGAGAAGAUUGUAGUAAGAAAAAUUAGCAAUAUAUAUGUGAUGAUGAUUUUGACAAAGUCGAGGGAAUUUCACAUGUAAUAUUUCGUACGCCUUAUGAGUAAAAUCAAAUGUAUUUUAUUAUUUGUCCGAUCAAUUGUAAUAGACUGAAGAAUAGAGGUCGUGCUUACCUCGAGGAGCUCACUGUGAUGGGUUUCAAUGUUUGAGAAGAAGUCGCCUCGAAGCAGAUCGAGUUGCGUCUGAGUCCCGUAAGGCAGUGCAAUCCCGAGGAUCACCUUCACACCUCGACCUGGACCGGCUUGGUUUGGAAAUACGCCAAAGUAAAUUUGCAGAUCAUCUCAGGUCAGAACAUCACGAGAAAGGAUGAGUAGCGGCUACAAAAUCACCAACAGCAGGCAAGGAACUUACUAUCUCUCGAUUAAAUUGCAGCUCUUCUCUGGUAUAUCUGGAGAUCCUAGAAACGACCCUCGUGUUCCGAGCGAAGACCGCGCCACCAAACCCAGGAAACCUAAUCGCCUCAGCGGAGUCCACGAUCAGAAAUUAUAGCCAGCGGAACACUAAAAAGUUGGAAACUCGACACGCUUCGAGUCGAUUUUACCUGUUAAUCGGUGCCUGCCGAAAACCCAGUCCCUCAAGAAAACUAUCGAUGGGGUCCUUUGAAGCCGGUGGUUUGGAAGGAGCGACUGCAGGUGCUCUUCGCGAUGGCCUCAGGCGUUCUGCUCGAUGGAUUCGCGAGAGAGAAGAUCCCUUGCUUCCUCCGCCGAUUCAAGCUGAAGCUCUCGCCCUAGUAAGAGGAUUCGAUGUGCUUCAGAUCGAGAAGUAGAGAGAACUUGUACUUGGGAGUCGGGCAACGCGGCUCUGUGUUGAGUCUCUCUGCGGGAGCAUAAUCACGUGCCAUAGUUAGGGGGGAGGCGCACUGAUUUUGGUCGCCGGCGCAUGAUCACGUGCCAUGGUUAGGUGGACGCCCGAACCCAGUUGGCUAAUUUUCAAAAGUGUAUCCGCGUCCCAUAACUUUAAGAUUGCAUUUGGCGAUUAGAAUAAAGUUCAAAUUAAAAUAAAAUUUAUUAUAUUCUAUAUUUGGUGUCUACUCAAAAUAAGAUAAAAUCAAAUACAAAUAAGAUAUAAAUCGGAUAAAAGUAUCCCAUUGAGAAAUGCGGAUAUGAUUUCUGAUAUUCAUAAUAAGAAAAUAUUUUCUCAAAUAACAAAUUUCUAAAAUUAAAAAAUUACAAUUAUAUUUCAGUAUAAAUAAUAUUUGAAUCUAGUAUAAAAAAUAAAAAAAUAAUUUUUUAAUUUAAUCUUAUUUUUAUUUAUAUAUUAGAAUUUAAUUCUAUCUUAUAAUAUAAAUUCAAUAUAUAAAUAUAUAUUAUUACAUAUUUUCAAUGUUUUAGUAUUUCAGGUAUAUUAGUAUAAUUUUCUAUUUAAUACAUUUUUAUUAGAGAGUGAUGGAAGGGGGAAGAGAGAAAUAAAAUAAAAUAAUUAAAAAAGAGAGGAAAAUAAAAUAAAAUAAAAUAAAUUAGACAAAAAUGUCACAAGAAACAACGAUUCCAAAAGAGAGAAUAAAAGACACCCUCCUCAACUAUUCAGCAGCCACCCCACAUCCCCAGUGGACAAAAAGGGCCUAGAAGACACUAGUUCAGCCUAUUUUUUCAAUAAUAAAGCGAUGAAUCAAUAGAAACGACACGGUAGUAAGAGAUGAAAAAGUGAUUACCUUCCGCGAGCUAAGAUACGAAGAGAGGCGCGAGAUCAUUGAGAGAAGACCCUAAGCAAGCCUGGGCAGGAACUUUCAAGGGGGAAAAAGAACGGAGAAAGCGAGUGACGACUGACCAGUGGACGCUAGUCUCAAAUUGUUCUGCAAGAGAGAGGCCGAAUGCGAAAGAUAAAGUGAGCAACGAGAGAGAGAGAGAGAGAGAGAGAGCCCGACCAGUAGACGAUAGGGAGGGAUCAAUCAGUGGUAGACGACAAUCUCAAAUUAUUAUUGACCGACCAGUAGACGAUAGGCUGAUUGACUGGUAGCAAUAAAAAUUCUUUUUAGAUGGCAAGCAAAGUCAAGCCACACAAUUUGGACCAGAGUACAGAAUGACCACUUCCAUUCAUAUCCACUUAAAAACCAUUUUGUUAAAUAGAUAAAUAUGGUUCUAACCAGCUUGUAAAUCUUCCAAUAUAUUAUUGUCAAAGACGUUUUUACCCCUGUAGGUGCUGCAUUUUCCUCCCACCAUAAAGAUGCAUAAAUCAUAUUAUCAAAUCCAUUGUAGGCCAAUAAUUUCCUACGCUAAAUAUACGUAAAAGUCAUGUCUUUACUGUAAGCAAUAAAAUCGCAUGAAAAGCACAUUUUAUGACAAGUUUCUCUAAUUCAAUCCACAAAGAUAAAGCCUACCUAAAAAUUGUCCACAUAAUAAAUACGUGUGAGUGCAUUGAAACCAACAUCUUUGCUCACUUUCAAGUUUUCCAUUGUAACCAGCACCAAAAAAAGAAAAAAAAAAAAAAGGUACAAUGGUGAAUUUUUCAUAAUUGGAAAAAAUUUGAAUUUUCUAUCAUUCUUCCAAAAAUAUGAAAAUUGCCAAUAUAAUGGGAAAUGGUUUGACAACCAAAAAUUAUCUAGCUGAUCUAAUAUGUUCAGAUAAAUUUUUGUUGUUGACAAUUUUGAUCCGUAGCCUAUGAAAGGUUUUGUGCAAUAUUGAAGAGAAAAGACUAGCAUGAUCGAUAUUUGGAAAAAUAUUUUUAACAAUUUCAAGAAACAAAGAAUUAUUUUUGCAAAAACCGAGUAUUUUGGAUGUUUUAGGCUUUAAGUAAUUUUGGACAAGUAGGGUACGCAUAGGGCUGAUGGACCCAAAAUCGGGUCUAGAAAGAUAUUUUGGUAAUAUUCAUUCCCAAGGUAGUUCGAUCAACCAUUAAUGUUUAGAAAACAACAUUAGGAUAAAGGCUGGCAUGCGAUUCCACUAGAUUCAACUAGUCUAACCAUACAUAACCGAUUAGUUUAAUGGGAAGAUUGUAGUAAGGAAACUAGCAAUAUAUGUAAUGAUGAUUUUGGAAAAGGUGGGGGAACUUCAUGAGUAAUGUUUCGUAUGCCUUAAAGGAUAUUGGGUGUUAUGCAAUGAGUAAUAAUCAAAUGUAUUUUUGUCCUAUCAAUUGUAAUAGACUAGAGAAUGAAAGUCGGGUUUACCUGGAGGAGUGAUGCAGAGAUGAAAUUCUUGUAAUGGGUUUUAGUGUUUGAGAAGAGGUUGCCUUGGACAGAUCAUUUUGUGUUUGAGUCUCGGAAGACAGUACAAUUUGAGGAUCACCUUCACGCCUUAGCUUGCAGCUAUCAAUACAAAUAUAUCUCACAACAAAAAUGAGGAUCUCAAUGAUUUAUGGUGAUUGGCGUUUCUCCUCUUCAAGCACAAGCAUUUGGGACUUUAUAUAAAGCUGUACUUCUCUUGCCCCAGAGGAGACGCAAAAUCUUGUGGUGGAUGGUGUUUCUUAGACGAGGCAAUUGUACUUCUUUUGAUUCUAACCUUUUUGACCAAGACCACCAAAACAAUCCCUUCCUCGAAAUUGGCAAGACGAUCCCGAUAGACUUCACUUAUUAAUUAUUUUUGUUAUUGCAUCCCAUGGCCAAGCAAAUCACAGUGGAAAUUAAAUUUUUUGACACAAUGCUAGUCCUUAACAGCCACAGAAUCAUCUCCUUUUCUUUUAUUUUUUCCUUCUUUUGUCAAACAAAAUUAUCGCCUUUACUUGGAAACUUUUGCAAGGUGUUCACAUUGAAAAUUUCUUCUCUUGCCUCGAAAACUGAGCCCAAUGUACUAGGGACACACACAAUCUUAACAUGGAUUUGCACAUCCUCGAUGAGAAAAUUUACUUUUUUUACUGACUAACCCUCGCCAUUUGUUACUUCUCUUUGUAAUGGAAUCACAUGGCCGCACAAAUCAAAGUGAGGAUGGACAACAUUUUGCUUUCCCUUCCUAUUGAAAUAAAAGCCUCUCACUGCUGGAAGCAUUGAAAUGGUCAAAAAUCUAUUUGUUAACUCAUAUUUAGUGACCUGAAUCAUAUAUGGAUUGGCUAAAAUUGAAAGAAUAGGUUGUUAUGAAUUUAAAGUAACAAGAUUUUAUUCAAUAUAUAAUAUAUUUUAAUUAGUUUGGAUCAUGUCUAUAUGUAAUUCAUGUUAAAAGAAGAAGAAGAAGAAGAAGAAGAUAAAAGUAAUGAUCUUUUCAUUUGCUUUCACAUGGCUCUUCUUAGGGGAACUCAUGCUCGAGUGUGGUAUGCCUUGACACGUGGAGCCCAUUGUAAGUGGCACGACAAUUGCAUGAGCUUUUUCUUCACUUGCCCAUUGCUUUAAUCAAUGAUCGAGUGACCCAUCAUUCAUUCCCUAUUCAUUAUUGAUUGUUUAAUCUAGUGGGACUCAUGUAGAACUUAUGGCUCCGGUCAUUUUUAGUUUUCCAAAUGUAAUCUUUCCCACGAUAUCGUUUAGCUCCACAUCUAGACGAUGAUGUCAAUUAGGGCCAAUUCAGCCAAAUCUCCUAUGUACUCUUAAGUAUUGAGAUAGUUAGUAUAAGCACCUAGAGGGGGGUGAAUAGGUGUAAAAAUAAUUUCUCGAGAUAAGAAAGUAAUACUACACAGACAAUAAAAUGGAAGUUCUCCUCCGGUUAACAAAACGAAUUAUGAUCAAAGUAAAGCAGAUAGUAGGGAAGAGAAAAUUGAACACAAGGUUUAUAGUGGUUCGGCUUAUUCCAAGCCUACAUCCACUCUUCCGUACUGAUAGCCUACCGGCUGGAUUUCACUAUGAACAAAAGAGAUGUUACAGCAAAGCUUUCCCUUGAUUCGACAGUGUAGAUAUUCUACUACACUUCCUCAAGGUUUCUCAUGAAUAUAGACUCUCAUUUGCGUACAAGAUUUCGCUCAGCAAAUGAAUUGACUAAGAACUAGGAGCUUCAUACUUUGGAAUUCUUCUAUCGCGCACACACUCGAACAACUGGAACGUCUUCCUUAUAUAUUCUUUUAUGCCAGCAUACCCGUUGGCACUUACCAAAAGAAUUCCUCCAAUCUACCCAUUGAACGGAAUCAAUUAGGAAGAUCAUUCGAGCUAUUAAAGGAACAUGUCGAUAGCCCAUCAAUCAUGCUCGCCCAUUCAAUCAGGAUCUCGGUUUCCAUAAGUAGAACCUUCCAGGUAUACUUCGCCAAUCAUCGGAUCCUUAAUCUCCGAAUCAAUCAUGAUCAAAUAAAGGAUUUUGUUAUGUCAUAUCCAGCCAAGAGAUCUUCUUCAGUCGAUAAGGUCACAUCCUUAAUGAGACAUCCAGUUCUGGAUAGCCUUUCUUCAACAGAUUAGAAACUGUCAAUGAGAAUAGACUUUGAGUCUUGAGUUUGGCAGUCCGGAGGUCUUCAGACUUUAAAUAGUAGAGUCUGCAAAUCUUCAUACUAGACUGAUGGAAACGUUUUGUCAGCUUCAAAACACUUCAUGAAGAUUUCUCCAACAAUCUCCCCCUUUUUUUAUGGUGACAAAACUUUCCUGCAAAUUUGGAUAACUUUGACCUGCAAAAUAUUACUCAAACAAAUAUGGAUAUCUUAUAAAGAUAAAUGGCUUAAUGAAUGAUAACACUAGAAUCUGCAACCACAGAAAAUAGGUUAGUCUUGCAUGUGAGUAAAGCCAUCCAUAAGAUAUCAAUAGUACUUAAUAUAAGCAGUCAAAUCCAAAUCCCAAAUUCAGUCCACAUCCAGACACAAAAGUCAAGUAAACAUUAAAACAAUCCAAAAGUUCAAAAAAGUUUAAGGUUCAAAGUUUUCAAAUCUCGCAUCUCUCUCCCUUUUUGUCAUCAUAAAAAAAAGGUUGAGAUGGAAAUGGAAAAGAGUCAAGAUUGCUUGGGAACAUGAACAAGCUGGAAAUCUCCCAUUGACUGGACAAGCCUUCCAGCUUUUUCAAUUAUUCCUUCAGUUGAGCUACAUCUUCACCCUUAGCGUUUGCUUGAAUCUGAAGAGCAAGAGCUUGGAUCUUAUCAUUCAAAGAAACUAAAGAAACUUGUCCUGCAUUCUGCAAGUUCUGAACUGCGCAUCCAGAGCAUAUAUCUGACCCCGCAUUUCCAAUAGAACAUCAAGAAUUUUGUGAAAAUCUGCUGAAUUAUCGGUCUGCGUACUGGCUUCUGCACGAUCAGAUGGAGUAAAGGCAGACGAUGGUAAAUCAGCAUAGUCACGUAGAUUGGACGAUGAAACAUCAUGUCCUUCUUCAGGAAAUUGAGAGACAUAAAUGUCCUAUGGAUCUGCUGGAGAGCGACUGACUCCCUCACUGGUAGCAGGAUAUGAGGACAUUCAUCUUUUCUCACGGUCUCCCCCUGUUUCCAUGCCUCAAGGUGGAGAAGAGUGUUCCUCAUGCUCUCCUUCCUCUUGAUUUCUUUUCUCCUCUGCAUCUCCUUUUUCAGCUUCUCUCUCCUCUGUUUCUUUCUCCUCUGCUUCUUUCUCUUCAUCUUCUCUUUCUCCAGUCCUCUGUUAUGAGUCUUUCUCUGGAACAGAACGACUCAGGUUCUUCAAUGCCAUUGCAGAAAUGGUGAUGUCUUCCUCAUCCUCAACGAUGAGAGCUCUUCUUUUCUUGGAUGGAGCAACCAUGGGCUCCUUCCCUUUUCUCUUUGCAGCCGAAGAGAUUUGAUGAGUUUUGACAGGGGUUUUCUCCUUGAAUUUCUCCAACUUCUUGCUAAGUUUCUUUAGUCGCAUUUUAGUCACAAUUUUCAAUCCUACCACCAUAUGAUCACAAGAUCGAGUACAUAGAAUUCGUGGAGGCUGAAUAUUCAGAUGUCUGAAUAACUUCUUCACAAGACCUGGAUAAGGAAGUUGACCUUUGUCCUUCACCACUGCUCUAUACAUGUGGAACAUAACAGUGUGAGGAAGAGAAAACUUUUUCCCAGUGAUGAUGGCAUACAUCAGUUUUGCCUCUUAAUUUGAAACAUCAGUCUUUGAAGUAGAUUUUGGUUUGAAGCAAUUAAUGACAAUCUUGUGAAGCAGAAUGUUAAAUGCGCUCAUCCUCAAGUAGGAAAUAUUUUCCUCUGUUCUUCUAUCCUUAACAAGUUCCAACGUAGCAUGAGCAAUAGAGACAUUGAUGGGUUGAUAUCUCACUCUCUCAACCCCAAUGACAUCAGCCAACAUAUCUACAUCCACUACAUAGUCCUAAUCUCAUACACUAAAAGAGAAUCUAUUCGCAUCCAAGAAACUGAGAUUCGAAUAGAAAUAUGCAGUGAGUUCAACAUAGCCUUAUGUAGAGUCAGAACAGAACUGUUCAAGUUAAAGAAGAUUGAAUUUUUCCCUCAAAUUAACAUUCACAGCAUCGAGGAAAUCAAAAUCCACACUUCUAGGGUUUAUCACCCCACGCUUCAACAAUUUAGAGUAUAAAAACUUUUGUUCCUCCGAUUGAAACAAGUCGGUCCUCUUUCCCCGAAUUUUUACCGCAACACCCAUUCUCGGUUGAAACUGACUGUAUAACUUAUCAUCAUCAUUCCCAUCUCGCUUAUUCAGCCCUCCAACAUGCGGAUCACUUGGGAUAUUAGCAAGGGUUUCUUCUGCCAACCCCGCAGGGGCAAUUCCCAAACGCUCCAUAUUUCGUAAAAAGAUGUACUCAUUUCCAUACCCUUUGUCCUUAAGAAACCCAUCAAUGUAGUUCAAUGGAGUUCCACCUCUUUUCAAAGCACGAUAAAGCUUGUAAAUAAAAGAGGGCUUUUGAAUUCUUACAGGAUCUGCGCCUUCGAUGAUUUCUUCAUUUUCUUGAUGAGCAACAUCCUGUGGACUAAAUGGAGGAGAAUGACGCUGCUGAGAAUGUUGUGGGCUCUGUUGCUGACUAGGAGACUUUUCUUCCUCAGUGAGAUCAAAGUGCGUAGGCCCCUCACGCAUUUGCGGUCCCCUGCUUGCAAUCCUCAAAGACUUCCUUUGAGACGACAUCUUUCACAGUCUUUGAAAUAUUCCAAACUUGACUUUCCCAAGAAAGAUGAUAACUUUUUUGAAGAUUAAACAAGAGAACAAAACAGAAAUGGAAGAUUGGUGCUUUCUUAGGGUUUUCGGAGAGUAAAGCGAAGAAGAAACAACAAUGUAUAAACAGUCGAAGAGAGGCAUACGAAACGUUAUAAAAGAAAGUAAAAAGAUGUCUUUUUAAAAAAUAACUGCCUUUUUCGAGAAAUUAGAUAAUAGUCAUUUAAAAAAUAACUCAUUUUUUGUAAAGGAAACGUUGCAAUAAUCACGUCAAUUAAAGAUAGCAAUAAUCAAACACGGUUGAUGAUCGUACCUUUUCAAGCUGAGAUUCGAGAUAUAACUUACAGUCAAAAUCUUGUUUGUUUGAGUCUAAGAGUCUCUAGACUUUAACUUCUUCAAACCUCAAAAUGUUGAGUCUGGAGCGGAUGAUUUCAAAUUGAUUUUUCUCCAAAGGCUUUUGUGAAUAUAUCCGCUAGUUAGUUCUUUGAGUCAACAAACUGAAUCGAAACUUCUCCAUUUUGAACAUGAUCUCUAAUGAAGUGAUGUCGAAUCUCUAUAUGCUUUGCUCUUGAGUGAAGAAUUGGAUUUUUGGUGAGAUUGAUUGCACUGGUGUUGUCACAUUUAAUCUCCGUGCAUGAAUCUUCAAUUCCAAAGUCUCUUAACUGUUGUUUUAUCCACAGAAUUUGUGAACAACAACUUCUAAGAGAUACAUACUCUACUUCUACUGUAGAAAGGGUUACUGUAUUUUGCUUUCUUGAAAACCAAGACACUGUCCUGCUUCCAAGUAGUUGACAAGUACCCGAGGUGCUCUUUCUAUCAACUCUGCAACCGGCCAAAUCUGCGUCUGAGUAUCCAAGAAGAGUAAAGUCUCCCUUUUUAGGAUACCAAAGACCAAGACUUGAAAUUGAAGCAAUGUAUUUGAUAAUACGCUUUGCAGCACUUAGAUGAGAUUCUUUAGGGUUUGCUUGAAAUCUAGCACAAAUGCAAACACUAAACAAAAUGUUAGGUCUAGAAGCAGUAAGAUAAAGAAGUGAACCAAUGAUACUCCUAUAUAACUUUUGAUCAACUUUCUUUCCUCCUUCAUCUUUGUCUAUCUUCAAAGAACUUGACAUUGGUAUGUCAGUCUUUUUGCAAUUUUCUAGUCCAAACUUUUUGACAAGAUCAUUAGCAUAUUUUUCUUGAUGAAUAAAAGUUCCUUUCUUCAAUUGUUUCACUUGAAGUCCAAGAAAGAAGGUUAGUUCACCCAUCUUGCUCAUUUCAAAUUCAUCCUACAUAGACUUAGAGAAUUUCUUGCACAAACUUUCAUUAGAGGAUCCAAAAAUAAUAUCAUCUACAUAUAUUUGAACAAGCAGAAAACUUUUGUUUUCUCUUUUAAUAAAUAGAGUAGUGUCUACUUUACCUUUAACAAAGCCAUUUUGAAUUAAAAACUUACUCAGUCUGUCGUACCAAGCUCGAGGUGCUUGUUUUUAGACCAUAUAAAGCCUUUUUUAGUCUGAACACUGAGUCUGGUUUCCUUGGGUCUUCAAACCCAGGUGGUUGUUCCACAUAGACUUCCUCAUGGAUAAAUCCAUUUAGGAAAGCGCUUUUGACGUCCAUUUGGAAUAGCCUGAAAUUCUUAUAACAAGCAAAAGCAAGUAAUAAUCUAAUUGCUUCUAACCUUGCUACUGGUGCGUAAGUCUCGUCAUAGUCUAUCCCUUCUUCUUGCGUAUAUCCCUUGGCCACGAGUCUUGCUUUGUUUCUAACGACUUUUCCUUUCUCGUUCAUCUUGUUCCUGAAAACCCAUUUAGCUCCAAUAAUAGAUUUACAUUUUGGUUUAGGAGUCAACUCCCAGACAUCAUUAACGCUGAAUUGCCUGAGUUCUUCUUGCAUAACUUCAAUCCAGCUUUCAUCAUAUAAAGCUUCUUCUAUGCUUUUGGGUUUUAUUUCAGAAAUAAGAGCCACAGCACUAGACUCUUCGCGCCUUUUGGAUCUUGUGCGAAUUCCUUCAUUAAUGUCGCCAAUAAUGAGAUCUUUGGGAUGACUGGACUUAUGCUUCCAGUUACUGGUUGAUUUGUUAGAUUGAUGAACACUUUCUUCAUUUGAAUCUUCAAUAAUUACUUGUUGCUGAUCUUCCAAAAUCUGAGUUGCUUUUUGAGAUUUAGACUUUAUAGAGUCUGGAGCAGGCUCAGAUUCUUCAAGAUGAGUCUGAAUAGAUUCAUUUUGCAUAGAAUCUUGGAAUUUAACAUUCAUUGAUUCCUCCACAGAUUGAGUCUUUUUGUUGUAGACUCUGUAGGCUUUGCUUGAAAUUGAAUAUUCAAGGAAGAUGCCUUCAUUUGACCUUUCUUCAAACUUGCCAACUCGAUCAUUUGCAUUUUUCAAUAUAAAGCAUUUGCAUCCAAACACAUGAAAAUAUAAAACAAUAGGCUUCUUUUCUUUGAAUAACUCAUAGGGGGUUUUUUUUCCAGAAUAGGCCUUAGAAAAACUCUAUUAAUAAUAUAACAUGCAGUAGAAACUGCUUCAGCCCAAAAACGUGAAGAGACGUUACUUUCAAUUAAACGAGUUCUAGCCAUUUCUUGAAGAGACCCAUUCUUUCUUUUCACAACUCCGUUUUGUUCUGGAGUAUAUGGAGAGGAGAACAAGUGCUAAAAACCAGAUUCAUCACAAAAUUUAGUAAAAUCUUGAUUUUUAAAUUCACCUCCAUGGUCUGUUUUUAUACUUGAAAUAACAUAGCUUUUUUCGUUUUGAACCUUUUUAGCAAACUUUUCAAAGUAAGAAAAUGUUUCAGACUUACUUGCCAGGAAAUAUACCCAGGUAAAUCGUGAGUAGUCAUCUACAAUUACUAGGCAAUAUUUCUUACCUCCAAUGCUUUGAGUUCUAGUUGGUCCAAAGAGAUCCAUAUGCAGAAGCUGCAGUACACGAUUAGUGGAAAGUUGAUUUAUUGGUUUAAAAAAAUUUCUUACCUAUUUUCCCAAUAUGCAUGGUGUACAUAGAUCAGACUUUUGGUAUGAUAGAUUGGGUAAACCACGAACAAGCUUCUUUGCUGAAAUUUUGGCUAUUUGCUUCAUAUUGAUGUGCCCAAGCUUUAUGUGCCAUAAGUUCGCUUCGUCUUGAAUUGAGAUUAGGCAUUGCGAUUCAUCUGGUUUCACAUCCAAGAGGUAGAUAUUUCCAUGUCUUCGACCCAUGAAUGACUGAGUAGAAUCUUUACUGGUUCCUGAACAUAUUCCCUCUUGAAAGUUGAUUUUGAAACCAGUAUCACACAGCUGGCUGAUACUGAGCAGAUUGUAGUUGAGUCCUUCAACUAAAGAAACAUUGCUUAUUGUGAGGUUUCCAAUCUUUACAGUUCCAAAUCCCACAAUUCUUCCUUUGUUAUUUCCACCAAAUGAGACUUUUCCACCAUUUACUUGAACAAGCUUUAUGAAGCAAUUUGAAUCUCCUGUCAUAUGUCUUGAGCAUCCACUAUCCAUAUACCAUUUUACAUUUUUCUUGAUAGUGACCUGUAUUUAAAAAGGAAACUCAAACUUUCUUUGGUACCCAUAUUUUCUUGGGUCCAUUGUUGUUAGUAUGAUAUGCGGUUUUUGCCCAUACUUUCUUAACAGGUUUCCAAACCAUAGGACAUUCUUUUUCAAAAUGAUCUGCACUAUUGCACUUUGAACAUCUAAGAGCAUUGCGACCUACUGGUUUUACAAAGAUCUUUUUGAAAUGAUUUUUGUAAGCAUCUCUUGUGAGUCUUUGCUUAAUUCUUUCCUUAACUUUAGGGAAAUCAAUUAAAGGAAUGGUUUCCGCAGUCAUUCCCAAACCAAAUUUAUUGAAAUAAGGUCUUUGAACAUAAAGAAUUUUUUCCAGUUUCUCAGAUCCUAUAGAAAAUCUUUUGGAAAUAUUUGAGAUCUCAUUUUUCAAGAAUGCAUUUUCUUUUGAAAGAUUACCUUCACUUUCUCUAAGAGAAGAAACAUUUAUGUCUAAACAUUUCACAUUUUCUUUCAAAACAUUUUCCUGUUGUUUUAGAGAAGAAUUUUCUCUUUUGAGUUCGGAAAUCUUUUUAAGAGAAGUCUUAAGACUAAAACACAACUCAUCAAUGUAUUUAGAAACUUUAAUAGGGAUUUUGAAGUUACUCACCUCAAAUUCACUGUCUGAAUCUGAGUCUAUCUCGGAGUUUGAAUCUGAAUCCGAUUGUGCCAUCAGACAUAUAUUUACAUAAUCAUCAUCACUUUCUUCACACUCUGUAUCACUCCGGGUUUCUGCGUUAAGAACCUUUCGAUACUUUUCAGCUUUUCCUUUCUUCUUUCUCAGAAGAGGACAGUUGGGUCUGAUGUGUCCCUUUUUCUUACAUUCAAAGCAGACUACAUCUUUGUUUGAUUCAUCAUCUUCAACAAACUUAGUAUGUUGCUUUUGAAAACUUUGUUUCUUUGGAUUGAAUCUUCUUCAUUUUCUAUUCAGCUUUCUGAAUCUUCUUAUCAUGAGAGCAAGCUCCUCAUCAUCCAUAUCGUCUUCAGAAUCUGUAACAUCAAAAUCAUCAUUGGAUUUUAAUGCAAUGGAUUUCUUACCUUUAGGAUCUUUGUCUUCAUUGAUUCGUUUCACUUCAUAAGACUGAAGAGUCCCAACCAACUCAUCAACAGAUAGUGGCAUGAUUCUUUGUGUCUCUCUUAUUGAGGUCUUUAUGUGAUUCCAAUCCUNNNNNNNNNNNNNNNNNNNNNNNNNNNNNNNNNNNNNNNNNNNNNNNNNNNNNNNNNNNNNNNNNNNNNNNNNNNNNNNNNNNNNNNNNNNNNNNNNNNNNNNNNNNNNNNNNNNNNNNNNNNNNNNNNNNNNNNNNNNNNNNNNNNNNNNNNNNNNNNNNNNNNNNNNNNNNNNNNNNNNNNNNNNNNNNNNNNNNNNNNNNNNNNNNNNNNNNNNNNNNNNNNNNNNNNNNNNNNNNNNNNNNNNNNNNNNNNNNNNNNNNNNNNNNNNNNNNNNNNNNNNNNNNNNNNNNNNNNNNNNNNNNNNNNNNNNNNNNNNNNNNNNNNNNNNNNNNNNNNNNNNNNNNNNNNNNNNNNNNNNNNNNNNNNNNNNNNNNNNNNNNNNNNNNNNNNNNNNNNNNNNNNNNNNNNNNNNNNNNNNNNNNNNNNNNNNNNNNNNNNNNNNNNNNNNNNNNNNNNNNNNNNNNNNNNNNNNNNNNNNNNNNNNNNNNNNNNNNNNNNNNNNNNNNNNNNNNNNNNNNNNNNNNNNNNNNNNNNNNNNNNNNNNNNNNNNNNNNNNNNNNNNNNNNNNNNNNNNNNNNNNNNNNNNNNNNNNNNNNNNNNNNNNNNNNNNNNNNNNNNNNNNNNNNNNNNNNNNNNNNNNNNNNNNNNNNNNNNNNNNNNNNNNNNNNNNNNNNNNNNNNNNNNNNNNNNNNNNNNNNNNNNNNNNNNNNNNNNNNNNNNNNNNNNNNNNNNNNNNNNNNNNNNNNNNNNNNNNNNNNNNNNNNNNNNNNNNNNNNNNNNNNNNNNNNNNNNNNNNNNNNNNNNNNNNNNNNNNNNNNNNNNNNNNNNNNNNNNNNNNNNNNNNNNNNNNNNNNNNNNNNNNNNNNNNNNNNNNNNNNNNNNNNNNNNNNNNNNNNNNNNNNNNNNNNNNNNNNNNNNNNNNNNNNNNNNNNNNNNNNNNNNNNNNNNNNNNNNNNNNNNNNNNNNNNNNNNNNNNNNNNNNNNNNNNNNNNNNNNNNNNNNNNNNNNNNNNNNNNNNNNNNNNNNNNNNNNNNNNNNNNNNNNNNNNNNNNNNNNNNNNNNNNNNNNNNNNNNNNNNNNNNNNNNNNNNNNNNNNNNNNNNNNNNNNNNNNNNNNNNNNNNNNNNNNNNNNNNNNNNNNNNNNNNNNNNNNNNNNNNNNNNNNNNNNNNNNNNNNNNNNNNNNNNNNNNNNNNNNNNNNNNNNNNNNNNNNNNNNNNNNNNNNNNNNNNNNNNNNNNNNNNNNNNNNNNNNNNNNNNNNNNNNNNNNNNNNNNNNNNNNNNNNNNNNNNNNNNNNNNNNNNNNNNNNNNNNNNNNNNNNNNNNNNNNNNNNNNNNNNNNNNNNNNNNNNNNNNNNNNNNNNNNNNNNNNNNNNNNNNNNNNNNNNNNNNNNNNNNNNNNNNNNNNNNNNNNNNNNNNNNNNNNNNNNNNNNNNNNNNNNNNNNNNNNNNNNNNNNNNNNNNNNNNNNNNNNNNNNNNNNNNNNNNNNNNNNNNNNNNNNNNNNNNNNNNNNNNNNNNNNNNNNNNNNNNNNNNNNNNNNNNNNNNNNNNNNNNNNGUAAGGCGAGAGCUAAGAUGACCUAAUUGAAGAGGGAGGGAGGAGGACCAAUAAGGAAAAGCCAAUCAAAGCCUUUCACUAUCCUGCUCACUCAAUUACAAAGAAAGUGGUAAGGCAAAAGCUAACAAGACCUACUCAAAAGAAGGAAGGGGGGGUGAGAGAAGCAUUGUCGAGGAAUAGCAAAUCAAAGUGUUCCGCCAUCUUGCUUGCUAAACCAACAAGACCUACCUAAAAGAAAUGGGGGGGGGGGGGGAAUUCUAGCAAUUGAAAGCAAGUCAAAGUCUUCCACCAUUUUGCUUGCUUAGUUGCAUUGGGAGAACAUACACCAUUAUUUAUGGGGAAAAUAUUGUCUAAAUUUAAUUUAUAAAUGAUGCACCGGGGCAUAUCAAUUAUGAUAUAAUAAUUGUAUGGAAAUUUGCAUUUUGCGGUGGUGAGGGGGGGAGACUGGCAAGGAAAAGCAUGUCAAACCAUUCCACCAACUUGCUUGCUUUGCAAAUAAAGUGAUAAGACAAAAGCUCACAUGACCUAAAAGAAGGAGAGGGGGAGACCGGUGAGGAAAAGUAAGUCAAAGUCUUCCACCAUGUUGCUUGCUUAGUUACAAAGGAAGCAAUAAGACAAAAGUUGACAAGACCUAAAAGGAAGGGGGGGAGGGGACGGACUAGUGAGGAAAAGCAAGUCAAAGUCUUCCAUCAUCUUGCUUCCUUAGUUACAAAGAAAGCGAUAAGGCAAAAGCUAACAAGACCUAAAAGAAGGGGAAAGGACCGGUGAGGAAAAGCAAGUCAAAGUCUUCCACCAUCUUACUUGCUUAGUUGUAGAGAAAGUGAUAAGGCAAAAGCUAACAUGACCUAAAAGAAGAGGUAGAGGGAGAACUGGCAAAGAAAAGCAAAUCAAAGUCUUCCACCAUCUUGCUCACUCAAUUACAAAGAAAGUGGUAAGGCAAAAGCUGACAAGACCUACUCGAAAGAAGGAGGGGGUGGGCAAAGGAUCGACGAGGAAAAGCAAAUCAAAGUCUUUCGCCAUCUUGCUUGCUAAACCAACAAGACCUACUCAAAAGAAAUGGGGGGAAAAGAUUCUAGCAAUUGAAAGCAAGUCAAAGUCUUCCACCAUCUUGCUUGCUUAGUUACAUGGGGAGAACAAAGACCAUUAUUUAUGGUGAAAAUAUUGUCUAAAUUUAAUUUAUAAAUGAUGCGGCGGGGCAAAUCAAUUAUGAUAUAAUAAUUGUACUGAAAUUUGUAUUUUGCAGGGAGGGCUUUGUAUGGGGUUUGCAUGGUUUAUCUUAGGUGUUUUAUUAAAAUCUAAAUGUCUGACAAUACUACAUAAAUAUGUUAUACAUCAAACUAUCCUGUUGACUCUAAACAACUUAUAUUUAUCUAAUAGCACGUGGUAAUAUUAUUGUUCUAUAAUUAUGCUCUUUUUCCUUUAAAUUGACAAGAGUGAGCCAAUAUAGAUCAUGAUCCAUGAAUGUGAACUCACGAAUAUUUGAUACAUGUAAUCUAGUCUAUCAUCGAGUGUUUGGCAAGAGUUGAAAUUGACAUGUGAAAGCUAUCUGUUACUUGAAAUUACAUCAACAUAUCCUAAAGUAGCUACCUGGUAAAGUUUGUCAAAUUUUCAUAUUUAUUUAAAUUCAUAAAAUCCUAUUUCCUCUGCCCUGCUUGCUUCGCUUUUGCUGCUCGUGAGUUGUUCUGUUUUUGAGAUUAACAUUAGAUCCAACAUUUUUUUUGGUCCGAAUACAAUUCAGCACAUAUAUAAGAUAAAAAACAAAAAAAACAAAAACAACAACAACAACAACAAUUGCUUCGUAUUAUGAGAAUGCUAUUAAAAGGAGUAACAUGUAAAAUUAGUAAAUUUUUUGCUUUCUAAUGAGGAACAUCCUUGUCGUUUUAGGGCUUAACAAGUUAACAGAUAAUGGACUGUUAAACUGAUAUGAAAAUCCCAUUUUGCUGGCUUUUAUUGGUCAUAAACCACAGGAAUCGAAAGUAUCUUGGGUACGCUCCUAAGUGGUCUUCUAGAGCAAUAGUUGGAUAAAUGGAAUAAGAUUGUAUCUUGACUCUUCCCUCCUUCAUCAGUCCACUGAGAUGAGACAUUAGUGGCCCAAAAUGGAAAAGAACAAGANNNNNNNNNNNNNNNNNNNNNNNNNNNNNNNNNNNNNNNNNNNNNNNNNNNNNNNNNNNNNNNNNNNNNNNNNNNNNNNNNNNNNNNNNNNNNNNNNNNNUUCAUUCACACCCAUAAUCUUAAUACCACAAAAUAUUAAGACUUCGAAACGAGGUUAAAAAUCUUGGGUUCUAUUGCUCAAUAGACAAACGCAAAGGAUCGACGCAUGAAGAAAACAAAGAAUAUUGUUUACCUUCACCAGCCAAAAGACUGCAAGGUCGACAGCAAAUGCGGGAAGGAAAUAGAAGAAAACCGUACAAAACCUUUUAUUAUUUACAAACACAUACCAUCCUAGAAACAAUAUGCAUGCCAUCAAGGGGAAGAGCUGAAAGAUUGUCUUCAACACAAAAUAACUAUAGUCAUACCUCAUCUUUUUUAACAUGUAAAAACAACCAUUUCAUUUGGCAAAAUUUACCACCCUAGUCAUGAAGAGCAUGAUAUUCAAAAAGCACAUCACUCUCAAACGUACUAUUCAUGCACAUGGCAAGGUGCUUAUAUCAUAAAAAUUAUUGCUUAUAUCACUUAACGUAAUUAGCCAAUGAAAAAUGUUUUCAUUAUCGACAAAAAUUUAAGUCCAAACAUUUUCAUAAGUCAUAAAAGUAUCUUUUGUUCAUUCGUUAUUGUUAGCGAUUUUAGUGGAAAUGUUUGUCAAAUUCAUUUUCCACGAGACAAACACACCCUUAAUGUCAAAUAGCUUCAAUGUUUAAAACUAGUAGAGGGAAAUUUGAUACAGACGUUUUACUUUGGUUUAUGGCAAGUAAAAUGGAUUGAAAAUAUCUUUGGUUUUUGCACGUGUGAAAAUGAGAAAACACGGUCUCUAUCUUCCGUAGUGUUGUUGGGUCAUUGGAUGUGGGAACCAAAGAAGAUUUGCGUAAAAAAUUGAAUGCGGUUCUAGCGGAUAGUUUUCAAUUUUCACCCAUACUACGACUUAAUAAUGGAUUGAAUUACAAAAUUCGUAAUAAUUCUUUUUAUAUAAUUAUGAUGUAAUCAGAGCAGCUUGAUAUUUUUCAUUCCAAAUUUUUACUUUGCAGCUUCCUUAAAUUAUAUUUAAAAGAAGGUAAUGAAGGAGGUGAUGUAUACUCAUAUUUAAAUCAAUCUUGGUUGGUUAUUUAUGUGGAAAGCAAACAACUUCCAAAUCAUGAUUGUUAGCUAAUCAUAUUUCAUAGCGUGAGGCGAGGGAAAGCAAGUCAAAGUCAUCCUUCAUCUUGCUCGCUUCAUUGCAUUUCCCAAGUCCUCUUUUAACCAAAGAAAGGGACAAUGCAAAUGCGAACAAAACCUACUCCAAAAAAUUAAUAAAUAAAUAAAAGACUGUGGUCAACGUUCAACUUUGGAGUGAUUCUUGUUCUUCCCCUGAAUUUCCUCGAAGGUGUGUGAAUGUGGGGUAAUCAUGUAUACCUAUCUCUAGGGGACAUCAUAAUUACAAACACUUAGGUUAUGUUCACGGCGAGACAAGAGACCGGUCUUUAUUGUGGAAAUGUUGCAUAGGAAUUUGUGAGUGACGCAACGGACAAUACUAAUCAUAAUUUGGAGCUUUUGGAUGAAAGUGUGGCUACUUGUGUUUUCUAGUAAGACUUGAUAUAGGGUUCUCAUAGUUUUUCAUAGAUUAUUUUAAGAAAUUUUGAUGUUUGUUGUAAAUUUGAUAUGCGCUGAACUUUUCAUUUUGUUUAUUAACUCCAAGUAACUCUUAUUUAUCUAUACAUUUGCUGCUCUAUAACUAUACUUUUUUCUUUUUCCUCUUGAAAUGAAAAGAAGUGAACUAAUAUAAGUCACAAUACAUGAAUGUGAACAUGAGAAUAUGCGAUGCAUUCAAUUGCUAGCCUCAUGAAAGGUUCGAAGGGGGUCGACAUUGAUUUGUCAAGCUAUCAGUUGCUUGGAAUGUACAUCAAUAUCCUAAUAAAAUUUGUCAAAUUUUCAUCUUUGUCCUAAUUCAUAAUGUGUUUUCUUCUCUCAUGCUUGCUCUGCUCAUGGUGAGUUUAUUGAGUCCACAUUAGUCCAAUUAUUUUCAUUGAUCCAAGGGAACAAUAGUACGAGAGUGCUAUUAAAAGGAGUAACAUGAAAAACUAACAAGAUUUUUGCCUUCUACCGAGGAUCAAACUUGUCAUUUUCCAGCUUAACAUAUAACGGACCGUUAGACUGAUCUGAAAAAAUCUGAUUUCAUCGGCUUUUAUUGGAUAGAAACUACAUAAAUCAAAGGUAUGCCGAGGCUCUAUCACGUGCCUUCCGGAGCAAUACUAGGAUAAAUGGAGUACUAUUGGCUCUUUGACCCUUCCCUCUUUCAUCCGUUGACUGAGAUAAGACAUAAGUGGCCCAAAACACAAAAGAACAAAAAGGAAUAAAUUCAGUGACACCCGUACCAACAAAUAUAAGACUUCAAAACGAGUUUAAAAAUCCUGGGCUCUGCUGCAUAAUAAACAAAAGCAAAGGAUCAACACAUGAAGAGAAAAAAGAUCCUUUACCUUCACCAGCCAAAAGAUUGCAAGGUCAGCAGCAAAUGCAGGAAAGAGAUCCAGAAGAAAACCAUAUGAAACCAUUUAUUACUUACAAGCAUAUACCAUCCUGGAAACUAUAUGCAUGCCAUUAGCGGGAAGAGCUGAAAGAUUGUCUUUAACACAAAUUAACUAUAGUCAUACGUCAUCUUUUAACAUGUAAACACAAUGAUUUCAUUCGGCAAAAUUGGCCACCCAUGUCAUGAAGUGCGUGGUAUCCUCAAAUUGGAGAGUUGCAAGCUGACAGCCAUUUAGAGGAUCGCAGCCUUCAGCCACUAAUCAUAUGUGAAAGACAGCCAAAUGUCAUGUGAAUCAGCAACUACUGUCCUAUUCGGCAAUACUAACAUUUCAGCCUUCCCGUUGUUCACAUGAAGAGCACAGACAAUCAUAAGGAAAUGAGAGAAAGCAGUGUGCGAUGAUAUACUCUUUAGUCAGUGAUGAUAUGUGUCAAGCAGAACCAUUUAAGGCUCCACUGCCUUCAAAAAAGCAGAUCACCAAGUUUUGUAUCUUCAAGCCAACUUCGAAUGGUAGUUGCAGAUCACUUCUUUUAGGAACACUCUUGGGGAAAUCGAGCAUUUGAUGAUGUUAACCUACAUUCUGACAAAUACAGGUCAUUGUCUUCAUUUUCAGAGUCUUCAGCGACCCAACCAUCACGAUUCACUUCACCAUUGGAUUGCAUAGCGGCCACAUCACUAUUAUCCUCUUUUGCAAGGAUAUGGAGAUCCACAAACAUCAAAGACACAUUCUGUGAGAGAGUAGUUUCUAAAUCUGGAUCGGCAUGGUCAGUAGCUGAAAUGGAAUGGAAGUCCUGAUCUCCAACCAUUGAAGAGGGGAGAGACUGUGAACUUCUAAUAACUCUAUACAGAUUUUGCUGACUACUUGCAAUUUUCGCUAAAGACAUGGAACUACCCUGAACAGGAUAAGACUCCUCAUUAAGACAUGCUAGUCGGCAAAAGCACUGAUAAUUAGAGGCAGACAACAAGUGGCUCAAAAAGAACAUAAAUUUUCCUGCAGUUGACAGCAACAAGGUAUUUUAGCAACUGAAAUAUCACCUUUCCUGGAAGUUCAAUGAUCAAAUCUUUUGUGAUUCAAAAUAUGAAUGUGAUCCCAUCUUUUAGCAAGCUUGUAUAUAUCUUCUGGAGCUUACAGCCAGUCAAGGGCAUCGUAGUGGGACUCACAAUGCUACAGAGCAUCUUAUAUGAGGCCAAUAGAAAGAUUCAAUGGUAAUAACAUUGCUGAGCAAUGUGCUUUGAGCAACCAACAGGCAGUCCUAAUUCACACUGGAAAAGCGAGAACUGGCUGAGGAUCUUUUAACAAUUAGCGGUUCAAAUUGUACGUUGUUUAACACCUUGUUUCCUUGAACCACAGAACACAAUUCUUUAGGACUGAUUUAGAAGUCAAAGUCAAUGAUUUUGUCAUGCCGGGAAGUUUCACUGUUUCUCAUCGUAAUCAAAUUCCCAAGUAAAAGGAUAUUACCAAAAACCAGGAUUAAUCAAGCAUAGCUAUUUCCUAUUUCAAACUAUAAUCGUCACUAAACCUUGAAAUGAUACAGAUCUUCUUUUCAAACCCUUAAAAGAGUUUUCAUAUGCGAAGACAAGAUAAAGAUAUGUGCAUUUUGACACAGUGAUCAGAUAUCAAAAGGAAAAUAUGCAAGCAAAUCACUGGACCUUAAUCUUGAAGAAGAAAAGGAUAUUUCUGCAAUUAAAUGAGUGCACUUCCUGGUCAAUUCUGCAGAAUAUCUCCCACCAUUUUCUGUAAUAUGCUUCUGAAUCUCCUUCCGUGCAUCUGAGAUCAUGAAGGACAUAAAAAUUGAAGAACUGGAGGACAACCAACAGCAGCAGCUAUAUCAAACAAUCAGUACCUGCAGGAAAUCCUGUGAACAUUCAUUGUCAAUCCGGAAAAUGGAAGAACUCUAUAAGACUCUUGAGGUACAACACGGUGCUCAAUAUGGCAUUGGUAUAACCAAUUAAUGGUGACAACAGGUCACUUCAGAACAUUUAAAGCCCCCUGCACGAUGACAACAUUAAUUGAUAAAUACAAUUUAUCUCUCAAGAUGGAAUUCAUAAAAGAAUUUGCACAGAGAAUAUUCAAAAAAAAAUAUCCCCCAUCAAAAGUCAACAUUUUUUUCCCAGGCAGAAGAACUCCUCUCGACUUGCUUGACCAGCACAUUGACCCAAAUGCCUCCGCUCUCAUUUCUCAACUACAAGUCCUGGUUUAGCAUUUAGCAGCCUCGAGGAAAAACCAGAAGAUAAGACUAGGACGAGAACAAGAUCUUUACCGACUAGCUCACAACCCUUUCGCCUGAAGAUCCUUGAACUUCUCAAGACGUAAAACAACCUCAAACCCAAUUCUCAAAAUGAACCCAAAAGCCGUUAGCGCCGCCCAAUCCCAACGUACUCACGUGAUCGGGGAGAAGAAACAGCGUGAAAAUCGCAGGGCCCACUCCUGGAAGGGUCGCGGCGGAGGAAGGCCUCAGCUCCGUUCAGCUUGAUCGCGUCGAACGGCUCGGGAGGCACUCAAGUUCCUCAGCACGAACACGGUCGCCCCCCUGAAAUGGCUUCGUCUUCGUCAUUUCCUAUCUUUCUUCUUCGGCAGCGACUUCCUCAACAGGUGAUCGGUCUCGUUGCUAAGGAUUCUGCGAAAUCCAAAUGCAUGUGCGUGAGUGAGAGAGAGAGAGAGAGCAACGACGAAGCGCAGAGGGAAUCGGAACUUGGAAGAGGAUGAAGGAAGAGCGACUUGGGGGAAAAUUGAGGGGAGUGAGCUUUUUCUGAAUUCUUCCCCAAAUUGGGAUGGAUAAGGGUACGAGAAAGCGCGGGAAUGGGGUUUUUCUUGCGCUCUUUUCGGAUUUUCCUUUUUAAUUCCCCUUUUUUGUGCCAUUAAUUUUGUGGAUAAUUUCUCAAAAACCCCCGCAACUUCCACACCGUUGCACGACUGCUCUCCAACUUCGAAAAAGUUACACACUAUGCACGCGCCAGGCGACACGAGCCAUGAAAAGAAAGUAAGAGAAAAGAAUAAAAGCAAAGAAUUCAAAAAGAUUCUUUUAAAAAUUGUAAAAAGUUGUUCAUGCCAAUAUUGGUUACGUCACAACAAAUGAUUAAUAUUUACGUCAGUAAUUUUUAAUUAAAAUUAGUCAGAAGAAUUACAUUAACGAAUUGUCAAUAAUUUUAGAACUAAAUUGACUAAAUUAUAAAGUUUAUGAUCGAAUCGACAUCUGUUAAGGAUUAUUUUGUUAAUUUUCUCUAAGAGGUUAGUCACAUGUCUAAAUCAAAACUUCACAUGAAGUUUUGAUUGUGGACCCGUAAGUGCUUAAAAAUUACAUCGGAUCAUGGAUAACACUUUUUAUCAUGUUUCAAGAGCAACCACAAAUUGGAGCUUCUUGGCGAUAAAUCUUUUUAUAGAAUUUUUUUUUUUGGUAAAAAGAGAGCAACAAAAUGAUGUCUGGGUGAAAACAAAGAGGUGCAAAUGUUGGGAGAUUCAAACCUAGGACCACGAGCAAUAAAGAUUGAAUGUUAGUGAACUUAUUUUGCCAUUUGGAGAUAGAUCUUCAUAUACCCAUCAAAAGGGUGUUUCGGCUUGAUUUUGAUAUGUAUCGAAAAUGGUUCAGCUUAAAUAAACUCAUUUUAAUCCGUUUUAAUCAAUUUAUAUACAAUAUGUAUAUAAGUGACUCAUAUUUGACAUUGUCCCGUGAUGCUAAAAUAUUUUUUUAUUUAAUCCAAAUCUAGAAAAAUUUACACCCAAAAACGAGAUGGUCGGGUCGUAAAUCCAUUUAAUAUCUUGUCAUUUAUUAAACGAUCUACUUUUAUAGGUUUAGAUAUUCAAGAAGGAUAAAAAGACAAGAACACACCCGGAUCAGAUCCGGACUCAGCACCGUUUUCGUAGCACCGAUUGCCACGGGCAAAUGGCCUCUUUCCUCGCCCGACCCACGAUCCAUCCCCCACAUUUCUCGUCUGUGGCACGUGACUCACAGGUGCAGAGACAGAGGGAGAUUCGAAGGCUUCCGGUUUCCAUGUGAGCCUCCCUCCAACGCCUAGAUCCGCCAGCUUCAGCGCUUGGAGUUUAAAGGAAAAAACAACGACGCAGCACGAACCGCUCGACCUCGGCAGUUCUUGGCAGAGGGGAACGUCGUUUCGCUCUUCCAUCCUCCGUUUUUGAACUUUUCAUCUUUUCUUUUUUUCCUUUUCUUUUUUUCUUCUUUUUGAAUAUGGUUAAAGGCCAAAUCGAAUAUUUCUAACAAGGCAAAUCCCGAUUUGUGCAGGACGAAAUUUUCUUUUCUUUUCUUUUCUUUUGCUAAUUAAAUGAAAGAGAUCUUGAAAAGGGAAAGUCCGUCAAAUUGAAGCCAUGUAUAUCUGGGUACCCUUCUUUCUUUUUUUUUCAUUUUCACUUGUUGGCAAUAAAAUUAUUUUUGAAUAGUGGAGAAACCUCAUUUUUUGCAAAAAACGAGAACGAAUCCCUCAAGAUGGAUUAGAUGCGUUGUAUAAAAAGAAGUAAUACAAAUGCUUUGGCCACUUAUUAGGAUUUGACUAAANNNNNNNNNNNNNNNNNNNNNNNNNNNNNNNNNNNNNNNNNNNNNNNNNNNNNNNNNNNNNNNNNNNNNNNNNNNNNNNNNNNNNNNNNNNNNNNNNNNNNNNNNNNNNNNNNNNNNNNNNNNNNNNNNNNNNNNNNNNNNNNNNNNNNNNNNNNNNNNNNNNNNNNNNNNNNNNNNNNNNNNNNNNNNNNNNNNNNNNNNNNNNNNNNNNNNNNNNNNNNNNNNNNNNNNNNNNNNNNNNNNNNNNNNNNNNNNNNNNNNNNNNNNNNNNNNNNCGCCUCAAUUCCCAUCCUACCGAAAAUUCAUAAGACUCGCACCUUUGGUCUUCCUCCUCAUAUCCUCUCUCUCUCUCUCUCUCUCCGUCGCUCUUUGAAAAACACUUUCACCACCCUUCACUCUGAAAAUGCAGAACAGACAUAGCAGUUCAUCGUCUCCGUCAAGCAUUGAGCGAGCGUCGACCACCAUGGGGAACCGAAGAGGCAAAACCCUAAUCUCCCACACCCUAGUAGUUUAUCAGGAUUCUUUUAGUACCGGAUGAUGAUGAUGAUUGAUUACGGUUACUUUUAUGCAACACAAGUGAGCUUUUCUGUUUCAUCCUUUACUUUGUCUGCCGUUUUCGAUGCGGACUCCACAUGUAAUUAUGGCAUACAACCUCAAAUAUGUUCAUAUUGGAGAGAUGAAACAGCUAGGAUUCUGGUCCCAGUAUCAUGUUAAUAUGGUAAGGAUUGAAAGCUUUUUUGCAUAAACAAAUUUAGAAACCCUAGCAGUUGCCGUUGUUGGGCUGUGAAUAGGUCUGCUAGCAGUAGUUGUACCAUGAAGCCUAAAUCAAUAGACAAUCUCUCUGGCGGGGUUUGUGGCUGAGCAACUGAAAGACCCUCAACUGGAACUGACUCCUCUGUUUUAGGCACCAACAUCUUUUCCCGCCUCAUUUUCUUUGAUCCUCCUAUAAACAGAUUAUAAGGAUGACAUAAGCUACCAUCCAGUGGCAUAUAUCUGCUUAUGCAUCGCACUUGGAAGAAAAUUCACAUACACGAGUAAAGAAGAAAGAUGCUACUCUACAUUCUCAUGAAAAGCGAAACUGCAUAUAUUUCUACCACUAUGAGGUCUCAAAAUUCAUAAAUUACACCGCUCAAGGCAAAUACAUUAAUUAUACUAUCAAUGUCUAAUCUAUUUUAUAAAGCCGACAACCACUUUUAUUUCUUUGCGAAUCGGGAAUCACCAUUUCCUCCGUCCACAUGAAGAAACAUAAGAGCCAUAUUACAUAGCAAUUACCCAUAAAAAAAAAGUCAAAGCAAUAGGUGGAUAAGUAAAGACAAUAUUAUAAUCACUUUGAAGGAAAACUAUGUUAAGUCAUGUAGCGGCCAGGUAGAACACAAAACAUAUUGGCGUUCUCCCCUUUCACCAAGCACUACAUAUUCUCUUUGAGUUCAUGGAAAAGAAAGUUGGUGGAAGAAUGUAGAAAUUAACCAUACCUCGUGUCUGUUGUAAAGUGUCCUUCGCCUCUCUUCGGCCCUACAAAUUGCCGGCUUAAUACCAUGGUUGUCCAUAAAACCAUUUGGCCACAGCUCUGCAAGCUGUACCUAGCCUCCAAAAAGCGAAGACUUUACACUGACAAAAGUCUUAGAACCAGUGGAUGCAGGUAAAAACCAACCGAGGUGAUAAACAAAUAGAGAUCAUAAAAAACCGUUUGCGAUGCAGAGAUGACAAACUCCAUGAAAAUGUUUCUUAUUUUAAGAUGCCAGUGCUCACAGGCCUCGCAACCUCAAUUCCUCCUGUAUCUUUUCCUUCUCGAGAAUACCCUCUAGUUGUUUUAAAUCCCAGUAAUCCCAAGGUUCAGACAAGGACGGAGAUCAAAGUGUGAUAAAUAAAUAGAGAUCAUAUAAAAUAACAAGUCAAGCCAACCAAUUCAAUGGGUUCUCCACAUUUCAUAUGGAUGCUAUCACGAUUAUCAUCAAAACGUUUACUCGAAACGACUUCAUACCGGCCCAAAGUUGACAACUUCAGCCAUUUCAAAAAGUAGGUUGCACUCUCCACCCUUUGCAUCAGUUAUUAAUUCAGAACAAGGGGAAAUGCGGGUUUAGUGCUUGCAUAAUUUCAUAUAAUUGCAUAAAUAAAUCAUAAACUAACACUGCAUGUGAAACCCACAUUAGGAAAACCAUCACCAUGUUUGACCACUAUAUGAACAUACUUGCAACUGUGAAGAUAAAAUAUAUUAUAUAUCAGUACUGUAAAUGCAGUUGAUCUCACAUCCAACUAUUAUAUCCUGCAAACUAUGGCAAUAUACACCAUCAUGAUGGUUUUGUGAACGCUUCACAAAGAUGAACUGUCAAAACAAGAUUGCAACAUGUCUAUAACAGCUAAACAGCCAUACAGAUAGUAAUUUUUAGUUUUUGGGGCUAGUGGUACCUCAGCAUAUAACUUUCUGACUUGUGGACCGGUGUCCUCAUCAAGACCCUCAAAGCAUGAAAUCAAAUAGACAAUCAUGUUUAAAAGUAGCUUUCUAAAGCAUGUUUCAACUAGAAAAAGGAAGUAUAAAAAAUGCAAAGGAAAUAUGUACAUCAACAAAAAGGUCAUAGAGAUCACAAAUAUUGUCCUCCAUUGCAGGAUCCAUAUCAUAUUGUCUUUUAGGAAUUUCUUUUUCCUUCCAAUUCCUGAAAAUCAUUCGAUGCUCCAGAUUGAUUAUGUAGAGCCUGAAUAUCUGGCGGGGAAUGCUAACUUUGGUAAGCAAUGCAACAACAUAAACCACAAUUAAGGAACCAACAAAAUACAAAUUCUUCUGAAUCCCUUGGCAUCAAACAUUAAUAAAUGUGAUAAAAAAAGCCAUUAACAAGUCAGUCACAUCACGAAAGAAACCGUUAAAGAUGACAAAUCAUUCAAUUUUGCACUUCGUAAAGUCUUGAGAUCUUUGUCUUGGUAAAUUUCCUUACUCAUCGUAACUUUUCUUUAUCAAAUGAUAAUUUGAUCACAUCCAUGACUUUCUUUCAUGUAUUGAAGUGAUGACAGAAAAUCGAUUUUGCAAAAUAGACUCGACCGAUCAUGUUUUUGCCCUUUCUAUCCAACGGUCCACGUUGAAUGUAGGACUAAUCCCAUAAAAGAGAGUUUUGAUUUGCGAAAUUUCUGUCCCCAUCAAGAGGUUUUGCCUAUAAUAAAGUAGCUUUUUAUUAUUAUUUUUGCCAAACAGUAAAGUAGUGUUUGGAAAUGCUAUUUUUCCUGAAGUUUUGAAAAUCAUUCCAUUGUAAUAUAUAUUUAAUAUAUAGAAAGGAAAAAAAUGUAAAUUAAGAAACAAUAUUACUUUGCCAAUGUUGUCUUUCACUGACGCACAGCAACAUAUACGUCUAUAACUUUCAUAUGAUAUGCAAGUCUUCCGUUUCCGAAGUAACCUUCACACAUAAUCCUAUCUGCCGAGGUUAACGAUUUUUCAAGCCCAAGCGUGUCAAAUGAAGCCCGGGGUGCAAAAUAGAGCUUAGACAAACUUCAGGGGCGAAAGAGGAAAUUUCAAAAAAAAAAUCGAAAAAAUAAGGUUCCAAUCUCUCCCAUUCUCCAGCGUAUAUAUAAAAUUAGGCAGCGGAAAACAUCACCAAUCCCGCCAUCGCUGGAACGUCUUUUGAAAAGAGCACUUUGAAGCCCGCGGUAUCUAGAGAGAUUAGCGAUCGUCUCGAUUCGACUACAGCUUGUGCAUCAUCAAUCAAUCGAUUGAAUCGUUCGAACAUGUUGAGACUUCAUGGAGGAUCGGGGCUUGGAAGAGGUAGAGAAAGCUUGGGGUUGCUGAGCUUGGCUCUUGAGUUCAGCUUCGACAAGCAGUCCACCAGCAAGUGCUUGGGACAGUCUCGUUAUUUCGUCGCCCAUUUUUUUAUGCUGAUUAGCGUUGCGGAGGUUGUGUAGGUAUUCUGACGAUUGAUUGUGUUGCGUGGAUGAUUUGUGAAUUGAUUGAUUGUGCAGUCUUGAAUACGGAGAUUUAUUGGGGUUAGUCGUCAUUUUGACGAUGGCUGUGGAAUGGUCUGCCUUUUGGAUGUGAAUGGACCAGAGCUGGUUAAAUCUAGUUCAUUGAUCUCGUCCCUAUUUCUCUGUGGGAUUUGCGGAGCAGUCUUAUUGACUAGCGAAAUGUCUGACUUAUUUCUGAACCGACUGCAAUUUUACAUAUGGUGUCUUGCCUACAUAUAAAUAUGGUGUCUCACUGAACUAAGUGCAAAUUACGUAUUGUGGAUUCUGUUGAUUUGAUCUCUUGUUUGCCAUGGAACUUGCAAAAUCAUCUCUUUCUUCUUUUGGUUUUCUUAAGGCGACAGAGGUUGAGAGUUUAUCACUGUUGAGCAUUGGGGUGAUGACUUCCUAGCAGAACUUCCUGAAAACCAUGCAAAAUUCUGAGGAUUGGGAUGAUUUGCAAGCUGUGGAAUCAGAGGCUUGUGGAGUUUUGACUGAUAUGUUUGGCCAACAUAUCAGUAAUGAUGGUGAAUGCAAUAUUGUGCACGAUGUCGAUAUUAUAGAAGAUUCUCCACGACCUGAGAAAAAUUGAACUUUCCUUGAGGUAGAUUCUUCUACUAACGGUGAAGACGACGACGAUAUAUUUGGCAGUAAAAUGGGUAGGAAACCCACAUGCUAUAUUCCUGAUCAAAGCAGUACUCCGAGCCCUCUAUCCACUCAACUUCUGGCCAGAUGAUCUUUAGAAUCCAUGGUGCUUCUGAAAACGGUGAAGUUGUCUCACUCCCUUCUGCCCCCACCAGUUUGAAAGGAUUAAGAAAAAGAAAGAAAAGCAAGGUGGCUUGGCAUGUUUUUUCCCAUGCCCAAACGUAAUUGGGUGAUACUUGUUAAAUUUGUGGCUCGAGUUUUUGAUUCAUGGACCUAGAUUUGGCUUGGGAUUGGCUCAUUUAAUUGCAUGGACCAAAUACACAACUUGAAGAAUGUCUGAGUAUUGUACAGGGUUGGCUGUUCAGUCGAGCAACUGUGGACACCUGAAGAAGCCACGAUAGUUACUGGGCAAAUCCUAGGAGUCUAGCCACAAUGGUCCAGUUGUUUAGGAGGUUAACAAAAAGUUGGCAGAUCUCUGCUCAUGACUUUAUAUUCUUUUAACAAUGAUUCUGCAACUCAUAUUUUUAUAUAUUUUUGUUGCUGAGGUAUAUUUGGGCCAAGAAGGAAAAUAAGAAGAAUUGAGAACUGAUUGUCUUGGUUUUCGAUCAAGAGAGUUUAGAGUGUCCUUUAAGAAAACUCUUGGGAAAUGCUUUCCACUCAUCUAGUUCGCUUCUGAUUGACUCUUGCAAUUGGGGUUUUGGUUAGUGAGAAAUUGAUUUGUUUCUUAUUGUAAUUCCCUCUUGGUCAUUGUGAAACAAGUCCUCCCAUUGACAUGGACAAAACUGCCAACCCCUUAAAUUAGCGUGUCACUGUUCUCUGCUCUUAAAAUUAAUGUCUUUCCUUUGAUCAUUUCCAGUUUUCUUGUAAUUCUGCUUACAGCAAAGGACCUUAAACAGGGUUGUCUGUACAAGAGCAUUUAGUAAAUUGCCUAUGAGGGCUCUUGUCCGAUCAAAUGUAUAGGACACUCCUAACUUUUGCUAAUUACUUCAGUCUUUAAGAUCUAAAAUGACUUAUAUUAGUACCGUUUGGUCAAUAAAAACAGUUGAUUUUUGUUUUGCAAGUAAAGUACAUCAUCCAAGUGUUGGACUUAGCAUCUGACGUCUUUGAUAGGAGUGUUUUGCGAAGUGAAGGCUUGGGAUUUAUUUGUGCACAAUUUUAAUUUUCCAUCACUCCCAUAUUAGAAACUAUUUAUGGUGCUGAAGAGGCUUAUUUGUGUUGAAGGACUGUAAAAACACUGUCACUGAAGGUUCGAUAUCAUCAAUUUCAAAUAAAAGACAUUGCACUCAGAUUUUGACAUGGAAAAAAGGAACUCUGAGUUAUGAGGAAUUGCAAGCCUUGGAUGACAUAGAAUUAGCAAAUGUUGUAAUAUCUGGAAACAAAGCAUUUCAACCAAUGCAGCAUCAGGCUUGUAAAUCUUCAGUAGCCAAGUAAGAUUGCUUCAUUUCAACCAAUGCAGCAUCUACAACCUUCUGAUUACUGACUGGAAAAUUCAUCUUGUUUAUGCAUGCGAGUGUUGUUGUCAGUCAUAAUUUAGGUCCAAUCCAAAUGGGUUACUAAGUCAAAGAGGAAUAUUUUUCAAAGUACUUCCAUCAAAUAUGGGUUCUAGAUUUCUAAGUUUCCUCGCAGUUAUUGGCUAUGUCAUUAUCUGAAUUUAUGAAUUUGAAUUUUCUAGAAGUGUUUUUUGUUCAGUCUUAAGGUGGUUGAUAUAUGUUUCUAGUUGAAAGUAAUUAUAAGACAUGUAGUGACUACUGGUCCUUCCUGAUCAGCUGAUGGUGAAAGAAAUAAUAAUUCGCUUGCCCCUUCCUUUCUUCAUGUGUUCUUUUGAUGUUUUUACCCUUUGUUUUAGCCGCCAGCAACUCUUAAAUCAGGCGUCACAGUUGUUAUAUCUUGUUGCUAUCUCUCGUCCACAAUCAAUUAGUUACUCCAACCCUCAAGUACGGAAUACCAUCUAUUUUCUUGAACUCUCAACCAACUGCUGCCCAAGCAGCAACUGUCCUCCAAGAACUAAGGCAUAGGUUUAACUAUAUUGGACUUCUAAAGCUUUUAUGGUAAGUGUUGUGACUGUCAAAUUAUUAAUCUCCAAAAGAUAAACCAUCAUGCAAGCUAUUGUAUGUAACUCCUCAAAGGAUUGUGGGAAACCCAUCAUCUCUCGAGAUAUUGAAAUGCUUGCAUAAAAAGGUAUUGUUUCUGAUGCACCAGAACUUUUUUGAAAAGGUUAUUCAUAAAUUUUUUAUAUUCAACCAUCAUGCAUUGUGGGUGUAACUAGCUGGUUUUGUUGUUGAUGAGACACAUUGCGCGAGGUAUGCAUAAUCUUUGGUAUGCCUUGUACAUGAAGAAAGAUCAUGCUAGAGUUACUUCAAAAGUAAUAAGUAUUUGUGAUGUUGCCUCUGCAAAACUAUUGUGCUUGUUCCUGAUAUAGCUAAGCAAGUUAACUUUUAUAUACACAAACUUAAAACUGUUUCUCCAAACCUUUUUGCAUUUUCAGUGUUUCUAGCCUAAUUAAAUUGUCAGUGUUACACUAAACCUUCUGAAGCCCAAACCCCUUUGAAGUUAUACUAUAACAGAAUGCAGUGUUCGUUGUUUGAACUUUAGAAAAGAUCUAGGUUCCAUCAUUUGGGAACACUUAGUGGCUCAUCAUUCAUUAUAUUGAGUAAAAAAGACACAACUUAGAUAAGCUCCAAUGGAGAUUACUUUCCAAAGUAUUUGGAACCAGCAUAAGCUUGGAUAACGAUCUCAUCUCCUGUCUUUGUUUGGCAUGAUUCUCAGUCUCUUAAGCUGGUUCUUGAGUCCCUUUUUAUUCUGUUAAUGGUUAAACUAUAUGUUAACAACUUGAGAAAGACGAAGGUUCACCCAUGUGGUCAUUGAUUAUGUUUCUUUCAAUGUCUUAACUCGAUUUGCUCUAUCAAUGUGAUCUCGUGAAAGGAACGUAUUGCUAGUUUGAGUUUCUCUUGUACAUUUGACUGAUUAAUGAGAAAAGCUCAUUGAUUGUCACUUUCGUGGUUGUCAUUAUUGUUGUCAAUGGGAACAUGAUUUUUGUCCAAAUUAUCGGGGACUGGGAUGUCACAAGCAAAACUUUCUGUAUGUCCCAGUGAUGGCCUUAACUGCUACUGCCACUCACUCAGUACGUGAAGUACUAAACUUACACUUUAACCUCCUGAUUUUAUUGAAAUAAUCUGUUUUUUCUAAUUGAAUUAUACAUCACUGUAGGAUAUCCUAAAAGCUCUUAGGAUUCCUCAUGCUCAUGUUCUUGAGACAAGCUUUGACAGAGCAAAUCUAAAAUAGAGGUUAUAGCUAAGACCAAGGAACCACUAAAGCAGCUUAAACAGCUACUAAAGAAUUGUUUUGCUAAUUUUUGUGGCACAAUAUAUUGCCUUUCGAAGAGUGAACGUGUUGACGUCACAAAAUACUUGAAUGAGAAGUGUCGUAUAAAGACAGUGUACUGUCAUGCUGGAUUAGCAGCCUGUCAAAGAGUAGCUUUUUAAACGAAAUGGCAUACUGGAGAGGUCCAGAUUGUAUGUGCUAACAUUGCCUUCGGGAUGGGAAUACACAAAUCUGAUGUGGUCUCUCAAUGACAGUUAGCUCCACCUUAAGAAUGGUAGCAAUUCAUGUCUCUUUCAUGGCCCCCCCUUGCUGAUGCUUUUCUUUAUUUACAAAAAAUUUCAUAUUCAUUUAAUGAGCUUGGCCCCUCCAAAAUUUUGUAGUUUCUUUACAUCCCAAAGUUUAAGGAAUUACUGUUAGAAACUUUUAGCAUUAUAUUAUUGCAAAUUUAAGAGCUGUGUUUUGCAACAAUCAUUCUUCCGAUUGUGAAAUAUGAUAAAAUGAAGAGCAAUUAUUUCGGAACUUGAGAAAUAAUGCUUUUGGUGUAGAUGGUUGAGAAAUAAUUCUUUGGUAUAGAUAGAAUGAUGGAACUUUACUACUAGGUCUAUCUUUAUUUUGGUAAAAUUAGCUAUCCAUUGAAAAAAUACGCACUAUUGACAUUUCGUGAGAGAUUUUUUAGGAAAGAAUUCGAGUGUGUAAGAAAUCUAAAAAGUUGAGAAAGUCUGCAUUCCACCUCGAAGGCGAAGCACAAGAUGUAGAGUCAUUGUAAUCCGCCAGUGUCUAGCCAUCCUCGAGUUGCUUCCUGGGAAAAAAUAUGCCUCUGCUGAUCUAGAGAAUGCCUACCUUGUCCUGUAUCUAAGCUUUGACGUUAUCAACGGUAUCCAAGCUCUCCACUUCCAAAGAUAUGAUCUUUCCAAUGAUUAUAAUCAUCCGUAACCAAUGUGAUAACAGUCAUGACUGCUAUAGUGGCACUCGCUUUUGCCACUUAGAUUUUAUCUUGUCCAUCUACACAAUGAAUUGUCAGUUCCAUGUCACUAUUUCUAUGACACAUCAAUAGAAGUGUGAUUGCCAAGUCACAACUGUACUUGAAAUUGGGAAAAAAUGUUUCACAAACUCUAGUUGCCAUUUUCAAGAAUUAUCAAUUUAGAGCAGUAUUCGAGAAUAUUUGUGAAUAUUGAGUCACAAACUUAAGAAGCAUAAUGCAAUCAGGAAUUGGAUGGUUGGAUUCAAAGAUGCAAGCAAAGCACACAAAGGUAGAACUAAACUUAUGAACCAGGAAACAUCAAUUUCGGUAGAUACAUUUGCUUAUGAAUAUACAAAGUAGCUGCUUUUCAAUAAGAAACCAGAAACAUCAAUUUCUACCAAAAAUUGUUUCAAAUAUACACACCCGGUAAUGACUGGCACUCUAUAAGAGAGCUAAUUUGUGCCAAUGUAUAUGACCUAAAUGCAGCUCAACUACAGGGAAAAUGCAGCUCCUCAUCUCUUUUUCAGCCACUUCAGAGCAAUGCCCACCAAUGCCUUCAAAGCCUCCUCACUUCUCACUCAACUCAAACAUAGGUAUCCCAUGUUAAAGACCAAAACAGACAUCCCAAUAGCAGCAAACAAAUGACAAAAAAUGUCAUUAGCUUCUAAAAGCAAAAUGCCAGAUGACUUAUUCUCCCAACUAAACUACUCCAGUUAAGCCACAUUGUCUUCCAUUUGUAAAUCAUUAGAUAAGGCAAGAUGACUACCAAACUAAUAAACACUACAUCAUGAUAAGGCACAUAAUUAUCAUCCUUGACCCAUCCCAGUCAACAAAAUAGGUAAUCUCCACAACACGAUUGAAGCAUUAAAUCAAUUGCAAAAGAAGUUACCUUUGGUCCACGUCAAUAUUUCACAUUUUCAUGAUAUGCAAGAAUAGAUCGAUUGCUCUAGCAAAAAUUGAUAGUGCAAUGUUAGUAACCAAUCUAAUCUAUGCUUUUCCUUUCCACAUAAAUGUCCAGGUCAAGAUUUAUGCAUGAAUUAUCAUAUUCUAUAGCACAAGGCCGGAUCAACGAAUUGUCUUCCAACAAAACUAUUCCAACUAGUUUAUGGUGACUUCCCUCCAAACUUUACUACCCAAAGCAAGACAAUUAUUAUUGAAUAGACAGUCUUAUCUAUUCAUCCGUAAUUGACCCAUUUCCUACUUCCUUCCAACGUCACCUACAAAUUCAGCAAACCAAGCAUCCUAUGAACGAGCUACGCAUUUGGUCAAAACUCGUUGGCUGUAAAAUAAGCAGUCUUUGGCUACGGAUUGGCAAUCUCAUGAGGCAAUAGUUCGAUUUUUAGGGCAAAGUAAUCCUGACAAUGCGAAGGAAGAUUUGAUACUGCUAUUAUUUCGAUCAAAAUCAAAUGAUUAUUUCUCAGAUUUGACAAGGUUUCAAUGUCAUGUUAGGAGGGAGGGAGGGAGAGACCUUUGCGCUACUAUCUAGAAGAGAAGGACAAGAUAGCAUCGGAGGAGGAGCAGCUUUGGAAACGAUAGAAUUUUUUUUUUUUUAUCACCCAUUUUUCGCGUCCCAAAUAUUAGAUAUUAUGGAAAAAGUAUUUUUUUCCGCGAAAUAAACACAAUCUUAAUUGAAAAUAGCCUUAUUUUAUGUAUAUUUAGUAAAAUAUUAAAUUGAUUGUAACUUUCUUUAUAUUUCGUAAAGUUUUGCAGCCUAUGUGUCACUAAUUUUGUAUAUAUUUAGCAAAAUAUUGAAGUAGUUUUGGAAAUGUAUAUUUAGUAAAGUAUUAAAUUGAUUGUAACUUUCUUUAUAUUUCAUAAAGUUUUGCUGCCUAUGUGUCACUAAUUUUGUGUAUAUUUAGUAAAAUAUUAAAGUAGUUUUGGAAAUGCUAUUUUUCUAAAAUUUGAAAAUCGUUCCAUUGAAAUAUGUAUAUUAAUAUAUAGAAAGGCGAAAAUCUAUUACUAUGUCAAUUUUUUGCUUUGCAGAUAAACAUCAACAGGAAAGAAAUUUGAGAUACGUCUCGUAAAUGUAAAACUUUCGGUACGACAUGCAAGUCUCGUGUUUGCAGGGGAGCCUUCACACAGAACGAACCCAAGGGUGUCAAUUGAAACCAGAAAAAACUUAUGCGGGGCAAAAAUAGAACUUAAACAAAAUUCAGGGGCGAAAACGGAAUUGUAAAAAAAAGAACUAAAAAAUAUGGCUCCAACUCCAAGUCUCUCCCAUUCUCCGGCGUUUGAAAUUGGAAAACGAAGAACAUCAAUCCUGCCAUCGCUGGCAAGGUUGUCGAACCAGAGCACUUCGAACUCGCUCGAAUUCGAUUCGAGACUACGCAUCGAUUCGAUUCCGACCCGGGCAUCAUCGAUCGAUCGAAUCACUCGAACAGGUUGAGAUUCCAUGGAGGGAGCGGGGCUCGGAGGUAGAGAAAGCUCGGUUGCGGAGCUCGGCGCUGGAGUUCGGAUUCGACGAGCGGUUUGCCAACGAGUGCUCGAACCGUUUCAAUUCGCGCUCUACAGUAACUCGAAUCAUUAUCUCGUCGCGCGUUCUUAUGCUAAUUAGCGCUGGCGGAGAUUAUGGAGGUAGCUCUCGUCCCCUCAAUGAUGAUGAUGAUGGCUGUGGAAUCGUCUUGCUUUAGCUUUGAAUGCAUCGGAGCGGGUUUAGCGAAGUAGCAGUCCUACUGACGAGCGAAAUGUCCGGCACUAGUCCAGCUUGAUCUGCUUAGGUUACUUCGGAUGGCCGGCAGUUUUUUCUUGAUUAUUGGCCCAAAUUGCGUGAUAUCUGGUCAUCAGGCAAUGAAUGAUUUUAAUCGCUUGUGUUGCAGGGAUAUUUUGUGCAUUUGAUUGAACGUGCAUUCCUAGUUAAGGAGAUUCAUCGCGGUUAGUCUUGAUUCUGAUGAUGGCUAUGGAAUAACGGUCUACUUUGGAUUUGAAGGGGACCAGAGUUUAGGUCAUUGAGCGUUAGUCUCAUCCCCUGUUUCUUUGUGGGUUUGGCGGAGUAGUCCUAUUGACAAGUGAACUAUCUGGCUUAUAUCACUACAAAUUACUUAUGGUGUUUGGCAAUAAUAUCAAUAUCAUGUCCUUUUGAACUAAGUGCAAAUUGCAUAUUGGAAAUUGUAUUUAUUUGAUCUCUUGUUUGCCAUGGAUCUUGCAAAAUCAUAUCUUUCUUCUUUUGCUUUUCUCAAGGUGAUGAAGGUCGAGAGUUGAUCACCAUGGAGCACUGUGGCGAUGACAUCCUAGCAGAACUUGCUAAAACCAUGCAAGAUUCUUAGGAUUGGGAUGAUUUGCAAGCUGCGGAGUCAGAAGCUCGUGGAGUUUUGACCAAUAUGUUUGGCCAAGAUAUCUGUAAUGACAAUGAAUGCAAUGUUAUACACAAUGUCAAUAUUAUAGAAGAUUCUCCACAACAUGUGAAAAAUCGAACUUUCCUUGAGGUGAGGAUUCCUCUACCGACGGUGAAGACAAAGAUGAUGCCAGAAACUAUUAGGUAUGGAAGAGGCUUAUUUUUGUUGAAGGACUAUAAGAGCACUGUCACUCAAGGCUCAAUAUCAUUAGUUUCAAAUAAAAGACAUUGCUCUCCGAUUUCAACAUCCAAACAAGGGACUCUGAGUUAUGCGGAAUUCCAACCCUUGGAUGACACAGAAUUGGCAAAUGUUGUCAUAUUCGGAAACAAGGCAUUUCAACCAAUGCAACAUCAGGCUUGUAAAGCUUUUGUAGCCAAGCAAGUUUGCUUUAUUCUCAUGCCCAAUGGAGGUGGUAAAAGUUUAUGUUACCAGGUUAGUGAAUGUUAACAUUGUCUCAAUUGGGUGAUGAUUGUAUGUAGAAGUGUAUGGAGACAAUGUUAGAGCACAAGCCCUGUGCACUUUGCUCAGUGGUUCCACCAAUUAAAUGUUUGAGGGUAGACUUGUAUGUCAACAUUUAAGCUUUAACAUGAUCUUCUGAUCUGCUUUGUUUAUCAUUUUUAAGAAGGUUGUGAACUUAAGGAAGGAAAUGUUUUUCAAAUGAAAAUUAAGCUAUAGGAAGUGAUUCAGGUACAUAAGCAUGGGUUCAAUGUAUGGCAUUGGACAAAAGUAGAAAAGAAGGAAAUACAGUACAUUCUCAUUCUGCCUUUGUACUUCUGUAUCUGGUCUGUAAUUUUUAGGAUUUGAAGUUUGUGCACACUUCUAGGACCUUCUAAUCACUUACAGGAAUAUUCAUCUUGUUUAUGCAUGUUAAGUGUUGUUGUUAGUCAUAAUUCAGGUCCAAAUCAAAAGGGUUAUUAAGUCAAAGAGAAAUAAGUUUUCAAAGUACUUCCACCAGAUACGGGUUCUAGAUUUUUAUAUUUCCUUUGCAGUUAUUUGCUAUGCCAUUUUCUCAACAAAGGGUGAUGAUCUAUGACUUCUUUUUCCCAUAAUUGGUUUGAAAUUAAUGUGCUUUAAUAUACAAUGGAUCUUGGUUGCAAGAAAAAUUAAUGAUAACUGAAUUAAGGAGGAAGAUAUAAAUCUGGAUUUAUUAAGUUGAAUUUUUUAGAAGUGUUUUCUGUUUAGUCUUGAAGUAGUUGAUAUAUGUACUAAAAGUAAUAUAAAACAAGUAGUGAUAACUGGUGCUUCCUGAUCAGCUAAAGGUGAAAGAAAUAAUAAUUCCAUUGUCCCUUCCUUUCUUCAUUUGCUCUUCUGAUGUUUUUACCCUUCGUUGCAGCUGUCAGCAACUCUAAAGCCAGGUGUCACGGUUGUUAUAUCUCCCUUGCUAUCUCUCAUCUAGGAUCAAAUAAUUACUGUAACCCUCAAGUACAGUAUACAAUCUGUGACAUCCAGAAUUUUCAGUAUUGUUUUCUAUUAAAUUAAUCGGGCAUUUCAUUGACGUGUCUAUAGGGUUGUUCUCAGAGCUGAUCACUCUCGAGAUAACUGGACUAGCUGGGUAAGCCAUUAAAGAAUAUUAAGGCAAUAGACUUGAGAAUUCGACCAGGAAGUGGCUUCUCGGCCGUGUACAUCUUUAGAGGUCAUUACUGCACAGUUAAAGAUCGAAUUGAGAUCAGAGAUAGGUCGGUUCGACUGAGAUGUGUGGCCGAUCGUGGGUGACUCCACUAAAUUGGAAAAUUCUCGUCGACCGGCACUAAUUUGAUUUUCUGUCGUUUUGGUACCCUGUGUUGGUAAUCGAGCCCUCGAGAUUUUCACGACAAUUGAGAGUCGCCAAUGUGUCGAGUGGGUUCAUUGUGGCUCGAAGAAAAUCGACCACGAGUCAAUUGCCCUAAAAAGUUCUGAAAACUACCCGGUAGUCUAGGUCACACUAAAAGCACGCCGGAGUGAAAUUAACCGUCGAUUUGAGUCAGAUUUCAGAAAUCGAAAGUUCAGUGAUGUCACAAGCUAUUUUAGGAACGUCAACUCAGCCUCAGAAGAUUUUUCGGAGGUCCCGAGAUUUUUACGGAAAUUGGAUUCGGACGUCGUGGAAGUUUGGCCGAAGUUCGGAUUGGCUAAAUUAAUGGGAAAUUUGACUUUCGGGUUGAGCCGUUGUGUGUCGGGGAAUUAUAGAAAAUCAUUUGGGAUUUUUCUACAUCAAAAUUGGACCUCAAUUUGGAGAGAAUGGUUGUGCAAGUUAAGCCAUCUCUCCCAAAAUUCGUAACCCCCCACCUAGCCACAACAAUUGGACCAAUUCGGCUUCUAGAAGAAUGGAUGAGAGGUCCAUUGUGAGCCAAGGAAAUUAUGCAUGGCUGAGAAUUGUUUUGGGAGAUAUUUUGUAAAAUAUCAAGCUUAAAGGGCCCUCACCCCUCAUCCUCUUCCCCAAGCUGCCGUGGAUUAAUUCUGCUCUCUCUCUCACCAAAGAAGCCUACGAAUUCCAGCAAAGUGUUUCUCCAUUUUCGUUCAUCCCUCUGCCACACAAACAGUCCAUUUCAACAAAAAGGAUUGACUGGCUUUGACGCCAAGAUCCCACCGAAGCCUCAACUCCACUCGUCCAUCUUCCACGCCCUUUUGUCAGCGUAGCCACGACAUCCAGAGAAGCCAGGCGCUUCUCCACGCAUCAUCUCGGUCAAAGUCUCCACAUUUGCCGCAGCUCCUUUCCUCUCUGUAGACCAGCGAAGCCCCACGCGGGUCCAGCAAUUUCCACCGGUUUUGCCCCACCGUCUUUUGUUUUUGUUCGGUCAAGCUUAUUUCAACGAAAGAAGUCCAGCAAAGCCUCCCCGCGUACAGUCUCUGCGGCCACAAUCUUCCUUCACCCGUGUGCCUUCUUCAGCCGAAUUGAAGACCCAACGAAGACUCCUCCGUUUGCUCCAGUCAACCUCGAUUCUUCAAGGGUAGUUUGUUGACCUUGUGGCUGCGUGUCUUCAGCUCCAUUGAACUCCACUGCAGCGACGUCCAAGCCUCCGCACGUCAUCUCGGUCAAUUCUCCACCGAGCGGAGCAAUUGUUGACCGAGCAACACCACCGAAGAAGCUGCCCCUCAUCCGCGCCAUCUGUCCGCAAUCCAACUUCUCUCAGUCAACUUCAAGCCACGCCGAAGCCCCUUCGUUGACUGCAUCCCGUCCGCAGCGCCAGCCACGCAUCUUCAUCCACGAAGCCAGCUCGUGGAAUCGAGCAAAGCGCAGCCCAUCACCCGCAAUCAACCCAGCAAACUCUAGUGAUUUGGGCCAUGUCUUCAGUCCAGCACUUUCAGCAAUUCGGGCCCAGCAAGAUUCAGUCCAAAUGAGGGCCAUUUCAAGCCCGCAAGAGUCCAACAGCCCAGUCUUUUUGAGGCCCAAUUUCCAGCAAAGAACUUGAAGCCCAAGUGAAUUUCGCAAGCCCAAUUCAGCAGGUCCAGCCCAUUCCAGUACAAGAACAAAUCUCAGUUGGGCUGAGAUUUGUUGGGCCAAGUCCAAGGCCCGGUCCAAGUUCGCCGGUGUCGUCGAAAGUCCUAUUUCGGCCGCCGUCGCGUCGCCGUUGCGGUGAUUCGGUCUCUGCUUUUGUCAAGUGAGUGUUACUCACUAAUGCUUUAUUAGUUUGCUAAAUUCGUUUAGGGGUUGGUUAGAUUUAAUUAAAUGCAAUUAGGUGGUUAGAUUAGUUUAGAUCAAUCAAAUUAGAGACUUAAUGAUGCAUGUUAGGUGGUUAUAAAUAGACAUUAGCAAGUAGGCAUGCCAUGUUAUUUAUGGAACGAGUCUCGGUAAUUUUCCGGGUUCGUAUCGGCUUCCAAUUAGGCUAUAACGGGCCUAAGUUGGAUUUAUUGCAUUUAUUUAAUAUUUUUUUUCGUAAUUAUUUAAUUAAUUAUUUAUUUUCCGGAAAUUAGGCUGGGAUAGCCGACAACCGAAAUUUUGUGUUGAUUCUAAUGGUGCUUGCUGUUUAUUUAUUCGAGAAUCAUAUUAUGAAAUUUUUGUGAAAUUGGUGAAUAUGAGAAUUGUCCCAAAAAUUGGGAAAAUGUCGGUACUUGAAGGGAAAGUAACUGUGUGAGGUUGUGAGUUGGAUUAAAAAUUGCCAGGUGGGGCCGUGAUGCCACCAAGUUGAGAAAAAUUGCCAGGUGGGGCCGUGAUGCCACCAAGUUGAGAAAAUUGCCAGGUGGGGCCGUGAUGCCACCAAGUUGAGAAAAUUGCCAGGUGGGGCCGUGAUGCCACCAAGUUUAGAAAAUUUGCCGAGUGGGGCCGUGAUUCCACUAAAAAUAAAUUAUGCCUAUAGGGUCGUGAUUCAGAGUCAAGAAUGAAGAGACGGGAUGACCAUGUAAUGGUUUUGAUGACAUGUAAUCGACUGAGUCGAUUGAUCGUUAAGUCGAUCUGAUUGGUUGGAUGCUAUGAUUGUCAGUAUUUAUUAUUUGAACUGACUUGCAGGAAGGAAACUGAGGCCAAGGUAAGCCCUCUGACCCAUGAUGUGCUUAGGCAGCCCUCAAGGCGUAUUUUCUUACUAAUCGAGUCUUAGGGGGUAGGACUCGCUGAGACGUGGUCUCAUUGGUUAUUGAAUAACCAUUUCAGGACCCUAAGGAGAAGCUGAGGAGGAGAAACCCGAAGAGAAGAAAGACUUUUAAAGAAGUUGAUGACCCAAGGAGGGAUUUUGAGUAUAACCGGAUGUGGAUUGAGAUCCCAUCCCUUUUGUGAACCCUGUCUUGGCAUAGAUAGGUGUGAGACUUCCAUGCUGUAAAUAGUAUUGUAAAUAUACUAUGAGUUGUGCUGUUAAUGAAAGUGUGGUUGUGAAUUUCAAUAUGAAAAAUAUGGCCUGCUUUCCUAUCCCAUUGUUUUAUUGUCUGGGGAUUUAUAACUACUUCCGCAUGUGCUUAAUAAGAAGAAAGGGUCGGCGAUACAUAGUCCUGGGAUAUCGCAAUCUAAAAUCGACCAAGUAGAAGGAUGUGCGCGCGUCCGAGGAUCGGGGCGUGACACAAUCUACUUUCUUGAACUCUCAACAGACUGCUGCUUAAUUGGCGGUUCUCCUCCGAGAACUAAGGCAAGGUCUAGCUCUAUCGAGUGUUGUGACUAUCAAAUUAUUAACCUCCACUUCUGCUUUGCCUUCCCUUUCAAAAAAGAUAAACAUCGUGCAAGCUAUUGCAUGUAACUCCUAAAAGGAUUGGGGGAAAAAUAUCAUUUCUCGAGAUAUUGAAAUGCUUGCACAGAAAGGUAUUGUGUAUGAUGCAUUGUAACUUUUUUCCAAAAAGGUUCUUUAUAAUUUUUUAUAUUCGAUGAUAUUUUAUUGCUGGCACAACUAGCUGGUUUUGUUGUUGAUGAGGGACAUUGCGUGAGGUAUGCAUAAUCUUUGGCAUGCCUUGUACAUGAAGAAAGAUCAUGCUAGAGAUACUUCAAAAAAAAAAAAAAUCAUUUGUGAUGUUGCCACUACAAAACUAUUAUCUGUAUUCCAGAUAAAUAUAAGCAAGUUUCCUUUUAUAUAAGCUAACUUAAACUCUUUUUCCAAACUUUUUUGCAUUUUCUGUGUUUCUAGCCUUAUUAAAUUGUCAGUGUUACCCUAGACCUUCUGAAGCCCCUAUGAAGUUAUAAUAUACAGAAUGCAAUGUUCCUUGUUUGAGCUUUGGAAAAGAUCUAGGUUUUGUUGUCUGGGAAAACUUAGUGGCACAUCAUUCAUUAUAUUGAGUAAGAGCACUCAACUUAAAUAAGCUGCAAUGGAAAUGACUUACUAAAGUAAUUGGAAGUGGCAUAAGCUUGGAUAAGGAUGCCAUCUGCUGUCUAUGUUUGGCAUUAUAAUCUAUCUCUUAAGCUAUUAAUGGUUACACUAUAUACUGACAACUUGAGAAAAGCAAAGGUCCACUCACGUGAUCAUUGAUUGUGUUUCUUACAAGGUAUUAACUGGAUUUGCUCGGCCAGUUUAAUCUUAUGAAAGGAAGAUGCCAUCUGCUAUCUAUGUUUGGCAUAAUACUCAGUCUCUUAAGCUCAUUCUUGUGUAUCUAUUUAUUCUAUUAAUGGUUAUACUAUAUACUAACGACGUUAGAAAGGCAAGGGUCCACCCACGUGAUCAUUGAUUGUGUUUCUUGAAAGGCAUUAACUGGAUUUGCUUUGCCAAUUUAAUCUCAUGAAAGGAACGUGCUACUGGUUUGAGCUUUUAUUGUACAUUUGCCUGAUUGACGACAAGAGCUCAUUGGUUGUCAUUCUUGUGGUUGUCAUGAAAGGAACAUACUGCUGGUUUGAGCUUUUAUAUAUGCUAACUUAAGCUCUUUUUCCAAACUUCUAUGCAUUUUCUAUGUUUCUAGCCUAAUUAAAUUGUCGGUGUUACACUAGACCUUCUGAAGCCCAGAACCCUAUGAAGUUUCUAUAAUAGAAUGUAGUGUUCCUUGUUCGAUGAAAAGAUUUAGGUUCCAUCGUUUGGGAACACUUAGUGGCACAUCUUUUCAUUAUAUUGAGUAAAGAGUGCAAAACUUAAAUAAGCUCCAAUGGAAAUUACUUCCCAGAGUAAUUGGAAUCGGCAUAAGCUUGGAUAAGGAUCCAAUCUCCUAUCUAUGUUUGGCAUGAUACUCAGUCUCUUAAGCUGGUUCUUGUGUCCCCGUUUAUUCUAUUAACGCUUAUACUUUAUGGUAACAACUUGAGAAAGGCAAAGGUUCAAUCAAGUGAUCAUUGAUUGUGUUUCUUACAAGGUCUCAACUGGAUUUGCUCUGCCAGUUUGAUCUCAUGAAAGGAAUGUGCUGCUGGUUUGAGCUUUUCUUGUACAUUUGACUGAUUAACAAGUAAAGCUCAUUGAUUGUCACUUUUGUGGUUGUCAUUAUUAGUCAAGGGGGACACGAUUUUCAUCUAGAUUAUAGGGGACUGGGAUGUCUCAAGCAGAACUUUUCAUAUGUCCCAGUGAUGGCCUUAACUGCAACUGCCACUCAAUCAGUUCGUGAGUACUAAACUCACAUAUUAACCUCCUGAUUAUGUUGAAAUAAUUUGUUUAUUCUGAUUGAAUUAUUACAUCCAUCACAAGAUAUCCUAAAAGCUAUUGGGGUUCCCCAUGUUAUGAUAUAUUAGAUCUAGUUUGUCAAAGCUUGGGGACCCAAGGUUUGACAGACUAGAUUUAAAAUACAAGGUCAUAGAACCACUGAAGCAGCUUGGAGGGCUGCUAAAAAAAUUGUUUUGCUAAUUUUUGUGGUAUAGUAUAUUGCUAUUCGAAGAGUGAAUGUAUUGAUGUCGCAAAAUACUUGAAUGAGAAGUGCCAUUUAAAAAUGGUGUACUAUCAUGCCGGAUUAGUAGCUCGUCACUGUUCAAAAGAAAUGGCAUACUGGAGAGGUCCAGAUUGUGAAUACUACCAUUGCCUUUGGGAUGGGAAUAGACAAACCUGAUGUUUUUUGUCGAAAUGGACUCUGGCCUUUGCCUAUUUCUUACGUUUUAGAAGUCGAUAAACGUGGUGGAAUGACUCGGAGAAGGAGAGAAGAGGAGGGUGGCCAGAUACAAGCUUUAUUUGGUCGAGGGCAAGUUCAAUGCUUCUUUCAAACAAGGGUUCCGGUGGUUGAAGUGCAAAUGCUCGAGCUUUAUGUGUUGAUUUGUAAUAUGUAGAAAUUACGGAAUAUCAUGCUCAUUGUCAUCAAGAGAGAAAAGGAUGCAAUCGGUCAGGAAGAAACAAAGAGGUUUGUGUUGUUUAUCGGUUAAUCAUGUUAAUAUGUAUCUAAUGGUAAUUAAGUAUUCAGAAGAGUGCCACAAUGUUCGAUCUUUCCAGUAUAAUGUUUGUUCAAAUCCUUGAUUCAUUCAUUGAUCUCCAACAUUCGAAAAAUAGGAAAAUGAGACGACUCGUAUGUGAUAUUCACAUAUAUUUACAUUUGCCGAAAGUUUUUUUUCCCUUAAUUUCCUUACCUUCUUAUUUAUUUGCAACAUGAUUCUGCAUGCAUUCUCGUGCAAAGUAAAAAUUGUCUGAAAUGCUAAUUUCUCUUCUCAACAACACGAUGUUGAUUGCAAAAUAAGAUGGCUGCUUUCAUUUGUAGGAUUUGACGUUUACAUCUACUUCCGCGGUCGAUUUCGUUGUUUAGACCUUUUAUUUUUGACCAAAUGUUGUUUUAAGUCUCCGUUUUGGGGUUCAUUAACCCCGUAAUUCCUCAAUUUGUCUAUUUCGAUUCCUCCGCAUUAUAUGAUUAAUCAUAUGGCAAACUACUAAAGCUAUACAUUCUAACAUGAGCUAGCAGGUGUUAAAUAAGCUGAAAGGGCUUUCUAUACUUCCAUUUUGAUUUGAGGACAGUUUUCAUAUUUCAAGGUGCCGUCUUGUCGAGCUUGGNNNNNNNNNNNNNNNNNNNNNNNNNNNNNNNNNNNNNNNNNNNNNNNNNNNNNNNNNNNNNNNNNNNNNNNNNNNNNNNNNNNNNNNNNNNNNNNNNNNNNNNNNNNNNNNNNNNNNNNNNNNNNNNNNNNNNNNNNNNNNNNNNNNNNNNNNNNNNNNNNNNNNNNNNNNNNNNNNNNNNNNNNNNNNNNNNNNNNNNNNNNNNNNNNNNNNNNNNNNNNNNNNNNNNNNNNNNNNNNNNNNNNNNNNNNNNNNNNNNNNNNNNNNNNNNNNNNNNNNNNNNNNNNNNNNNNNNNNNNNNNNNNNNNNNNNNNNNNNNNNNNNNNNNNNNNNNNNNNNNNNNNNNNNNNNNNNNNNNNNNNNNNNNNNNNNNNNNNNNNNNNNNNNNNNNNNNNNNNNNNNNNNNNNNNNNNNNNNNNNNNNNNNNNNNNNNNNNNNNNNNNNNNNNNNNNNNNNNNNNNNNNNNNNNNNNNNNNNNNNNNNNNNNNNNNNNNNNNNNNNNNNNNNNNNNNNNNNNNNNNNNNNNNNNNNNNNNNNNNNNNNNUUACAUAGUUGUUUGAUGGCUGUUAUUCAUAGGAUCUUGAUGUAAAAUAUGAUAGAACUUUCAAAAACAAGCUCAAAGCAAAUUGUUAGCAUGAAACGAAAGUAGAAGAGAAAAAGGGGGGAAAACCCAUGAACAAAACCACGUCAGCUCAAUCGGUUCAGAAUGUUCAUCCAAUUAGCCGGUCUAUUCACGCAUUCCAACUUCAAAUCAUUCGGUUGAUGGGGCUGUGAAUGAUGUUCCAUAAGUAGUCAAGCACAAAGUUACUGCCCUUUGGAUUAAUUGGCUAGACACUGAUUAAGCAGCUAAGUAAAUAAAGUGUAGAGUUGAUACAUUGACUUUACUCGCGACUUUUCUCGUGUAAUGUUUGACCAAUAUUCUGAAAUUAAAUUAUUUCAUGUUAAGUACAUUUAACAAGUAUUUCAACACGACCUGCAUUUCAUAUGUGUUGGUACUUAUAGAUUCAAAUGUCGCUUAACAAGCUACUUGGCCUUCUCUUGAGCUCUGGAAAAAUCGAGUCAAAGUUCAAGGCGACAACAAGCAAAUCAAAUCAUGAAUAACUUGCGAGUAGCUUUCAACUACUAAAAUUCCACCAUUGUAAUCUAGUAUAGGAUACAGGAAUAUCUGAGAGUGGCCUCAAAGAAAUUGCUUCAAUUGAAACUUGAACGUGUGAAACGGUAACUGCAAUUUGGUGGAGUAUCAUCUCAUUAUAUAUCAAUUAGAUGACCCUUAGAAGUUUUUUGUACAAAGAAAAUGAGUAAAUUCUGGGAAGGGCUCUUUUCACCCUUCCAAAAAUUCUGUCCACGUUUUGUUAUUGUCUUCCACCGCAACCUAUGCAAGAGAAAAACAGGUUUCAGGUGUGCAAAUAUAUACGGUUGGGUCUCUUCAGCUUUUAGAUUCAUGCUUAAAUAAAUCAAGUUUGAGAUCAUACAAUAAAAGUGAUUGCAAAAUGCGGACACAUAAAUUUUCUGAUGUAACAACAGACCAGAGAAAUUAUUUUACACUACUGAACACCUUUCUUUCUUUUUCUUUUUUUGGUAAAAGGUAAUAAUAUAAAGAGGAACGGUCAAAAGUACAAAAGAUCACAACAUCAAAAACUUGCACUCAAGAUGAACAACUAUAAUGAGUGGAAGUAUGCCAUGAUGUAAGACACAAGGCAGCGCCCAAAAGAAGGCAAACAGACAACUAGAGAGGCACGGCAUGAACAACCAGCAAAGAAACAAACACCUCGGCAAAGGAGGAGAGAGACGUCGACUCCAAAGCACUAGCAGUUCCUUGAAGCAUCGCCGAAACCAGGGUCGAUUACGGGUCCCUCGAGAAGAUAAUGGGAUCGAUGCCCCAACUCCUUUGCAACCUUCUGUUUCUAAAGCUACUGAACACCUUUAUUUUGUGUUCAAAAUUCAACCAAAUGAGGUAAACCUUUUCACUGGAACUCUUGGCUGCAAUUGGUAGAUUUCUUGCUGAUUCCUUGGCAUUUGCUUUUUCUAGUCACAUAAUUAUAGCCUGAAGUGGACAUCUAACUGGUAAUCUCGUUGACAAAUCUCAUUUUAUGCUUAACUUGCACAAAUAAAACCACCUGCACGUGCGGUCUUCCUGCAAGCGAUUUGCGCUUGCAAAAGACAAAUAUCCCACAUGAGAAGAGGCUGCUUUACAUCCAGAAUCCUUUGAAGAGUAUUAACAACACGGAGCACAUGAUAAACGCCACCAGGUUCAGAAUACAUUUUCAUAAUGACAUAGCUCAUUCCUGCCCGCAUCUCCAUCGUGUGGUGUUUGGGGACUUUCUCCAAGUUCCAUGAAAUGCAGCUUGAAUCUACGUGAUGAGGAUGGGACUGACUCAUUAUCAAUAAAUAAAGAAAUGCAAGAUUGCAGCAUCACAAUUUACCACAUGAAAGAUAAGGUACAAAUGCGUAAGCAUCAUUUACUCCAAUCGCUGUUCAACCACAGUGAACAGAGACUUCAUUAGCUAGCAGAUGAAAAAGAAAAAAAAUAGACUUAAAAGAAGUAAACAAUUAGCAACAACACUUUCCCUGUUUGUGUUCAGGAACAAAAUUGAUGUUAAUAAAAUUAUGCUGAAAAGGUGAAAUGCCUAAACUACAGAACAGAAAUACGUACUUGUUACUUGAUCAUUGGCAAUAUCAAAUCAGCAAAAUCAGCAAUUCGGGAUAAAUGGUGAGGAGGUCAGUUUCAACUUCACUAAUUUAAUACUGCAAACAUGAGAACUAAGCUUAUCAAAUCAGAAACCUAUAUGACAACAUUCAAAGGAUAAACUGAUAGAAAUGGAGGAGCUUAGCAGUGCAUACCUACCUCUACAUAGCCUCAUCAGGUUCAGGAGAGAUAUCCUUAGAAUGCAACCACUUCAAACAACUCUGCAUCAGGGUAACAUACACAAAAAUCACCAGCAACUCAUUUGAUUAACAAAGAGAUAGUACCUAACGAGCAUACAAACAACAGAUUCAUUUUUAAAAACUACAUUUGCUAUCAUUCAGGUACACGCUGUUAAGACCAGAUCAAGUGUUUUGGAUCUUCACAAGCAUCAAAACUUCCUCAGAACAUUCCGCUUGGCCCAUGAGCCUCUUCAAGUUUGGCACCUUAGCUGUUGCUGAUGCUUUCUCUGCAAAAUUGGUCUCAGGUAUGGAAUUUGAAGUUCCUCAACCAAGUGAACCACACCCAAUUUAGUCAUGUGAUAAAAUAAUUCCAUGACAAUAAUAUGAUCGAAUGGGUUGUAAACUAAUUAGCAAAUUCCUGAGCUCCUUGCCCCAGCUUGUUUCACAGAUGGGCAAAAAAUUGUCCAAUUAUGCAAAAGGUCAUCAAUACAGCUGAUUGAAUUUAAGUCCCAAAGUAAGCCUUGAUCAUUACAUAGACCAAUCAAACCUGUCAUAGAAGCAGCACCAAUUUACCUUGCUUGACAAUAUUUCAAGACAACAUUUUGACUACUGGUAAUUUUAAGAAAGGCGUACAUUCAUAUAUGACAGAGUAGCCAAAACUACUUUUAACAUUUCUUAAUCACCAACAAAAAAUACAAAUAUUCUCGUUCAAGAAAAAGACCCUAUAUAAACUCCAUCUGCACUAGAGACUCAGACAAACCUUUGAUCGAGAAUUUGCAUAAAACAACUCAAUACUCCACUCCAGACCCCAGUACUUGAUCGAGAAUUUGCCAAGCGGUGUGAGCUCCAUGCAUCCACCUGAGAGAAUUUGGAAGGGGAAAAGUAAUGCUGCUCUUCAAGAACAAACUGAUCUCUCUACUUGGCUUUAGGUAUGAAAAUGUACAUGGCCGUGUCUCUUCUGCUUUUAGAUUCAUGCUUAAAUAAAUCAAGUUUGAGAUAAUACGACCAAAGCGAUUGCAAAAUGCCUACAUAUGAAUUUUCAGACGUAACCAACCUAGAGAGAUGAUUUUACACUAAUGAACGCCCGUAUUUUGUGUUCUAAAUUCUUCCAAAUGAGAAACUAGUGUCUUCUUGAAAACCUUUUCAUUGAAACUCUUGGCUGCAAUUGACAAAUUAUCUGCUGAUUCCACGGCAUUUGCUUUUUCAAGAAAAAAAUCUCCCCCAGUCUCAAAAUUGUAGCUUGAAGUGGACAUCUAAAUGGUAAUUUUGUUAACAAAUCUCAUUUUUCGCUUGACUUCACGUAUAGAACCACUUGCAUCAGGAAGCAUCAGCAACAGCUGAGGACCAUCUUGCAUGCCAAACUUAAAGACACUUUAGGGCUGGCUGGAGCGUCCCAAGGAAGUUUUGAUGCUUCUGCAUAUUCAAGUACUUGAUCUGAUCUCAACAUCACAUCCCUAAAUAAUUGCAAAAUCCCUUUACUUUAUUUUGAUCGAUCUCAAGUAUGCAAUUUGAAGUUCCUCAGUCCACUUAGCCACACCCAAAUCAGUCACAUCAUAAAGCAAGGGGACAACCAUAGCUACCACCGCCACCACAGAGGGGACAGAUACAGGGUAUGCCCCUUAGAACGUGCCAUAAGAAGGACAGCUGAGGCCUCCAGUUCAGGGCACUAUGUAUGCAAUUACACAGGGUCAGGCUGAAGCUGCACCUGGCGUGAUCACCGGUAUGAUUCCGUUGGAUGGACCACCAGCUUAGAGAUGAAUCGAGCUAUGCACUGAGAAGGAAGGACAGUGUUCCUUGAACAAUGCUAUUAGAGUGGCGCAGCAGAAAUUUGGUUAAGUUUAUACAACUUCAGUUGUUGUAAUGAAGUCAUAGAAAGGAGAGUCACUGGUUAUAGUUGUACUUGAAUCCUUUGCCUAUAUAUAACUUUGAUAUAAUAUAUAAAAAGGUUUGGCUUGAAGAGAUUUUUUAUAGUGAAGUGUUGUUGCAAUGUGAUACAGUUUAAUCCGUUGAAGGAGAUUUUUUUUUUUCAAAUUUAUCAGAAGUCGAGGAGGACCCUCGAUUUCCCUAAAUCUCAUUGCGAGUGGUAACCCAUUUGUUAGAUGGAGGUUGCCCAGGGUUACGUAGCGAUUGUCAUAGAUAAGAAAAAUUGGAGAACUAAAGGUUGAGGACACCUCAGUAAUCCAAGAAUUUAUAGACGAGUUGUCAUAGGAAUUGUCAGACCUGUCAUUAGAAAAAGAGAUAGAACUUGUGAUGGAAUUAACAUCCAGGACAGAGCCACUCUCUAAGGCUUAUUAUCAUAUGUCGUUGUCUGAAUUGUUAGAACCGAGGGUGCGGAGAUGAGGAUUGUUGAAUAAGGAAUUCAUGCAUAUCAGUGCAUUACCUUGUGGUAACAUUAGUUCUUUUGUGAGGAAAAGAAAGACGGUUCGUUACGAGUAUGCAUCGACUAUCGUUAACUCGAUCGAGUGACAAUCAAGAACAAGUAUUCAUUGUCGAAGAUCAAUGAAAUGUGUGAUUAGUACAUAAGGUGUCGAUCCAGUAGUUACUUCAUGUGAAGAAAAAAAAUGCGAAGCAUACACCACAGUUAUACAAAGAGAAAAAGGCAUAGAAAGAAAGCUAUGGCAUACCAUUUUGAGUAGAACAAAUUCCUCCAUAAUCUUCACAGCUCAAAACCAAGAGUCAGUCGAACAAUCAAUGACAACCAGAUGAGAAGGGGAAAUUGACGAGAUCCGCAUGGCAAUAUGAUUGCCAAACUAAUAAACACUAAAUCAAAAUAAGGCACGUGAUUAUCAUCCCUUCCCAUCCCAUUCAACAGAACAAGGAAUCUCUACAACACAAUUCAAGCACUAAAUUGGCUUAAAAAAAAAAAACUAUUGUAGAUCCAGGCCAAUAUUUCAUAGUUUUAUUAUAUGCAAGAAUAGUCCUAUUUCUCUAGGAAUAGGAAGCCAUGCAGAGAAGACCCCAGAAUUAGGCAAAAGGUGAUAGUGCGAUGUCGGUAAUCAAUCCGAUCAAUGCUUUUCAGAGCGAGACAUAUGCAUGAAUUAUCAAAUUCUAUAACAAAGGGCUAGAUCACCGAAUUGUUCUUCCAACUAAACUAGUCCCACCACUUUAUGGUGGCUUCCCUUGAAACUUUACUAACCAAAGUAAGACAGCUAUGACUACAUAGACAUUCUAUUUGUUGAUCUGCGAUCGACCCAUUUCUGACUUCCUUCCAACAUCACCAACAAAUUUAGCAAACCAAGCAUUCUGUAAAUGACUUACGAAUUUGCCAACACUUAUCAACUGAAAAAGAACGUCUUUGGUUAUGAAUUGACAGUCUCAUGAGGCAAUAGCUCAAUUUCUCGAGUAAAGUAAUCCCGACAAAGCGAAGGAAUAUUUGAUACUGUUAUCAUUUUGAUCGAUCAAAACAAAUUUUCUCAACAAAAUUGAACAAUCAUUCCUUAGAUUUGACAAGGUUUGAGUGUUAUGUCAGGGAGGGAGGGAGAGAGAGAUGAACUAACCUUUUUCGUAGUAACUAGAAGAGAAGAGCGAAGUAGCGCAAGGAGAAGCUCUAAAUAUAAGAAAUUGUGAAAAAAGUACUUUUUCUGCAACAUAAACACAGUCUUAGCUGAUAGUAAAUUCCUUUUGCGUAUAUUUAGUAAAAUAUUAAAUUGAUCAUAACAUUCUUUAUAUUUUGUAAAGUUUUGCAACCAAUGUGUCAAUAAUUUUCUUUACUUGUGAUAACUUUUUUCAAGCAAAACAAAUUUGACGGAUUAUGUUUUUGCCCUCUUUAUCUAGCUAUCCACCUUGAAUGUAAGAUCGAUAUCAUAAAAGAGAGCUUUGACUUAUGAAGUUUCCAUGACAAUCAUAAUGUUCUAUGCACGAUAGAAUAAUAGUAAAGUAGUGUUGGAAAAGCUAUUUUUCUAAAAUUUUUUGAAAAUCGUUCCAGUGAAAUGUGAAUAUUAAUAUAUAAAGGUAAAAUCGUAAAUUAGAGAAAAGGUAUUACUUGUCAAUUNNNNNNNNNNNNNNNNNNNNNNNNNNNNNNNNNNNNNNNNNNNNNNNNNNNNNNNNNNNNNNNNNNNNNNNNNNNNNNNNNNNNNNNNNNNNNNNNNNNNCAGGGAAAAGUCGUAGGGCGGGCCAAAAAAUAGAACUUAAACAAACUUCAGGGGCGAAAACGGAAUAGAACUUAAACAAACUUUAGGGGCAAAAACGGAAUAGAACUUAAACAAACUUCAGGGGCGAAAAUGGAAUUGUCAAAAAAAGAACUGAAAAAUAUGGCUCCAAGUCUCUCCCAAUUCUCCGGCGUACAAAAUUGGAAAACGAAAAACAUCAAUUCUGCCAUCGCUGGGAAGGUUCUCGAACAAGAGCACUUCGAGCUCACUCGAAUAUCCGAUUCGAGACUGGAGAUCGAUUUGAUUCCGACUCGGGCAUCAUCAAUCGAUCGAAUCGUUCGAACAGGUUGAGAUUCCAUGGAGGGAGCGGGGCUCGGAAGUAGAGAAAGCUCGGUUGCUAAGCUCGGCUCUCAAGUUCGGAUUCGACGAGCAGUCCGCCAACAAGUGCUCGGACCAUCUUGUUUCGCGCUCUACGGUGACUCGAAUUGUUAUUUCGUCGUGCGUUCUUAUGCUAAUUAGCGGUUGUGGAGAUUAUGGAGGUAGCUCUUGUCCCCACGAUGAUGAUGAUGAUGAUGGCUGUGGAAUCGUCUUGCUUUAGGUUUGAAUGCAUCGGAGCGGGUUUAGCGAAGUAGCAGUCCUACUGACGAGCGAAAUGUCCGGCAUUGGUCCAGCUUGAUGUGCUUAGGUUACUUCGGAUGGACGGCGGUUUUUUCUUGAUUAUUGGCCCAAAUUGCGUGAUAUAUAAGGGAAUGCCUUUAAUCGCUCUUGUUGUGGGGUUAGUUUGUGCAUUUGAUUAAACGUGCAUUCCUAGUUAAGGAGAUUUAUUAUGGUUAGUCUCAAUUCUAAUGAUGGCUAUGGAAUAACGGUCUACUUUGGAUUUGAAUGGGACCAGAGUUUAGGUCAUUGAGCGUUAGUCUCAUCCCCUAUUUCUUUGUGGGUUUGGCAGAGUAGUCCUAUUGACAAGUGAAUUGUCUAGCUUAUAUCACUGCAAAUUACUUAUGGUGUCUUGCAAUAAUAUCAAUAUCGUGCCUCUUUGAACUAAAAGCAAAUUACGUAUUGGAAAUUGUAUUUAUUUGAUCUCUUGUUUGCCAUGGAUCUUGCAAAAUCAUGUCUUUCUUCUUUUGCUUUUGUCAAGGUGACGAAGGUCGAGAGUUGAUCACCGUGGAGCACUGUGGCAAUGACAUACUAGUAGAACUUGCUGAAACCAUGCAAGAUUCUUAGGAUUGGGAUGAUUUGCAAGCUGCGGAAUCAGAAGCUCAUGGAGUUUUGACCAAUAUGUUUGGCCAAGAUAUCUGUAAUGACGGUGAAUGCAAUGUUAUACGCGAUGUCAAUAUUAUAGAAGAUUCUCCACAACAUGUGAAAAAUCAAACUUUCCUUGAGUCGAGGAUUCCUCUACUGACAAUGAAGAUGAAGAUGAUGUAUUGGGCAGCAAAACGGGAAGGAAAUCCUCAUGUAUAUUCCUGCCCAAAGCAGUACUCCAAGCAAUACAUCCACUCAAAUUCUGGGCAGACAAUCUUUAGAAUCCAUGGUAUGCUUCUCCCAUGGACAUAGAUAAUACUGCCAAACCACUUAAAUUAGUGUGUGACUGUACUUUUCUCUUAUAAUUUAUUCUCUGCUUGAUCAUUUCCAAUUUGCUUGUGAUUUUGCACACAGCAAAGAACCUACACAAUGUUCAUGUCCAAAGCUUUUUGUAAAUUGCUUAUGGGGUCUCUCAUCCAAUCAUAUGUCCAAUAGACGGUAAUAACUUUUGCCACUCAGUUCCACACUCUUCAAGGUCCAAAAUGACAUAUUAGAACUCUUUGGUCAAUAAAGAAGUUGAUUUCAGUUUUGGAUGAUGUACAAAUACAUAUAUUUCUCAAAUGCUAUGAGAGUACAGCAGAUCAUCAAAGUGCAGAACUUAGCAAUCCAGCGUCUUUGAUAGGAAUGUUUUGUGUAAAUGAAGGCUUGUGAUUUCUUUGAGCACAUUUUUCAUUUUCCAUGACAAUUCAUGUCAGAAACUAUUACGAUAUGAAGAGGCUUAUUUCUGUUGAAAGGCUGUAAGAGCACUGUCACUCAAGGCUCAAUAUCAUUAGUUUCAAAUAAAAGACAUUGCUCUCCGAUUUCGACAUCCAAACAAGGGACUCUGAGUUAUGCGGAAUUCCAAGCCUUGGAUGACAUAGGAUUGGCAAUUGUUGUCAUAUUCGGAAACAAGGCAUUUCGACCAAUGCAGUAUCAAGCUUGUAAAGCUUCUGUAGCCAAGCAAGUUAGCUUUAUUCUCAUGCCCACUAGAGGUGGUAAAAUUUUAUGUUACCAGGUUAGUGAAUGUUAACAUUGUCUCAACUGGGUGAUGAUUGUAUGUAGAAGUGUGUGGAGACAAUGUUAGAGCACAAGCCCUGUGCACUUUGCUCAGUGGUUCCAUCAAUUAAAUGUUUAAGGGUAGACAUGUAUGUCAACAUUUAAGCUUUAACAUGAUCUUCUGAUCUGCUUUGUCUAGCAUUUUAAAGAAGGUUGUGAACUUAAGGAAGGAAUGUUUUUCAAAUGAAAAUUAAGCUAUAGGAAGUGAUUUAGGUACAUAAGCAUGGGUUCCAAUGUAUGGCAUGAUAUUCCAUCUCUUAAGCUGGUUCUCGUGUAUCUGUUUAUUCUAUUAAUGGUUACACUAUAUACUGACAACUUCAGAAAGGCAAAGGUCCACCCACGUGAUCAUUUAUUGUGUUUCUUACAAGGUAUUAAUUGCAUUUGCUCGGCCAGCUUAACCUUAUGAAAGGAAGAUGCCAUAUGCUAUCUAUGUUUGGCAUAAUACUCAGUCUCUUAAGCUCGUUCUUGUGUAUCUAUUUAUUCUAUUAAUGGUUAUACUAUAUACUGAAUGUGAGAAAGGAAAGGGUACACCCACAUGAUCAUUGAUUGUGUUUCUUAAAAGGUAUUAAUUGGAUUUGCUCUGCCAAUUUAAUCUCAUGAAAGGAAUGUGCUGCUGGUUUGAGCUUUUAUUGUACAUUUGCCUGAUUGACGACAAGAGCUCAUUGGUUAUCACUUUCGUGGUUGUCAUGAAAGGAAUGUACUGCUGGUUUGAGUUUUUAUAUAUGCCAACUUAAGCUCCUUUUUCCAAACUUCUCUGCAUUUUCUAUGUUUCUAGCCUAAUUAAAUUGUCAAUGUUACACUAUUCCUUCUGAAGCCCAGAACCCUUUGAAGUUUCUAUAUAAUAGAAUGCAGUGUUCCUUGUUCGAUGAAAAGAUUUAGGUUCUAUUGUCUGGGAACACUUAAGUGUCCCCCGAUGCCAAGUUAUGGCACUUGGGCUGUACUUCUGCCUCCAGUGGAAAUUACUUCCCAGAGUAAUUGGAAUCGGCAUAAGCUUGGAUAAGGAUCCAAUCUCCCAUCUAUGUUUGGCAUGAUACUCAGUCUCUUUUAAGCUGGUUCUUGUGUCGCUGUUUAUUCUAUUAAUGCUUAUACUUUAUGGUAACAACUUGAGGAAGCCAAAGGUUCAACCAUGUGAUCAUUGAUCGUGUUUCUUACAAGGUCUUAACUGGAUUUGCUCUGCCAGUUUGAUCUCAUAAAAGGAACGUGCUGCUGGUUUGAGCUUUUCUUGUACAUUUGACUGAUUAAGGAGUAAAACUCAUUGAUUGUCACUUUUCUGGUUGUCAUUAUUAGUCAAGGGGGACACGAUUUUCAUCUAGAUUAUAGGGGACUGGGAUGUCUAAAGCAGAACUUUCUGUAUGUCCCACGGAUGGCCUUAACUGCAACUGCCACUCAGUUCGUGAGUACUAAACUCACAUAUUAACCUCCUGAUUAUGUUGAAAUAAUCUAUUUAUUUUGAUUGAAUUAUACAUCCAUUGUAGGACAUCCUAAAAGCUCUUGGGGUUCCCCUGUUCUCAUAUAUUAGAUCUAGUCUGUCAAAGCUUGGGGACCCAAGGUUUGACAGACUAGAUCUAAAAUAUGAGGUCAUAGCUAAGGCCUAGGAACCACUGAAGCAGCUUGGAAGGCUACUAAAAAAUUGUUUUGCUAAUUUUUCUGAUGUCACAAAAUACUUGAAUGAGAAGUGCUGUAUAAAAGUGGUGUACUAUCAUGUUGGAUUAGUAGCUCGUCACUGUUCAAAAGAAAUGGCAUACUGGAGAGGUCCAGAUUGUAUUCGCUACCAUUGCCUUUUGGGAUGGGAAUAGACAAACCUGAUGUUGUAAGUCAAAAUGGACUCUGGCCUUUGCCUAUUUCUUAGGUUUUAGAAGUCGAUAAACGUGGUGGAAUGACCCGGAGAAGCAGAGAAGAGGAGAGUGGCCAGAUACAAGCUUCAUUUGGUCGAGGACAAGUUCAAGGCUUCUUUCAAACAAGGGUUCCGGUGGUUGAAGUGCAAAUGCACGAGCUUUAUGCAUCGAUUUUUAAUAUGUAGAAAUUACGAAAUAUCAUGCGCAUCGUCAUCAAAAGAGAAAAGGAUGAAAUUGGUUAGGAGGAAACAAAGAGGUCUGUUUUGUUUAUUGGCUAAUCAUCCCAAACCCGGGGCAGUACGGAGGGAUGGACUAAGAUCGCCUUGGCAAUACGUAGGUGAGGCCAAGGGCAUGUCUCCCGUCCCACAUUGCUUAGGGGGGGUCCUAGGCUAGUUUAUAAAAGCUUGGAUCCUUUUAAUCUGUAUAACGCGUUUUAAAGUCGUGGGGACUUAGUGUCCAAAGCGAAUAAUAUUAUACAGUGGGAUCCGGGUUGUUACAAAUGGUAUCAGAGCUGACUCCCGACCGCAUGUGGCAAUGCGUUUUAAAGCCGUGAGGACUCAAUGUCCAAAGCGGACAAUAUUAUACGGUGGGACCUGGGUCAAUACAAUAUGUAUCUAAAGGUAUAUAAGUAUUAUGAAGAGUGCCACAAUGUUCGAUCUUUCCAGUGUAAUGUGUGUUCGAAUCCUUGUUUCAUUCGUCAAUCUCCAGCAUUUGAAACAUAGGAAAAUGAGACGACUCGUAUGUGAUAUCCACAUAUAUUUAUAUUUGCUGAAAGUUUUUUUUCCCCGAAUUUCCUUACCUUCUGAUUUAUCUGCAACAUGAUUCUGCAUGCAUGCAUGCAUUCUCAUGCAAAGUAAAAAUUGUCUGACCUGCUAAUUUCUCUUCUCAACAACACGAUGCUGAUUGCAAAAUAAGAUGGCUGCUUUCAUUUGUAGGAUUUGACGUUUACAUCUACUUUCGUGGUCGAUUUCAUUGUUUAGAACUUUUAUUUUUGGCCAAAUGUUGUUUUAAGUCUCCGUUUUGGGGUUCAUUAACCCUGUAAUUCCUCAAUUUGUCUAUUUCGAUUCCUCUGCAUUAUAUGAUUCAUCAUAUGGCAAACUACCAAAGCUAUACAUUCUAACAUGCAGCUAGCAGGUGAUAAAUAAGCUGAAAGGCCUUCUAUACUUCCAUUCUGAUUUGAGGACAGUUUUCAUAUUUCAACUACUGUCCUGUCGAGCUUGGAGUUACAAAUAUGAGGAAAUCAAAGAGCCUGAACCGAAUUUUCUCUUGUCCUUUGGGAACUUACAUAGUUAUUGUUUGAACGGCUGUUAUUCAUAGGAUCUUGAUGUAAAAUGUGAUAGAACUUUCAAAAACAAGCUCGAAGCAAAUUGUUGGCAUGAAACGAAAGUAGAAGAGAAAAGCGGGGAAAACCCAUAAACAAAACCCCAUCAGCUCAAUCAGUUCAGAAUGUUCAUCCAAUUAUCCGGUCUAUUCACUCGUUCCAACUUCAAAUCAAUUCGGCUGAUGGGGCUGUGAAUGAUGUUCCGUAAGUAGUCAAACACAAAGCUACUGCCCCUUGGAUUAAUUACCUAGACACUGACUAAGCAGCUAAGUAAAUAAAGUGUAGAGCUGAUACAUUGACUUUACUUGUGGCUUUUCUCGUGCAAUGUUCGACCAAUACUCUAAAAUUAAAUUAUUUCAUGUUAAGUACAUUUAACAGGUAUUUCAACACAAUUUGCAUUACAUAUGUGUUAGUACUUUUAGAUUCAAAUGUGGCUUAACAAGCUACUUGGCCUUGUCUUGAGCUCUGGAAAAACUGAGUCAAAGUUCAAGGGGACGACAAGCACAUCAAACCAUGAAUACCUUGCGAGUAGCUUUCAACUACUAAAAUUCCACCAUUGUAAUUUAGUACAGGGUACAAGAAUAUCUAGAGUGGCCUCAAAGAAAUUGCUUCGAUUGACACUUGAAUGUGUGAAACGGUGACCACAAUUUGGAGGAGUAUCAUCUCAUUAUAAACCAAUUAGAUGACCCUUAGAAGUUUUUUGCUCAAUGAAAAUGAGUAAAUUUUGGGAAGGGCUCUUUUCACCCUUCCAAAAAUUUAGUCCACGUUUUGUUAUUAGUCUUCAACUGCAGCCAAUGCAAGAGAAAAACAGGUUUCGGGUGUGAAAAUAUAUACGGUUAGGUCUCUUCGGCUUUUAGAUUCAUGCUUAAAUAAAUUAAGUUUGAGAUUAUACAAUAAAAGUGAUUGCAAAAUGCGGACAUAUGAACUUUAUGAUGUAACACCAGACCAGAGAGAUGAUUUUACACUACUGAACACCUUUCUUUUGUGUUCAAAAUUCAACCAAAUGAAAAUCUACUGUCUUCUUGUAAACCUUUUCACUGAAACUCUUGGCUGCAAUUGACAGAUUUUUUGCUGAUUCCGUGGCAUUCGAUUUUUCUAGUCACAAAAUUGUAGCCUGAAGUGGACAUCUAACCGGUAAUCUCCUUGACAAAUCUCAUUUUAUGCUUAACUUGCACAAAUAAAACCACCUGCACAUGCGGUCUUCCUGCAAGUGAUUUGUGCUUGCAAAGGACAAAUAACCCACAUGAGAAGAGGAUGCUUCGUAUCCAGAAUCCUUUGAAGAGUAUUGACAACACGGAGCGCAUGAUAAACACCACUAGGUUCAGAAUACAUUUUCAUAAUGACAUAGUUCAUUCCUGCCCGCAUCUCCAUUGUGUAGUGUUUGGGGACUUUCUCCAAGUUCCAUGAAAUGCAGCUUGGAUCUACACGAUGGCAUAGGACUGAAUCAUUAUCAAUAAAUAAAGAAAUGGGAGAUUGCAGCAUCGCAAUUUACCUCAUGAAAGAUAAGGUACAAAUGCGAAAACAUCAUUUACACCAAUCGUUGUUCAACCACAGUGAACAGAGACUUCAUUAGCUAGCAGAUGAAAAAGAAAAAAAAAAGGCUUAAAAGAAGUAAACAAUUAGCAACACCACUUUCCCCGUUUGUGUUCAUGAACAAAAUUGAUGUUAAUAAAAUUAUGUUGGAAAGGUGAAAUGCCUAAACUAUAGAACAAAAAGACGUACUUGUUACUUGAUCAUUGGCAAUAUCCGAUUAGCAAAAUCAGCAAUUCGGGAUAGAUUGUGAGGAGGUCAGUUUCAACUUCACUAAUUCAAUCCUGCAAACAUGAGAACUGAGCUUAUCAAAUUAGAAACCUAUAUGACAACAUUCAAAAGAUAAACUAAUAGAAAUGGAGGAGCUUAGUGCAUACCUUCCUCUGCAUAGCCUCAUCAAGUUCAGGAGUGAUAUCCCUAGAAUGCAACCACACCAAACAACUCUGCAUCAGGAUAACAUACACAAAAAUCACCAGCUACUCAUUUGAUUAACAAAGAGAUAGAACCUAACGAGCAUACAAACAAUAGAUUCAAUUUUAAAAACUACAUUUACUAUCAUUCAGGUACAUGCUGUUGAGACCAGAUCAAGUGCUUUGGAUCUUCACAAGCAUCAAAACUUCCUCAGAACAUUCUGCUUGGUCCAUGAGCCUCUUCAAGUUUGGCACCUCAACUGUUGCUGACGCUUUCUCUGCAAAAUUGGUCUCAGGUAUGGAAUUAAAGCUCUUCAGCCAAGUGAGCCACACCCAAUUCAGUCAUGUGAUCAAAUAAUUCCAUGACAACAAUAUGAUCAAAUGGGAUGUAAACUAAUUAGCAAAUUCUUGAGCUCCUCGCCCCAGCUUGCUUCACGGAUGGCAAAAAAUUGUCCAGUUAUGCAAAAAGACAUCAAUACAGCUGAUUGAAUUUAAGUCCCAAAAUAAGCCUUGAUCAUUACAUAGACCAACAAACCUAUAAUAGAAGCAGCACCAGUUUACCUUGCUUGAUAAUAUUUCAAGACAACAUUUUGACUAUUGGUAAUUUUAAGAAAGGCGUACAUUCAUAUAUGACAGACUAGCCGAAACUACUUUAACAUUUCUUAAUCACCNNNNNNNNNNNNNNNNNNNNNNNNNNNNNNNNNNNNNNNNNNNNNNNNNNNNNNNNNNNNNNNNNNNNNNNNNNNNNNNNNNNNNNNNNNNNNNNNNNNNNNNNNNNNNNNNNNNNNNNNNNNNNNNNNNNNNNNNNNNNNNNNNNNNNNNNNNNNNNNNNNNNNNNNNNNNNNNNNNNNNNNNNNNNNNNNNNNNNNNNNNNNNNNNNNNNNNNNNNNNNNNNNNNNNNNNNNNNNNNNNNNNNNNNNNNNNNNNNNNNNNNNNNNNNNNNNNNNNNNNNNNNNNNNNNNNNNNNNNNNNNNNNNNNNNNNNNNNNNNNNNNNNNNNNNNNNNNNNNNNNNNNNNNNNNNNNNNNNNNNNNNNNNNNNNNNNNNNNNNNNNNNNNNNNNNNNNNNNNNNNNNNNNNNNNNNNNNNNNNNNNNNNNNNNNNNNNNNNNNNNNNNNNNNNNNNNNNNNNNNNNNNNNNNNNNNNNNNNNNNNNNNNNNNNNNNNNNNNNNNNNNNNNNNNNNNNNNNNNNNNNNNNNNNNNNNNNNNNNNNNNNNNNNNNNNNNNNNNNNNNNNNNNNNNNNNNNNNNNNNNNNNNNNNNNNNNNNNNNNNNNNNNNNNNNNNNNNNNNNNNNNNNNNNNNNNNNNNNNNNNNNNNNNNNNNNNNNNNNNNNNNNNNNNNNNNNNNNNNNNNNNNNNNNNNNNNNNNNNNNNNNNNNNNNNNNNNNNNNNNNNNNNNNNNNNNNNNNNNNNNNNNNNNNNNNNNNNNNNNNNNNNNNNNNNNNNNNNNNNNNNNNNNNNNNNNNNNNNNNNNNNNNNNNNNNNNNNNNNNNNNNNNNNNNNNNNNNNNNNNNNNNNNNNNNNNNNNNNNNNNNNNNNNNNNNNNNNNNNNNNNNNNNNNNNNNNNNNNNNNNNNNNNNNNNNNNNNNNNNNNNNNNNNNNNNNNUACAUUUUCAUGACCGACAGUUAUAAAUCCCCAGACAAUAAAACAAUGGGAUAGGAAAGCAGGCCAUAUUUUUCAUAUUGAAAUUCAUAACCACACUUUCAUUAACAACACCACUCAUAGUAUAUUUACAAUACUAUUUACAGCAUAAAAGUCUCACACCUAUCUAUACCAAGACAGGGUUCACAAAAGGGAUGGGAUCUCAAUCCACAUCCGGGUUAUAUUCAAGAUCCCUCUUUGGAUCAUCUUCUUCCUCAAAAGUCUUUCUCCUCUUCAGGUUCCUCCUCCUUCGAUUCUCCUCAGGGUCCUGAAAUGGUUAUUCAAUAACCAAUGAGACCACGUCUCAGCGAGUCCUACCCACUAAGACUCGAUUAAUAAACUAAUACGCCAUCCGGUUGCCUAAGCACAACACGAGUCAGAGGACUUACCUUGGCCUCAGUUCCAACCUGCAAUUUAAGGUUAAACACAAGUAUUCAAACAAUUCACGACAUUCGAUCAAGCAUUGAUCAAUCGACUAAGUCGAUUACAUGUCAGUCAGACCCUCUCUAGGUCAUUCCCACUCAUACCAUGAAUUCCCAGUGGUGUACUCAUUCACCAAAUCACAUGUGUUUCUCGGGCGUCGUUUUCGCCAAUGACAUACCGAUCACCGACACCGUGCGUUCUUUAAGGCGCCGUUUUCACCAGUGAUAACCUUGAUCACCGAACCACGUGUCCUUUCAAGGGCGCCGUUUUCGCCAAGGUGACAUCGGCUAUAGACAACAUCGUGCGUUCUUUAAGGCGCCGUUUUCACCAGUGAUAUUCCCAUAACCACCGAACCACGUGUGUCUAUAAGUCAUUUACGUGCGUUCUUUAAGGCGCCGUUUUCGCCAGUGAUACUUCCAAUCACCGAACCAUGUAUGUCCAAUAACAUCGUACCUGAUUGGUCUCAGCCAAUAACAUUCUCAGUUAGCUAUCACCAUUCUCCCUACUACAUAGCCCAUCAACGUACUGGCGCUAUAUACUCAUGCUCGGCCAUUACCAAUCAAAUACUCAAUAACAAACAAUUUAAGACAAUUCCUAAAAUUCCACAAUAAAUUCAAUUCCACACAACGUAGAGCUCAAAUAAAUAAACGGACUGCACCACGACAAUCAGCACGAAAUUCCGGUCACCGGCCAUCCCGGUUGAAUUUCCGGAAAAAUAAUUAAUUAAAUAAUUAAUUUCGAAAAUAAAUAAAUAAACAUAAAAAAAAUCCAAUUUAGGCCUAUAUUGCCUUAUUGGAGCCCGAAACGGGUCGGGAAAAAUCCCGAGAUACAUUCAAUAAAUAACCAAACAUUUCUACUUGUUAAUAGCUAGGUCUAACCACCUAACAUGCAUCCUCAAGUCACUAAUUUAAUUGUUCUAACCUAAUCUAACCACCUAAGUGCAUGUAAUUAAAUCUAACCAACCCUAAGACAUAAUUAGCAAACUAAUAAAGCUUUAGUGAGUAAAACUCACUUGAUAAAAGCGGAGACCGAAUCACCGCAACGGCGACGCGACGGCGGCCGAAAUCGGACUUUCGACGACACCGGCGGGCUUGGGACCGGGCCUUGACCUUGGCCCAACAAAUCUCAGCCCAACUGAGAUUUGUUACUGAAAUGGGUCAAGCUUGAUUGAAAUAGCACUUGCUGGGCUUCUUGGGCCGCAGGACUUCAAAGACUGGGCUGACUUGUGAAAACAAUCAACUUGCUGGGCUGAGCUUGGGCCAAAACUUCUGCUGACUUGGCCUAAAUGGGCUGCUGUUGGUGUAAUAUUUGAAUGGGCUUGAAGACUGCACUAUGGCCCGAAAUUACUGGCUUUACUGGGCCUGAGGAUUGCUGGACUGAAGCUUCGGUUUGGGCUGAGGACACGCGUGCAGCUGGUCGUGGGAGUGUGCGGUCAAUUGACCGAUCGAUGCUGCCCUCGGUGAAUUGAUUUGUGAAUAAACGAAGGUGGAGCUGGCCACGUGAGGAACUUCGGGCGCUGAAGAUGGAGAGGAAAUUGGAUUUGCUUCGUGGCAGGGCUUCGCUCGGUGGAGUCUUCGUUCGGUGGAGCUUCGGUCUUCAAGGCUUCGCUGGUUCGCUUGUUGACCGAAGCAGGAAGAGAAGCGGGCAAGUGGCAGCGGAUGAGGGGCAGCUUCUUCAGUGGUGCCGCUCGGUCAACAAUUGCUCCGCUCGGUGGAGAAUUGACCGAGAUGACGUGCGGACAGCAGAGGCGUGGGGACUUCGGUGGACUCGGCUUCGCAUGGGGCAGCUUUAGUAAGUCUUCACGCUGCUGGAGAAGACACGAAGCUCUGCACGCGGUUAACGAUCUUGUUGCUGCUGAUGUCUCGGUCCUCAAGCGGCAGAAAUUCUCGGCAGAAUGGAGCUUGUCGCACAAAGAAAUGAGAAGGGAGAGAGAGAAGUAAUUCACGGCAGCUUGGGGAAGGGGAUGAGGGGUGAGGGCCCUUUAAGCUUGAUAUUUUACAAAAUAUCUCCCAAAACAAUUCUCAGCCAUGCAUAAUUUCCUUGGCUCACAAUGGACCUCUCAUCCAUUCUUCUAGAAGCCGAAUUGGUCCAAUUGUUGUGGCUAGGUGGGGGGUUACGAAUUUUGGGAGAGAUGGCUUAACUUGCACAACCAUUCUCUCCAAAUUGAGGUCAAAUUUUGAUGUAGAAAAAUCCCAAAUGAUUUUCUAUAAUUCCCCGACACACAACGGCUCAACCCGAAAGUCAAAUUUCCCAUUAAUUUAGCCAAUCUGAACUUCGGCCAAACUUCCACGACGUCUGAACCCAAUUUCCGUAAAAUUUCCUGAAUCUCCGAAAAUCUUCUGAGACUGAGUCGAUGCUCCUAAAAUAGCUUGUGACAUCACUAAACUUUCGAUUUCUGAAAUCUGACUCAAAUCGACGGUUAAUUUCACUCCGGCGUGCUUUUAGUGUGACCUAGACUACCGGGUAGUUUUUAGAACUUUUUAGGGCAAUUGACUCGUGGUCGAUUUUCUUCGAGCCACAAUGAACCCACUCGACACAUUGGCGACUCUCAAUUGUCGUGAAAAUCCCGAGGGCUCGACUACUAACACAGGGUACCAAAACGACAGAAAAUCAAAUUAGUGCCAGUCGACGAGAAUUUUCCAAUUUAGUGGAGUCACCCACGAUCGGCCACACAUCUCAGUCGAACCGACCUAUCUCUGAUCUCAGUUCGAUCUUUAACUGUGCAGUAAUGACCUCUAAAGAUGGACACGGUCGAGAAGCCGCUUCCUGGUCGAAUUCUCAAGUCUAUUGCCUUAAUAUUCUUUAAUGGCAUACCCAGCUAGUCCAGUUAUCUCGAGAGUGAUCAGCUCUGAGAACAACCCUAUAGACACGUCAAUGAAAUGCCCGAUUAAUUUAAUAGAAAACAAUACUGAAAAUUCUGGAUGUCACACCUAUAGAAACUCCAUUCACACUAAAGACUCAGACAAACCUUUGAUCGAGAAUUUGCAUAAAACAACUUGUUAGAAGUAAGAAGGGCAAAUGGGUCUUUACCACUUUUAGGAUUUAUUUUGAUGUGUAUAUAUAUUAAACUUUAUUGAAUAAUACAAUGUACGUUGUCCUCACAUGGUAUCAAAGCUUAGGGCUUAACCUUAGACGCCGGAACAGUCGCCGUCGCCAUCAUCGGCCACUCGCUGGAUUAGUCGCCAUUGCGGCAAGUUUCCAUCGUGUGUCCCUUUUCUCGUGCGACUCUUCCUUAGGAGAGUUCUCUCUAGUGUGAGCUCGCGCAAUUCACGCUCACCUAGUUCGCGGGGCACCCUCGCGCGGCUUGCCCAUCUCGCGCUACACCCUUGUGCGGCUUCUCUAGUUCACUUGGUUCCCUUGAUGCAACUCUCGUGGUUGCUGGGAUGUUAGUCGCUGACUUUAGUCAUUUAUUUUGGUUGCUAGGGUGCUGGUCGCUAACUUGAAUUGCUGAUUUUGGUCACCUCCAGCAUUGAAAAAUAUAUAUUGGUGGCAGGUUUGCUCAUUUCUGGGCUGCCGAUUCUUGGUGAAAUAUAUGAGUUGAUUUUAAUGUAUUUGCUGAUGUUUAUGGGUCAUUGAGACUUUUAUAUGGAGAUAUAUUAUCAAUUUUGGUGAGUUAUUGAUUUGUUGGGGCUGAGUUAUUAUUGUGAGAAUUUUUAAGUCGUUCUUGGAAAAUGAGCGAUCAAUCGAAGAGUACAAUUGAAGUAGAUCUUGAGAAGAAUAAUACUAUGAUGACUAGGGUGAUUUCCUCUUCGUCUAAUCAAAUUACUGAUAAGAAGCUCGUAGGUAGUGCUAACUUCCACCAAUGGAAGAAUUUGUGAAGCUUACUUUGACAGGCAGGAAUCAACAUAGACACUUAACUAAGUUUAAGCCCAGAGAUGAUGUAACUUGGGAUGGUGUUGAUGCACGUAUUCUUGGUCAAAUGCUGAAUUAUAUGGAGAAUAAUGUAGUUGACAUGGUAACUCAUAUUGAUACAGUUAGUGAACUAUGGGAGUAUUUGAAUGUAUUGUAUUCUGGCCAAAAUAAUUUGUCACGGAUUUAUGAGCUAUCGCAAGAGUUUUAUCGAUUUGAAAGGAAGGGAUGCUCCAUUACCCAUUGCUUUGCAGACUUUAAGAGAUUGUAUGAGGAGUUGAAUGCCGUUCUCCCUAUUUCAGCUGAUGUUCAACAAAUGCAACGUUAGAGAGAACAAUUGACUAUAAUGGGAUUCUUAGGAAGUCUUGGUUCUGAAUAUGAAACUAUUAGGUCUCAGAUUCUUGGAGGAGAGACUAUAGCGUCACUCACAGAUACGUUUACUCGAGUUCUUCGAGUAUCUCGUGAGUCUUCUCUAGAUACCACAUCUAUGGUGGGGAGUUCAGCUCUUGUGUCCCAAACUCGAACUGGUAGUGAUAAUAGGAGUGAUGGAGGAAACCGUGGCAGAUAUAAUGGGCAUAGUGUCUGAGGAGGAGGCUGAGGCAUAGGAAUAGGGAGAGGUCAAGGUCAUCAGCAUCCUUAUGAACAAUUUCACAUAUCUAUUAAUAAUUCGGAAACUAAAUGAGUUUGUCAUUAUUGUGGCAAACCUGGUCAUAUUCAAAAAUUUUGUUACAAGCUACAUGGGAGAUCAGGGCAGUAGCACCAGUUCGCUAAUACGACGUCUAAUAUUGAAUCUACUCCACAAUCAUCUGAAGACAAGGUAGUGGUUAUGUUUGCUGAGGAAUAUGCUCGGUCAAACAAUCUCAAAUCUCACAGCCCGUUUCUUCCGCUGCUACUUUGGCACAGACAGGUAAUGCUACUGCAUGCCUUUCAGCUACUUCUUGUCCUUGGAUCAUUGAUUCAGAGGCUUUUGAUCACAUGUCAGGUCUUUCAGGUAUAUUUUCCUCUCUUUCUCCAUCUUUGUCCAUAGUUACUCUAGCCAAUGGAUCACCUACACAUGUUAAGGAAAUUGGCACAGUUAACCCAACUCCUUCAUUGCCGUUGUCCUCAGUGCUUUUGUCACGCCCCGAUCCUCGAACGCGCGCACAUCCUUCUACUUGGUCGAUUUUAUAAUGCGAUAUCCCAGGACUAUGUAUCGCCGACCCUUUAUUUUUAUUAAGCACAUGCGGAAGCAGUUAUAAAUCCCCAGACAAUAAAACAAUGGGAUAGGAAAGUAGGCCAUAUUUUUCAUAUUGAAAUUCACAACCACACUUUCAUUUACAGCACAACUCAUAGAGUAUUUACAAUACUAUUUACAACAUAAAAGUCUCACACCUAUCUAUACCAAGACAGGGUUCACAAAAGGGAUGGGAUCUCAAUCCACAUCCGGGUUAUAAUCAAGAUCCCUCUCUGGAUCAUCUUCUACUUCAAAAUAGUUUCUCCUUCCUCAGCUUCUCCUUCCUCAGCUUUUCCUCAGGGUCCUGAAAUGGUUAUUCAAUAACCAAUGAGACCACGUCUCAGCGAGUCCUACCCACUAAGACCCGAUUAAUAAACUAAUACGCCAUCCGGUUGCCUAAGCACAACACGAGUCAGAGGACUUACCUUAGCCUCAGUUCCAACCUGCAAUUCAAGGUUAAACAUAGAUAUUCAAACAAUUCACGACAUCCGAUCAAUCAUUGAUCAAUCGACUAAGUCGAUUACAUGUCAGCCAGACCCUUUCUAGGUCAUUCCCACUCAUACCACACUUUCUCAGUGGUGUACUCAUUCACCAAAUCACAUGUUUCUCGGGCGUCGUUUUCGCCAAUGACAUACCGAUCACCGACACCGUGCGUUCUUUAAGGCGCCGUUUUCACCAGUGAUAACCUUGAUCACCGAACCACGUGUCCUUUCAAGGGCGUCGUUUUCGCCAAGGUGACAUCGGCUAUAGACAACAUCGUGCGUUCUUUAAGGCGCCGUUUUCACCAGUGAUAUUCCCAUAAUCACCGAACCACGUGUGUCUAUAAGUCAUUUACGUGCGUUCUUUAAGGCGCCGUUUUCGCCAGUGAUACUUCCAAUCACCGAACCACGUAUAUCCAAUAAUAUCGUACCUGAUUGGUCUCACCAUUCUCCCUACUAUAUAGCCCAUCAACGUACUGGCGCUAUAUACCCAUGCUUGGCCAUUACCAAUCAAAUAUUCAAUAACAAACAAUUUAGGACACUUCCUAAAAUUCCACAAUAAAUUCAAUUCCACACAACGUAGAGCUCAAAUAAAUGAACGGACUGCACCACGACAAUCAGCACGAAAUUCCGGUCACCGGCCAUCCCGGUUGAAUUUCCGGAAAAAUAAUUAAUUAAAUAAUUAAUUUCGAAAAAUAAAUAAAUAAACAUUAAAAAUCCAAUUUAGGCCUAUAUUGCCUUAUUGGAGCCCGAAACGGGUCGGGAAAAAUCCCGAGAUGCAUUCAAUAAAUCACCAAAUAUUUGUACUUGCUAAUAACUAGGUCUAACCACCUAACAUGCAUCAUUAUGUCACUAAAUUAAUUACUCUAACCUAAUCUAACCACCUAAGUGCAUGUAAUUAAAUCUAACCAACCCUAAGACAUAAUUAGCAAAUAAAUAAAGCAUUAGUGAGUAAAACUCACUUGACAAAAGCGGAGAUCGAAUCACCGCAACGGCGACGCGACGGCGGCCGAAAAGCCGAACUUUCGGCGGCGAUGACAAACACACGGACCGGGCCUAAAAGCCUCGCAAGCUUGCAGAAAUUUCUAGGCUUGGGCUUGGCUCCGCGGGCUUCAAAAACUGGGCUUGAAAUAAAACUGAAUUGGGCCUGACUUUGCUGGGCCCAAAAAUUUGAAAUUACUGGGCUUUCCAAUCCAAUUGAUGCUGGGCUUCAAGACUAGGACAGAAUUGGACUGGGCUUGAACUUGGGCUAAACUGAUGCUGGAACUUACAAGCUGAUGGGCCAAAAUUGCUGUGAAGAUGGGCCUCCAAAAACUAACUGAAACUGAACUUGCGUGGGCUGGAUGUUGGGCCGUGUUUGAUGGAGAUGGGCUCACGAAACUCGCUGGAUGUCGAGGCUGGAGACGCGGACGAAGGGAGCUCCUUCGUUUGAGGUUGGCGCGGCAAGAUUGAAGCAGAAACGGAGCUGGGGAUGGGUGGCGUGAGUGGCCGACCAACCUUGGUGGAGAAGGGACAAAUUCUCGCGGACGGAUGCUGGCUUCCUCGGUGGUUUCAUUCGGUGGUCAACAAGGUGGAGAGAACCUGCUUUUGUUGACCGUGGAGUUGCAGGCCAUGGACGCGUGGAGAGGAGAAGAGAGCUUCGGUGAGUGGGGUCUUCGUGGAGUCUUCAACGUGGAGAAGAAUGUUGACCGAAGAAGUGGAAGACGCCUGGCAGCUUGCAGGUGUUGUUGGCGACGGAUCUUUGCACGGAUGAGGGGCUGUUUCGCUGGAGAUUGACCGAUGAAGAUGGGAAUUGAUUUGUUGCCGACAAAUCCCAGUGGAGGACGCGGCUUCGGUCUUCAGUGCAGCUGGUCUAUCGAUCUUCAAGCAGCGGUAAUGGAAAGCAAAAAAGGGAGGUUGUCGCACGAAGGAAAAUGAGAAGGGAGAGAGAGAAGUAGUUCACGGCAGCUAGAUGGAGAGGAUGAGGAAGAGUUGAGCUCCACUUGGUUGGAUCUUUUGCAAAAUAUCUUUCAAAGCUAUUCUAAGCCAAGUAUAAUCUCAUGGCUUCCAAGGAUCCACCAAGACACUCUUCAAGACUUUCCAAUUGGUCAAAAAUGGCUAGGAGGGAGGGGGCUACGAAUUUUACCAUUUGAACUUCAAUUUCUCCAAUAAAUUCCCAAAUUGAGGUCCAAUUUCGACGUAGAAAAAUCCCACAUGAUUUUCUAUAAAUCCCUGACACACAACGGCUCAGCUUGAAAGUCCAAUUUUCCCUUAAUUUAGCCAAUCUGAAUUUCCGUCAAAACUUCCACGACGUCCGAACCCAAUUUCCGUAAAAAUCUCGGGACCUCCGAAAAUCUUCUGAGACUGAGUCGAUGCUCCUAAAAUAGCUUGUGACAUCACUGAACUUUCGAUUUCUGAAAUAUGACUCAAAUCGACGGUUAAUUUCACUCCGGCGUGCUUUUAGUGUGACCUAGACUACCGGGUAGUUUUCAGAACUUUUUAGGGCAAUUGACUCGUGGUCGAUUUUCUUCGAGCCACAAUGAACCCACUCGACACAUUGGCGACUCUCAAUUGUCGUGAAAAUCUCGAGGGCUCGAUUACCAACACAGGGUACCAAAACGACAGAAAAUCAAAUUAGUGCCGGUCGACGAGAAUUUUCCAAUUUAGUGGAGUCACCCACGAUCGGCCACACAUCUCAGUCGAACCGACCUAUCUCUGAUCUCAGUUCGAUCUUUAACUGUGCAGUAAUGACCUCUAAAGAUGGACACGGUCGAGAAGCCGCUUCCUGGUCGAAUUCUCAAGUCUAUUGCCUUAAUAUUCUUUAAUGGCUUACCCAGCUAGUCUAGUUAUCUCGAGAGUGAUCAGCUCUGAGAACAACCCUAUAGACACGUCAAUGAAAUGCCCGAUUAAUUUAAUAGAAAACGAUACUGAAAAUUCUGGAUGUCACAGCUUUAUCUUCCACAAUUUCCAUUUAACCUCAUGUCUGUUAGUAAGUUAACCAAAAACUUUCAGUCUUCGAUAACUUUUUAUCCUGAUUCUUGUAUUUUCCAGGAUUUGGCUACGAAGAAGACAAUUGGUAGAGGACAUGAGGAAGGGGGGUUGUAUGUACUUGAAGAUGCUUCUUCAAUUGCUUGCUCAAGUGUUGCGUCCCCACAUCAAAUCCAUUGUCAUCUUGGUCAUUCUUCUCUAUGUAGUCUUCAAAAAUUGGAUUCUAGUUUUCAAUCUCUUUCUAGUCUAGAGUGCGAGUCAUGCCAACUUGGCAAAUUACAUUGUGUUAGUUACACACCUCGAGUCAUUAAACGAGCAUCAUCUCCUUUCUUAUUAGUUCAUUAAGAUAUUUGGGGUCCUUGUCAUGUGGUUUCUAAUUCGGGUUUAAGAUAUUUUGUUACUUUUAUUGAUGACUAUUCCAGAGUUACUUAGUUAUAUUUAAUGAAAGAUCAUUUAUAAUUAUUUUCUAUUUUUUGUGCAUUUAUAUCCAAAAUUUAUACUCAAUUUGGCAUGCAUGUUAAAAUUCUGCGUUCUGAUAAUGCCAAGGAGUACUUUUCCACAUCUUUUUCUUAUUUUAUGACUCAACAUGGUAUGAUCCAUGAAUCUUCCUGUCCUGAUACUCCACAACGGAAUGGUGUUGUUGAAAGGAAGAAUAGGCAUUUAUUGGAAGUUACUAGAUCCAUGUUAUUUGAGAUGAAGGUCCCCAAAACUUUUUGGUCUGAUGCUAUUCUAACUGCAUGUUAUCUCAUUAAUCGCAUGCUUUCUUAUGUUCUACAAGGUGGUAUUCCUUUUUCCAUUUUGUUUUCUAAUGAACCACUAUUUGUUCUACCACCCUGUAUCUUUGGUUGUGUCUGUUUCGUUUGUGAUCAUUGACUUGGAGUAUCAAAACUUGAUCCCAAGGCAAUCAAGUGUAUGUUUAUGGGUUAUUUUCACACUCAAAAGGGAUAUCGUUGUUAUUCUCCAUUACCGAGAAAAUAUUUUAUAACAGCUGAUGUUUCAUUUUUUGAAUCCACUCCUUAUCAUAAUGUUCUAAUUGAUGUACCUGAAUUGGAUGAAGACUUGUAUGUGACUACCAUUCGGUCUACUAUUUCAACUAUAUCACUAGUAUCUACAGAGAAACCACCUCCUCUCCAGGUUUGUACUCGACGUCCUUGUGUUGCUACUGCUCCCUCCGCUCCUCCUAUCACUACUACAUCAUCUUUUGCUCUAGAUCUGCCAUUAGCUAACCCUUCGCUUGCAUUUGAUCUUGAUCUUCCUAUUGCUCAUCGCAAAGGUACACAUACUUGUACUCAACAUUCUAUUGCAAAUUUUAUUUCACUCUUUUGUGUCCCCUACGUUUCGAGCUUUAUUAACUACUGUUGAAUAAUAUCUUGUCCCCAAGUUUGUCGCUGAGGCAUUACAAAGUUUUGGCUAGAGGACAGUAAUGGAAGAAGAAGUAAAGGCUCUCGAGAUUAAUCAAACUUGGGACUUAGUACCACUCCCUCCAGGCAAAACUGCUAUUAGUUGUCGAUGGGUAUAUGCUGUAAAAGUCAACCCCGAUGGUUCUCUUGCUCGUUCAAAAGCAAGACUUGUUGCCAAAGGUAUGCUCAAGUGUAUGGGGCUGACCAUCUAGACACAUUUUCUCCUGUUGCCAAACUUACUUCCGUUCAUAUUUUGAUCUCUCUUGCUGCAAUAUAUAACUGGCCUUUAUUUUAGCUUGAUGUUAAGAAUGCUUUCUUGCAUAGCACUCUUCAUGAAGAAGUUUAUAUGGAGCAACCUCCAGGGUUUGUUGCUCAGGGGAAGUUUGGACUAGUUUGCCAAUUAAAAAAGUCUUUAUUGGUUUGAAACAAUCUCCAUGGGCAUAGUUUGGAAGAUUUUCUGAGAUUGUACUGUCUUUUGGACUAUCAAGAUGUGGAACUAAUCAUUCUUUCUUUUAUAAACAAUCAGGGGGAGGCAAACCAUUCUUGAUUGUGUAUGUUGAUGAUAUUAUCAUCACGGGAGAUGACGUGAUUGGUAUAGCUGAGCUAAAAACCUAUCUUCAGCAAUAAUUUCAAACUAAGGACUUAGGAAAAUUAAAAUAUUUCCUAGGAAUUGAAGUGGCGCAAUCACAAAAAGGUAUUGUUCUGUCACAGCGAAAAUAUGUAUUGGAUUUACUCAUUAAGACAGGUAUGUUGGGAUCAAAGCCUCUUGAUUCACCCAUGAAACAAGGGGUUAAAUUAGUUGCUGAUGGAGGAGAAAUUCUUAAUAAUCCCGAGAGAUAUAGAAGACUGGUAGGUAAGCUGAAUUAUCUUACAGUUACUCGACCAGACAUUGCUUUUCCUGUUAGUGUAGUAAGCCAGUUUUUGUCUUCCCCUCAUACAUCUCAUUGGGAUGCAAUUAUUCGGAUAUUAAGGUAUUUGAAGAAAACUCCGGGGAAAGGAAUUGUCUACCAAAACCAUGGUCAUAUCAGGGUUGAAGGUUUUUCUGAUGCUGAUUGGGUUGGGUCUCCAGAUGAUAGAAGAUCAACUACUGGGUAUUGUACCUUAGUCGGAGGAAAUCUGGUAUCAUGGAAAAGUAAGAAACAAAGUGUUUGUUGCCCGCUCCAGUGCUGAGUUAGAAUAUAGAGCCAUGGCACAAGUGACGUGUGAAUUAGUGUGGAUUCGACAAUUAUUGACUAAGUUAGGCUUUAAAGAUUUAGUGCCCAUGACUCUAUGAUGCGAUUAUAAAGCUGCAGUGCAUAUAGCUUCCAAUCCCGUGUUUCAUGAGAGAACUGAACACAUUGAGGUUGAUUGUCAUUUUAUCCGAAAGAAGUUGCAAAGUGUAGUAAUUCUUCCUAGUCAUAUUUGAACCAGUAAACAACUUGCAGACAUCUUCACUAAAUCCUUGGGUAAUGGGAGGAUAUAACAUAUUUGUUACAAGCUGGGCACGAUUAAUAUUUAUGCUCCAACUUGAGGGGGAGUGUUAGAAGUAAGAAAGGUAAAUGGGUCUUUACCACUUUUAGGGUUUAUUUUGAUGUGUGUGUGUCUAUAUAUAUAUAUAUAUAUAUAUAUAUAUAUAUAUAUUAAACUUUAUCGAAUAAUACAAUGUACGUUUUCCUCACAUAACUCAAUACUCCACUCCAGACCCCAGUACUUGAUCGAGAAUUUGCCAAGCGGCACGAGCUCCGUGCAUCCACUUGAGAGAAUCUGGAAGGGGAAAAGUAAUGCUGCCCUUCAAGAAUGAACUGGUCUCUCUACUUGGUUUUAGGUAUGAAAAUGUACAUGACCGUGUCUAUUCUGCUUUUAGAUUCAUGUUUAAAUAAAUCAAGUUUGAGAUAAUACGAGCAAAGCAAUUGCAAAAUGCCCACAUAUGAAUUUUCCGAUGUAACCAGCCUAGAGAGAUCAUUUUACACUAAUGAACGCCCGUAUUUUGUGUUCUAAAUUCUUCCAAAUGAGAAACUACUGUCUUCUUGAAAACCUUUUCUUUGAAACUCUUGGCUGCAAUUGACAGAUUAUUUGCCGAUUCCACGGCAUUUGCUUUUUCAAGAAAAAAGUCUCUUUCACUCACAAAACUGCAGCUUGAAGUGGACAUCUAAAUGGUACUCUUGUUAACAAAUCUCAUUUUUCGCUUGACUUCACAUAUAGAACCACUUGCACACGUGGUCUUCCUCCAAGUGAUUAGUGAUGGGGCCUUGGUUAAAGAAUAACACGAUUUCAAAGCUUGCAAAGGACUAAUACACCACAUGAGAAGAGGUCGCCUUUAUCAAGAAUCCUUCAAAGAGUAUUAACAACAUAGAGCAAAUGAUAAAUGCCAAUUGCAAAUAACUCUGGAAUGCCUUUCCAUACUGACAUAGCUCAUUCUUGCCCAUAUCUCCAACCCGCGGUGUUUGGGGAGUUUCUCCGAGUUUCAUCAAAUGCAGCUUUCAUCUGCAUAAGGAGGAUAGCACCGACUAAUUAUAAUUAAAUGAAGAUAUCCAAGAUCAUAGCAUCAUAAUUUACCGCAUGACAUAUAAGGUAAAAAUGUGUAAGCAUUGACACCAAUCGGAGUUGGACCACAAUGAACAGAGACUUCAUUAGCUGGCCGAUGAAAAAAAAACCAAUAGACUUGAAAGAAGUAAACAUUUAACAACACGAUCCCUGUUUGUGUUUAGGAACAGAAUUGAAGCUAAAAAAAUUAUGCUGAAAAGGUGAAGUGCCUAAACUACAAAAUAGAAAGAUGCAUUUGCUAUCGGGUUAUUUUGCAAGUUCCAAUUAGCAAAAUCAAAAAUGCAGAAUAGUUUGCGAGGAGGUCAAUUUCAACUUUACAAAUCCAAUGCCACAUACAUCAGAACUGAGCUUAUCAAAUUAGAAACCUAUAUGACAACAUUCAAAGGAUAUCAUCACAUGAAUAAACUAUUAGAAAUGGAGGAGCCUAGCAGUGCAUACCUCCCUCUGCAGAGCCUCAUCAAUUUUGAAGUGAUAUCAUUAGAAUGCAAUCGCGUUGAACAACUGUGCAUCAGGGUAACAUACAAAAAAUCAAUAGCUUAGUAUUUGAUUAAAGGAGAGCUAGAACCUAAUGAGCAUACAUAAAGCAUAUUUAACUGAAAAAAGACAUUUACAAUUAUUUAGGGAUGUGAUGUUGAGAUCAUAUCUAGUAUUUAAAUAUGCAAAAGCAUCAAAACUUCCUUGGGACACUCCAGCCAGCCCCAAAUUAUCUUUAAGUUUGGCAUGCAAGAUGGUCCUCAGCUAUUGCUGAUGCUUCCUCUGCAAAAUCCCUUUUCUUUAUGUUGAUCGGUCUCAAGUAUGGAAUUUGAAGUUCCUCGGCUCACUUAGCCACACCCAAAUUAGUCAUGUGAUAAAGCAAUUCCAUGACAACAAUAGGAUCAACGGGAUACAAACUAAUUAGCAAAUUCUUGAGCUCCUCAUCCCAGCUUGUUUCACAGACAAGCAAAAAAAUGUCCUUUAAUGCAAAAGGUCAUCAGUACAGUUGAUUGAAUUAAAGUCCCAAAGUAAGCCUAGAUCAUUAUAUAGACCAACCAAACCUGUCAUAGAAGCAGCACCGAUUUACCUUGCUUAAUAAUCUUUCAAAACAAGAGUUUACCUACUAGUAAUGUUAAGGUGGUCAGCAUUCAUACAUGACAAACUAGCCAAAACUACUUUUAAUAUUCUUUUGUCACCAACCAGAAACACUUGAACCUUGAAUUUUAUUUUAGCUCAGUUCACCAUAUAUACUGGGAAGUGAUGCUCUUCUUAGAAGGUUAAUGAGGGCCAUCAAGGCAACAAUAAGAAACUUGACAGGGUUUGCAUUCAUCACAAAAAAUCAAAAGCCGUUCGUCCUAAACAGGACAUUUGCCAUUAGUCAAAUUUGACAUACAAAAGAACUAAAGGAACUCAAAAUGGCCAAGGAUUCUAAAAAGAAAAUAUGAACUUUGGACAUGGGGAAAUUCCGGGUGUAGUAUAUAAUAAAACAAUAAUGAGUAGCAGAAGUUCAUUGGCCUCUAGAUGAAAAUUUCAAAUCCCAGGUUUGCCACUAGGGGAACUGUAAAUCACUAGGUAAUUCUUGUUUACCUUUGUUAUAUUUUGAUUCUUUCCUUGCAAGCUGCUAUCUGUUUGCAAUCUACAGAAGUUGCCAAUGGAAGGAUAAAUGAAAAACAUUACUAUAACGUAAUCAACGACAAUUAUACAGAGGCAAAUCCAGAGUUUCCAAAAUCAACCAAAUAGAUAUCCAGUGUGGAGCAAAUCAUUCUAGAAAAAUAGAACUUUGAGAAAAGUAUUACUCUAUUUUCUUACACUGGCCGUUCAAGGAUGAAGAAUCUUACUAUGCCUUCUAUUGACAUUUGGGUCUACAUUUUUAUCUGGGUUGAACCAACAUGUGAGCUUCUAUGACCAACUCCUCCACUCCUUCAAACGUGCAAGACCAGCAAUUUAGGAAAGUACAGAAUCCUGUCAUGGAAAACCUUAUGGUCAAAAGAAGAUAGUGAUGCAAUGGAGGUCAUGAAUCUCAGAGGAAAAAUGAUUGUUCACUGCUUAUUUACCUCCGUUGAAGAAACAUGACUAGUUUCACUAUUGUAAUAUGCGUACAAGAUUCCUCAUAUCUUUAUCACUGCAAGAUAAUAUUUCCAUAAAGAACUCAAAAUAGUUCCUAAUAUCUUAAGAUGUGCAUUCCAGAUAAUUUUGGUAUUGCUUCCAAUGAGUCACAACCAGAAUCAAUUAAAUUCAACAUUUCAAGUCCCUGAAGCUGAGUAAGUUUCUUGCAGUCUUGAAUUGAUAGAGAUCGUAACUUCUCACAUCCUGUCAAAUCUGGCAAAGUCUCCAUUGAUUUGCAUCGCCCAAAAUCCAAACUUUCUAAGAACUUUGCACUGUCAAGACCUUCAAUUUUGACUAGAUUGCCGCACCUAACGGCCUUUAAUUCCUUCGAACACGGUAAUUCUAGACAGCGAAGCCUUUCAAUGGAAUUGCAGUCCCAUAAAGAUACAACCUCCAAGGAACAUCACCUUUUUUUUAUUGAAAGCUCUUCCAAGUGUGUGAGUCCGCUGAGCCAAAGUGAUGUCAGCUUAUGACACUCCUCAACAAAGAGUUUCAAGAGUCUUGAGGAAAGCUUGGGGAUGUCUACAAGUAGAUAGCAUCGCUGAAGAUAAAGUUCUUUUAGGUGGAUUAGUCUAGAAAGCUGUGGCAAUUUGGGACUCUGACAAGUGAUCAACAGAAACGUUAAGCUUGAAGGAAGCUCUAGCAGUGACCAGAGGUUGUAAUAGCCCAAUAGGUAAAGGAGUUGGAGAGAAGAAGGAAGCUUUGGCAGCGAGCAGAACUCCUUACAGACCACCAUGUCAAGGCUUUGGAGAGAAGAAGGAAGCUCUGGCAGCGACCGGAGCUCCUUACAGCCCUCUAUGUCAAGGCUUUGGAGAGAAGAAGGAAGCUCUGGCAGCGACCAGAGCUCCACACACCACCGUAGGUCAAGGUGUUGGAGAGAAGAAAGAUUCCAAACGCUUUCUGGCAAGUCAGAUAUUGGUGUGCCUUUGAGAGUGAGAUUCUCGAGGGAAGGCAAGUCACCGAUUUCACUUGGAAUUGCCCCUUUCAAACUCCAGCACCAUGAGAGACAUAGAGUCCGCAGAUUUUUCAACCUUCCAAUAGCACUGUGAAGCUUUUUGAUCCCAGAGCGACUCAAGUGAAGAUGUUGCAAAUUCUGUAAAUCCCCAAUUAAGCUAGGGAUUUCUCUCAAUGAGAUACAAAAGUCGGCUGUCAGUUUCUUUAGCUUCCUCAGAGAACCAAUGGACGUAGGAAUCUCCGUAAUACUAGUCCCAUCCAAUAAAAGUUCUUCUAAAUUUUUUAAUUCACCCACCUCCUCUGGUAGCUUCUUGAGACUAGUAGAGUGAGCCAAGUUCAAGGAAACAAGGCUCGUGAGUUUGCCAAUAGAAGGGUGGAGAUGCUUUAGUCCACUAUGACAGAUGAAAAUUUUCAAUUGUGUGAAAACCGACAGAUCAGGAGUACUUCUUAAAUUAUUGCAAUCUUGAAGCAUGAGAACUUUAAGUCGCUUUGAUGCCUAAUAGAAAAGGAGAAUAAGCUGUCAAAGAAUGAGUUGAUCAACUAAAUAAAAACAAAACCCUAAAUUCAUUCUUUUCUCAAUCUUACCAUGAAUGACCUCCAUCCUUGCUAAUACUCUCUAAUCUCGCUCCCAUAUAAAUUCAAUACUGAUAAAUUCGGUAGAUGCAUCGAAAGAGACAAGUCGCUGCUCCACUCAAGCCAUCUUACUUCAGGAAAGAGUUCCUUGUAGGAGGUUUUGCUUGCAGUUGCCCGCAAAUUGUCACGGAAACAGAAACAAGAGAGGUGUCUCCACAAAAUUUUACGGAACCAGGAGGGGGACCUGGAGGGGCACCUGGGGCUGGGGGGAAACCAGGCGGGGCGUCCCUGUGAGUUUUUUUUAACUUUUUAGUUUUUUUUUUUCUUUUCUUAUCUUGGAUUUUGCAUGAUCUAUAACCUUUCUAUCCUUCCCAUGUACAAAUAUGGCUCAUAUUUAAUUUUUUUUACGACCUUUUCGGAAAUUAAACAAAUGAUGUGAAAAAUAAAAAUAAAAAUGGUUAUUGCUCUAGUACAACUAAGGUAAAGGCAACUCAAUGUUUUAUCUUUUCCUUUUUUCCUUCAAAUUUUGUAGCGCAUGUACUUUGACUAUUAUUUAAUAGGAAAUAUAUGAAACCAUUUUACAACAUACAAAUGUUUACUUGUAAAUUUUAUUGACUUUUGUACAAUUUUUCAAAAGAAUUUGUUGAAGAGUGCCGGUGGGCCACUUGUAAGUAGCUAUGGAGACACCUGGUUUUCAUUUCAUUAUUUAAAUGUAACAAUGCCGAAGAGAAAAAAAAAAGGGAAAUUUUCAAUAUAUUUCCAUAUAUAGAAAAGAUUAUACGGAGAGCCUUUCUAUAAACUUUAUUACAGGAUUGUCUAAGAGAAUCAAAGAAUAUCAAAUUAGAUAUGCAUAAUCAAAACAAAUAUAGAAAAUUAGAGAAAAUAUCAUAAAUAUGUCUAGAAGAUAUCUACAUAUCUUUAACAUCAUUUACUAUUUUUUUUGAAGUGUUUAAUCAUUUCUUUGAAAACUUAAACGUUUUUUUUUGUUAAGUACGUUUAAAGAGUGACGUGGUGACAUUGGACAAUAGUGAGGCGGCCCAAAUGGACAAUAUAUAAUAAUAAAAUGACAUGAACAUUGAUAAUUUAAUUAAAAGAUUGGCUUCAUGCUAAGCAUCAUUAUACUCAAAGGUAUGGAUAUAAUAAUAAGUAUGGCAUUUCCUCUUAUUAGUCGAGUUUUCAUGGAUUUUUUUUAUGAGAAAUAGUUGUAUGUGUUAUAAGUAACUUAUAACGGAUACAAAUUUUUGUUUUAAGAAAAUCCACUCUUGAUCAUACAUCUAACCUAAUCCAUGAUGAGCAAGGUCAAUGUGAUAAAACCUUAAAAAACAGUACGAUUUUCCUAAAAAUACUUUUAAGGGGAUUUUUGCUAUCGUAUCUAUCAAAAGGAAAUAAUAAUUAAAAGAGAUAAAUAUAACUAGUAGAGUAGAGGGAUGGGUAUCUUCAAAAUCAAAUUGAAGAAAAAAAAUAUUAAACAUUGUACUCCUAAAUCAUAGGACUACCACCAAUACAUCUGGCCGUACCAGUAAGCAAGAACAUGUGAUAAGUGUGAAAUUUUUUUCAAUCUUAUUGUUUUGAAUUAAUUAUCAGUUAUUAUAAUCGGCACGUGCUAUCUUUUUUUUUUUUUUAAGUCAAGAAAUAUUCAUUUAUCUGAUCUAUGAUGUUUAUACUUCAUCUUCAUUCAUUAUUGCAGUCUUUAGAUUAUCAAUAUUUUCAACUAGAUAUGACAAUUACAUGCUUUUAGUAAAUGAGAUUUAUAGUGUAACAUUGUAGUUAAAGGAACUUAAAUUGAUUGUCAAUCAAAUCUUUACGGAUGUAAUUUAUAUCAACGAAAACGAAUCAAAUGGUAUAACGUUCUCAUCCUUUAAAUACUUAUAAUCCAUUUAGCUAUCACAAAUAAUCUAAGAUGAACAUAAAUGGAUGUUUAUAUAGAUCUUUCAUCCUAAAAAGUAAGAGCGUCUAUUCAUCGUAGGUGAAAUAUUAGAAUAGAUCGGAUUAAAUAUAUUAAAAUAAGAGGGAAAGAAAAAGAAAGGAGUGCCAUAUUUUACUUGUGCAUCGAUUCUUAGUACUUUUGAGACUCCCUCAUAGUCAUCGUCCCAUGGUCCACUACGUUUCUCAAGCAGUUGUCCUUGGCAAAAAAUGCUCCUUCCAAGAUCUCUUAGUUGAUCAUGCACUAGAAAUUCACCAUGAUCUCCAAUUUUAAUUAAGCACCUCAACUUCAACUCUUCAAUACCUUCACUUGGAUAAUACCCACAGUCCUCCCACAUGUACAUGGCAUAUUCGCUCGUUUUGCCAAUAAAGUAACAAACAAUAUCGAGAAAAAUCUGCUUUUGUUCAUCUUCUAAUGCAUCAUAACUUAUUUGCAAUAUCUUUUGGACAUCUCUAUGUGGUUGGUUUUUUAAUUUCUUCUUCACAUCUUCCCAUACUUUUCGAUUUUUUUUUAUACAAGUAAGAACCUACAACUUGAAGAGCCAAGGGAAGCCCACCCAUGUUGGAUAUGAUAUCACGAGAUAUACCCUCAAGCUCCCUCGGAGAAUGGUCCAUAUGAAAUGCAUGUCUGUUAAACAAAAGCAAAGCUUGCACCUUAUCCAAUUCAUUCAAUUCAUACUUGUAGUCUACCUCAAAUUUAGAUUGAUCAAGAACGGCUUCGUUUCUAGUUGUAACAAUGAUCACACUUCCUGCCAUAAACCAAUCACGCUCCCUAACCAACUGUCUAGUUGACUCUUGUCAUCUAUAUCAUCCAGAAGAAUGAGAACCUUUUUCCCUUUGAAUCUAGAUUGAAUUAUACUAAUUCCAUCAUCAAUUCUAGACACUUGACUUUUGCUCUGUAGUAUAUCCGAUAUUAGUUGACUCUGCAGAUACGUAAUACCGUGGCGCCUGGUAGUUUCUCGAACAUCUGGAAGGAAGCUGACAUGCACAAAUUUAUUUGAGAGUGGAUUGUAGACGCACUUGGCAAGAGUUGUCUUGCCUAUCCCACCCAUGCCAUAAAUUCCAAUCAUUCGAGCAUUGAUGGAAGGAUUGUUGAUCCAAUUCAUAAUUUCCUUCAUACGAUCAUCAAGUCCAACUAGUUGCUUAGACACAUCCAGCUGAAAAUCUUCCCGUAACUUGCUUAUAACAUUUUCAACCACAUGUUCUAUUAAUUUUCCCUCAUGCCUGUCAAACAACAAAAACAAUGAGAAGUUAUUAACCUAGACAUAGUUUAUGCGAAGCAUUCUAUCCUUAUCAACUGAGCUAACCUUUGUUGGCUAUAGGAGGUUGAUUUUAUCUAGUGGUGAUCAAGCUUUGAAGACCGAGCAUUGGAGUCAUUAGGAGGCCUAUUGUUUAGUGAUUGAUACUAUUGGCUAGAGGUACCGUCGUUUCUUUGUUUUUUUUUUUUCGCUCUAUACUGGAGGAAAAUGUAAAUUCUUGGGCACUAUGGGAUGCUUUGGUUUUUAGUUCGUUUAGUUUUUAGGGACAUCUUGUGGCGUACUAGUGUUUGUUGUCUUCGAGGCAUUACGGCUAUUUAUUUGAGGAUCUUUUUUGAGCUUACAGUAAAAGUAAUUCAUCUGCAUUUUCUCAACUCUGCGUGAAGAAGAAAACUUAUCAAAAAAGAAAAGUUCAGUAAAGUACCCAUUCGCAAUUUUCUGAGAUUCCCAUCCAAUUAAGUGACUAACUUCAUUAAGUGCUCGUUGCCCCUCUUGAAUAUCCUUCUCAUCAAAAUGUUCCAGACUUGAACGGAAGGCAUUUCCAAAAUUUCCUUUUAGAUGCCGCACAUCGGAUGGGGAAACUUUGUAAAAUAUAGGCAACACUAUGUGUGAUGCGCUCUUGUUAUAGUCCAUGAUAUGAAUGAGCUCACGGAGGCACCAUUUGCUCGAAGCAUAAUUUUCGGAGAUGAUGGGGAUUGAAAUCUUAGACUGUGCGAUGGCAUAGAGAAUCUCUGAACAAAUUCCUCGCCAAUUGGGAUGCUGUUCUCGUCCCUGAACACGCAAAGUGGUAUAGUCCCUGCUUUGAUCAGACUGUGAUAAAGGUGAUCAGUGAAAGUAUUGCGGGUAUCCGAGCCUCUAAAGCUCAAGAACACGUCAUAUUGACUGCUACCUACACCUGUGGCUUCUGGAGAGAUGAAUGAAGAAGUGGAUGCUCCUUCAGUGCUCUCUUCCUCUGCCCUCUUUUUAUUUCCCUGACUCUGCCCUCUGUCCAUGGUGAUCUAAGGGGGAAAGUUGAAAAGGAAGAUCCUUUUUUGCUGCUUAAAAGGAUUGUUGAACAACGAAAGACGCUUUUAGAAUGCUUUUCUGCAAAUGCUUGUUGGCUCCGAAUAACGUGUUCGUUAAUUCCCUAGGUAAUAAAGACAUGACCUUCAGUUAAGUAAGCUAACAUCAUUUCACUGCAGAAGAUUAGGUGGCCCUAAAGAGGCCCCCCAAAAAGCCCACAUCAUUUACUUGUUUAGAAACAUAAAUUUGAAAUUAAACAAAUUACAUUGUAAUUAAUCGACUUCCUUAAAACAUAUUUGAACAAUUACAUAACUUCAUGCAUGUGUACAUGAUAUUUGAAGGCGAAUUCUUUCAUUUCAAGGUAAGAUAUUGAAAUUACGUAGGUAACUUCAUGGAAGCAUCUUCCUGUGGAUAUAAGCUCACACGAUGCCUAAUCCUUGUCAUAAUCUUCGACCUUGCUAUUAUUAUUUUUAUCCUAAUACAUAAACAACCCUAACUAUCUCCACCACCUCAUUUUCACAACCCCUUCUAUGUAUUCCCAUGUCCAUUGGCCAAACUAAUGAAGUGUCAUGUAAUUGUUGCCCAAUAAACCAAAUCCUCCAGAUGUGUGCACUUUCCUAAUUGGAGGGAAUUUCCAUCAAUCAUGUUUUUAAUUUGGCGGGUUUCGAGUUUUAGGCAUUGCUCAUAUGUAAAAUUAACUAAAUCUAAAACAUUAAUCAAGGAAAAUUUUUCAAUUGAUCCAUUGUUUGAAGUCGAUGAAAAUGAUUCUAAAUGAAAGGGAAAUACUUCCUUUUGGGCCCACAUUUUAUUUCUUUCUAAAAGUGCAUAGAAAUGGGAGGAAAUGCGAAAAUUGCACUUUUCUUCCAAUUGGCCUUACUUCCUUUUUAAGGAUGAGUAGAAUGAACGAUAAUUAAGUCUAUCAAUGAAAUUAAGUUCCAUUAACAUCAUUUCCACCCAACAUGCAUCCAAACAUUUUUUGAGGACUUUUAACUUAUUUCUCCAAGCAAACUCGAGCUUCUCUGACAAGCUAAUACGUUCUUCUCUCUUCAAACGGCUCAGAACAAGGUACUCUCCCUCUUACUUAACUUCAAUCAAUCUUAGACCGUCUUUGUUCUCCUUCGCUCUGUGACAUCCUGAAAUUCGAGUCCUCUGAAGGACGAGUGGAUGUGAAUUUCGUCAAUGCAUUGUUGGUUGAUCUCCCUCAGAUUUGAUCACUCUUGAGAUACUGACCUUGAGGGGAAAGGCUAAUGAGAACAGAACUCGUACGACUAAAAGACUCGACCUGGGAAAACGACUUGACUGUGAGAUUUACGUGAGGACGAUCCUGUAGAUAGGCAGGCCGAUUCUAAGGACGACUAAAAGUCGAUUCGCGGACAGAACAUAAUGGAACGACUGAUGAUUCCGUUUACUGUUAUCGAAUCCACGAACGAUCCUAUGUCGAUCCUCAGUAAUCGUGUACUUUGAAAUAAGAAUCUAUCCUCCGUAAUUUCAUGCAGUCAAGGACGUCCAUGUGUCGAGAUGUCUUGAACGUGGUUUGGCACGAGUCGGUCAUGCGUGAAUCCUCACAGCCACCAGUUAGUCUGAGUUGUAACCAAAAUGGCAUUUGGCAAAAUUGACAUGACAAGAGAACUUAUUAUUGGACUUCAAAUUAUCGGGAAUGUCCGGGAUGGACUUUGGAUGAAGCUACUUCAGACAAUCGACAAAGCCAAUUAAGCCGAGCAAUUGGAAAAAAGGGAUUUUCGGACCGAGGAAGAAAGCCCGUGAGGUCAUGGGCCGGGCCAAGCUAGUGUGGGCCCUAGGCCCAAUGUUAGACAGCCACCAAAUGGGCCUAAGUCAAGCAAGUGAGCCCAUUGGGCCAAACCAACUAUUUCUCUUUCGAAGCCUAUGGUCCAACUUUGAGCCCAAUCAAGCUCAACCAAUUUCUAAACCCACUCCUAUUCAUGGCCAAGCCCAUUUCUUAAGCCCAUCCACCAAUUUCAGCCCAAGGUCAGAUUUGUAAUUUGUGCAAGGUGAAAUGACCGAAAUACCCCUAGUUGUAGGGCGAAAAGGCUAGAGAAGAGAGAGAAAAUGAUGAUGGCUUGGCAUGGGGACUUGAAGCAAGCUUUGAUGGGGGUCUUGACAGCCCUCACUUCACUCUCUCUCUCCCCCAUUCGGCCUCCCUCGAGCAGAGCUCUCUCUCUCCUCGUUUUCCCUCUCCUUCAGUUUCUGCUCCAACUGACCCUUCAGUGAAGAAUCGAGUCAAAAGUGGUCUUCUCUGAUGAAUCAGCCAUCGAGCCACAUAUCACCAUGACUGGGAGAGACAGACCGUUCCAACGAGACUAAUUUCGUCCCGAACGGAGCCGCCUUCCGGCCUGGGAGCUGCCGGGAAGGAGCCGGUCGCCGGUCCGUCGGUCUGCCUGCAGCCUGCACUGUUUCGCGUUUUCGGCCAUUUUUUUCCCAUUCCGGUCCUUCCUCCGCCCAUCCCAACCUCCAACAAAACCCCCAAGACCCCUUGUCGGAGCUCCGAUCGGCCCGUUUUCGCCAUUGAAGCUGUGGUUUCUUCUCUGUAGUUUAGCCCAGAACAGAAGCAGAAGACAGCAAUGUUUUGGAGACUUUGUGGCCCAUUAUCAAGCCCUUCCUGGCCUCCGUUGGUGUCGCCGCUUUGGGGUUUAUCGACCGCCUUGGUGUCGUGGUCGCCGUGAACUCACCGGCGCGCAAAACCGGUGAGUUUAUCCUCUAAUUCUUGCUUAGUGAGUUAAUGACACUUAAGGGGUGUUUAGAUUAGUCUAAUUAGGUUUAUGUGAUUAAAUUAGAUUAUUUUAAUGUAAAUUAGAUUAGUUGUAUGAUUAGUUUAAUGGAUGUUUAAUUAGGGCUAAUUGUAUGAUUAAAUUAGUGUAAUCGUGUUUAAGCCCUAAUUAAUUAUUUCGAAUUUUUAAAUAUUAUUUUAUUAAAUUAUAUUAUUAUAAUACAAUAUUUAAUUAUUUAAUUUUCUGAAUUAAAUUUAAGUAUUUAAUAAUUUCGAAAAUUAUGUCGGGAUGGCCGGUUGUUAGAAUUUCGCGCUGAUCGCAGCAGUGCGGUCGGUUUGUGUUAAUUGUAUGUUUAAAUUGAGAAAUUGAGUGAUUGAUGAUUAUGGUUAAUUAUUCCAAAAGUGUGGAAUUGAGUGAUAUUGAUGAAGUUGUGGUAUUUAACUUGAAAAUACCCAGUGUUGGCUUUUAGCACCGUAAUUGGUUUGUAUGACUAGUUUGAACCGUUGGUUAUUAUUCGAUUGAAUAUCUAGUUCUAUGGUUUAUUAUUGAAUGAUCAGCUUUGGCAAGAAUUGGUUUAUAUAUAUAUAUAUAUGUAUCCGCUUAGGCGAGCAAUUAUGAUAUUCAUAUAUAUUGCGGCAGCUUCUGGUGAGCUAUAGUAUACUCUAUUGAAUAUUGCGGCAGCUUCUAGUGAGCUAUAGUAUACUAUAUAAAUAUUGCGGCAGCUUCUGGUGAGCUAUAGUAUACUAUAUGAAUAUUGCGGCAGCUUCUGGCGAGCUAUUAUAUUAUCUAUCAGCUACAGCUUUGGAAAGCAUAUGUCUUAUUAAUGACUGGUUUGAUAGUCGGUAUGGAAAGAUAGAUAAUGUGAUGGAAUUGAAUCAUGGCGAAUGAUUGGAUUGACUGAAUUGAUAGACCGAUGGGUAUGUCGGUAGUUUCAGCUUGUACGAGCAUUGCUUGAAUAUGAAUUGUACUGACGUGCAGGAAAAAGACUGAGGCGAGGUAAGCCCUCUAUCCUAUUUGUGUGGCUAGAGCGCCUUGAGGCGUAUUUUCUUCCUAAUUGAGUUUUAGAGGGUAGGACUCGCUGAGACGUAGUCUCAUCCCGAUUGUGGGAUAACAUUUCAGGUCCCUAGAUGACGGUCGUGGAGGACUGGAAGUCCUGGAGUUCAGAAGGUGGAGGCUGAAGAAUCGGCGAACGUGUCUGUCAAGUUGGUCAUAGGACAGUUCCCUAGUUGUUGAGUCUGUUUAUUUUGUAGAUAAUCCAGUGUUGUAUAUAAACCUAUGCGUUUAUAGAAAGCUUGUUUGGUUGUGAUUGAUUGCCUGCUUUUCUAUCCCAAGUUAAAUGUUGUCAGGGGAUUUGUUUCGCUUCCGCAUGUGCAAUAUAAAAAUGAAUGGGUCGGCGACAUGUCCUGGGAAGUCGCAUUUGUAUCGACCAGAGUGGGAUGUUCGCGCGCUCGGAGGAUCGGGGCAUGACACCCUCCCUCCCUGUUUUCUCUUUUUGUGUGAAUGUUGCUUCUCUAUUCGUUUUGGGUUCUUUGCUUCACUUCUUUGAUGUUUUCAUUCAAAUUUUGUGAUUUCAUAUUUUAAUUUUAUUUAAAAUUGUCAUAUUCUUAAUGAUGUUGGAAAUGCAAGGUAGAAAUGAACAAAUGGUUGUUGUCAUUUCUCUCUUAUUUAUUUUGUGUUGGCCCCAAAUGCCAAUAAUUUUAUAUAAGACAAAUCUAUGAUAUGAUGUUGCCAAGCUAUUCACUUCAAACUUUCAAAUUAAAAUUAUUGAUUGAUAAAUUGUCUGCAAAUAGAGUUAUAAUUUGUUAAAUGACACCAAAUGAGCAUAACACGUUAGUAUUAAGUUACUAAUGAUAUAUGAAAUACUUGUACACUGUCCUUGAGUUCUUUUUCUGGGUCAUUUUUUUUAUUACAAUUUUGUUGGCAUAUCAUUCAACUCUUGAAAAGUCAGUAAAACAAUGAUAAAAGAAGUAUGUGAAAUAUUUAAAAAAUAAAAGAUAAUUUAGGAAAAAGCAUAGAAAAGAAGGGCAUGAAGUGUCUAGGCUUACUUUUAGAAGAAAGCAGUGAUAUUUAGAGGUAAUGUCCAAAAGGCUUUUGAAUUAUGAAUUCACAACAUAGAGAAACUUUCAUGAACAUAAAUUGAAAGUGAAAAGGGGAAUGAAAGAUGUAUGGAAAUUUGAGGGCGAAAGUUGGAACAAAAAGAUGCAUUUUUGCGCAUAAAAAGGGUUGAUGAACUAAUCUCUAUGAACAAUAAUGAACAUAAAUCUGUUACCACAUAAGGAAAAACGAACAUGAAAUCUUUAAUUAAUUGGUAAUUGAUUGACUAGGAGCAGUUGCAGAUGCUUUUAGCCCUUGCGUUAUCUUCUUUUGGACCUCACACUGUUGAAGUCAAACUUGUUGGCUUGAUCCACCCAUGAGUACCGUGUACAUCAAUUUUUCAAUUGGGCUAUAAAGAACUGAAAUAUGUGUACAAGUAUAUUGCAUUCAAUUAAGAAUAUAAGUAUACGUUUGGUCUUUAUUUGGUUAUUGAAACUCAGAAUUUUAUAAAUCAUUUAAUAGAUAAUAAUUGAGUUGAAACGGAAUUAGAAAUGUGUGAAAGACUUCAAGAAAGGACCAAGCUAGUAAUUGUGGAUGUGAUUUUAUAUUUUAAUUUCGUUUAACAAUGUCAGUUGGAAAUGUGAGGUAAAGAUAAACAAAUGCUGGUGGUUAUUUAUCUUUUAUCUAUUUCACGCUGGAACCACAUGCUACAAUUCCAUGUAAAAUGAAUGUAUUUUGAAUUAGUAUGUUAUGACCGAGCCUUUCAAUUCAAAUUUUCAAAUCUAAAAAGUUGAUUGAUAUCUUGUCUAUAAAAUAGAGCUAUUAGAUGGCACCAAAUAGAGGAGUGGAUGCUCCCUUAGUGCUCUCUUUUUAUACACUCUUUUUUUUUUCUUAUUGAGAUUAUUGAACGUAGUUAUUUAUCUUUUAUCUAUUUCACGAUAGCACCACAUGCUACAAUUCCAUAUAAAAUGAAUUUAUUUUGAAUGAGUAUGCUAUCACCGAGCCUUUCAUUUCAAAUUUUCAAAUCUAUAAAGUCGAUUGAUAUCUUGUCUAUAAAAUAGAGCUAUAAUUUGUUAGAUGGCACCAAACGGAGGAACGGAUGCUCCGUUAGUGCUCUCUUUUUAUGCACUCUUUUUUCUUCUUAUUGGGAUUAUUGAGUACAAGCAUAAAGACACAAGAAGCACCGCAAAGGAACGACCUAAAAUGGAAGUAGAAUAUGAUAAUUGGCUAAAUUUGUGAUAAUUCAGGUUAAAUUGAUUAAUCACAUUUUGAAGAAUGAAUUUCUUGUUUGAAAAGAAAGAGGUGUAAUAAAUGAGUGAUAUAAAGCUAGGCGACACUCCUAAUAUGCGUGUAUGGCCCAAUUUAUUCUAUUGUUUUCAUGAGUGUAUCAUAAGAUCGAUUUAUAUUUUUUUCUUACUAUUGGAUAUCAUGUAAAAGAUCCUAGGAAGUAUCAUACUAUGGACUUUGGUAUGUUUUAUAUUGCGAUGAUUGAAAUUGUCAUGAGUUGUGAGCAGGUAAAAAGUAGCAAUAUAGUUAAAAUGCUCAAACUCUCACUGUACUUUUUAAUUCCUCAUUUACUUUUCCUUUUUUCAAGUAAAGACUCUGUCAAUUUUUGAAGCUUUGAAGUGAGAAAAUGAUUUUCUUUUUCUUUUUUCUUGCUAAAGAAGGGGGAAAAUGAAUCAGAGGUGAAAGGGAAUAUACUUUCUAGGAUUAAUGGUCCAACAAUUCGAGUAAAAUAGGAUAUUACUCAUUUGGAAUGUUCUAGAGGGAGUAAAAUUGUUGAAUGAAGUCUUCUUAAGAGAAGACUUACUCUUAGGAUGAUUGGUUUCAGGAUAAAUGGGUUCUAAACAAAGAAUUAGGAACUUAUCAUGUAAUGAUUGGUUCUCCUCUUUUAUAACCGAUAACCAGAGUAGUUGACCCAAGAACCAGCCUACUUUUAUUUUUUUGAUUUAUUUUUCCAUAAAUUGAUCUAGGAUCUUCGAACAUAUAGAAACCUCACAAUGCAUAAAAAGAUAGAAUGGUCUAUGAAUUCAACCGAAAUGUGGCAAAUUUGCGUGCAACAGAGUCUAGUGUACUUGCAGACCUACGCACUCUAGUUCAACAAAAGAUCAGUACUAAAUUAUGAUGCAACUAAGAAUCAGAUAGGAAGGUCAUCAUAGGAUUAGCCACAUCUAAAGUCGAAAACAAAAGGCUUUCCUUUUUUCACUGAAGUCAAAUCUUAAGCUGGGGACAUACCUCGUCAAUAAGCAACAGAGACUUCAAAAGAGAGAAUAGAAGACCCUCCUUUGCUAUUCAGCAACCACCCCCACAUCCCCAAUAGACAAAACAGGCCCAGAGCACACUUAGUUCAGCCGAUUAUUCCAAUAAUAAAGUGACAAAAUCAAAAUAAACGAGAUGCUUAUAAGAGAUCAAAAAGUGAUUACCACAAGUGAGCUAAGAAGCGAAAAGAGGCACGAGAUCGGAGAGAGAGGAGACCGUAAACAAGCCUGGGCGAGAACUUUCAAGAGGGAUAAAGAAUAGAGUGAGGACUAAUCAGUAGACGAUAGUCUCGAAUUGUUCUGCAAGAGAGAGGCCGAAUGCGAAUGAUAAAGUGAGAAAUGAGUGAGAGAGAGAGAGAGAGAGAGAGAGAGAGAGAGAGAGAGAGAGAGAGAGAGAGAGAGGACCUAUUAGUAGUAGAGAGGACCUAUUAGUAGUAGGCUAUAGUCUCGAAUUAUUUUUGAUGGACUUAUAUCUUCAUAUGGCUGAUUGACUAGUAGCAAUAAAAUUGUUUUUAGGUGGCAAGCUAUGUCAAGCCACACAAUAUGGACCAGCGUACGGAAUGACCUCUUCUGCUCAUAUCUACUUAAAAACCAUUUUGUUAAACUGAUAAAUGUGGUUCUAACCGACUUGUGAAUCUUCCAUUAUAUUAUUUUCAAAGACAUUCUUACUCCUGUAAAUGUUAAAUUAUCCUCCUACCCUGAACAUGGAUAAAUCAUAUUGUCAAAUCCAUUGUAAGUCAGUAAUUUCCUGCACUGUGUAUAUAUGUCUUUGCUCUAAGCAGUAAAAUCGCAAGAAAACCACACUUUAUGAUGAGUUUUUCUAAUUCAGUCCACAAAGAGAAAGUCCACCUAAAAAUUGUCUACAUAUUAAAUAUGCAUAAGUACGUUGAAAGUAGCAGCUUUGCUCACUUUCAAGUUUUCCAUUGUAACCAGCACAGAAAAAUGGUACGAUUGCAAAUUUUUCAUAAUUUACGAAAGACAUUUGAAUUUUCUGUCAUUUUUCCAGGAAUUACGGAAAUUGCUAAUAAAAUGAAAAAUGGUAUUAUGGACAUCCAAAAAUUCUCUGGUUGAUCUGACCUGUUCGAAAAAAAAAUUAUUGUUGAUAAUUCUCAUCCAUAGCCUGUGAAAGGUUUUGUGCGAUUAUAGAAGGAAAUAGAUUAGCACCAUCGAUAUUUGGAAAAAUAUAGUUUUUUAAAUAUUUUCAAGAAAAAAAGAAAUAUUUUCACAAAAACUGAGUAUUUUGGAUCUUUCAUGCUUUAAGUAAUUUUGGACAAUUGCUGUACGUAUAAGGCCAAUGGACCAAAAUUGAGUCUAGAAGGGUAUUUUCGCAAUUUUCAUCAAGCAGGCUUUUUUGUCCCAAGAGCUUAGUCAACCAUUAAUGUUUUGGAAACAAUGUCAAAGAUAAGGGCCAGCAUGUGAUUCCACCAUAUUCAACCGGUCUAACCAUUCACAACGGUUUUUUUUUCUAGGUUCAAAAUAACCAAUUAGUUUAAAUGAGAAGAUUUUAAUAAGAAAAAUUAGCAAUAUAUAUGAUGAUGAUUUUGAAAAAAUCGAGGGAAUUAUACAAGAAAUAUUUUGUAUGCCUUAAAGGAUGCUAGGCGUUAGGCCAUGAGUAAUAAUCAAAUAUAUUUUUGUCCUAUCAAUUGUAAUAGAUGGGAGAAUGAAGGUCAAGCUUACCUCGAGGAGCAAUGCAGAGAUGAAAUUACUGUGAUGGGUGUUUGAGAAGAAGUCGCCUUGAAGUAGAUCAAGUUGUGUUCGAGUCUCGAAAGACAGUACAAUUCGAGGAUCACCUUCACACCUCAGCCUAGAGCUAUCAAAGCACAUAUAUCUCAGAACAAAAUGAGAGUCUCAAUGAUUUAUGGUGAUUGGUGUUUCUCCUCUUCAAGCACAACCACUUGGGACUUUAAAUAAAGCUUUACUUCUUCUCUUGCCCCAAAGGAGAUGUGUAACUUGUGGUAGAUGGCUUAUGUUAGAGGAGGCAAUUGUACUUCUUUUGAUUCUAACCUUUUUGAUCAAGACCACCAAAACAAUCCCUUCCUAGAAAUUGGUAAGACGACCCCUGUAGACUUUACUUGUUAGUUCUUUUUGUUAUUGGAUCCCGUGGCCAACAAAUCACAGUGGAAAUUACCUUUUUGAAGAUAGGCGAUACUUUUAUCCUCACCUUUUGACAAUGGCUCCGUGUGGCCACUCAAAUUAUUGAUAGACUAGCAUCCAUAUUGCCGAUUGACAUAGCAAUUAGAUUGUAAUUGGACCGCAUGGCCCACUCAAAUCAAAUUGAAGAUGGGCGAUGCUUUUUGCUUUAUCCUCACCCUUUGCUUUACCCGCCCCAUCAACCAAUGACUAGAUACUUUUAUGUUGGAGUCAAGGUGUUCACAAUGAAAAUUAGUUUUCACAUGAUGCUACUUCAAAAGAGCCCUGCAAUCAUGUCUUUUAAUUGGCAACCUGCCCCAUCAACCAAUGACUAGAUACUAUUAUGUUGGAGUCAAGGUGUUCACAAUGGAAAUUAGUUUUCACAUGAUGCUAUUUCAAAAAACCCCCCACAAUCAUCUCCUUUAGUUGGCAACUUUUGGAAGGUGCUCAUAGUGGAAAUUACUUCUUUUCUUGCGUCAAAAGAUCAGCUAGAUGUGCUUGCGAUACAAACAAUCCUAUCGUGGAUUUGCAAGUCUUCAAUGAAAGAAUUUACUUCUUUAACCGACUAACUCUCACCUUUUGUUAGUUUUCUUUUUAAUGGAAUCACAUUGUCACGCCCCGAACCCCGAGCGCGCGCACAUCCCACUGCGGUCGAUCAAAAAUGCGACAUCCCAGGAUAUGUCGCCGACCCAUUCAUUUCUUUACGCAUGUGGAAGCGAAACAAAUCCCCUGACAACAUUUAACUUGGGAUAGAAAAGCAGGCAAUCAAUCACAAUACCAAACACUCAUUUACAAACACAAAGGGGGUUUAAAUACAACACUGGACUUUCUACAAAUUAGACCAGCUCGACAAAAGGGGGAUUAUCCUACAACCAACUAGCAAGACACGCUCUUCAACCCUUAUGACUUCACCUCUGCAACUCCUCAAGGCCAACCAAAGCUAUAUGGCCGCUCCGUCCACCAGGGACCUGAAAUUUUAAUCCCACAACCGGGAUGAGACGAUGUCUCAGCAAGUUCAACCCCCUAAACCCCUAUUAGAAAGAAAAUACGCCCCGGGUGGCCUAGCCACAUCACACAGAAGACUUACCUCGCCUCAGCCCUUAUCUGCAGGUUAGCACAAUUUAUAUAAACCAACCACGUGCAAUUAUGAUAACCAAACAACCAUGGUACAAUCACAUCAUCAAACCAUUCAACCACUUGGAUCGUCUCAGCGAUCAAUCGACUCGACCGACUUCAUGUCAUUCUAGCAAAUCAAUCAUUGCUCUCAACUACGGCCCUACUCGGCAAAUUUAAAUCAGUGGCAUCACGGCCCCACUCGGCGCGACCUUUAACAGGUGGCAAUUCACGGCCCCACUGGGCACGACCUCUUGUAGGUGGUUUUUCACGGCCUCAUCGGGCACGACCUUUCCAAGGUGGUUUAUCACGGCCUCUCUGGGCACGACCUCUCAGAGGUGGUUUAUCACGGCCUCUCUGGGCACGACCUUUCACAGGUGGUUUAUCACGGCCUCUCUGGGCACGACCUCUAAUAGGUGGUAUUUCACGGCCUCAUCGGGCACGACCUCUUGUAGGUGGUUUUUCACGGCCUCAUCGGGCACGACCUUUCCAAGGUGGUUUAUCACGGCCUCUCUGGGCACGACCUCUAAUAGGUGGUAUUUCACAGCCAAUCUCCCAUCAAUUUCUACACUUAGGAUUUCGUAAAGAAUCCCUAUAAAUCACAAUCACACUCAAUUCAUCACAACCAAUCAUCAGUUUCAAAUUCUAAAUGCACAGCAACGAUCGGCACGAAAUUCUGAGCAAAUAAGGUCCCAAUGGAAUAUUUUCGGAAUUUAAUAAAUAAUUAAAUUNNNNNNNNNNNNNNNNNNNNNNNNNNNNNNNNNNNNNNNNNNNNNNNNNNNNNNNNNNNNNNNNNNNNNNNNNNNNNNNNNNNNNNNNNNNNNNNNNNNNNNNNNNNNNNNNNNNNNNNNNNNNNNNNNNNNNNNNNNNNNNNNNNNNNNNNNNNNNNNNNNNNNNNNNNNNNNNNNNNNNNNNNNNNNNNNAUAAUAUUUUCCAGAAUUUCGAAGCACUUAAAUAAUUCAAAACUAAAAUCAUUUUGUGUCACAUCAAGGCUUAACUUUAAAUAAACUCUCUUAGCAUUUAAUUAAACAUACUUUAGAUUAAACAAACAUCUUAAUCUAAAUCAUAAUCAAAUCAACUAAAUUAACCACCUAAGCUUAAUCAACUUAAGCUAAGCACACCUAAAGCAUAAUUAACCCUCUAAGCGAGGUUUAGUGAGCUAAACUCACCGGAUUAGCGAGCCGAGCGAACCAAAACGACGGGGACGACGCGAGGAUCGACUUUCCUCAAAGCGGGCCGAGCAUUCGGGCUCGGGAAGGCGGCCAAAAAGGGCCAAACACCAGCUGCAUACCCAUUUUCUGCAACUUCCGGUGGCUGCUGGUUGGGGGCGGAUCCGGCGGUGAUUCGGCGGAGGAACGGCGGAGGAGAGACCGGCGGGGCUUGGACGAGCUAGGGGGAAGUCAACGGCGGCUCACGGCGGGGCGCACGGCGGCGCUGCUGGCUGCUGCUUCGGCGUCCUACCAGAUCUGGAAUUUUCGAGCAGCAAACGGAGGGAGAGAAGAGAGGCGGAAGGCGAGCGGCGAAGGCGACAAGAGGCGGCAACGGGCGUGCGGCGAGCGGCGACCGCUACGAUGGCGAGCAGGCGGGCGGCCGGUGAGCUGCUGGUCGAUCUUCACUGUUGCUGGCGCGGUGACGGAGGGGCUGAACGGAGGGAGAGACGGUCGCGGGGCUGGUAGGCGCGGGACGACGCGUCUGCACCGGCGGCUCGGCACGACGACGACGAACGGCGAGGGAGGAGGCGCACGGCUGGCUGGUCGACGGGCGGCUCCCCUUCGCUGGUUCUCUCUUCCCCCUCUUUCUCUCUCCUUCCCAAGGUUGAAGAUGAAGUGAAAGCCCCCCCUUUUCAAGAGCCAAUCUCCACCCUCCAUUUGUCAAGAUCUCAACCAUUGGCCUCAACUACCAUGACAUCAUCCUAUGUCAUCUUCCACUCACUCCAAUCCUCCACAACUUCUCCAAUGGUUGCAUUUUAUUUUUCCGCCGGGGUCCAAUUCUUGUACGUCCCAUUUCUUCAAUUCUCAUCAAUUCUCUUCCAAUUGAAUUAAAUUAAAGCCCAUAAAAUUAAUUCAAUGCUACCACACUUUAAUUCACAUCUUCACUUGUCUAUAGAACCAACUUAAGUCUUAAUAGCAAUACCAAAGGCGGGCCUACUAAUUUCUCGGGUCAAAUUAACCAUUUUCCGAUUUAAUUGCUGAAAAACUCGGCUUACAUGAAAAAUCUUCCAAAGAUGAUUCAAUGAUCUUGAAAUGAUUUGUGACACACCCAGACUUCCAAUUUCUGAAUUCGAUCUCAAUUCCACGGUUAAUUUCACUUUGGCACGAUAUUAACGCGGCCCAACCUACCGGGUAGCCUUUAGAAGUUUUCAUGCAUUUGACUUGUGGUUGAUCAUCUCAAGCCACAAUGUACAUCUUUGAAACAUUGGCAACUUUCGGUUGUCGGGGUAAUCUCGAGGUUUCAAAUACGGACACAGGGUACCCAAUCGAUAGAAAAGUCGGUCCAGUGUCGAUCGACAAGAAUUGUGUGAUCCGGUGGAAUCACCUACACUCGAUCACAUGCCCUUAUCGAGUCAACCUAUCUCCGGUCUCUAAUCGAUUUUUAUUUGUGCCGUAAUGACCCUUGCAGAUUAGCUCGGUCGAAAGGUCGCUUCCUGGUCAAAUUCUCGAGUCUGAUGCAUUAGAAACUCUUAACAGCUUUACCCGAUAGACUAGUUUUCACAUGAGUGGCCGACUCAAGGAAAGGAACUAUAUGCGUGCCAACGAAAUGCCCGUCUCAAUUUAUUGAAAAUAGAAUCGGAAAAUCGGGAUGUCACACACAUGGCCACGCAAAUCAAAGUGAAGAUUGACAACAUUUUGCUUUCGAGGUAAAUACAGUUUAAGUGUCAAAACUUUUGUAUGAUGCUCACUUUGGUGCCAAAACUUUUUUUUCACUCACUUGAGUGCCAUAUCGGGAUAAAUCGAUCACUUACGUGCCAAUUCUGGCCAAAUGGGUUACGUGGAAUUUUUUUUUUUUUUUUUUUACUUUUAAAAUUUUUUUGAAUUUUUUCUUUACAUUUGUAUUUUGCUUUUUUUUUUCUUUAAGGCCGGCGAGGGUUGCGACCCUCGCCAGUCGUGGUCACCUUGCCCUCGGCCGCAAGGCCCCCCGCCAGUCGUGAUCAGUGAGGCCGUGAUGGCCCUCUUCCACUCUAGGUGGUGUCGCUUGUGACUACCCAAAGCUGGACGCCGCCCAAAGUGGCCCCAACGGCCUUGCCCAAGGCCUUUGCGGACAAGGGCGAGGCGGCCGUGGCCAGCGAAGGUCACCGAUGACCCUCGCCGACCCUAAAGAAAAAAAGAAAAAAAAGUUAAAAAAAGUUAAAAAAUAUUAAUAAUAAAUAUUAACAUAUUAAAAUAAUAUUUUCUGGCGGCCACGUCAGACAACUGGCAACCAUGUUAGCUUUUUCGACGAGCCAAAUUGGAAAUGGUACUCAAGUGAUUGAUUUUUCAAAUUCAUAGCACUUAAGUGAGCGACAAAGAAGUUUUUGCAUUAAAGUGAACGUUGUACGAAAGUUUUGGCACUUGUUUUACUUUCCCUUCCCGUUGUCACUCAUAUUUAGUGACCUAUAUCAUAUAUGGAUUAGCGAAAAUUCAAAGAAUAGGUUGGUAUGAAUUUAAAGUAAAAAAAACUAUUCCAAUAUAUAUUUUAAUGAGUCUUGACCAUUGACCAUGUCUAUAUGAAAUUCAUGUUAAUCGAAAAAGCGAGAAUAGUAAUGAUUUUUCCAAUUGCUCAAAGCUGCAAUAAUACUUGACUAGAUGUAGCAUUGAAUUUGAGUAAUUCUGGCAUGCAUGGAGCUCGACGCGGUGUUAGAUCUCAAUUAGAUCUAAUGUUGAGCCCAACACUGUGGUGGGCCGUUAUCAAGGACUCGCAUUGUAGCAAUUAAGCACGACACCUAGUUGGGUCAACGGGAUAUUUCUCCUUAUAUAGCAUGCUUAUGCCAGUAUUUGAAUUUUGCAAAAUAAAUCAUUAUGAAGAAAAAAAGACUUCUUCGAAAAUUCUAUAUCAAUUUUUCUAUAAAAUUGAGUUAAUUACCUUUUAGAAAAUUCUGUGGUGAGAGAAAGCAAGUCAAAGUCUUCCACAUCUUGCUUGCUUAGUUGCAAAGAAAGUGAUGAGGCAAGAGCCAACAAGACCUACUCAAAAGAAAGGAGGGACAAAGGACGGGAGAGAAAAAGUAAGUCAAAAUCUUCUACCAUCUUACUUGCUUAGUUGCCAAGAAAAGGAUAAGGUAAAAGCCGACAUGGCCUACUCAAAAGAAAAAGGGCGGAAAAAGUUUUUGGCGAUGGAAUGCAAGUCAAAGUCUUCCAUCAUCUUGCUUGCUUAGUUGCAUUGGGACCAUUAUUUAUCAUGAUAAUAUUGUAUAAACUUAAUUCAGAAAUGAUACAACAAAAAAGAUCAAUUACAAUAUAAAAAUUGUACCGAGAUUUACGUUUUAUGAUGGGGCUUUUUAUGGGGUUUGCACGGUUUCUCUAAGGUGUUUUAAUGAAAUCUAGAUGUCCGGUAAUGCUACGUCAAUACAUUAUACAUCAAACUCUUCAAUUUGCCUAUUAACUCUUAUAACUAAUGUUGAUUUGAUAGCACAUGUGGUAAUGUUAUUGUUCUAUAAUUUAUAUUCUUUUUCCUUUAAAUUGACUAGAGUGAGCCAGUACAGAUCACUGUCUAUGAAUGUCAACUCACAAAUAUGUGGCACCUAUAAUCCCGACGCUAGUCUAUUAUCAAGUGUUUGAGGAGAGUUGAAAUUGACAUGUGAAAGCUAUUUGUUACUUGAAAUAUACAUCAACAUAAUAAAUAAAAAAAAGCAGCUACUUGAUAAAGUUUGUCAAAUUUUCAUCUUUAUUUAAAAUUAUAAAAUCCAUUUUCUUCUCCCCUGCUUGCUUUGCUUAUGCUGAUUGUGAUUUUUUUUUUAAAAAAAAAAUUACAUUCAAUCCGACAUUCUUUUUUGGUCCAGAUACAAUUCAGCACACAUAUUAUAUUUACAUAAUAAUUGCUCGUAUUAUGAGGACGCUGUUAAGAGGAGUAACAUGUAAAACUAGUAAGAUUUUUGCCUUUUGCUUAGGAACAUACUCGUCAUUUUCUGGCUUAACAGAUAAUGGACCAUUAAACUAAUCUGAAAAAUCCGGUUUUGCUGGCUUUUGAUGGUCAUAAACCACGGGAAUCAAAGGUGUAUUGGUGCUCUCUAAGUGUAUUCCAGAGCAACAGUAAGAUAAAGGGAGUACCUUUGGAUCUUUGACUCUUCCCUCUUCCAUCCGUUGACUGAGAUGAGAUAUCAGCGGCCCAAAAUGGAAAAGAACAAAAGGGAAUAAAUCCAUUCACACCAUCAUCUCAGUACUACCAAAUUUAAGACUUCGAAACGAGGUAAAAAAUCUUGGGUUCUACCGCGCAAUAAACAAAAGCAAAGGAUCAACACAUGAAGAGAACAAAGAAGAUUGUUUACCUUCGCCAGCCAAAAGAUUGCAAGGUCAACAGCAAAUGCAAGAAAAAAAUCCAGAAAUAAACCAUACGAAACCGUUUAUUAUUUACAAGCAUAUACUAUCCUAGAAACAAUAUGUGUGCCAUUAGCAGGAAGACUUGAAAGAUUGUCUUCGAUACAAAAUAACUAUAGUGGUACAUCAUCUUUUUAACAUGCAAAACAAUGAUUUCAUUAGACACAAUUUGCCGAACCCUAUCAUGAAGAACGUGAUAUCCGAAAAGCACGUCACUCCCAAAAGUACUUUUCAUGCAUAUGGCAAGGUGCUAAGUGUUGCUCUGUGUCGCAAAACAGAAAAAAUUGAUUUGAUCCCAACACAAAAUUAGUAAUUUUGUAAGAUGGACUCAAUUGGUAAAUUAUCAAAAAGUUUAAGCUUCAAUUGGCAAAAUUGAAUGGCUUGGGACUGAAUUGAUAAAUUUUCAAAAGGUAAAGAUAAGGGAGAAAAGAUCAUAAGUUCCUCAAAUUGGAGAGUUGCAAGCUGAUGAGGACAUUUAAGGGAUCACAUUAUCUUCCACCACUAAUCAUAUUUGAAAGACAACCAAAUGUCAUGUUAAUCAGCGACAACCAAGUGUCCGAUGAUAUACUCUUCAGUGGGUCAUCAUAUGAGUCGAGUAGAACCAUUUAAGACCCUGUUGCCCUCAAAAUCAGAUCACCAAGUUUUGUAUCUUCAAGCUAAUUUUGAAUGGUAGUUGCAGAUCACUUCUUUAAGGUACACUAUUGGGGAAAUCGAACGAAGUGAACAUCCAAAGGAUCAAGCAUUCCCCUCCAGCAAUUUAUCCAGCAAUCCGGUCAUCUGAUUUGGGCAAAUUAUACGACAUUGGAAAGCUCUUACGAUGCACAAUCAAAUUAUAGACAUUGAUCAUAAUCUUAGCAAGGGUUAACUUUUGAUCAAAAUCAAGUCGAAACUUGGUAAAAAAUAUAGGUGUCUUCAAGGUCAACAGUCUUCAAUGAAGUAAUAAAUUUGAUUCACAUCCAAUAUUUGUUUGGAUUGAGGGAAGGGAAAAAAAGGGUGGCAGUAAUAAUCUAGGGACUUUUCUUUAGAGGCAGAGCAAUAAGCGGAUGAAACAUGAUUUUCUAAUCUCUAAAAUAGUCAGAUGAUUCUUUUCCGUCUUUCUAAGUUAUAUUGAAAAACUUCAUUUGACGCGGGACUGUUCUUCAGACCAGUUGAAAAGUGCAUAACAUAGGGUUUCAUUUUAUUUUAUUUUUGGUCGGAAACAUAGGGUUUCUUUUCGAUAAAUAAUGCAAUGCACUUUUUCAUGAAUGCACAGAAAUGGUAAGAGUGACUCACCAUGUUUUUUUUUUUUGGGUCAUAGACUUACCUUGUUCAAGCGCUAAAUAAUCCACACAAGCUAAUGAUAUAUUUCCUUAGCCCCCGCACUUUGAGAAUUAAAGAAAAAUUAAACCCCCAUAUGGCAUCUUAUUCUGUAAAAUUGGAUCAAGCGAUCUUGAUUGUUAUUUUGAACAUGGGUGAAUUAUUUCUCAUAUAUCGCUUGUUGACAUGUUAGAUUAUGAUAAACUACAUAUUGAGAUAUGAUAUAUGUUCACCGACGAUUCUGAUUUGGGGUCUAAUCGCAGUCGAUGUAAUUUUUUAGGCUUAACGACAAUUGAUAUAGUAUCUAGGACCUUGUCACGUGAUGAAGCAUGACUGAGAUUGGGCAUCAGAGCUUGCCAGGGACGACACAACGCCCUUUUUUUUCUUUUAAUAAAUAAAUUCAAUAAAAACUAUUUUUUUCGUUCAAAUAUUGGAAAUAAUGAGAGAUUAAUUGAGGAAAAUUAAUAAAAACACAUAUUUCUGUUAAACCAAAUUAAAACAUAAGUAUACCUUCAAAAAAUUUGAAAAAGCUCUAAUUAAUUGUUACACUCAAAUAUUCAUGUCCCUCACCAUGAUUCAUAUAAUACAAUGUCAUUGUUGUUCUAGUGUCCAUGUUGGGUGUCCAUGUUGGGUACAUUCCUCUGGAGUUAAUUCUUGUGAAAACUAAUCACACCCUACAGUAACCAUUUCUAAAUUUUACGCACACAAGUUUGAUCUAUUUGACUUCCAAAAGUUGGCCAAUAAUAAACAUAGACUUUCGACAUUUAUGCCGGUGGAAUGAGUAAGUCACAAGCCAUGAUCAAAAGAGUCAGAAAAGUGGUGGCUUACCUCUUCCACUAUUUCAAGUCCUCAGGUCCUCGAGGUUAUCUCUACCAACUCUAUCGAUGUGCUUGGAGUAGUUGAUUCCCACGUACAUCUCCAACUCAUUGGUGGAUGAUGAAGACGAAGACUUUGCAAGCUAUGGCGUGUUCUACUUAUGAAGCAAAGACCAUAUAGGUUUGUGGACACUACUCAGAGGCUGCAUUCUUUGGCCGUGAGAUGGGUUGUAUUAUAUCGAUUGAUAUAUGCCACAUAUAUAUUUGAGAGCCAACUCAUCGUUAUUACCAAUCUGUGUUCCACUUGAAACUCUUGACUUAGUCCCAAAUAUAUGUAAUAUGGAAGAAGAAGCGUUUGAACCCCCCCAACUUGAACCGUGUAUCCAAGAUAGGGGCUACCAAGACAAAAGCACCUCCAACUUGAACCUUGUUUUUGUAAUAUUUAAUGAAUUUCGCCUUUGUGGCCACUACUAUUUCCUUGUUGUUCAUUUAUUCAAUUACAUUAGGAAUAGAAAUGGAAGGACUUGAUUGCCCACUAAUCCAAACCUCCAGAUUUCAGUCACAACAAAUUCGCAGUUUUUCAUGUAGUUUGUAAGUUCAUUCUCGUAUUCCAAGGUCUAAAGCAAGUAUCAGUGGAACAAACUCACCUUGAUGCAAAACAAGAGCUUGAAUUAUCAUAUCAGAAAUUGGAAAUGUGAUUGUUUCAAGCAUGAUUUCUGCUAUUAGUCAAAUCUGACGUAUAAAAAACUAAUCAAAGAUUUCAGAUGGCGAGGAACCCCCCUAAGAAAAUCAAUAUAGCUGGGAAAAAUAAGAAAGGUUCUGGCUGGAGUAAGCAUUAAACUUGUAAACUAGCACAAGAACAUAGGUAGCUAAAUGGAAGAUGAAAUCCCAAAACUACCCAGAUGAUUCUGCAAAUCUAUGCAAAGCGACAAAACACCAUUUUUGUUUGAACAAAUUCCUCCAUACUCUUCACAACUUAAAGCCACCUGGAGAUUGGUGAGGACCAACCUAAUGAUCAAUGACGACCAGAUGAAAAGGGAACGAACCGGAUCCUGUCUAAUUGAUGGUGAUUUUUUUUUUUUUAUUCGUCAUUUUCCUCAUUAACAAUAAUUUCCUGUUAACAUAUCAUCUCGUAACUUCUUGAACAUGGCGUAAUUUCCUUUUAGUAGUUGUAAGUUUCAUAGAUCCUAUAAUUUGUAAUAUUCCAUUAAAAUUUUUAAUCUGCCUAAGUUUAUAGUAAAUUUCUUUUCUUAUUGUUGGUAAAUUACCUAAUGAAUCUUAACGUUCGUUUGGCAUACAUAAUCAUCCUCACUAAUAAUAAUUUACUUGUAAAAAAUCCUUUUGUAAUUUUUCUUUUAGAGGAUGCGGUUUUUGUUUGGAGGGCAUAAAUCUCUGGAACUUGUGCUUUGUAAUAUUUCAUAGAAACAGUAAUUUAUUUGGUUAGUGGUAAAUUUCUUUUUUGUGCGUUUAAUGAAAUAUCUAAAUUGAUAGUAGCUUUCUUUACACUUUGUAAAUUUUGAAACUUAUAUGUUGGUAAUUUUCCUUACUCAUUAUAGCUUUUUUCAAUCAAAUGAAAGUUUGAUCACCUUGUGUUCGUAACUCUCCUUUACUGUUUGCAAAUCCAAAUUCUAUGACAAAAAGUCGAUUUUGCAAAACAGAUUUGAUGAAUCGGUUUUUUUCCCUUUCUUAUCCAGUGGUCCACGUUGAAUGCGGGACCAGUCCCAUAAAAGGAGAGCUUCGACUUAUGGAAUUUCCAUCGUGAUCAUGAUGUUUAGGGCACAACAAAUUAGUGUUUUCUUUUUGCCAAACAGUAAAGUAGUGUUGGUACUGACCAAAAAAAAAAAAAAAUAGUGUUGGAAACCUAUCUUUCCAAAUUAUUUGAAGUUCGCUCUAUAUAUAUAUAAAGCUAAAAAAUUAAAUUAAGAUAAUUAUUACUUUGUCAUUUUUUUUUUUUGCUGAUAUACAGUGUCAAUUUUUCCUUUUGCUGAUAUACAGCUACAGAUAAAAAGAAAUUUGAGAUACUUCUCAUAUUCUUAUGUAUACAAAGAAGCCUUUACCCAUAUUCCGAUCUACCAAGUUCAAGAAUGAUUCAAGCCCGGAAAGGAAAAUGUAAAAUAGAAAGCCCCCCACCCCCAAAACCAACCAGACCCAACCGUGGGGGCGAAAAUAGAACUUCAACAAACUUUGGGUGCAAAAACGGAAUUUUCUAAAGAAUGGAAAAAAAUAUGGCUCGAAUCCCUCUCAUCCUCCAGUAUAUAAAAAUAGGAAAGGAAAAACAUCAUCAAUCCCGCCAUAGCUGGCAGGUUUUUCGAACAGAGCAAUUCGAGCGCGCGCGCUCUCUCUCUCUCUCAAGAGACUAUGGAUCGAUUCAAUUCCAUUUCGUGCAUCAUCGAUCGAUCGCUCGAAUCGCGUCGAGCAGGUUGAGAUUCCAUGGAGGUAUCGGGGCUUGGAGGUAGAGAAGGCUCGGUUGCUGAACUUGGCUCUCAAGUUCGGCUUCGACGAGCAGUCCACCAGCAAGUGCUUGGAUCGUCUCGUUUCCCUCUACGGUAACUCGGAUCGUUACUUCGAAGCCCAUUUUUCAUGCUGAUUACCGUUGGCAGAGGUUAUCUAGGUAUUUCUCGUUCCCGCGAAGAUGAUGGCUGUGGGAAUAGUUUGCUCUAGGUUUGAAUAGGGCACUUUUUGUCCUGGUCAGCGUCGCAGAGGUUGUAUAGGUCCUUCUGGAAGUCUGCUUUAGGUUUGAAUAGAUUGGAGCUGGUUUAGCGAAGUAGUCUUCCUGACUAACAAAAUGUCUGGUGCUGUUCCAGUUUGAUGUGUUUAGGUUGCUUUGGAUGGUGGUUUUUCUUGGUUAUUAGCCGAAUCUCGUGGUAUCUGGUGAUUAGGGAAUGGCGUAAAUGCUUGUGUUGUGAAGAUAAUUCGUCAUUGAUCGAUUGUGCAUUUGUAAGGAAGGAGAUUUAUUGCUGUCAGUCGUCACUCUGAUGAUGGCUCUGGAAUAGUCUCCCUUUUUGGAUUUGAAUGGACCAGAGCUGGUUAAAUCUAGUUCAUUGAGUGUUAAUCCCAUCCCAUUUCUCUGUGGGUUUUGUGGAGUAGUCUUAUUGACUAGCGAAAUGUCUGACUUAUCUUUGAACUAACCGCAAAUUACAUAUGGUGUCUUGCCUACAAUUAAGUAUGGCAUCUUACUGUAUUAGCUGCAGAUUACAUAUUGUAGAUUGUAAUUAUUCGAUCUUUUUCUUUUUCUUGUCAUGGGACUUGCAAAAUCAUCUCUUCUUUUGGUUGUCUGAAGGUGAUGAAGGUCAAGAAUUUAUCACUGUGGAGCACUGUGGCGAUGAUUUUCUAGCAGAACUCGCCGAAACUAUGCAAGACAGUGAGGAUUGGGAUGAUUUGCAAGCUGCAGAAACAGAAGCUUGUGGAGUUUUGACUGAUAUGUUUGGCCAAGAUACCCCUAUUGAUGGCGAAUGCACUGUUGUGCACGAUAUUAAUAUUAUAGAAGAUUCUCCACAACUUAAGAAAAAUCGGACUUUUCUUUAGGGGAUUCCUCUACUGACAGUGAAGACGAAGAUGAUAUAUUUGGCAGUAAAAUGGGCAGGAAACCCACAUGCUAUAUUCCUAAUCAAAGCAGUACUCCAAGCAAUUCAUCCACUCAACUUCUGGCCAGACCAUCUUCAGAAUACAUGGUGUGCUUCUAAAAACUGUGAAUUUGUCUCAUACCUUUCUGCCCCCACCCCCGCCCCCAUGCCCAAAACUCAUUUGGUCAAUAGUUGUUAAGUUUGUGGCUCGAGUUUUUGAUUCAUUUGGCUUGGGAUUGGCCCGUGUAAUUGCAUGGACCCAAUAUGCAGCUUGAAGAAUGUCUCAGCGUUGUACUGGGUUGGCCUUUCGGUGAAGCAACUGUGGACACCUGAAGAGGCCACAAUAGUUACUGGGCAAAUCCCACGAGUCUGGCCACAAUGGUCUAGUUGUUUAGGAGGUUGACAAAAAGUUGGCAGAUCUGGGCACGACUUUUGGUUCAUUUAAGAAUGACUCUGCAACCCAUAUAUCCAUUUAUUUUUGUUGCUGAGGUAUAUUGGCGUCAACAAGGACAAUGAGAAGAAUUGAGAACAGAUUAUCUUGGUUUUUGAUUGGGAGAGAUUAGAGUGUCCUUCUCAUAAAACUCUUGGGAAACGCUUUCCACUCAUCUCAUACGUUUUUGAUUGACUCUUGCGACUGGGGUUUUGGUUAGUGAGAAAUUGAUUUAUUACUUAUUGUAGUUCCCUCUCGGUCAUUGUGAAACAACUCCUCCUGUUGACGUAGAUGAAACUGCACAUCCCCUUAAAUUAGUGUGUCACUGUUAUUUGCUCUUAAAAAUGUGUCUUUCCUUGAUCAUUUCCAGUUGCUUGUAAUUCUGCUCCCAGCAAAGGACCUUAUGCAGGGUACCUGUACAAAAGCAUUUAAUAAAUUGUUUAUGAGGGCUCUCAUCCUAUCAAAUGUAUAGUAAACACUUCUAACUUGCCAGUUACAGUCUUUAAGAUCUAAAAUGACUUUAUUAGAACUGUUUGGUCAAUAAAAACAGUUGACUUUUGUUUUGGAUGAUGUAACAAUACCUAUAUUUUUCAAUUAUUUUGGGAGCAUGGUACAUCAUCCAAGUGCUCAACUUAGCAUCCAGCGUCUUUGAUAGGAGUGUUUUGCAAAAUGAAGGCUUGGGAUUUCUUUGUGCACAAUUUUCAUUUUCCAGCACUUUGUGUCAGAAACUUUUAUGGUACUGAAGAGGCUUAUUUGUGUUGAAGGACUGUAAGAGCACCAUAACUCAAGGUUCAAUAUCAUCAGUUUCAAAUAAAAGACAUUGCUCUCAGAUUUCGACAUGCAAACAAGGAACUCUGAGUUAUGAGGAAUUGCAAGCCUUGGAUGACAUAGAAUUUGCAAAUGUUGUAAUAGUUGGAAACAAGUAAUCUCAACCAAUGAAGCAUCAGGCUUGCAAAGCUUCUGUAGCCAAGCAAGAUUGCUUCGUUCUCAUGCCCACAGGAGGUGGUAAAAGUUUAUGUUACGAGGUUAGUGAAAAUGUUAAGAUUAUUUCAUUUGUGUAAUGAUUUAAUGUAGAAGUAUGUGUGGAGACAAUGCUUAGAGAACAAGCCCUAUGCACUUCGCUUAAUGGUUCCACCAACUAAAUACUAGACAGGUAGACCUGAAUGUCGAAAUUUAAGCUUUAAAAUGAUCUUGUAUAUCUGCUUUGUUACCACUAUUGAGAAGUUUGUGCUUAAACUUAUGGAAGGAAAUGUUUUCCAAAUGGAAAUUAAGUGAUAGGAAGUGAUUUAGUACAUAACCAUGGGUUCCAAUGCAUGGGAAAAGAAGGAAAUACAAGACAUUCUCUUUCUGGCUUCGCCCAUCAUCUAUUUUGGAGUUUCUAGAAUUUGAGGUUUGUGCUAUGCUUCUAGGACCUUCUAAUUACUUACUGGAAAUUUAUCUUGUUUUUGCUUCUAGGACAUUCUGUUUCUUCAUUUUCUCUUCUGAUGAUUUUACCCUUCGUUUCAGCUGCCAGCAACUCUUAAACCAGGUGCCAAUUGUUAUAUCUCCCCUGCUUUCUCUCAUCCAGGAUCAAAUAAUUACUCUAACCCUCAAGUAUGGAUACCAUUUACUUUCUUGAACUCUCAGCAAACUGCUGCACAAGCAGCGGGCUGUCCUCCUAGAACUAAGGACGAGGUUUAGUGCUCUCUCUCUCUCUCUCUCUCUCUCUCUCUCUCUCUCUCUCUCUCUCUCUCUCUCUCUCUCUCGCUCUCUUCCUAGUGAAGUAUAUUAUACCAUACAAUCUUUAUCCCGCCAUAAAAUGGUUAUGCUCUAUAUGUUGCAAAGGAUCGACAUUUUUUAUGUAGUUAAUGAAAAGAUGCAUGCCUAAGAUGUUUCCCUUAAAAGUAUAUUUUAGGAUCUUAGUGUUCCUAGAGAAGUAUAUCAUAACAUACAAUCUUUGUCCUUCCAUUAAAUGUUGAGCUAUGCUUCAUACGUUGCAAUGGGAUUUCUUUUGGACUUCAUAAACUUUUUUUGGCCGGUUGUUGUGAUUGUCAAGUCAUUAAUCUCCACUGCUUUGCCUGCCUUUUCAGGAAAGAUAAACCAUCAUGCAAGUUAUUGUAUGUAACUUCAGAAAGGAUUGUGGGGAGCCCGUCACUUCUCAAGAUAUUGAAAUGCUUGCAUAGAAAGGUACUAUUUGUGAUACACCGUAACUUUUUCUGAAAGUUUCUUUUUAACUUAUUGAUACUUGGACAUCUCGCAUUGCAGGCACAACUAGCUGGUUCUGUCAUUGAUGAGGCACAUCGUGUGAGGUAUGCUCUUUGAUAUCCUUGUAUCUAAAACAAAGAUCAUGCUAGAGUUACUUCAAAAUGAGUAAGUAUUUAUGAUGUUGCCACUACAAAACCACCGUCCUUGUUCCAUUUAAAGGAAAACAAGUUCACUUUUAUAUAUGCUCACUCAAACUCUUUUUUCGAACGCUUUUGCAUCUUGUGUUUCUAGCCUAAUUACAUUGUCGGUGUUGCACUGAACCUUCUGUGGAGUUCUAGUUUAAUAGAAUGCAAUGUUGAAAUAACUAAUUUUGGAAAUGAUCUAGUUCCUUCUUUUGUGAAAAGUCAGUGCCGCAUCAUUAAUCAUAGUAAGCAAAAUUCACACAACUAAAAUAAGCUCCACAGAAAUUACUUUCGGAAGUAAUUGAAAGUGUCCAUGUUUGGCAUGAUAGUCAGGUCUUUUAAGCUGGUUCUUGCGUCCCUUCUUAUUCUUUCAACCUUUAUACCAUGUAUUAACAGCUUGAGAUAUAAGGCAAAAGUUCAUGCAUGUGAUCAUUGAUCGUGUUUCUUAUAAGGUCUUUAUUGGAUUUGCUCUCCCAGUAGAUCUUAUGAGAGGAACGUACUGCUGUUUUGAACUUUUCUCAUAUAUUUGAAUGAUUGUAAAUGAGUAAAUCUUAUUGAUCAUUACUUUCUUGGUUGUCGUUGUUGCAGUCAAUGGGGACAUGAUUUUCGUCCAGAUUAUAGGGGACUGGAUGUCUCGAGCAAAAUUUUCUGUACGUCCCAGUGAUGGCCUCAACUGCAACUGCCACUCAGCCAGUUCGUGAGGUAUGAAACUUGCACAUUAUCCUCCAGAUUAUGUUGAAAAAAUCAUUUGGGUCUGAUCGAAAUGUACAUCUAUUGCAGGAUAUCCUAAAAGUUCUUGGGAUCUGCCAUGCUCUUACUCUGGAGACAAGCUUUGACAGACCAAACCUAAAAUAUGAGGUCACGGCUAAGACCAAGGAACCACUGAAGCAGCUUGGAGAGCUGCUAAAGAAUCAUUUUGCUAAUUUGUGUGGCAUAGUGUAUUUUCUCUCGAAGAAUGAAUGUGUUGAUGUUGCAAAAUACUUGAAUGAUAAGUGCGGUAUAAAGAUAGUGUACUGUCAUGCUGGAUUAGCAGCCCAUCAAAGAGUAGCUGUUCAAAAGAAAUGGAGAGGUCCAAGUCGUAUGUGUAACCAUUGCUUUAUGUUGUAAGUUGAAAUGGACUCUAAGCCUUUGCCUAUUUUUAGUUUUAGAAUCAAGGUGACAUGCUGGCAAAUACUCAACUAAUUCACUUUUUUUUUAAUGUUUUAGUUUCACUAAUCAGUUUGUUAGUGUGCUUGGAAGUAAACUUCGCUGGUUCCAUGGUCCAGUGGCCUGCUAAAUUGUCAUUCUUGGCUAUUGAUUGCGGGAACUAGCAAAUUAUGUGUUUUUUUCAAGUCAUUCUUUCUUCCACGCAUGGAACUUUGCUGUGCUGAACUAGGAUAAAGUUCUUUUCUUAAGUGGCAAAUGAAUUUGAUCUAACUUGACUUUCUGUCAUAAUGUUUUUGUCAUAUUUCAACUUAUUUUUGUUGGUUCGGUAAUUAUAUUUUUAUGGCAUGUGGUCAGCGUUUUGUCGUCCACAACACAGUGUCCAAGUCAGUUGAAAGCUAUUACCAAGAAUUAGGGAGGGCAGGAAGAGAUGGUCUACCAGCAUUGUGCAUUGCUCUAUAUGCCAAAAAGGAUUUCAGCCAGGUUGUGUGCAUGUUUUUUUUUUUUUUUUUUGGUAAAGUAAAAGGUAUUGUAGCUUUGGACAAUAAUACAGGACCGGCUCCAAAACAUACACUCUCAGGGCGCUACGCAUAGAGAGUGUUAAGGAGCCGAAACAAAAAGAUUACAAAGAAGAAAAGAACAAUCACAAGCAAGGAGCAAAGACCAACAGGUCACAAGCGAAAAGAAAACGCUAAACAAAACCUUAGCCGCCUAAGGACCGAAGGCCAGACACCCAAGGAGGGAAGGAGAAAAGAUCGCACAGCUUGGUCUUCAUCCGGAUCUAUGCAUUCUCCUCACAAUCAGCGAAGAUGGAAGGGUCGAAGCCCUAGUUUCUCUCAAGCUUUCUAUUUCUAGGGGUAUUCGGGACAUCAGAGAAGGUGAGAGCUUUGUCCUUGACCAUCUUGAUAAUGUGAUUUUUCAUUGCAGCAAGAACCACCGCUUCGUCGCGGAAUAUGAUAGCAUUCCUCUUCUUCCAAAUUAAGUAGCACAUGGCAACAAAAGAGUAACGAGCUAAGUUGUGAAAGAAAUCGUUGCCCUUUAGGAAGGAGAUAGCCCAUUGGAGAUUCUCCUUCCACGGCCUUGGGCACCAAGGAAUGUUGCAAUGAGAAGCCCAAAAAUAAGCAAUGGAAGCCGAUAUGUGGCAAUCAAAAAACAAGUGAUCUAUAGAGUCAGGAACAUCAUCACAGAAGGCACAGGUGACAUAAUCAAUUCUACCAUAGGAAAUGAGAAGUUCCUGGGUAGGCAAACGGUUUCUAGCAAUCAACCAGAGAUUGAAUUGGAACCUGGGGGUGAUGACGUUGUUCCAAAUAAGUGAAGCCCAGGGCACUACGCUUCUUUUGGUCCUGAAGUGGUUCCAAGCAGAUCCUAUCGAAAAAGAUCCUGACGGACGCCAACGCCAAGAAAACCGGUCCGGAGCUUGGGAGAGCGUUGGGAUAGAGAGACCCCAGCUCUCCAUAAUACUACGAAGUGAAAGGCCCAUAGGCGAAAAGAGAUCAGCCACCACUGCAUGCUUGGGUAGACCAGACCACUGAAUAACAGGAUCUGGCAUAAUAAUAUCAAGAAGGCCUUUUGGGUGCCAAUGAUCAAACCAUAACGAAGUGGAGCGUCCAUUUCCAAUCUUCCAAAGGAAGGAAAGCCAAGAGUCACUUCUUAAUUGCAAAAUUUUCUUCCAAGCCUAAGAGCAAAUUUUAGGAGAUGAAGCUUUCCAGAAGUUGUUCCUCUUUAAAAAGUUGGAAUGAAUCCAACAGCACCAAAGGGAUUCUUUGUUUGUGAACAGAAUCCAAAUGUGCUUCAUCAUGGACGCCUUGUUGCAAUCUCUCAAUUUUCGAAUACCAAGUCCUCCUUCUUUUUUUGGUAAGCAUAUAUCAUCCCAUGACACCUUCGCCCCCCCCCCCCCUCUUACCGAGGGCGGAUCCUUUCCAAAGAAAUUGCCUUAAAAUCUUUUCAAUGCUAUUGAGAACCGAAAUCGGCAAUGUGAAAACACUCGACCAGAAGGUUUGGAUAGAGUGCAAGACUGACCUGAUUAACUGCAACCUUCCAGCAAAAGAGAGGAAACGAUGAGCCCAAGAUUGGGCUCUAGCUAUAAUCCGAUCAAUAAGGGUGAUGCAGUCAGCUUUCCCAAGCCUGGAGGAUAUGAUAGGCACUCCCAGAUAGCGUACCAGUAGUUUUCCUUCUUGAAACCCAAAGGCUAAGGAAAUGUAGUUGCGAAGAGACGGAGGACCACCCGAGAGAAAAAUUUCGCUCUUGUUCUUGUUUGGAAUCAAGCCACUCCAUGAAGAGAACAAGUCCAAGCCUUUCUUCAGCAAGGUAAUAGUCGCCCAAUCAGCCUGACUAAAAAGAAAGACAUCAUCGGCAAAGAAAAUGUGAGAUAGCUUGACCGCUUUGCACCGCCAAAAGUAUUUGAAUUCCUUAUGGGAGGUGCGAGCAAUCAAAAUUCCCGAGAAUACCUCCAUCACUAGGUUAAAAAGAUAAGGGGACAUCGGGUUGCCUUGUCGCAGGCCCCGGCCACCAGGAAAGAACCCAUGAAGUUCUCCAUUGAUUGAUAAUGAGUAUUUUGGCGUCCGAACGCAUAUCAUGAUCAACCGGAUCAGGAAAUCAGGAAAGUCAAAGGCUACUAGAGUUAGUUGAAGGAAAUCCCAAUCAACCGUGUCGUAGGCCUUUUGAAAAUCAACUUUCACAGCACAUUUAGGGAGGUAUGGGUCAAGGUGAAAUCCAGCAAAGACUUCCUGAGCUAUCAAUAUAUUAUCCCUUAUCCUCCUACUCUUAAUAAAAGCAUUUUGGGAAGGAUCAACCACUUCAUUCAAGACAGUAGCAAGGCGAUUAGCCAGGUUGUGUGCAUGUUAAGGAGUGGUCAAGGAUGUAAAACCGAAAUCUUUAAAAGUGUAAAGGCUCAAACUAGGAAAAUGCAGCAAGAUUGUGAACUCAAGGUAAUCCAAUUUCUCAAUUUAUCUCUGAUGAUCUCAACUAAGUGAUGCUUCUAUUUUGUGUUUGCAUUUUCCACUCCGUUCUAUUGAUUGUUGUUAGUGUUGGUCUGGCAUCAACCCGUCUGGGUGCUGGAUCAUUAGGUGGGUCUGUUGGCAACAUAUUCAAAUAAUAAUGGAACCUUUGGGAUAAACUCAUAUUCCACGCACCUAAAUGGAGCAAAGUCUAUUGAUAAACGUGUGUGUCCUCUCUAAUUUGUGAAAUUUUCAGUAUGAGUGUUGGCGGCAAACGUUGCUUGCACACUUUGGCGAGUCUUUGAAUCAGAAAGACUGUAAAUAUGGUUCUAAUCCUUAUGGCAAUUGUCUUAAUGCCUCUUCAUAAAGGUAAACCUUUCAGGUGUCUCUUGAGGGUGAAAGGUACCUGACUUACGCAUGAUCUUGAGCCGCACAGUACUUCUGGUUCCAUCAUCCGCAAUUAUUGGAAGACUAUAUGGUAAUGGAGGGGCAGAGGUCCUUAACUAUGGACACAGAAUUCUGCAGUUCCGAUGGUUCAAUCGGACGAUUCAACCGACCUUUAGACUAGAACCCAAACCGGUUCUUUGACCGUUCCGGGUUUGGAAGUGCUGUUUGAUACGAUUGCAAGACCUGAUUAUUACACGUGAACAAAAAUUGCCAGCUCUCACAGUGAUAACGUUAUGAUAACAUGGAGGAUUGAGCGGCACUAACUUGGCGGAGAUAUGGUGCUUACUAGGGGUGGCAAAUAGGUGGGUUGAGUCGGGUAUUGGUUGAGUCGAAAAUGGACUUAUAUUUGAUCCAUUAAACCCGUUUUAACCCAUAUUUAUAUAGUGUAAAUUUAGUGAUCCAUACCCGACCUGAUCUAUAUUGCUAAAACCUAUUAAUAUUCUAGGAAAACCCACUUCUAUCAUAUGCUAAUUGGAUUAAAAUUUCAAAUUAAAUUAAAAAUAGUAAAUAAAUAAAAAAAACCUAUAAAUUGAAAUAUUUAUAAAAAAUUAGACUAUGCACAUAGUCUAAAAUGCACGUACCGACUCAAGCCUUGCUAGUCGUCGGCCAGCAGUUGGCCGUUGCCCUGCCAGCUGCCGGAAGGAAGAAAAAGAAAGAAAAAAGAAAAGAAAAAAAAUUGAAAUAUGAAAAAUACUUAUAAUUUCGAUUUUUUAUAAAAAAACAUUUUUAUAAAGUUAAAAAAGGCCAUGGGUUUAAACUUUAAUGUGGGUUUCCUUUCCUAAUUAUCAAUUUCUGACAUAUAUUUAACUUUCACUUGAUCCAUUUUUUACCCAUAUUUAUUUUUCAUUUGACCCAUAUAUGACUAAUUUAACUAAAAAUGGGUCAUAAUAUGGGUUUAUGGCCUAUUUUGCCAACUCUAGUGCUUACUUGAUGCUGACAUUAUCUUCCUAAGAAUGAUGCAAGACCAGGCAGUGGCGCUAUGUCUGAUGAGUGGUUCGUUGACAAAUGAGGUUCGAAGGGCGGCAGGGUAUGAUGGUACGGAUUGGACGAGUUUGUGCUGUCCCGGCUCAUGAGGCUUUCGUCCAUGGUGGAGUUGGGUCGCGGUGGGCGUCAAUUCAGCAAUGUGAUUGUCGGAUUCAGUAUUUCGUAGUAUAUGGUUGCGGAGGCUGUCUCAACGGCGAUGGCGAGUUUGAAAUGCUUGCAGGAGAUGAACGAACUGAAGGCCUUUUUUUACAUAACUAGAAUGUCUAAUACAAGUACAGGGGAUCAAUUAUUUAGACCCCAAACUAAUAGAGGGAUGCACAAUAUCAUGAAUGUAGACAUAACAUGACCAUCUACAAGAUACAUGCGAUAUUUUGAAUAUAUAAGAGAUUAAGUAAUUUUGCAAAAGAUGUUCACCGCAAACAUAUAGGACAAGUUGCAACAUUGUUUUCAUAAAUUAAUGAUUUUAAUCCGAUGUUACAAUUAUUUAGACUUUGGGUGUUCAUUUGAAGGGAGGUCUUCACCUUAUAAUUUUGUCGGACAAAUUGGAGUCUUGUACGGUUUUUACUCUCAAAGUUGGCUUUUCCUAUAUGUACAAACUUUUUAGAGUUUGAAAUCAGGGUUUGAUUCAAUGUUAACAUCUCAAUUUUUUAAAACUCGAAGACAAAUUUUCAAGCUGGCGUUUUAAUUUGGUUCAUAGCAAGAAAAAUUUCUCGUUAAAUAUUUAUGGGUUGUUGAACGCAUGAAAAUGAGAAAACAUGGUAUUCGUCUUCUGCAGUAUUUGCUUGGUAACUGGAAUUAGUAUAAUGUGGAAACAAAGAAAUAAUAUUCAGUGUCAGGUCGCAAAAAAACAAUAGAAGAAGAAGAAGUAGUAGAUUUUGAAUAGAAGGCACGCAGUUUAAGAAAUUGUUCAAGAAAUUAUGGUCUAUUAUUAAAAGAUAUGCCAAAAAAUGGAACGCUAUUUACUGUCCAUUAUUAAAAGAUUUGCAUCUCGAAUAAUGUUUCACUGGUCCAUAAGCAAUGAUUUUUCACAAGUAGUCGCGGGACAAGUUAUUAAAGCCAACUAGAUUGUUCCGUCCAAGAAUCACAAAUGGGGAUUUUUUUUUUUUUUUAUGGCCAAACUUUCAUUUUAUAUUGAUCUAGUCCAAGGAGCACUAAUAAGUCUAAUUUGGCUAAAAAAAGAAAAAUUAAUAAGUUUACCUCACUAGUCACCGAUUAUUUGUUUGAUCUUUUAUAAUGGUUUGAGUAUUGGUCUUUGUUUUUUUUUUUUUUCCUCUAGAAAGAGUCUUGGUCUUCAUUACAUCUUCCAGUUGGCUAACAUGGAUGAGAGCUUAGCUUGUGACAUUCUUCCCAAGAUUAAGAGUUAAUAAUUGCCUUUUAAAAGUUGGUCACCAAAAAAAAAAAACAAUAAAAAGAAGAAAGAAGAUUUCGAAUAGAAGGCACGCGGAUUAAGAAAUCGUUCAAGAAAUUAUGGUUUACUAUAGGAAUAUAUGCCAAAAAAAUGGAACACUAUCUACUACCCAUUAUAAAAAGAUUUCCAUCUUGAAUAAUAUUUUAUUGGUCCACAAACAUCGACUUGUCAAAAAUAGUCACAGGACAAGUUAUUGAAGCCAAUCAGAUUAUUCUGUCGAAAGAAUCAUAAAGAAGGAUUUUUUUUUUUUUUAUGGCCGAUCAUGAUCAAAUUUUGUCACACUUUCCUUUUAUAUCGAUUUAGGUAGAGGAAAACUAAUAAAUUCGAUUUAGCUGAAAAAAGAAAAAUUGCUUCACUAGUCAGUGAUUAUUCGUCUUGGUCUUUUAUAAUGGUUCAAGUCUAAUUCUUUGUUUUUUUUUUUCGCUGGGGAGAGUCUUAGUCUUUGUAACAUCUUCCAGCUGGCUAACAUGGAUGAGACCUUAGAUUGUGGCAUUCUUCCCGAGGUUGAACAUCAAUAAUUGUCUUUUAAAAGUUUUUUUUAUAAAGAUAAGUAAUAUAUUGAUUUUGCAAGAAAGAAUACAAGAGGGAGGCAUGGCACCAACAAAAACAGACACUCAAGAAGACAAAAGUCUAGAAUGAGUGUAAGGGUGCCAUGGUUCCCAGAAAAAGGAGCAACAACAACAAAAGGAAACAAAAGACAGCAAAAACUAGAAAACCUCCAUCAAUCAAAAAUAGAAGGAUGGAUGUUCCAGCUUCGUUGAAGUCUUCUAUUCAUGGGCACAUCGGGAACAGGUUUAAAGGUCAUAGCCUUAUCUUUGAUAGCCUUUUGAAGAUGCAUUUUCAUUGUCUUUUAAAAGUUGGUCGCAAAAAAAAAAAAAACAAAUAAAUACGAAGAAGAAGAUUUUGAAUAGAAGGCAUGUGAUUUAAGAAAUUCUUCAAGCAAUUAUGGUCUAUUAUUAGAAGAUAUGCCAAAAAAAUAGAACGCUAUUUACUGUCCAUUAUUAACUGAUUUGCAUAUUGGAUAAUGUUUUAUUGGUCCACAAUCAUUGACGUUUCAAAGAUAGUUGCGGGAUGAGUUAUUGAAUCCAACAGAUAAUGGGAAUUAUUUUUUGAUGGCUGAUCAUAAUCAAAUUUUGUCGCACUUUCAUUUUAUAACGAUUUAGGCAGAAGAUAACAAAUAAGUUUGAUUUAGCCUAAAAAAGAAAAAUUAAUAAGUCUGCCUCACCGAUCAUUGAUUAUUUGUCUUGGUCAUUAAUUUGAGUCUUGGUCUUUGAAUUUCUUUUUUUUUUCCGCCAUAAAGAGCCUUGGUCAUUGUUGCAUCUUCCAUCUGGCUAACAUGGAUGGGAUCUUAAAAUGUGACAUUCUCCCCGAGGUUAAGAAUCAAUUAUUGCCUUUUAAAAGUUGGUUGUGGGUAAUGAUAGAGAAAUAUACUUUAAAUUGAUUAUUGUAGGGUAAAAGAACGGCAAAUAUAAUAUUAUUUCAAUUUAAAAAAUAAAAUUAGAUAGGAAUACUACUUUUGUUGUACUUACCCAAUAUCAUCAUUAAAUUACUAUUAUCCUCAGUUGUAAUCUUUUUGAGCCGAUUGACUAUGUAGCCAACACUCGAAAGACCAUGGAAGUUUCUUGCAAUUGUAAUGAAAGGGAAAACCAAAAAAAUAAAUAUAUAAAUAAAUAAAUUUUGGAAAUGUGAGAUUGUUUGACAAACCUUAUUUUUCAACUUGACCACAGGAAGGAAACGAUAAAUAGAUGCUAAUUCCUGAAUUUGUUAAAUGAUCAUUGUCCAUCUCCUUAGAAGUUCUAAACUUCAUCGAUUUAUCAAACGUGUGAGUAUAUUUUAUACUAGUCAUAACAAGGUGCAUUACAUAGUAUUUUCCUUUCAAUAAUCCAUGCAAUGCACUAUAUAAACCACAUAGCCCAACCACAUAUUUCCUCAACCCAAGCACUUUGAGAAUUAAGGGAAAAAUUAAACCAUUUCACGGCAUCUAAUUUAAUAAGAUUGGAUCAAGUAUUGAAUGGAUUUCAAGUUAGAUUGUUAUUUUGGACAUGCAUAAAAAAUGUUUAGAUGGGUGAAUUAUUUCUAUUAAUCUCAUAUCAGCAUGUGGGAUUACGACAUAUGGAAAUUGGGUUGGUGCUCAUGGUUGGCCUACAUCUUGAGAUAUGAUAAAUGUUCACAGGCUGGUUUAGUUUUGCGCUUAAUCACAACCGACAUAGUUUUCAAGCCUUAUCACCUAGGCGUGACUAGGAUUGAGCAUUGGGGCAUGUCAGAGCCGAAAUGACGUGGGCACGGCUAGCAUGUGCCUAGAUAUUUUAAAAAUUAAUUAAAGCAAAAUUAAAUUCAAAAAAUCGCAACACUUAUUUUCAAAUAAUGUAAAUAAUGAGAAAUUAUUUGAGGUAAAUUAAUAAGGAAAAGCACUCGUUCUUUUUAACCAAAUUGAAACCCAAGUACAUCUUCAUAUAAUUUGAGAAAAAAAAUAUUACACUUAGUGGAGCUCUCCUAAUGAUUUCACUCAAGCAAUCGUGUCCUCAGGCAACGCUACCUUGAAGUCAAUCAUUGUCUAAUUUCCGUUCACUUUAUACUCAAAACUAGGGACUUGAUGUUUUGUAUACCACUGGGUGAAGAGUGUUUUACUUGAUCCUUGUUGUGUUUUGUGUUUUGCAUCUACCAAUUCCCUUGUGUAGAUAGCCAUUAAUUUCCUAAAUUUCUACCUUUUUUUUUAUUAUGUAUAAUUAAUUGUAUCAUAAUGAUGCUCAUACUUUAGCUUAACAUUAUCUCCCCAGCAAAAUGGAUUCUGCCCGAGAAAGGCACUCUAAAGAUCAAUGUGGAUGGCUCGAAUGUGAAGGGAGAGAGAAGAGGAAGCAUCGCCGGUGUUUGUGGGGACGAGUCUAGGAACAUCGUGGCUGGAUUUACCAAGGAAGUGCGGGUGAACUCGAUGGAGCAAGUGGAUACUCUAGCGUGCACAGAAGCCCUUCGCUUCUGUUCUAUUUAUGAACCCAAGUAUUCUCUAGAGUCAAAUAAUUGGCCAAUGAAAUGUGCAUUUUCAAGUCAAGAAUAGCCAACGUGGAGUAUCCAGCCUCUUAUCUCUAAAGGCAAAUGCCUGCUGGCCCAAUACGAAAGCACCCGUUAGCCCACUGCAGGAGAGAAGCGGACCAGGUAGCUGAUUGUAUCUCUAGGGCCCAUCGGCAAAAAUCCCUUCCCACCAAUUGGGUUUCUUAUCCCUAAAAAAUAUUAUGCGAUCUAAUUUAUUCAGAGGCCCAUUUAGUUUGUAAUCGCAGAGCUACUUAAAGUAUGAAAGAAGUUUAUUUCGACAAAAAGAAGACAAACAUUUAGAUUUCUCCACCAUCUUCAAAAUGUAAAAGAACUUACAAAAAUUUUGCAGAAAAACUUAAUUUCAAAAGUUUUCGGUGAUUGGGUCUCUUCCUAAAAUUCUGAUAACUUUAAGACAACUUGAGUAGAGCUUGAACCUGCACAUCAUCAAGGAACUCGUUGAACUGCUUAAUUUCAUCAUCUUCGAACACUAUCUUAUGAAUGUGCGGAUUUACAAAAAGAGAAAAUUGGCCUAAGUGACGAGAAAAAUCAAUUUGCGCUUCUGCUCUUUGAUUUGAUGGUCUUGUUCGAGAAUCUAGUUAUCUCAUUGAACCUCUCACUCAUCUCCCCACCAGCAAUUAUCUCCCCAUUAGUGUCUUUACAUAAAAUCAUUUUUUUUCGCGUGGCUCUCACACUUGCCCAUCCACCACUACGAGUGAUUGAUUCCAUGAAUCGCUCCGAGUCUUCGCCUAUUUGUGAUAAACAAAUGCAAAAAUGGCGGAUUUCUAGAAGGGCGACGGUGCUUUAUUUUGCUUGAAGAGGAUGAUUAGGAUAAGCCCUUUGCCUUCACCUGCCUAUUUCACCCAACUCCUGGAGGGAUCAUGGGGAAGAUGAAGAAGCAUUGCACCCCCGCCAUUGACGCGAUCGGUCGGAUGAAUUCGAAGGGAAUGACCCCCAACGUUUUUAGCCUUUGCAUUCUGAUGAAUUGCCUCUACCAAUUGAAAAGGUCCAAUCUUGGACUCGAACCCACAACCGAGAGCUUUAAUCCUUGACAAGUGGCUUAUCUUGCAUAGGCAAAUGGAAAAUAAAGCAAAGAUUUUGUUGAUGAAUACAACGCUAUUUAGUAUCCAUUAUUAAAAGAUUUGCAUCUUGAAAAUGUUUUUUUGGUCGACAACUAUUGACUUUUCAACGAUAGUCACGGGAAGAGUUAUUGAUGAAAUUGAAAAGACCAUCGAUGGAGUCUACUUUUUUUGUUAACUGAUCAUGAUGAAAUUUUGUCUCACUUUCAUUUUAUAUCAAUAUAGGCCAAACACAACUAAUAGAUUUUAUUUGGCUGAAACAUCUUCCAGCUAGAUAACGUGGAUGGAACCUUGGGCUCCAUAUGUUUCCGAAAAACAUUAGACCAUGUGGUUGCAUCAAGGAGUCAUGAACUCAACCGUUCGCCAAUAGGGAGGCUGUUAUCAUCUGUGGACGCAAAUAUUGGUACAAUUCCUUCAUUUAUGAGAUUGGCGUAAUCUCGAAAUAUCUACCAUUUAUCAUAGGGAUCACUUCCCCCCUCCUAUUGGUGUUGGAGAGACGAAUGUAGAUGUAGACGCUCUGGUAGUGCUCUUAUUUUCGGCAUGCGGUAUUUGCUUCUGCUGUUUUUUCUUGUCUUGAGAAGAUUAUAAGCGCAUGGCGAAAGAAGAAUUGGCGCGACAAGCACCGCUCAAAGGGCACCCCCAACACCGAACUGUUGGCACUUCCUUAUUUUCGUUGAUCCGGCUCUUCCCUUCAAAAGGAAUGCCCUUCCUGUAGCGCAAAAGGGAUGAAUUAACGCAUGAACUGGACUUAUGCAUCAACUUGAAACGACCGCCAUCACACGCUCAACAGUAAAGUGCACAACUUCUUUUACCCAAGAAAAAAAAAAUUACAGAUGCGAAAUCGGAAUAUGCAAAAAUAGAAAGGGAAAACAUCAAUCCCGCCAUCGCUGGUGAGGUUUUUCAAACAGAGCACUUCGAGCGCACACUCCCGAGAGAGAGGCUAGCAACCGAUUUGAUUCCGGCAAUUCGUGCCAUCGUCGAUCGAUCGAAUCGCUCGAACGGGUUGGAAUUCCGUGGGGGAUUGGGGCUUGGAGGUACAGAAAGCUCGGGUUACUGAACUUGGCUCUCGAGUUCAGCUUUGACGAGCAGUCUGCCAGCAAGUGCUUGGACCGUUUUGUUUCACUCUACAGUAAUGCGAAUCAUUACGUCGAGUUAUGUAGCCCAUUUUUUAUGCUGAUUGGCGUUCCAGAGGUUCUGUAGGUAUUCAUCGUCCACCACGUUGAUGAUCAAAGUGUGGAACUUAGCGAUCUGGCAUCUUUGAUAGAAAUGUUUUGCAUAAAUGAAGGCUUGUAAUUUAUUUGUGCACAUUUUUUCAUUUUCCAUGACAUUCCAUGUCAGAAACUAUUAUGUUGCUGAAGAGGUUUAUUCCUGUUGAAGGACUAUAAGAGCACUGUCACUCAAGGUUCAAUAUCUGUUUCAAAUGAAAAUGACCAAUGUUGUCAUAUUCGAAAAUAGGGCAUUUUGACCAAUGCGGCAUCAAGCAUGUAAAGCUUUUGUAGCCAAGCAAUUGCUUCAUUCUCAUGCCCACUAGAGGUGGUAAAAGUUUAUGUUACUAGGUUAGUGAAUGUUAACAUUAUUUCAAUUGUGUAAUGAUCGAAUGUAGACGUAUGUGUGGAGACAAUGUUUGGAGCACAAGCUUUGUGCACUUUGCUCAAUGGUUCCACUGAUUAAAUACUAGACGGACAGACCUGUACAUUGAAAUUUAAGAUUUAAAAUGAUCUUGUAAUCUGCUUUGUUAGCACUGAUGUGAAGUUUGUGCUUAAACUUAAGUUUGAAAAUGUUUUCCAAAUGCAAAUUAAGCUAAAGGAAGUGAUUCAGGUACAGAACCAUGGGUUCCAAUGUACAUGAUCUGACUAAGUUGGAAAAGAAUAUUAUAUUGGACAUUCUUGUUCUACCUUCGCACAUUUCUAUUGUUGAAAAUCAUAAUCAGAUUUGCUGGUUAUUUUGUUUCUAGAUUUUCCAGAUCUUCAAGAUUUUCUAGAUUUUCCAGAUUUUAUUUUUCCAGAUUUGUUUGUUAGCUUUUAGGAAUUUGUUUAUUACGUUUUAGGUGGUGUAGCAGCUAUAAAAAGGUGAGAUGCCUCAUGUAAAUUUUUAUUCUCUGGAGAAUAAAAAACUCAGAGCAAUUUCUCUUGAAUUUCUUCAUCUAUCUAUUCUGUGAUUUCUAGAAUUUGAGGUUUGUGCUAUGCUUCUAGGACCUUCUAAUUACUUACUGAAAAAUUUAUCUUGUUUUGCAUGUAAGUGUUGUUGUCAAUCAUAGUUAAGGUCCAAGUCAAAAGGGUUAUUAAGUCAAAGAGGAAUGAGUUUGUAAAUUACUUGCACCAAAUACGGAUUUAGAUCUCAAUAUAUCCUACAGGUAUGUGCUAUGUUAUCAUCUCAACUGGGGUGAUCAUGUAAGAUGGAUCUCGGUAGCAUGCAACAUAUUUGAUCUACUGAAUCAUGAAAGAAGAUAUUAAUCUGAAUUUAUUAAUUUGAGUUAUCCUGAAGUACUUUCUGUUGAGUCUUGAAGUAGAUGAUAUGUGUUUCUAGUUGAAGUAAAUAUAAGACAGAUGGUGACAGCUAGUGCUUUCUGAUCAGCCGAAGGUGAAUGAAAGGAUAAUUCCUUCAUCCCAUCCUCUCUUCAUGUGCUCUUUUGAUGCUUUUAUCCUUCAUUUCAGCUGCCAACUACUCUUAAACCAAGUGUCACAUUCAUUAUAUGUCCUCUGGUAUCUAUCAACCAGGAUAAAAUAAUUACUCUAACCCUCCAUAUGUUGCAAUGGAUGCACAUGUUUUAUGUAUUUAAUGAAAAGAUUCAUGCCUAAGAUGUUUGCCUCAAAUAAAUUUUAGGAUCUUAGUGUUCCUAGAGAAGUACAUCAUACCAUACAAUUAUCAUUUUACCAUAAAAUGUUGGGCUGUAAUUGUUGCUGUGAGGUUUCUAUUGGACUUCUAAAACUUUUUUUUUGCUGACUGUUGUGAUUAUCAAGUUAUUAAUACAUAAAAAGGUGCCUUUUCAGGAAAGUUAAUCCAUCGUGCAAGCUAUUGUAUGUAACUCUUGACAGGAUUGUAGGAAACCCAUAAUUUCUUUUUCACUUUUUGAUGCUCGGCUGCCGUGCAUUGCAGGCACAACUAGCUGGUUUUGUUAUUGAUAAGACACAUUAAGUGAGGUAUGUUCUUUGGCAUUCUUGCAUCUGAAGCAAAGUUAAUGCUAAAGUUACUUCAAAAGGAAUAUGUAUUUAUGACGUGGCCACUGCAAAACCACUGUCCUUGUCCCAGGUAAAGAAGUUGACUUUUAUAUAUGCUCACUCAAACUCUCUUUUUUGAACGUUUUUGCAUAUUAUGUAUUUCUAGCCUAAGUACAUUGUCGGUGUUACACUAAACCUUCUGAAACCCAGACCUUCUUUGAUUAUCUAGUAUAACAGAUGCAAUGUUGAAAUAAGUAAUUUUGGAAAUGAUCUAGUUCCUUCUUGUGGGAAAAGUCAGUAGCACAUCUUUAAUCAAAUAAAGCAAAAUGCACACAACUAAAAUGAGCUCCAAUGGAUAUUACUUUCGGAAGUAAUUGGAAGUAUCCAUGUUUGGCUUGGUAGUCAGGUCUCUUAAGGUGGUUCUUGUGUCCCUAUUUAUUCUUUUAACCUUUUUACUAUAUAUUAACGUGGGAUAUAAGGCAAAAGUUCGCCCAUUGGAUCAUUGGUUGUGUUUUUUAUGAGGUCUUUAUUGGAUUUGUGCUGCCGGUGCCAUCUCGUGAAAGAAACAUACUGUUGGUUUGAGCUUUUCUCGUAUAUUUGAAUGAUUGUAAAUGAGUAACGCUUAUUGAUCAUUACUUUCUUUGUUGUCAUUAUUGCAGUCCAUGGGGAUGUGAAUUUUGUACAAAUUAUAGAGGAUUGGAUUGUCUCAAGCGAUGGCCUUAACUGCCACUACUACCUAUUCAUGAGGUAUGAAACUUGCACAUUAACCUCGAAAUUUUGCUGAAAUAAUCAUUUGGGACUGAUUGAAAUCCUGAAAUCUCUCAAGAUCCCCCAUGCUCUUGUUCUUGAGACAGAUUUAACAGACCAAAUCUAAUGUCUGAGGUCAUAGCUAAGACCAAAGAACCAAUGAGGCAGCUUGAAGAGCUGUUAAAGAAUCAUUUUGCUAAUUUUUGUGGCAUAGUAUUUUGCCUCUUAGAGAGUAAAUGUGUUGAUGUUACAAAAUUCUUGAAUGAUAUGUGUGGUAUAAAGACGGUGUACUAUCAUGCUGGAUUACCAGCCCAAUAAAGAGUAGCUGUUCAAGGAAAUGACAUACUGGAGAGGUCCAGGUUGUGUGUGCUACCAUUGUUUUUGGCAUGGGAAUAGACAAACCUGAUGUUGUAAGUUGAAAUGGACUUUGUGCCUUUGUCUAUUUUUAGUUUUAGAAUAAAGCUGACACGUUGGCAAAUACUCAAUUAAUCCACUUUUCUUCAAAUGUUUAAGUAUUGCUAAUUGGUUUCUUAGUGUGCUUUGAAGUAAACUUUGCUAGUUGCAUGGUUCAGUGGCCUGCUAAAUUAUCAUUCUUGGCUAUUUUUCAAGCCAAAUUCUUUCUUCCAUGCAUGAAACUUUGGUGUGCUGAAAUUAAGUUAAACUAGGAUAAAGUUCUUUUCUUUACUGUAAAAGUGGCAAAUGACUCUGAUCUAACUUGACUAUCAGUUAUAAUGUUUUUGUCAUAUUUUAACUUUUUUUAAAUUGGUUCGAUAAUUAUAUUUUAUGGCAUGUGGUCAGCAUUUUGUCAUCCACAACACAAUGUCAAAGUCAAUCGAAAGCUAUUACCAAGAAUCAGGGAGGCAGGAAGAGAUCUACCAGCAAUUUUUCCACUUAACUUCUGGCCAGACGAUCUUUAGAAUCCAUGGUAUGCUUUAACCAUGGACAUAGCCAAUAUAUGCCAAACCACUUAAAUCGUUGUCAAUGUUCUGUUCUCGUAUAAUUUAUUCUCUGCUCGAUCAUUUCCAAUUUGCUUGCGAUUCAGCACACAUCAAAGGACCUACACAAUGUACAUGUCCAAAAGCAUUUAGUAAAUUGCUUAUGGGGCUUCUCAUCCAAUCAAAUGUCCAAUAGACAGUCUUAAAUUUUGCCAAUUUCUUCCAUGCUCUUCAAGAUCCAAAAUGACAUACUAGAAGUCCUUGGUCAAUAAAGUAGUUGACUUAAGCUUUGGAUGAUGUGCAAAUACCUAUAUUUCUCAAAUACUUUGAGAGUAUAGCAGAUCAUCAAAGUGUGGAUUAGCAAUCCAGCAUCUUUUAUAGGAAUGUUUUGCGUAAACGAAGACUUGUGAUUUAUGCUGGGUGUUGUGACUGUCAAAUUAUUAAUCUCCACUUUUGCUUUGCUUGCCUUUUCAGAAAAGAUAAACCAUCGUGCAAGCUAUUGUAUGUAACUGCUGAAAGGAUUGUGGGAAACCCAUCAUUUCUUGAGAUAUUAUAAUGCUUGCUUAGAAAGGGAUUGUUUCUGAUGCACCGUAACUUUUUCUGAUAGGUUCUUUGUAAAUUUAUUUUAUUCGACCAUCAUGCAUUACAGGCACAGCUAGCUGGUUUUGUUAUUGAUGAGGCACAUUACGUGAGGUAUGUGUAAUAUUUGGCAUGCCUUGUACAUGAAGAAAGAUCAUGCUAGAGUUACUUCAAAAGGAAUAAUUAUUUGUGAUGUUGCCACUGGAAAACUAUUGUCCUUGUUCCGAUAAACAUAAGCAAGUUAACUUUUAUAGAUGCUAACUUAAACUCUUUUUCCAAACUUUUCUGCAUUUUCUGGGUUUCUAGCCUAAUUAAAUUGAUAGUGUUAAACUAGACCUUCCAAAGCCCAGAAACCUGUAAAGUUCUAAUAUAACCGAAUGCAGUGUUCCUUGUUUGAUGAAAAGAUUUACGUUCCGUUAUUUGGGAACACUUAGUGGCACAUCGUAUAUUAUAUCGAGUAAAGAGGACACAACUUAAUAAAACUCCCAUGGAAAGUACUUCCUAGAGCAACUGGAUCCAGCAUAAGCUUGGAUAAGGAUCCAAUCUCCUCUUUAUGUUUGGCAGGACACUCAAUCUCCUAUUUAUUCCAUUAAUGCUUAUAGUUUAUGUUAACAACUUGAGAAAGGUAAAGGUUCAACCAUGUGAUCAUUGAUUGUGUUUCUUAAAAUGUCUUAACUGGAUUUGCUCUGCUAGUUUGAUCUCAUGAAAGGAAUGUACUGCUGAUUUGAGCCUUUAUUGAACAUUUGACCGAUUAACAUUGAAAGCUUGUUAAUUGUCACUUUCGUGGUUGUCAUUAAUGUAGUCUAUGGGUACAUGAUUUUCAUCCAGAUUAUGGACUAGCAUGUCUCAAGCCUAACUUUGCAUGACCUAGUGCUGGCCUUAGUUGAAACUGCCACUCACUCUUCGUGAGGUACUAAACUUAUAUAUUAACCUCCUCAUCAUUAUGUUGAAAUAAUCUGUUCAUUCUUAUUGAAUUAUUCAUCCACUGCAGGAUAUCCUAAAAUCUCUCAGGAUUCCCCAUGCUCUUGAGACAAGCUUUGACAAACUAAUUCUAAAAUAUGAGGUCAUAGCCAAGACCAAGGAACCACUGAAGCAGCUCGGAUAGUUGCUAAAGAAUUGUUUUGCUAAUUUGUGUGGCAUAGUAUAUUGCCUUUCAAAGAGUGAAUGCGUUAAUGUCACAAAAUACUUGAAUAAGAAGUGUUGUAUAAAGACAGUGUACUAUCAUGUUAGAUUAGUAGCCCGCCAAAGGGUAGCUGUUAAGAAGAAAUGGCAAACUGAGGAGGUCCAAAUUGUAUGUUAUAAAAAGAAAUGGCAUAGUAUGUGACAUCCAGAUUUUUGGGUUUUAAUUUCGACUGGAUAAAUAGGGCCGUUUUCGUUCAAUUGAAGCCAUGGAUUGUGAAAUUGGGAUGCAAGUGGGCUACAUUGGUAAGGAAAAAUACCAAUUGGAAUGAUGAUGUGACAUCCUGAAAUUCGACCCCGUUUCGAUAAAGUGAAAUGGGCAUUUCGUCGAUGUGUUUACGGUCUUUUUUCUCUUAGCUGAUCACUCACCAGUUAACUAACCUAUUGGGUGAAGCCGUUAAGGGACGUAUCUGCAGUAAAAUCCCUAAAAGCUACUCAAUUUGUUGGAUUGGACUAAAAUCACGCCCGACCGAUUUUUAACCACGAAAUUGAACUCGAUUUUGGGAAUCGAAUUUUAAGCAUGUCAUAAUCCUUUUUUUUUUAGGACAUUGUCUCAUCGCUCGUCAAUUUAUUGAUGAGUCCGAAUUUCAAGAAGAAUUAUCGGAAGAAAAUUGAAGACCAAAGAAUUAGAAGGGAAANNNNNNNNNNNNNNNNNNNNNNNNNNNNNNNNNNNNNNNNNNNNNNNNNNNNNNNNNNNNNNNNNNNNNNNNNNNNNNNNNNNNNNNNNNNNNNNNNNNNCGUCCUUCCCCGUGCGGACCUCACCCCUGCUCCACCUCUGUCCAACUCAAUCUGGCUACCUCCGGCCACCGCCUACCUCCGUCCGGGCCACCUCACAGCCCCCCCGGCGUCCCCCUCGCCCUCCGCCGGCCUUCCCUCGCCGCCCUAGCCGCCAGAUUAGCUCCGGCAAGCCUUGAACCGCAACCCACGAAAUGGGUUUCCAGCGACUUUAGGCCCGUUUUGGGCCGUUUCCGGGUCCCGAACCCGAGCCGUGCUUUGGGAAGAAUCAUUCCUCGCGUCGUCGCCGUUGGAUUGAUCCGAUUUGCGCGCGAUUUGGUGAGUAAUCUCACUAAUCCCAGAUUAGUUGACUAAUUAUGCUUUAAGGCUGGUUUAGUUUUAAUUAAUUAUGUUUAGGUUUUUAGAUUAGAAUAAAUUAGUAAUUAUUAGUCAAUUGUGAUGCGAUUUAGAUAAAUUGAUUGUGUAAUUAACAAGUAGACAUGGUCUACUAUUUAUUGGAAGCAUCUCGGGAAUUUUCCGACCCCUAAUUGGGCUUCAAUUUGGCAAUUCGGGCCUAAGUGAGAUUUUUGGGCAUUUAAAUAUUAAUUUUCAGAAUUAAAUUAAAUAAUUAUUUAUUUUCCGAAAAUUCAAGGGAGAUGGUCCGGAACGGGAAUAUUAUGUGGAUGACUAUGGUGAAGUCCGUUUAUUUAAUCGGGCUUUAUUUUGAGCUAAAUUGAAUUUUUAAUAUUAAUUAUUUAAUUUUCGAAAUUAAUUAAUUAUUUAUUUAUUUCCUGAAAAUUUAACUGGGAUGGCCCAUGACCGAAAAAUUAUACUGAUGACCAUGGUGAAGUCCGUUUAUUUAAUUGGAUUUUAUUUUGAGCUAAACGGAAUUUUUAAUAAUUAAUAAUUAAUUUUCAAAAUUAAUUAAUUAUUUAUUUAUUUUUCGGAAAUUAAGUUUGAGAUGGCCGACGACCGAAAUCUCAUGCUGAUCGUCGUGGCACAGUCCGUUUAUUUAAUUAAGCUUUAAAUUGUUUUGAAUUGAUUUAAUUGUGGAUAAUUACUUUAGAAAUGGGAUGAAUCAUCAUGAAAGACAUGGGGCUUGAUGAUUAGAUAUAUCACCUCGGAGAAUGCACAUGGCUCGGUGACGAAGUAUGUUGCCUUGGAGAAUGCAUGUGGCUUGGUGAUUAAGUUUGGCAUCUAAAAGGACACAUGGGCUCAGUAAUUUGAUGCAUUAUCUCGGAGAAUGCACGUGGUCCCAAUGAUUAAGUUUGGCAUCUAAAAGGAAACGUGGGCUCGGUAAUUUGAUGCAUUACCUCGGAGAAUGCACGUGGUCCCAAUGAGUACAUUUGGCAUCUAAAAGGACACGUGGGCUCGGUAAUUGAUGCANNNNNNNNNNNNNNNNNNNNNNNNNNNNNNNNNNNNNNNNNNNNNNNNNNNNNNNNNNNNNNNNNNNNNNNNNNNNNNNNNNNNNNNNNNNNNNNNNNNNNNNNNNNNNNNNNNNNNNNNNNUUUUCCCUGAUUGGGCCUACUAGGUCGAUUGAUCAUUGAUUUGAUUUGAUGUCGUGGAUUGAUUGACUGAUUAGAAAUGACCGUGAGUGGUCUUGUUGGCAUUUAAUCGACUAGGUUGAUUUGAUCGAUGCUUCGAUUAGUGAUAUGAUUGCUUGGGUGCCUAUUAUGAAUUGUACUGACUUGCAGGUGGGAUAUGAGGCCAAGGUACGUCUUCUGCCCUAUGCGUGUAUAGGCAGCCUAUAGUAUAAUGGUUUACUAAUCGGGCUUAGUGGGGUAGAACUCGCUGAGACGUAAUCUCAUCCCAGUUUGGGGAAAACAUUUCAGGACCCCGAUGAGGAGCUAAGGUGAAACUUAAAGAGAACUCGGAGGUGAAACUUAAAGAGAAGGAUUUUUGGGAAGAAGAAGAUAAUCCCGAGAGGGGCCUUAAGUAUGGUCUGGAUGGGCUGAGAGUCUAUCUUCUUUUGAGAAUUCCUUUUGAAGUGAUCAGUUAUGAAUUGGUUUGUGUUUUAUAUAAAAGUUUGGUUAUAAAUUUCAAUAUGAAAAAUAUGGCCCUGCUUUUCUAUCCUAUCAUUUUAUUGUCUGGGGAUUUUAACUGCUUCCGCAUGUGCUUAAUAAAUGAAAGAGUCGGCGAUACAUUAUCCUAGGAUAUCACAUUAUAAAAUCGACCAAGAAGAGAAGGAUGUGUGCAUGCCCGAGGAUCGGGGUGUGACAUCUAGUUUAAGUGGUAUCAGAGCGAAAUUGAAGAUUGGAGUGAUAAGGAGCGUUGACUAUGGGAUAGUUAGUAGGAAAUGCCUUUAAAUUCAUGCUGGUGCAUGUCUGUGUUAGCUGAAUGCUAGAAUUGUUUGUUGUGUGUGGAUCGCUCAUCUUCUAAUCUAGUGUGGAAGUGGAAGUCGGGUUUCAGUGUAAAGACUGAACCAUGAGCGAGCAGGAGCUAAGAACUCCUAAUAAGAGGACAAUGUCCUCUAUGACUCAGGUUAAUGCACUGACAAAGGUCGGUACCCGAGGUGGUUGUGGUAGAGUGUCGACUCUGGCCAGCUCGAGUGUAAGAGUACCACCACAGGUUGGUACUAGUGUAGUAGCAUCGAAUGAUCCUAAGUUCGAUAAGAUCGUUCUGAUGCUAGUGUCAUGGGAACUGGAUGAGCCAGCAAGCUCAGGAUUAAGCCGUUGUUGUUGUUGCUAUCAUUACCACAAUUUUUGCUUCACUUGUUGAGAUCCAGGGUGGAGAUGUGAUCCAAGAGCGAGUCAUUGCAUUUGAGUCGAGGUAUAGAUGUAGUUCAAGCAGAAAUGGGAAUCGGUCAGGCAAAAGAUCGAGGCCGAGAGUGGUCCUAGCAGACUGAUGCGUGCUGUCACUUGGCAGGAGAUAGAAGACUCACACGAUAGUUGUCAGAAUUGUAGAAGGUAGCAUGGAUGAAUCCAGUUUCCGAAUAUGACUAGAACUUGUUGUGAUGAUGACCAGCGUGGCCAUCAGGUGAAGGACUGCCAGUAGAAGUCUAAGGUGGUAUAGACAUCGCUACUAUGGCCAGAACGCCACUAGGAUGGGGAAAGGAAUGGGAGUAGAAUGGACCUUGCACUGAUCAGAGAAAGAAUGUGUUGGAAGUGAUUUUAUUUGAGCAGCGCAGCAUAGCUUUGUGCAGAAUUGGUAGAACUUAAAUUGUUGAAGUAAAAGUGUAAGAGAAGGGAGUCACUAGCAAUAAUUGUGCUUAACUAGUUGCUGAGGUGUGAGUUUGACGCCACAUGAAUAGUGUGGGCUCAAGGAGCAUCUAAUGAUAAUGAAUCACGAUCUUGGAGUAAUCCAGUUUAGUCCAUUAGCAUGUGGAAGUGUCGAGGUUAUUGGGAGUUGAAAAGGAUCUUCGAUUUCAUUAAUCUCGUUGGCUAAAGAUAAUCCGUUUGUUAGACUGAGGUUGCCAAGAUUGAUUUGACAGUUGUAGUGGAUGUGUCAGUUGAGAAAUAGAAUGUGAAGAAGGUGGCCGUAAUACAGAAAAUUUCUAAGAUGGUUCCAAAGGAAUUGCUUGGGUUACUGCCAGAAAGAGAUAGAAAUUAUGAUCGAACUAGCACCAGGAUAGAGCCACUCUCGAAGGCUUCUUACCAGUUGUUAUUGUCUGAAUUGGUAGAAUUGAAGAUGUAGAUGUGAAGAUUGAUGAAUGAGGAAUUCGUGCAUAUCAUUGCAUCACUUUGGGGAAACAUCAGUUGUGUUUGUGAGAAGAAGAAAGAUGGUUUGUUGCGAGUGUGCAUUGACUGUCGUCAACUCAAUUAGGUGAAGAUCGAGGACCAGUGUUCUUUGCCAAAGAUCGAUGAAUGGUGUGACUAGUUAUAAAGAGUAUCGAUGUUUUAAAGGUUGACUUGAGAUUAUGAAGUCAUCAGUUACGAACCAGGAAGGAGGUUGUAUGAAAGACAACUGUUCGUACUUGAUAUGAUCUUUACGAGAGUAUUGUAAGAUCGUUUGGCUUGGUGAACACUCCAGCUAUUGUCAUGGAUUUGGCAAACCGAGUGUGUAAGGAAUAUCUAGGUCAGUUGUGAUCAUGUCGUAUAAUGAUAUUCUGGUGUAUUUGAGGAAUGCUAAAGAGCACAAGAGAUGUCUGAGAAUGGAGAAGGAAUUUCCAUGCACCUGGUCAAGACCGAAUCAGUUAUCAGUGGACCAAGACCGACAACAGUGACAGAGAUCAGAAGUUUUCUGGGGUUAGCAGGUUAUUACAGACNNNNNNNNNNNNNNNNNNNNNNNNNNNNNNNNNNNNNNNNNNNNNNNNNNNNNNNNNNNNNNNNNNNNNNNNNNNNNNNNNNNNNNNNNNNNNNNNNNNNNNNNNNNNNNNNNNNNNNNNNNNNNNNNNNNNNNNNNNNNNNNNNNNNNNNNNNUGGAGGAUUCGAGAUCUAUAGUGAUGCGUCAUUCAGGGGAUUGGGUUGCGUGCUAAUGCAACAUGGCAGAGUGUGCAUACACUUCCCAGUAGUUAAGACCUCAUAAAUUGAAUUAUCUGACGCAUGAUUUAGAACUCGCAUCCAUCAUAUUUGCAUUGAAGAUUUGGAGGCACUACUUGUGCGGAGAAAAGUUUCAGAUCUUCACAGACCAUCAAAGUCUCAAGUAUUUGUUCUCUCAGAAGGAGUUGAACAUGAGACAACGGCGAUGGAUGGAAUUGUUGAAGGAUUACGACUGUGAUAUUAUAUAUCACCCGGGAAAGGCGAACAAGGUCGCUGAUGCAUUGAGUCGGAAGUCUUCAGUGGCACGGAUCUUGGUUAAGGAGUGGAACUUAAUCGAGAGAGCUCGAUAUUCGGAAUUUAAAUUUGAGGUAGGCCACCUUUCAAGUCUUAUGGCCACUCUCAGAAUUGAGCCGGAUGUCCAGGUCAGAAUCAAACAACUUCAACCGACAGAUCCAGACGUACAGAGAAUUCUUCCAGAGGAUACCAAUAAAAGAAAGGCUGAUUUUCAAGUUUCUGAUGAUGGGAUACUGAGACUUCGUGGACGUUUGGUUGUACCUGACGAUGUAGAGCUUAGAGAAGAAAUUUUAUCUGAAGCAUAUCGUAGUAAUUACAGCGUUCAUCCUGGAAGCACUAAGAUGUAUCAGAAUUUGCGUCAACACUACUGGUGGUCAGGUAUGAAGGCGGACAUCGCCAAAUAUGUAGCCAAGUGUUUGACUUGUCAGCAAGUAAAAGCCCAGCAUUGCAAGCCACGAGGAUUUCUGCAACCUCUCGCGAUCCCAGAGUGGAAAUGGGAGCAUAUCACGAUGGACUUCGUGACUGGACUACCAAGGAGUCAAAGAGGAAAUGAUUCGAUUUGGGUAGUAGUCGACAGGCUGACAAAGUCGGCUCACUUCAUUGCAAUUUGAAAGGACCUGAGUUUGGAUAGACACGCAGACCUGUAUGUGCGUCAAGUAGUUCGUAUGCAUGGAGUGCCAGUUACGAUAACAUCUGAUAGAGACCUAAGGUUUACUGCUGCUUUUUGGAAGAGCUUGCAGAGUGCUUUGGGUACAAAGCUUCAGUACAGUACGGCGUAUCAUCCUCAUACGGAUGGCCAGUCUAAAAGGACAAUUCAGACUCUUGAAGACAUGCUGAGAGCAUGUGUAAUAGACUUCAAAGGAAAUUGGGAAGAUCAGCUUCAUCUGGUGGAAUUCGCCUACAACAACAAUUAUCAACAGAGCAUCAAGAUGGCCCCAUUUGAAGCGUUGUAUGGCACAGCAUGCAGAACUCCAAUGUGUUGGGAUGAAGUCAGAGAAAGGAAGAUAACAUGCCUAGAGUUGGUUCAGCAAUUAGUAGAUGCACCGUGGCAAUGAUCAGAGACAAAUUAAAGACCGCACAGAGCAAGCAGAAAAGUUAUGCAGAUAAGCGUCGAAGGUCUUUGGAAUUCCAAGUUGGUGAUCACGUUUUUCUGAAAGUGUCACCAAUGAGGGGAACUUCACGCUUUGGUAAGAAAGGCAAGCUGAGUCCGAGGUACGUAGGUCCGUUUGAGAUUCUUGAAAGAAUCGGAAACCUAGUGUAUCAUCUUGCAUUGCCGCCAAGAUUAGCGCAAGUGCAUGACGUCUUUCACAUGUCGAUGUUAAGGAAGUACGAGCCUGACCCAACCCACGUGCUCAAUUUUGAGGAAUUGGACGUGGAUGACCGUGUGUCAUACGUCGAAAGCCCGGUUCAGAUUGUCGAUCAUAAAGAGCAAGUUCUACGUACAAAGACCAUUCCAUUGGUCAAAGUGGUCUGGCAACACCACGGUAUUGAAGGAGCGACUUGGGAGACUGAAGAAUCGAUGAAACAGUUGUACCCCCACCUUUUUGAUCAAAGUGUAAUGGUUUAAAUUCGAGGAUGAAAUUUUUAUAAGAGGGGAAGAGUUGUGACAUCCUGAAAUUCGACCCCGUUUCGAUAAAGUGAAAUGGGCAUUUCGUCGAUGUGUUUACGGUCUUUUUUCUCUGAGUUGAUCACUUACGAGUUAACUAACCUAUUGGGUGAAGCCGUUAAGGGACGUAUCUACAGUAAAAUCCCUAAAAGCUACUCAAUUUGUUGGAUUGGACUAAAAUCACGCCCGACCGAUUUUUAACUACGAAAUUGAACUCGAUUUUGGGAAUCGAAUUUUAAGCAUGUCAUAAUCCUUUUUUUUUAGGACAUUGUCUCAUCGCUCGUCAAUUUAUUGACGAGUCUUAAAUUUCAAGAAAGAAAUUAUCGGAAGAAAAAUUGAAGACCAAAAGAAAUUAGAAAGGGAAAGAGAAAAGAAAAGAAAAGAAAAAAAUAAUACCAUGUGGUGUUAUAUUAGUAUUUCUUUUCUCUCCCUCUCUCUUCUUUUGUUUCUUUUUCUUUUUUUCUCUCUUUUCUCUCUCUUCUCUCUCCUCUCCCCUCCCCCCUCGUGCGUUUUACCCACCAACCGAAUCCCCUUGCCAAAUUCAAUUUGGCUUCUCUCUCUUUCUUUUUCACUUUGACUUUUCAAGCCUUUUCUUUCUCACUUAUCUCUUCUUCUCUCUCCUCUUUCUUUCCCCCCAACCCCACGUGACCGACUCCUUCUCUCUCUUUUCUUCUUCUCCUUCGUGCGAACUAGAAAGGAGAAGCUUGAGCGGAAGUUGCAGGCGCACGGGAGACCGUAGCUCGCCGAAGCCGUCGCCGCUCGUCCCGCCGCCGCACCGCCGCCCGUGCACGCCGCGCACGCCCCCCGCGUCCACCGCUCGCUGCCGUCCUCCCCCGUGCGACCUCACCCCUGCUCCACCUCUGUCCAACUCAAUCUGGCUACCUCCGGCCACCGCCUACCUCCGUCCGGCCACCUCACAGCCCCCCGGUGUCCCCCUCGCCCUCCGCCGGCCUUCCCUCGCCGCCCUAGCCGCCAGAUUAGCUCCGGCAAGCCUUGAACCGCAACCCACGAAAUGGGUUUCCAGCGACUUUAGGCCCGUUUUGGGCCGUUUCCGGGUCCCGAACCCGAGCCGUGCUUUGGGAAGAAUCAUUCCUCGCGUCGUCGCCGUUGGAUUGAUCCGAUUUGCGCGCGAUUUGGUGAGUAAUCUCACUAAUCCCAGAUUAGUUGACUAAUUAUGCUUUAAGGCUGGUUUAGUUUUAAUUAAUUAUGUUUAGGUUUUUAGAUUAGAAUAAAUUAGUAAUUAUUAGUCAAUUGUGAUGCGAUUUAGAUAAAUUGAUUGUGUAAUUAACAAGUAGACAUGGUCUACUAUUUAUUGGAAGCAUCUCGGGAAUUUUCCGACCCCUAAUUGGGCUUCAAUUUGGCAAUUCGGGCCUAAGUGAGAUUUUUGGGCAUUUAAAUAUUAAUUUUCGGAAUUAAAUUAAAUAAUUAUUUAUUUUCCGAAAAUUCAAGGGAGAUGGUCCGGAACGGGAAAAUUAUUUGGAUGACUGGGGUGAAGUCCGUUUAUUUAAUCGGGCUUUAUUUUGAGCUAAAUUGAAUUUUUAAUAUUAAUUAUUUAAUUUUCGAAAUUAAUUAAUUAUUUAUUUAUUUCCUGAAAAUUUAAAUGGGAUGGCCCGUGACCGAAAAAUUAUGCUGAUGAUUGUGGUGAAGUCUAUUUAUUUAAUUGGACCUUAUUUUGAGCUAAACGGAAUUUUUAAUAUUUAAUAAUUAAUUUUCGAAAUUAAUUAAUUAUUUAUUUAUUUUUCGGAAAUUAAGCUUGAGAUGGCCGACAACCGAAAUCUCGUGCUGAUCAUCGUGGCGUAGUCCGUUUAUUUAAUUAAGCUUUAAAUUAUUCUGAAUUGAUUUAAUUGUGGAUAAUUACUUUAGAAAUGGGAUGAAUCAUCAUAAAAGGCAUGGGGCUUGAUGAUUAUAUCACCUCGGAGAAUGCACAUGGCUCGGUGACAAAGUAUGUCGCCUUGGAGAAGGCAUGUGGCUCGGUGAUUAAGUUUGGCAUCUAAAAGGACACGUGGGCUCGGUAAUUUGAUGCAUUACCUCGGAGAAUGCACGUGGUCCCAAUGAUUAAGUUUGGCAUCUAAAAGGACACGCGGGCUCGGUAAUUUGAUGCAUUACCUCGGAGAAUGCACGUGGUCCCAAUGAGUACAUUUUGCAUCUAAAAGGACACGUGGACUCGGUAAUUUGAUGCAUUACCUCGGAGAAUGCACGUGGUCCCAAUGAGUACAUUUGGCAUCUUGAAGAGACACGUGGGCUUGGUGACUUGAUGCAUUGCCUCGGAGAAUGCACGUGAGCUCGCUGAUUCAAAAUGGCAUUUUAAUGGGCAUGUGGGCUUGGUAAAUUAAUGCAUUACCUCGGAGAAUGCACGUGGCUCGGUAAUUGGUUUUAUCAAUUGAGACUGUAUAGCAAUAGCUUGAAUGACCGGGAAAUGGUCAUGCUGAUAUGUAAUCGACUAGGUCGAUUGAUCAUUGAUUUGAUUUGAUGUCGUGGAUUGAUUGACUGAUUAGAAAUGACCAUGAGUGGUCUUGUUGGCAUUUAAUCAACUAGGUCGAUUUGAUCGAUGCUUCGAUUAGUAAUAUGAUUUCUUGGGUGCCUAUUAUGAAUUGUACUGACUUGCAGGUGGGAUAUGAGGCCAAGGUACGUCUUCUGCCCUAUGCGUGUAUAGGCAGCCUAUAGUAUAAUGGUUUACUAAUCGGGCUUAGUGGGAUAGAACUCGUUGAGACGUAGUCUCAUCCCAGUUUGGGGAAAACAUUUUAGGACCCCAAUGAGGAGCUAAGGAGGAGUCUAAGAAGGAGAACUCGGAGGUGAAACUUAAAGAGAAUGAUUUUUGGAAGAAGAAGAUAAUCCCGAGAGGGGCCUUAAGUAUGGCCUGGAUGGGCUGAGAGUCUAUCUUCUUUUGAGAAUUCCUUUUGAAGUGAUCAGUUAUGAAUUGGUUUGUGUUUUAUAUAAAAGUUUGAUUAUAAAUUUCAAUAUGAAAAAUAUGGCCCUGCUUUUCUAUCCCAUCAUUUUAUUGUCUGGGGAUUUUAACUGCUUCCACAUGUGCUUAAUAAAUGAAAGAGUCGGCGAUACUUGUCCUGGGAUAUCGCAUCAUAAAAUCGACCAAGAAGAGAAGGAUGUGUGCGUGCCCGAGGAUCGGGGCGUGACAGAUGAGGUGUUGAAUAAAUUAAUGGGGGUCAAUUUGAUUUAAUUCAAGAGGAUUUAAGGCUCAAUUGGAAAGAAACCCUAGCAAAAUUCGUAUGCCCAUAAACCCAACUUUUUAGCCUACCUAAAUGCUUCUAGAUGGGGCAAAUUUGUCUUGGAAUUGUGAGUGGAGGGCAGCUGGUGGUGGCUCACGUGUAGAUGACCUAAUAAAGAGAGAGACUGAGAGAGAAAAAGAGAAACCGGUUUUCUCUUCUUCCCUUCUCUCUCCCGUCGCUGUCUCUCCCUUCCCCCAUCUUCUUUUUCGGUUGAGCGACGCCAUGGAAGCUGAAGACUAGCGAACCAGUAGGCCGAAGCAGAGAUUCCUCUCGGCAUUGUCGCAGCAAGCAACCGGAGCCAGGGUCGCCGCCAUUCGCCGUCCGCCGUCCUGCUGCCUCGCGCAGCUCCGCCUCACCCUCUUCCCUCUCACCUUGCGAACCAGAGAAGAUGAAGACGGAAGCAGCUCACCUGGGUUCGAAGCAGCAGCCCUCUCGUCGCCGUCGCACACCACACGCCGUUCCCGGCCCACGUCGCCUCGCCGUUCGCCGUCUCGUGCUCCGCCUGCCUCGACCUCCCCCUCACUCAGCCCUCUGUUCCAGCAACAUUUCAGAUCUGGUGGAGCUUUGUCGGAGCCGUCCACCCCACCUCCGGCCACCGUGAAGCCUCGCCUAAGUCUUGUUCAACCCCUCCGUCCAUCUAGGUCUGCUGUUGCUUCAAUCCGAGCCUGGAUCCGCCCCCAAUCAGCAGCAAACAGAGAUGAAGAAAAUGGGUAUUGCAGCAACUUCGAGGCCCGUUUUGGCUGCCUUCCCGAGCCCGGAUGCUCGGCCCGCUUUGGGGCAAGUCGAUUCUCGCGUCGAGCCUGACGUUUUGAGUGAGUUUUACUCACUAAUGCCUUCUUAGUGCGCUAAUUAUACUUAAAGGUUGAUUAGCGUUAAUUAAGUAUAAUUAGGUUGUUAGAUUAGAAUUGAUUAGUGAUUAUUAGUAAAUUGCUUUGCAUAUUAGUUGUGUGAUUCAUGUAAUUAGAUAGAGAAUUGCCUGUAGUAUUUAUUGAAAGCUUCUUGGGAUUUUUCCCAUCCCUUAUCGGGUGUUAAUUAAGCAAUUCGGGCCUAAUUGGAAAUUUUUAGGAAUUUAAUAUUAAUUUUGGAAAUUAAUUAUUCAAUUAUUUAUUUUCCGAAAAUUCAACUGGAAUGGCCAGUGACAGGGAUUUUAUGCUGAUGAUGGUGGCGCAGACCGUUUAUUUAAUUGAGCUUCAUAUUGUGCUAAAUUGGAAUUAUUGUGUUUAUUUAUUUAUUUUUUUGGAAUUAAAUUAAUUAUUUAUUUAUUUUCCGAAAAUUCAACUUGGAUGGCCAGUGACCGGAAUAUUAUGCUGAUGACCGUGGUGAAGUCCGUUUAUUUAAUUGGGCUUUAUUUUGUGCUAAAUUGAAUUUUUAAUAAUUAUUAAUUAAUUUUCGAAAUUAAUUAAUAAAUUAAUUAUUUUUCGGAAAUUAAGAUUUUGAUGGCCGAUGACCGAAAUUUUGUGCUGAUUGUCGUGGCGUGAUCCAUUUAUUUAUUCGAGCUCUACGUUGUGUGAAAUUAAAUAAAUUGUGAUAUUUUAGGGAUUUACCCUAAAUUGAUUGAAAUUGAGUGAAAUUGAAUUAUUGAUUGGUAGAUGGCCAAGUAUAGCUAUUUAGCAAUUGUAAUGCCUUGUUGAGUGUAAGUGGAGAGAGUGUUAAGAACUAACUGAGAAUUCUAUUGGCUGAGACCGAAUCAAGUACGAAGUAUAAACAGGCAUGGUUCGGUGAUGAAAGACAUCACUGUGCGAAAACGGCGCCUUAAAGAACGCACGUAGACUGUCUAUAACUUAUGGUAGGCAUGGUUUGGUGAUUGAGGAUAUCACUGUGCGAAAACGCGCCUUAAAGAACGCACGUAGACUACCUAUGAAUCAUGACAGGCGUGGUUCGGUGAUGAAGGACAUCACUGUGCAAAAACGGCGCCUUAAAGAACGCACGUAGACUGUCAGUGAUUUGUAAUCUGUGACGGGCAUGGUUCGGUGAUGAGGAAUAUCACUGUGCGAAAACGGCACCUUAAAGAACGCACGUAGACCGUUUGUUACUUAUGUCACCUUGGCGAAAACGACGCCCGAGAACAUUGAUGGAGGUCUGUGACUAAGUGUACUAUUGGAGGUUAUGUGGGAUGGAGUGAAUGACCUAGAAAUGAUUCGACUGACUUGUAAUCGACUGGGUCGAUUGAUCGAUGAUUCGAUCUGAGUGUGAUUCAAUGUGAUUGAUCAUUGCCUUGAUUUGAUGUUGCGAACUGAUUGAUUGGAUGGAAAUGACCGUGAGGGGUCUUGUUGGCGUGUAAUCGAUUAAGUCGAUUAGAUUGAUGCUUCGAUCUGUGAUGUUAUUGCUUUGGUGCCUAUUUGAUUUGUGCUAAUAUGCAGGUGGAAUCUGAGGCCAAGAUAAGUCCUCUGACUCAUUUUGUGCAUAGGCAGCCCUAAGGUGUAUUAGUUUACUAAUCGAGUCAUAGGGGGUAGAACUUGCUGAGACGUUGUCUCAGUGGUUAUUGAAUAACCAUUUCAGGACCCGGAUGAGGAGCCUAAGGAGCAUGAAUCUAAUGAGGAGAUCCCUGUUGAGGAACUUGAAGAGGAAUACGUGGAGGAGAACCCCGAGGAUAACCUCGAGUACGAUCCGGAUGAGGAUUGGGAUCUCGUCCUGUCUUGUCAAACCUUGUGUGCAUGUGAAUAGAUGUUAGACCUAAAGUGUAUUUAUGUACAUAAGGAUGUGGUUUUCAGGUUCAGGUUUCUAGUCCUACUUGUAUAUCCCAUUGCUUUAUUGUCUGGGGAUUUUUAUGAAUGCUUCCGCAUGUGCUAUAAGAAAAGGACAUGGUCGGCAAUAUGUAGUCCUGGGAAUAUCGCAUAAUAAAAUCGACCAAGCUUGAAGGAUGGUCAUGUGAUCGAGAGUCGGGGCAUGACAUAGUAUCAUUCUCAUGUUAUUGACUAGCUAUAUUAUAAAUUAUAUAAUCAAUACAUUGACUUUACUAGCAACUUUUCUCAUGUUAGUAUGCUCAAAAUUAGAUUAUUUCGUGUUUGAUAUAUUUAACUAAUUUUUUGACUUGUUAGUGCGGCCCGCAUUAUGUAUGAUUUAGUGCUUGAAUAUGCAAACUUGGCUUAACAAGUUAGUUAAAGUUUUGGUAAACAACGGCCAAAUUUGAAUAUAUGAUUAUCUUGUGAGUAGCUUUUAACUACUAAAGUUCCACUGUUGCAAUGUAGUAUGAUGAAGAGGAACAUUUGAGAGUACUGGCCCCAAAGAAAAUGGUUCAAUUGAAACUUGAAUGCAUGACCAAUGACUACAAUUUGAUGUAGUAGAGUCCAAGUACUAACCAAGUAGACGACCGUUCAACGGCUUGGUCCAAACCAAAUGGAUAUAAAUUUCAGGAAGAUUUAACAUUUUCUUUAUCAGUCAACUAUAGCCAACACCAAAGAAAAUUUGGUUUCAAGUAUGAUAAUGUAUGGCUAUGUCUACACUACUUUAUAGGCUCAUGCUUAAAGGAAUCAAGUUUGAGAUUAUACUAUCAAAGUGAUUGCAAAAUGCCAAUACAUGAACUUCCCAAAAUGCUAAUACAAGUAUGCUGAAAAGGGUUGAAGUGCCUAAACUACAUAAUAGAAAGAUCUAAUUUUAACUAGGGCAUUUUGCAAUAUCCAACUAGCAAAAUCAGAAAUCUGGGAUAGUUUGCAAGUAGGUCAAUUUCAACUUUACAAAUCCAAUGCCGCAUACAUGAGAACUGAGCUUAUCAAAUCAGAAACCUAAAUAUUCAAAGGAUAUUAUCACACCAUAAACUAUUAGAAUGGAGGAGAUUGUCAUCAUGCAUACAUGUAUUCUGUUUUCAAGUGAAAUUCCUCAGCACGUAUAGUAAAAGCACACAAGUUUCUUUCAUGGUACGACUAACAGUGCAUUCCUCCCUCUGCAUGCAGAGUCUCAUCAAGUUGAAGUGAUAUCAUUAGAAUGCAACUGCAUCAAACAACUCUACAUUAGGGUAACAUACAAAAAAUGAGCAGUUACAUUUUUGAUUAACGGAAAUGCAGAACCUAAUGAGCAUAUAUAAAGCAUAUUCAAUUAAAAAAAAAAAAACACUUACAAUCAUCCAGGUAUGUGCUGUUGAGACAAGAUAAAGUGUUUGAAUCUUCACAAGCAUCAAAACUUCCUCGGGACACUCCAGUCAGCCCCAGAGCAUCUUCAAGGUUUGGCACCCACGAUGGUCCUCAGCUAUGCAAAAUCCCUGUUCUUUAAUUUUAUCAUUCUCAGGUAUGGAAUUUGAAGUUCCUCAGCCAAGUUAGCCACACCCAAAUCAGUCAUGUGAUAAAACAAUUCCAUGACAACAAUAAGAUCAAACAGGAUGCAAAAUUCUAAGCUGCUCGCCCCAGCUUGUUUCACAGACGGGCAAAAAAUUGUCCAAUUAUGCAAAAGGUCAUUGAUACAGCUGAUUGAAUUGAAGUCCCAAAGUAAGCCUUGAUCAUUACAUAGACCAACCAAACUUGUCAUAGAAGCAACAACACUUUAGGUUGCUUGCUAAUCUUUCAAAACAACAGUUUGACUACUGGUAAUGUUAAGGCGGUCUACAUUCAUAUAUGACAGACUAGUCAAAACUACUUUUGACAUUUUUUUUUUUCACCAAACAAAAACACUUUAACCUUAUAUUUAAUUUUAGCUCAGUUCAUCAUGCUUACUGGGGAUUGAUGCUCUUCUUAGAGGGUUCAAGAGGAACAUCAAGGGAACAUUAAGAAACUUGACAGGGUUUUCGUUCAUCACGAAAAACCAAAAGGCAUUUGUCCCAAAUGGGACGUCUACCAUUAGUCAAAUUUGACAUGAAGGAACUCAAGAUGGCCAAGGAUUUUUCAAAGAAAAUAUGAAAUUUGGACAGGGAAAUUCUGGGCGUAGUUUACAAUAUUGAGCAGCAGAUUCCCAUUGGCCUCUAGGUGAAAAUUCAAAUCACGGGUUUACCGAGAGGGAAACUAUAGAUCACUAGGGAAUUCUUGUUUACCUAUGUUCGAUAUUUUCAUCUUUGCCUCACAAGCCGCUAAUCUGUUUGCAAUCUAAAAAGCUGCCGAUGGAAGGAUAAAUGAAAAACAUUGCUAUAACAUAACCAAUAGCAAUAUAUGCAGGCAAAUCUGGAGCUUCAAAAAUCAAUCAAAUAUAUACCCAGUGUGGAGCAAAUCAUUCUAAACAAAUAUAACUUCGAGAAAAGUAUUAUUCUAUUUGCUCAUGCUGGCCAUCCAAGGAUGAAGAAUCUUACUAGAUGGCCGAUGCCUUCUAUUGACAUUUUGGGUCUACAUUUUGAUCUUGGCUGAAGCAUAAUGUCAGCUUCUAUGACCAACUACGCUUCUCCUUCAAUUAUGUAAGACUUAGGAAAGUACAGAAUCCUGUCAUGUGAAAAGUAGGUCAUGAAUCUCAAAAGAAAAAUGAUUGUUAACUGCUUAGUUACCUCUGUUGAAGAAGCAUGACUAGUCUCACUGUCGCAAUGUGGGUAUAAGAAACGUCACAUCAUUAUCACUGCAAUUUCCAUAGUGAACGUCCAUUAUUUCUAAAGACGAGUGUUCCAGAUAAUUUUGGUAUUGCUUCCAAUGUAACCAGAAAUAUCCAAAUCAAUUAAAUCCAACUUUUCAAGUCUCUAAAGCUGAGUAAGUUUCUUGUAAUCUUGAACAUUUAGAGAUUGUAAGUUCUCACAUCUUGUCAUAUUUGGCAAAGUCUCCAUUGAUAUGCAUUCUAUAAAAUCCAACUCUUCUAAGAACUUUGCACCAUCAAGACCUCCAAUUUCAACUAGAUUCUUGCACCUCACAGCCACCAAUUUCUUCAAACAGUGUGAGUUUGGACAGAGAAGCCUUCCAAUGAAGUUGCAGUCAUAUAUAAAUAUGUCCUCCAAGAACUUCACAUUAUCAUGGCCCUGAAUUUCAACUAGGUCAUUGCAACGCUCAACACGUAAUUGUUUCGGAUGAAUUCAUUUUGAAAGGUCCAAUCUUUCAAUUGAAAUACACCUUUUUAUUGAAAACUCUUCCAAGUACUCGAAUCCGUCAAGCAUCAGCAAUAUCAGCUUAUCACACUCCUCAAUACAAUGUCAAGAGUCUUGAGGAAAGCCCGGGGAUGUAUUCAAGUAGAUGACACGCCUGAAGAUGGAGUUCUAGGUGGAUUAGGCUAGAAAGGUGUCGCAACCUGGGACUCUGACAAGAGAUCGCAGACAUGUUAAGCGCCAAGGAAGCUCAAGCGGCGACCGGAGCUUGUCACAGCCCAAUAGACUAAGGCAUUGGAGAGAAGAAAGAUUCUAGAUGCUCUCUAGCAGGUCAGAUAUCAGUGCGCAAGUGAUAUCGAGAAUCUCGAGCAAAGAUAAGUCAACAAUUUCGCUUGGAAUUGCCCCUUUCAGACUAUUGGAAUUAACCUUCCAAUAGCACUGUUGACGCCUUAAUUUUAGGCCUAGUUUAUUUUAUUAAUUAAGCUUUUAAUUUAUUUUGUCUUUUCGAAUAAGUAGAUAAUAAAAAAAGAAAACAACAAAAAACAAAUAAAAACAGCAAAAAAAAAAAAACAAAAAAAAGAAGCAGCCCUCGAAUGGGCCCUUACGACCCAUUUCCCCUUUCGGCCCGGCCCCACCAGUCGUCUUCUUCCUCGCACCUCUGCAGCACACGCGCAGAGGAUGCGACGCCGGAGAGGCAGGCGGACGGCAACCCACGUGGGAGGGGCAGCUGGCUUCGGAUGGGACGUCGGUUCAGCCGGUGGAGGCCGCUUGGCGCAUGGGGACCGGCGGUCGAAGCUCCGUCGACCGGCUGCCCCUCGCCUAUAAAUAGGCCCUCGUCUCCGUCGUUGAGAGGCCACGCCGAGAGCGAUCGAAGGCUGCAAAGCUUCGAGCUUCCUGCUGAGAGACUUUAGAAGGGGAGCCGAGGUCGAGCAAGCCCAGAUCCGAAGGCUCGCGGCCGGAGAAAGAGAGGUUUUGCCGGAGAGACGAACAGAGAGAGAGGGAGUCGGAUCUAAGGCUGCAGACUUCGGGUUCCCCACUGAGAGACUUCAGGGGGGUCCGAGGACUCGCAGCCAAAGAUCUGAGGCCCGCCGGAGCAGGUCGUGAGCUUAAACGGCCUCCCACCGAGAGACAUCGGGGGAGGCCGCGGGCAAGCGAGCCUGCAGAGAGAGGAGAAUCCAAGCGCAAGAGACGGUCGAGGCUUAGAUCCGCCGUCGAUUCAGCUCCAGGCUUAGAUCCGCCGUCGAUUCAGCUCCAACGCCGCCCCAAACACCAUCUCGACGCCGUCCAGAUCUAAGUCACCGUCGUCGCCGAGAGCAGGUGACGACGGAGCCCUGUCUACGCCGUCCAUCCAAAGCUCUGAUGGCCGUCGCAUUUGCCAUUCACUGUCGUCGCCGUAGCCACCGUAGCCGCCGUCGCCGCCGUCGCCGCCGGAAUGCUCCCGUUUCCCCCCUUUCGGCGCCGCGAAUUCGCAAACCCUAGGGUUUGCGAUUUCCGGGUCGCGAAGCGGAUCCGGGUAGGGAUUCCGCGAUUUAAGGGGCGGCGGAAGCUGGGUCGGGGUUCGGGUCGGAUCCGGGUAGGGUUCCACCGGGGAGCGGGUUGUGGAGUCGGGUCUUCGGGCCGGGCCGGGCGUCUCUAAACGCCCGGCCACGGCGUCGUUUUUGAUUAAAAAAAAAAGAAAAAGCCGAAAAAUCCGAGUCGGGCCCGCAACGCGGGCCCGUCCGCGAUUGGGUCGUCGGCCCGGGUCGGACCCAACCCGCGGAUCCGACCCGGGUCGGUUUUAUUUUAUUAUUUUAAUAUAAAAUAAUAAAUAUUCUAUUUUCAAAAAAAAAAAAUCAAAAGUAUUUUAUUUUCGAAAAAAUAUUAAAAAAAAUGUUUUAAUUUCCAGAAAAUCGAAAAAUAUUAAAAAUUGUUGAAAAAUGUUUUAUUUUCUAAAAAAUCGAGAAAAAUAAAAAAUAAUCUAUUUUCCAAAAAUACCAAAAAUAUUUAAAAAAUAUUUUAUUUUCCGAAAAAUAAAAAAAAUCAAAAAUAUUUCAUACUUUCCAAAAAAUGCCUUAGGGUUUAAACAAGAUUAGGUACCGAAAGGGCAUUAGUGAUUAACUAGUGUAAUCAAGUCCCCGAUCCUAAUUUCUCUGGUUGCGCAGGAGCAAGUAUUUCUCCCGAUACUUCGCUUGGGUUUCUAAUCGACCCACUCCAAAUCGAUUAGUGGCGACUCCAUUUUAAAAAUUGAUUUAUAGGUUAAAAACUCAAACUAUUAAAGUCGUGGAUUGGUGGAUUUGGGAGAGUCCGGGCUUAAUAAAUUCAGCCGAGCCAUUAGCCUCCUUAGGCGCUCGUACCCGAUUGCGGGCGCCGAAGAAAAGAGGUCGCGACAGCUUGGCGACUCCGCUGGGGACUUUGAGGACUUAGGCCUUUUUUGUCUUGUUUAAAUUCUUUACUGACUUAGGUUUUUUCUUCAUGCAGGUCAAAAGCUUAGAAAUUUAUUUUAAUUUUGCUUAAAAUAGAUUGUUUUGUAAUUAUAAAUUGCUGUGCAUCCUUAAAUGUUUUAGCACUACACAUGGCACACACAACCCGGCCGCCGGACCUGGGCCGCCAUAGGAUUUCUAGGAUGGUGUUAAGAAAGAUACGACCUCGAACGCGAGACUGCGAUGUAGAGGUUGCCUUUCUUUUCCCCGAAUUUCUUAGCCGAGGUUAGGAGGGUAUGCUGCUAACGCGAGACUGCGACGGGCGGAUAUCCUUUUAAUCUCAUCAAUCCUUCUCAGUUAGAAAUCGAGCCGCACGUCCCAUGCGCAUGUCUUUGUGCUUGCCAUUUUUCUUUAAAAGCAAAGUGAUUCCUUUACUGUUAUUCAGUCUUUUUAUUUUGGCCCAUGGCAAUGUAGGAUAAGCUUUUCAAGUCCCAGUUUAUAUGCGAUGGGGAAAGACGAUAUCCAGUUCAUUCCUACUCCUAAGGCGGAGCUCUUCAGAUGGUGGGGUCAGUUAGAUCAGUUUGCCCAAGAGGGUGUGAAGGCCAAAGUCGGUCAUCUCCUAUCGUUGAUCCAAAUCAUUGUUCGCCCUGAAGUCAUACAAGCCAUGGCACAUUUCUGGUGCCCAAAGACGGUUACUUUUAUAUUCGGUAGGUUUGAGCUAACCCCAACCCUGGAAGAAUACAGCAUCAUCACUGGAAUGCCUCUUGAGAAAAAGCUUGUCAAACCAUCAACAGGCCUCAUCCCGAUACGUGGGUUAGCACGGCUUUUAAGAACUGAAGUCCAUACUAUGAUACAAAUUCUUGAAGAUAACCAUAAAACCUGCCCACUGGAAUUUAUGAAUGCAUGUUUCCAAAAUCAGCCUAUGACCCAGAAAAGUGAAAUUUUCCUCCUGGCCUUUUUCGGGCUCAUCAUCUUCCCCCAUCAAAGAAAUGCCAUAACUCCCAAGAUGGCAUGGAUAGUUGAUCAGAUCUUAAGAGGGGGGAAUUAUGUCAACAUGAUUUUAACUGAAACAUUCUUGUCAUUUAAUCGUUUUAAAGACAACUCGGAGAAAAUCAUGCGAGCCUCUCCUGAAAUUUUACAAGUCUGGUUCUUUUCUCACCUAAGCGAAUUUCGAGACUUCAUGCGAACGUCUGAAACAAAUGCUUUUGAAAAUCCAUUACAAAAAUUUAUGGUUCUAGGACCAUACAUUCCCAAUCAAAGUUGUUUAAAUUGGGUAAGCUUCCUAAGAGACUCAGCUCCUGAGGCAUUCCAAUGGUGUGCUGGUUGGUUCCAUGAAAAGAGGGCCCGCUUUGCUUACAUACGCACCCGCCCAAUUCCAUUGCUCGGCCUCACCGGCGCCAUUCCCUAUUACCCGUAUCGGGUAGCACGACAAUAUGGAGCCCUUCAGGAGAUUCCACCGCCUUUCAAGAGGAUGAUCCCUCCAGUUCUUUUCAACACAAGCCGUGACUAUGCAUUCGAAAUUUCUAUUGCUGAGGAAACCUGGAACAGCUGCCAUCGCAAAAGGAUUGUGGUACCUGAAGGGCUUGAGGGAGAAGAAAAAGCCCACCACGCCUCCAUGUCCUACAUCCACAACCAUCGCAUCCCGAAAAAAUGGAAGCCAUCAGUCCCUCACUCAAUCAACGAGAGCAGCCAGCACGAGCAAGCAGAACUCAUGGAGAGGGAUUUGGGAAUGGACUGGAUGCACACCUCAGAGUCAGCCCAAGGAAGCAAGCGUCCUCACAAGAACAAGGCUCCCCGUCGCAUAUAAAUUAGCAAUCGUGUGCCCCUUAGUAUUAAUAUUGUGAAAGUUUUGUCCCAUUGUUUAGGGACUUUUGUUUAAUGUCUAAUAUUUCAUUCCGUCUUUUCAAUUUCAAGUUCUAGAUGUCAGAAAUCUGCGGUCUAUAAAAUCCUCUUUUGAUAAAUAAAAAGCAGUUAGACCAUUGCCAUGGGUCAAUCUUUGUUUACUUUCAUGCUCAUUCAUUGUUUUCGCAACAAGCAGGUAACUAUGAAUCACCAGCCACCAAUCACUCGCGAAUGGCCUCAUGCAAUAGGACCCGAUCAGAAUGAUGUGCAAAAUCGCCUUAUUAACAUUGAAGACGGCGUAGGACAGAUGUCCAUUGUCCUUCAACAACUCUCAAGACAAAUGAAAUCCACUCAAGCUGAGCCCAACUCUAUAGUUGCCUCAAACACCGUCAUGACACCUGCAAAUUUGCCAGAAAAUAGCCAGUAUCAUAAACAGUUUGAAAAAAUCAUGAAAAAGUUAAGUCAGCUGCAGGAGCAGAAUCCCAUGGACCUGUCUAAUUACGCCGGCAUUGAGAUCCCCGAAAAACUCAAAGCACCCGAAUGCGAAAGGUAUGCUGAUACCCCCCGUCCAGAGACUUACUUACAGGCAUACCUGGUUCGAAGGAUGAUUCAAUCGUACCAAUCGAGCUUGACUGGCCCUGCCUUGCGAUAGUACAUUGUCAGGAAGAUUAGUCCCCUUAAAACUUGGAGGGAACUAAUUCAUGUUUUUCACCAAGAGUAUAAUCUUGACAUCACCCUGCCCUACGAAGAACUAAUGAUCAUGGAGCACGAGGAACCGUUAGUCGCUGAGAUAGGAGAAGAGCAUGUCAAUGAAGCCUUGCAUGAUAAAUGGGCAGCUGAACAACACCUUGUUACUGGAAGAUUUCCCACUAGAAAAGGCAAGGAGCCUUUGUACGAGAUCAAAGACACAGAGCCUGUUCAAGACCGGGGCACCACUGGACAACUCCCUAAGCUUACUCCAAGAGCUAGGGUCCAAAGAAUACCAACCCCUAUCAACUUGGGAAGUGAAUCAGAUAGUGAAACUCCAAUGUCUCUCACUUCCUUUGACAGAAUUGAGCUGGCAAAACGAAGGGCUUUACUCAAAAGAUCUGGACCAGGGGCCAAGAAAAGAAAGCCUAAGCAGAUCGAUGCAGCAUCUAUUGACGAGCCACCGCACCAAAGCUUCGAGCGUUCCCAAGAGUACAACCCUGAAGACUUCCCGGCCCUAGAAUACAAUCCCAAGGACUUCCAACGUUAUUUCAACAAUGAAGCUGACGAUUCAUCAUAUAACUGUUUCCUACUCUCAUCCGGGGAUGAAGGCCCGUCAGGAGAAGAAUCAUACGUCUUUAUCCACUACGAUCCUAAUGAAGUAUUGAGCUCAUCCUCUGGCCAUGAGAAUAGCUUCGAUACUUCAUCCUCAUUCGGAAAUCUUGACCAAGAAGAAAGUAAUGGGAUAAUCUCGGUAGAAUCCAACUUCCCUGAAAUAGAAAAAUUCACCACUACAACAGAUAUGCAGUGGGAAAACCAUUGGCCUAACCAAGAUACAUCAAACCCGUCUUGCCCUCGUAGGAUCAUGAGCCCCAUAGAAAUGUGGAUACCCAAUCUCCGCAAGUAUAACGGCACAGCUUGUCCCGUGGCCCACUUGCAGUAUCUCCAUGCAGAAAUGAGUCGGUACUAUGGCCCAAUGUCGUUCACAACUCAGGCAUUCCAAGAAACUCUUACGGGGUCUGCAUUGCAAUGGUUUAUCACAGCAAACAUUUAUCUUCUAAAGGAUUGGAAUGAGCUGACUUCCACAUUCUUGCAUCAGUACCAAAGCCAGAUCGGAACUGAACUUCCUUGUGAGAGCUUGGCUCACUUUACAAGAAAACCAAUGGAAGAUUUUCGAUCAUACGCAGGGAGGUGGAGGGCUUUCAUGAUGCAAACCCACCCUCAACUGGCUGAAGAGGAGUUAAUGAAGCAGUUCAUAGAAGUUUUGUCCUGCAAGCAGCGCUGUUGGCUGCAUGGGUUACACUUCCGUAACUUCAACGAGGUAGUCAUCGCAUGUGAAUACUUCGAGUCUACUGAAGACGAGGAAUUCAAAGACGCUUAGCUUUAAGACCAGCACUAUCAAAGCACUCCUUUACAUAGGAGUUUUCAUGGGUUUUACUUGUUUUUAUAAUUUCAUGUUUCUUAUCUUGUCUAGUGUGCUACUGUUGUAUUUUCCAUUCCAAGUACUCUAUUGUGCAGUUAUAAUAUUUUAAGAGCAUGAGGCGGUACUCCAAACCAGCCCGGUGAUGCUAUCCAACCAUGAAAAAAUAUAUCAUCCAAGGAGAAUACUGAGGGCUGGACUUCCUUAUGCUUUUUCUCCCCCAAAGACGUAUUUUGAAAUUAAAAAAUAUUUCAUCACCCAAAAGCUUUUGUUAAAAUAAGAUGAUAAAUUUAAUCAUGUUUGUCUUUCUAACUCACUCACUUCAUGUCUCAGAAUAUCAUUCCCGUCCCUUUUGACUUAGUGCGACAGGGGGCAUUUAAAGCAAGCACAUUAUGUGAACUCACCGAAUUCAAUGACACCCUCCCAAGAAAGCAGGGGCAAACAGAAAGGAUCAUCACGUUUCAAAAUGGUAAGUCCUAUUCCCUGAACAUAAUGUCGAAAAUGACAUCCUCUCUCUGCCAUCUACAGGAAAUGAAUGAUGGGAUGUAAUAGGCACAGGCAUAUUAUCAAACUUGAAGCAUGCAUAACAUGAUAGCUCAAGGCAGGAUGUCCCGAGUUCAUUGACAGGACUUCCAGCUUCAACGAGCCAAGAAGCACAAAGAAGGAUUUGCUUCUCUUUCUUUAAAUUGGCUACUGUCAACAGGGAAGAAAUCCAGACAGUUGAAGCGGUCUCUAGCCCCUAUUCAAAAUAAGGACCUGGAAACUUGACUUCCUAUUCAGAUACAUGCUCUUGCAAGAAGUGAUUGCCAUCAGAGAAUUGGAGGUUUUGAUUAUCCAUCUCAAAUUCCAUAGAAGCUUGCGGUACAUGACUUUGCUUGAUCAAAGGCAGAAGGAAAAAUUCCACAGAAGGAAUGCGUUGAAGAUAAAUCAACAAUCAGCAAUCAUGCAUACAUGGUCACAAGUGAGGAAGGCCAAUCGAAAGAAAUGUCAAACUAUGCUAAGACGAAAAGGCUGUCAUCAACAUUCAAACAUCAUCAGGAGUCAGCAAAUACAAAACUUUGGAGAAGAGUAAUUUGGUAUCGUUUCCAAUACUCCCCCUUCUUUGAAUUCACUUUUGACAUAUUCCCCCUAUUGACAGGGAGCAUCACAACUCAAGAACCAAACUCAAUGGUUAGGCAAAUCAAUAUUGGCCAAGCUAGUACGUGGAAAUGACCCACAUUAAAUUCACCUGGCUUCGUGUAAAAAGACAUGUCAUCCAGGAGCUAAUUCAGAGAAUAAUUGACCUAAUGAAGCAAGGGACAUAGGACUUCGAGUCCCCCUCUCACUUUAGGUUCACCCAAUCAUCUGCAAACCAGUGAAGGGUAAAGUUGUAUCGAUUCCAGUUAUUUGACUCUUGAAAGAGUUCAUGACUAACACAUUCCCUCUUGUUUGUUGCAGGAUCACCUGACUGUCAAAAGCAAGGAUAAUGAAUCAAUGAAAAUCAUGUCUUGUUUGUUGCAGGAUUAACUGACUGUCAAAAACACAGAUAACAAAUCGAUGAGAGGCAUGACAAACUCUCCCAAGAAAAAUGACGUCUCAAGUAUCGCCAAAGCAAAUGGCAGAGAUCCUUCAGGCCUCAAUUCACCUUUAAUGUUGGCCCUGUUGAUUGAUCUAUUUUCAUCUUCUCUUCUGCAGGAGCAAAAAUAGAGAUGCCCGAUCAGAUCCCCAACCCCGGCCGAUCCUUCAUGUGUCAUAUCCCUAAUCAAUAGGGACAAUCAUCGACACCCAUUUGCGAAUAACCCUUUUGAUGUUCAAAAUUUAACAUAUUUGGAAGCACCAUUAUGUUAACUCCUAAAGUUGUCAACAAGGUCUUUUCAAGUCAAAACCAUUCACUUGUUUUGAAGAGUUCAAACUCCAUCAUAUUCAAAAUGUUGCAUGUCGUUUCCAGAUGAAUUCGGCAUGAUGAUUUUGUCUGUCUAAGUCACUGAUUCCACUAAGGAUUAUUAGAAUAGACAGCUAAAUGAAGAAUACAAGAUUAAUUGAGCAUGCUGGAUGAGGCGCGUCAGAAUGAUGGAAGGCAAGCCAUAUCCUACACACAGUCCCCCAUCUAUACACUUGUGAGAUGAGUGCAGAAGAUUCCAUGGCUGCAGGGUAAAGAGUUCUCUCGCGAAUGGUACAAUAACCAAAAUAGUGAAGGGCAUUCCACCGCUCACCCCAUUGAGCCUCAUACACUGACAAAUUUCUGCUAUACUCCCGUCAAAGAACCACCCCACACUGGGGCAAGUCGAAAGCAAGUCAGCAUCACAAGGUGAGAAAGGGGAUAGAAAUUUUCUUGCUAGCACUUGCAUCAAUCUUCGAGUGUCUUUAUUGCAUAUGAACACUCGCGUUAAUCUAAGUGCCCUAGAGUCAUGAAGAGCAAUUCUUUCUUUACGCACUUGUAUCUAUUGUACAACUCAAUUGAGUCUGUAAAUUCACCCUCACAUGGAGGCAAAGCAGAAGCUACUGCCGUUUGAGUAGCAUAAUCAAAAGCGCCGGCAAAAGAUGAAGACUCAAUAGUCUAACAAAGGCGUUUGCUUGAACUUGUCAAGAUCAGCUCUCAAGCAACAAAGAAUAAAAAAAACAUGGGCAUAAAAAAGCAGUGUACCUGGUAAAAGCAAGGUCAAUGCCCAUAAAAGAAGAACUGGAAUAAAAAUAGGGGCAUGAAAAAGCAGUGUGCCUGGUAAAAGCAAGGCCAAUGCCCCCCAGUCAAAAAUGCAGCUAAGAAAAAGUCGUUGUUGUGGUCCAUAGAACCUCCAUUUGACAGUGAGAAGAAAGACUGGUGACAAAUGCCAAGGCAGUCACCAGCUCUCACCCUUUUACACAUGAAUCAAGCCUACAUUGCAUCCCAUUGCAAAAGUCUCUUCAGACUAGGGGCACUUCAAUUAACAUGGGAUUUCAUAUGUCUAUAAGUAUCACUCGAAGAAGUACGAGCAAGAUUACUCUAUCUCUUUUCGCAGGGUUCUUGAAUUGUAAACCCGGAGAUGAUCGUGCAACAUUUUCAUCCAUCAGCUUCAACCUUGAUGGUCCCCUUCGAUGAGCCACUGGCCAAGACUUCAUCAUAGUUUCAACAAAGACCUCUCACAUUGGUAAAGUCGUACGUUUGCGAGAAUACUCGGACCCCUGUUAACAUGAUGAUAGUGAGAAGUGUGGUCCUUAUAAUGUCACGCCCCGAUCCUCGGGCACGUGCACAUCCUUCUAUCUUGGUCGAUUUUAAUAUGCGAUAUCCCAGGACAAUGUAUCGCCGACCCUUUCAUUUAUUAAGCACAUGCGGAAGCAGUUAAAAUCCCCAGACAAUAAAACGAUGGGAUAGAAAAGCAGGCUAUAUUUUUCAUAUUGAAAUCUAUAACCAAACUUUUAUACAAAACACAAACCAGAACACUUCACAACUUUUUAUUCUAAACUCUAUUCACAUCAACAUGGAGAUCUCAAAAGAAGACAGAAACUUAGGCGAACUGGGCCGUACUCAAGGCCCCUCUCAGGAUUGUCUUCUUCCUCCAAAAAUCUUUCUCCUUAAGAUUCGCCUCCGAGUCCUCUUUCUCGGAUUCCUCCUUCUCAGCUCUUCAGCGGGAUCCUGAAAUGGUUUUCCCCAAACUGGGAUGAGACUACGUCUCAGCGAGUUCUACCCCACUAAGCCCAAUUAGUAAACUAUUAUACUAUAGGCUGCCUAUACACGCAUAGGGCAGAAGACGUACCUUGGCCUCAUGUCCUACCUGCAUGUUAGCACAGGUCAAAUAGACACCUAAGCAAUCACAUCACAGAUCAAAGCAUCGAUCAAAUCGACCUAAUCGAUUACCAGCCAACAAGACCACUCACGGUCAUUUCCAUUCAGUCAAUCAAUUCACGACAUCACAUCAAAGCAAUGAUCAAUCAACAUAGUCGAUUACAUGUCAAUUCGACCAUUCCCCAGUCGUUUCCCUUAUUCAGGUUCAAAUCGUACUCACGACUUCACAAGCAUAGACUACCAAAUUUCUUGGCAACAAAUUACAGUCCCGAAGGACACGACCUAUCUUUAGGUAGCAAAUUACGGCCCAAUGGGCGCGACCUUUAAUAGGUGGCUAAUUACGGCCUUAUCAGGCGCGACCCGUAUCGGGUGGCAAAUUACGGCCUUAACAGGCGCGACCUUUAAUAGGUGGCUGAUUACGGCCUUAUCAGGCGCGACCCGUAUCGGGUGGCAAAUUACGGCCUUAACAGGCGCGACCUUUAAUAGGUGGCUGAUUACGGCUUUAUCAGGCGCGACCCGUAUCGGGUGGCAAAUUACGGCCUUAACAGGCGCGACUGACUCCAAAUUCGGUGGCAAAUCUCAGCCCAACUGGCAUAGCCAUACUUCGGCGGCUUCCGAGGUUCAACUCACAACCUCUCAUAGUCAAAUUCUAAUUGAAUACCGACAUUGAUCAAUCUUGGGAUGAAUCCCCACAUACUCAUCAACUCACUCAAUUUUCACACGAUAUUAACAUACCUGAUGGAUCUUAGCCAAGAGUAUAUUCAAAUCACUCUCAUAAUUCUACUCACUUUACCACUCAACAAAGCAUUGCAAACGCUAAAUAAACAUACUCGGCCAUUUACCAAUCAACAAUUCAAUCUCAAUCAAUUCCAAUCAAUUUAGGGUAAAUCCCCAAAAUAUCACAAUUUAUUUAAUUCCAUGCAACGUGGAGCUCAAAUAAAUAAACGGACUGCGCCACGACGAUCAGCACGAGAUUGCGGUCGUCGGCCAUCAAAAUCUUAAUUUCCAAAAAAAUAAAUAAUUUAAUUAAUUUUUUUAAAUAUUAAAAAUUCCGUUUAGCUCAAAAUAAGGUCCAAUUAAAUAAUUGGACUUCACCACGGUCAUCAGCAUAAUUUUCCGGUCACGGGCCAUCCCAGUUGAAUUUUCAGAAAAUAAAUAAUUAUUUAAUUAAUUUCGAAAAUUAAUUAAUAUCAAAAAUUCAAUUUAGCUUAAAAUAAAGCCUGAUUAAUUAAACUGACUUCACCAUGGUCAUCGGCAUAAUUUUCCGGUUCCAGACCAUCUCAGUCAAAUUUUCGGAAAAUAAAUAAUUAUUUAAUUUAAUUCCGAAAAUUAAUAUUUAAAUACUAAAAAUUCCACUUAGGCCCGAAAAGCCUAAUUGGAUCCCACUAAGGGUCGGGAAAAUUCCCGAAGCACUUCCAAUAAUUAGUAGACCACGUCUACUUGCUAAUUACACAAUCAAUUUAUCUAAAUCGCAUCACAAUUGACUAAUAAUUGCUAAUUUACUCUAAUCUAACAACCUAAACAUAAUUAAUUAAAUCUAAACCAACCUUAAGCAUAAUUAGCCAACUAAUCCAAGAUUAGUGAGAUUACUCACCAAAUCGCGCGCAAAUCGGAUCAAUCCGACGGCGGCGACGCGAGGAACGAUUGUUCCCAAAGCACGGCUCGGUUUCGGGGCCGGGAAACGGUCCAAAAGCGGGCCCAAAGGUGCUGAAACCCACUCCGUGGGUCUUGCUGGUCGCGGCUGAACGGAGCAGCUCCGGCGGCUAGGGCGGCGGGGGAAGGCCGGCGGAGGGCGAGGGGGUCGCGGGGGUGGUUCGGCGGGGUUGGCGGUGGCCGGAGGUGGCCGGGGGUGGCUGGACGGAGCUGGAGCAGAAGCGAACAGCAGCUGGGUCGCGCGGCCUGGCCGUGCGCGGACGGCAGGACGGCGACGGGCGCGCGGGCGCGGCGCGGAGGUGCGGCGGUGCGGCGGCGGGACGAGCGGCGAGCGGCUGAGGGGCGAGCUGGUUCUGGUUCGGGCUUCUGGUUUUCACUUGCUGCACGCGCAGAGGAAGGAAGAAGGAGAAGAAGAAGAGAGAGAGAGAGAGAGAGAAAAGAGAGGGAUAAACAUUGACUGGUCAAAGAGGAAAAGAGAGAGAGAGAGAGAGAGAGAGAGAGGGAAUGGGCGGUGGAGAAUCGCACGAGGGGGAGGGGAAAAAGGGGAGAGGAGAGAGAAAGAAAAGAAAGAAAAGAAAAGAGAGGGAGAGAGAGGAAAAAGAAAAGGAAAUGCAUAAUUCCUUAUUUCAAUUUUCCUUUUCUCUUUUCCUUUUCCUCUCUUUUCUUUUGGGCUUCAAUUUUCUUCCGAUAAUUUCUUUAUUGAAAUUUCGGACACGUCAAUAAAUUGACGAGCGAUGAGACAGGAUUCUAUUUAUCCAGUCAAAUUAAAACCCGAAAAUCUGGAUGUCACAUAUAAAUCCUGCAUCAAUGGUCAGGAUAGCCUUUUCCAUGAGAGUGAGCGUAAAGUCCUUUCAGACUGAAAGUCCCCCAUUUGGCAUACUCAAGACAUCUACAUUCUAAAUGAAGGUUGUCUUUCAAGAUCUUCUCCAGUGGAAAUCAAAAGAUGUGGAACUGACAAAAUUAUCAUGCAUGAAUCUCAUUUGAACUCAUGAAUUUAUAGCAUAUACAAUCAUAUGUGCAUACUGUGCAAAUAGCAGACAUACUCUCAGAGAUCAGAGAUAUUGCCAGGUAAACAUAUCCCUGUCCCCAUUUGUCUUAAAGUACCUACCACUGUCCAGGUACUCUCUUAUUAACACUCAACUUAUUUGAGUCGUCCCUUGAGUUUGGGUACCUACUGCUAUUUAGGUAUCUCUAUUAUCUUUGAGUAUCGGCCACCGUUCGGAUACUCCCUCUUCCUGACACUCGACCUGUUCGAGUUGUCCCAAGAGUAUUGAUACUUGUGACUGACCAAGUAUUCCUUUAUUGUUGAAUACCUACUGCUGUCCAGGUAUCCCUGUUGUCUUUGAGUACCGGCCACCGUUCGGAUACUCCCUCUUCCUAACACUCGACCUGUUCGAGUUGUCCCCAAAGUAUUGAUACUUGUGACUGACCAAGUAUUCCUUUAUUGUUGAAUACCUACUGCUGUCUAGGUAUCCCUGUUGUCUUUGAGUACCGGUCACCGUUCGGAUAUUCCCUUUUCCUGACACUCGACAUGUUCAAGUUGUCCCCAGAGUAUUGAUACUUGUGACUGACCAAAUAUCUCUUGUAAUACCUACUGCUGUCUAGGUAUCCCCAUAUCGUCAAGUACCCACCGUUGUCCAGGUACAUCAUUUUCAUGAUACUUAACCUGUCUGAGUUGUCCCCAAAUGAUAUAGCAGUUGUUCAAGCAUUCCACUGCUUUGUGUGCCUGCGCCUACCCAAGUAUGCUUUCUUACACUUGGACCUACCUAAGUGGUCCCAGAUCAUAUCAUUAAAUACUUGUGUUCAUCCAAGUAUUCCGGUACUUUGUACUCCUGCGGCUACUCAGGUGUUUCAGCCCUUUUGAGUGCCUGCGGCCAUCUAGGUAAGCCUUGUGCUACAUUCAAGUUUAUGUUACCAGGAGGUGAGAGACCUUCACGAAUAUCCAAGGUACGCCCUCGAUAUUCCCCAUUACCAGGAGGUGAGAGACCUUCACGAAUAUCCAAGGUACGUCCCCGAUAUUCCCCAUUACCAGGAGGUGAGAGACCUUCACGAAUAUCCCAGGUACGUCCUCGAUAUUCCCCUUUACCAGGAGGUGAGAAACCUUCACGAAUAUCCAAGGUACACCCCCGAUAUUCCCCAUUACCAGGAGGUGAGAGACCUUCACGAAUAUCCAAGGUACGUCCUCGAUAUUCCCAAUUACCAGGAGGUGAGAGACCUUCACGAAUAUCCCUGGUACGUCCUCGAUAUUCCCCUUUACCAGGAGGUGAGAAACCUUCACGAAUAUCCAAGGUACGCCCCCGAUAUUCCCCAUUACCAAGAGGUGAGAGACCUUCACGAAUAUCCAAGGUACGUCCCCGAUAUUCCCCAUUACCAGGAGGUGAGAGACCUUCACGAAUAUCCAAGGUACGCCCUCGAUAUUCCCCAAAUUACCAGGAGGUGAGAGACCUUCACGAAUAUCCAAGGUACGCCCUCGAUAUUCCCCAUUACCAGGAGGUGAGAGACCUUCACGAAUAUCUCAGGUACGCCCUCGAUAUUCCAAAUAUCAGCAGAUGAGAGACCUUCAUAGAUAUCACAGGAGGUGAGAGACCUUCACGAAUAUCUCAGGUACGCCCUCGAUAUUCCAAAUAUCAGCAGGUGAGAGACCUUCACGUAUAUGCAAGACCCAUCCUCGAUAUUUCCACACGAAUAUCUCAGGUACAUCCUUGAUAUUCCAUGCACCAAAGAGUUUGUACCUGUGAUUGUCCAGGUACCCCUUCGAUACUUGUGAUCAUCCAGGUAUCCCCAAAUAGUUUGUACCCGUGAUCGUCCAGGUACCCCUUCGAUGCUUGUGAUCACCCAUAUAUCUCCAAAGAGUUUGUACCUGUGAUCGUCUAGGUACCCCUUCGAUACUUGCAAACAUCCAGGUAUCCUCCAAGAGUUCGCACUUGUGAUCAUCCAAGUACCCGUCCAUUGCCUAUGAUCAGCCAAAUACCCAUUUCGACGCCUGCAAAGGCCCAAAUAUCCUUCAUGUAUCUCCCAAAUCGAUGCCCUGAGAAAGGUCGGCGCAUCUCCCGAGAAAGGUCGGGUACCAACUGGUGUCUUCGACAGAAGUCAGACACCCCCAACAAAUAGAUGCUCUGAGAAAGGUCGGCGCAUCUCCUGAGAAAGGUCGGGUACCAAUCGGUGUCCUCGAUACAAAUCAGGCACCCACAAAUUGAUGCCCUGAGAAAGGUCGGCGCAUCCUCCCGAGAAAGGUCGGGUUCCAACUGGUGUCUUCGAUACAAAUCAGGCACCCACAAAUUGAUGCCCUGAGAAAGGUCGGCGCAUCCUCCCGAGAAAGGUCGGGUUCCAACUGGCGUCUUCGACAGAAGUCAGACGCCCCACAAAUCGAUGCCCUGAGAAAGGUCGGCGCAUCUCCCGAGAAAGGUCGGGUACCAACUGGUGUCUUCGACAGAAGUCAGACACCCCCAACAAAUAUGAUGCCCUGAGAAAGGUCGGCGCAUUUCCCGAGAAAGGUCGGGUACCAACUGGUGUCCUCGAUACAAAUCAGGCACCCACAAAUAGAUGCCCUGAGAAAGGUCGACACAUCUCUCGUCAAGGCGACCGAAGAAAGGUUCGAGUCCUAGACAAAUCAUGGAAUGUUUUAACAGGCGACCAAAGAAUGGUUCGGGUCCUGGAGAAGCAACUUCCCGUCACAGCGACCGAAGAAUGGUUCGGGUCCGAGACAAACCACCGAUUACUCCAACAGGCGACCGAAGAAUGGUUUAGGUCCUGGAAGAGCAGUCUCCCGUCAAGGCGACCGAAAAAAGGUUCGGGUCCUAGACAAAUCAUUGAUUGUUUUAACAGGCGACCGAAGAAUGGUUCGAGCCCUGGAAAAGCAACCUCCUCAUAUCACCAGGUAAGAUGAUGCCUUGAUACUUGCCAAAACUCGGGGAUCACACCCUAUCUCACUCACUCCCGGUAAGUAAUUACAGGUAUUUUCUUAUCUGUCUUAGUAUAUGUAAAGUUAUAUUGCUCUUUUUCUGCAUAGAAUAAUAGGUCCCAAAUAAAAUCUACUACGCAUGCAUGGAUAAAAUUGAGGCAUCAGUCUGUCUUUGAAUGCAACCUCUGCGAGCUCACCUUCAAAGAGGGGCAGCUGUUGACGCCUUAAUUUUAGGCCUAGUUUAUUUUAUUAAUUAAGCUUUUAAUUUAUUUUGUCUUUUCGAAUAAGUAGAUAAUAAAAAAAGAAAACAACAAAAAACAAAUAAAAACAGCAAAAAAAAAAAACAAAAAAAAGAAGCAGCCCUCGAAUGGGCCCUUACGACCCAUUUCCCCUUUCGGCCCGGCCCCACCAGUCGUCUUCUUCCUCGCACCUCUGCAGCACACGCGCAGAGGAUGCGACGCCGGAGAGGCAGGCGGACGGCAACCCACGUGGGAGGGGCAGCUGGCUUCGGAUGGGACGUCGGUUCAGCCGGUGGAGGCCGCUUGGCGCAUGGGGACCGGCGGUCGAAGCUCCGUCGACCGGCUGCCCCUCGCCUAUAAAUAGGCCCUCGUCUCCGUCGUUGAGAGGCCACGCCGAGAGCGAUCGAAGGCUGCAAAGCUUCGAGCUUCCUGCUGAGAGACUUUAGAAGGGGAGCCGAGGUCGAGCAAGCCCAGAUCCGAAGGCUCGCGGCCGGAGAAAGAGAGGUUUUGCCGGAGAGACGAACAGAGAGAGAGGGAGUCGGAUCUAAGGCUGCAGACUUCGGGUUCCCCACUGAGAGACUUCAGGGGGGUCCGAGGACUCGCAGCCAAAGAUCUGAGGCCCGCCGGAGCAGGUCGUGAGCUUAAACGGCCUCCCACCGAGAGACAUCGGGGGAGGCCGCGGGCAAGCGAGCCUGCAGAGAGAGGAGAAUCCAAGCGCAAGAGACGGUCGAGGCUUAGAUCCGCCGUCGAUUCAGCUCCAACACCGCCCCAAACACCAUCUCAACGCCGUCCAGAUCUAAGUCACCGUCGUCGCCGCGAGCAGUGCCACCGUGCCGAGCCGAAGCCGAGAGUAGGUGACGACGGAGCCCUGUCUACGCCGUCCAUCCAAAGCUCUGAUGGCCGUCGCAUUUGCCAUUCACUGUCGUCGCCGUAGCCACCGUAGCCGCCGUCGCCGCCGUCGCCGCCGGAAUGCUCCCGUUUCCCCCCUUUCGGCGCCGCGAAUUCGCAAACCCUAGGGUUUGCGAUUUCCGGGUCGCGAAGCGGAUCCCGGGUAGGGAUUCCGCGAUUUAAGGGGCGGCGGAAGCUGGGUCGGGGUUCGGGUCGGAUCCGGGUAGGGUUCCACCGGGGAGCGGUGUGAGUCGGGUCUUCGGGCCGGGCCGGGCGUCUCUAAACGCCGCACGGCGUCGUUUUGAUAAAAAAAAAAGAAAAAGCCGAAAAUUCCGAGUCGGCCCGCAACGCGGGCCCGUCCGCGAUUGAGUCGUCGGCCCGGGUCGAACCCAACCCGCGGAUCCGACCCGGGUCGGUUUUAUUUUAUUAUUUUAAUAUAAAAUAAUAAAUAUUCUAUUUUCAAAAAAAAAAAUCAAAAGUAUUUUAUUUUCGAAAAAAUAUUAAAAAAAAUGUUUUAAUUUCCAGAAAAUCGAAAAAUAUUAAAAAUUGUUGAAAAAUGUUUUAUUUUCUAAAAAAUCGAGAAAAAUCAAAAAAUAAUCUAUUUUCCAAAAAUACCAAAAAUAUUUAAAAAAAUAUUUUAUUUUCCGAAAAAUAAAAAAAAUCAAAAAUAUUUCAUACUUUCCAAAAAAUGCCAAAAAUCCAAAAAAAAAAAAGCCAAAAAUUCAUGAAAAAGCCAAAAAAAAAUUCAAAAAAAAAAGAGCCAAAAAGACUUGUAUUUUUCCAAAAAUCCCAAAAAAUCCCUUUUGUGUCCAAAAAAUGAGAAAAAUACUCAAAAAAUGUUUUUCCUCCCAAAAAUGCAUGGAAAAUCUCUCAAACAUCCAAAAAGCCUUAGGGUUUAAACAAGAUUAGGUACCGAAAGGGCAUUAGUGAUUAACUAGUGUAAUCAAGUCCCCGAUCCUAAUUUCUCUGGUUGCGCAGGAGCGAGUAUUUCUCCCGAUACUUCGCUUGGGUUUCUAAUCGACCCACUCCAAAUCGAUUAGUGGCGACUCCAUUUUAAAAAUUGAUUUAUAGGUUAAAAACUCAAACUAUUAAAGUCGUGGAUUGGUGGAUUUGGGAGAGUCCGGGCUUAAUAAAUUCAGCCGAGCCAUUAGCCUCCUUAGGCGCUCGUACCCGAUUGCGGGCGCCGAAGAAAAGAGGUCGCGACAAGCACUAGGAAGCCUUUCAAUCGCAGAACCACUAAUGUCCAGAUGUUGCAAAUUCUGUAAAUCCCCAAUUGAGGUAGGGAUUUCCCUGAGUGACUCAUAACAGCUGGCACUCAAUUUCUUCAGCUUCCUCAGAGAACCAAUAAACACAGGAAUCUCAGUAAUAUCAGCAAAAUCUAAUAUAAGUUCUUCUAAUUUGACAGAUUCGCCUCCUUUCAGUUUUAGCUCACAUACCCAUCCGCUCUUGGUCCGGUCCAUUGCCAUAUUCUUCUUCCACGAUCCCAACUCUCUUGUGGAUCCUGAGAUUGCGAUGCUCUCCCCAAUUUCAACUUGGUAAUCCAGCCAAACACUGAGAUGCACCUUCUCUUGUCCCAGCUUUGAUCUGAUCUUCUUCGCUUUCUUCUCCUCUUCUCUGCAGUAAACACACUAUGUUAUAGCUUCUACCAAUAGCCUCCUUCCUUGUCUAGACAACUUAAACAGCAAUUUUCAUGCGAACCACCAAUUCAUUCUUUGCCAUUUAGCACCACAUUCAAUGAGAAACCUUAAAUCAAGAUGACGUAAGAUAAUUAAUGUCGCCACCUUUUUUAGCAAGAAGAACUCAAAAGAAGAACAGAAAAACUCUUUAUUUUCUGCACCGAUUCUCAUUCAAGAAAUAGACCCCACAUAAACUCUAUCCACACUAGAGAAUCAGACAACCCUUUGAUCGAGAAUUGCAUAAAACAACUCAAUACUUUACUCCGGACCCCAGUGCUUGAUCAGACUGACGUAAGUGUACCACGACAAAUCCACCAAGAGAGAGAGAGGGUUUUAGUGGUGGAAAUGCCACAAACAACCAUGGAGGAGCGACUCUGAGCGGCGGGAGCUCCAUGCGUCCACCUGAGAGAAUCUCAAAGGGGAAAAGUAAUGCUGCUCUUCAUGAACGAACUGGUCUCUCUACUUGGUUUUAGGUACGAAAAUGUACAUGGCCGUGACUCUUCCGCUUUUAGAUUCAUGCUUAAAUAAAUCAAGUUUGAGAUUAUAUGACCAAAGUGAUUGCAAAAUGCCUACAUAUGAAUUUACAUAUGCAACUAGACCAGAGAGAUGGUGCUAAACUAAUGAAUGCCCUUAUUUUGUGUUCAAAAUUCUUCCAAAUGAGAUACUACAGUCUUCUUGGAAACCUUUUCAUUGAAACUCUUGGCUACAAUUGACAGAUUACUUGCUGAUUCCACGGCAUUUGCUUUUUCCACGGAAAAAGUCUCUCCCAAUCACAAAACUGUAGCUUGAAGUGGAAAUCUAAAUGGUAAUCUUGUUAACAAAUCACAUAUUAUACUUGACUUCACAUACAGAACUACCUGCACAUGGGGUCUUCCUCCUAGAUAUUUGCCAUGUGCUUUUGCUAAAGAAUAACACAAUUUCAAAGCUUGCAAAGGACUAAUACACCAGGAGAAGAGGUCGCAUUAUAUUAAGAAUCCUUUGAAGAGUAUUAACAACAUGGAGCAAAUGGUAAACGCCAACAGCAAAGAACUUCAUAAUGCCUUUCCAUACUGACAUAGCUCAUUCUUGCCCGUAUCUCCAACCCGUGGUGUUUGGGGACUUUCUCCAAGUUUCAUCAAAUGCAGCUUUAAUCUGCACAAGGAAGAUAGCAAUGACUAAUUAUCAAUAAAUGAAGAUAUCCAAGAUUGUAGCAUCAGAAUUUACCCCAUGAGAUAUAAGGUACAAAUGCAUAAACAUUGACACCAAUCAGAGUUGGGACCACAAUGAACAGAGACUUCAUUAGCUAGCCAAUGAAAAAGAAACCAACAGGCUUAAAAGAAGUAAGCAAUUAGCAACACUUUCCCUAUAUGUGUUUAGGAACAGAAUUGAAGUUAAAAAAAUCAUGCUAAAAAGGUGGAUUGCCUAAACUACAGGAUAGAAAGAUGUAUCGGCAAUACGGGAUAGUUUGCGAGGAGGUUAAUUUCAACUUCACAAAUUCAAUGUUGUACACGUGAGAACUGAGCUUAUCAAAUCAAAAACCUAUAUGAUCACAUUCAAAGGAUAUCAUCACACAAAUAAACUGAUAGAAAUGGAGGAGCCUAGCAGUGCAUACCUCCCUUUGCAGAGCCUCAUCAAUUCUAAAGUGACAUCAUUAGAAUGCAUCCACAUCGAACAACUCUGCAUCAGGGUAACGUUAAAAAAAUCAGCAGCUUAGCAUUUGAUUAAAAGAGAGCUAGAACCGAAUGAGCAUACAGAAUGCAUAUUUAACUGAAAAUAAAUACAUUUACAAUCACUAAGGGACGUGACAUUGAGAUCAAGUCAAGUGUCUAAAAUUUAGAAGUAUCAAAACUUCCUUGGGACACUCCAGUUAGCCCUAGAGCAUCUCCAGGGUUGGCACGCAAGAUGGUCCUCAGCUAUUGCUGAUGCUUCAUCUACAAAAUCCCUUCUCUUUAUUUUGAUCCAUCUCAAUAUGGAAUUUGAAGUUCCUCAACCCAGUUGCUCGAUAAUCUUUCGAAACAACAGUUUGACCACUGGUAAUGUUAAGCUGGUCUACAUUCAUACAUGACAGACUAGUCAAAACUACUUUUAACAUUUUUUUUUUUAAUGAUUGAACAAAAACACUUCAACCUUAUACUUAAUUUUAGCUCAUUUCAUCAUACUUGCUAGGAAUUGAUGCUCUUCUGGGAGGUUCAAGAGGAACAUCAAGGGAACAUUAAGAAAAUUGACAGGGUUUUCGUUCAUCAUGAAAAACAGAAAGGCAUUUGUCCCAAACAGGACAUCUGCCAUUAGUCAAGUUUGACAUGAAGCAACUCAAAAUGACCAAGGAUUUUUAGAAAGAAAUUAUGAACUUUUGGACGUCGGGAAAUUCUGGGCAUAGUUGAUAAUAUUGAGUAACGGAAGAUCAUUGGCCUCUAGGUGAAAACUUCAAAUCCCAGUUCACCGAGAGGGGAACUGUAAAUCACCAAGGAAUUCUUGUUUACGUAGGUUUGAUGUUUUCAUCCUUGCCUCACAAGCCGCUCAUCUGUUUGUAGUCUAAAAAAGCUGCCAAUGGAUGGAUAAAUGAAAAACAUUGCAAUAACAUAACCAAAAUAGCAAUAUAUGCAGGCAAAUACAGAAUUUCCGAAAUCAAUUAACUAGAUACACCAUGUGGAGCAAAUCAUUCUCAAAAAAUAGAGCUUCGAGAAAAGUAUUAGUCUAUUUGCUCACCCUUGCUGCUUGAAGGAUGAAGAGUCUUACUAGAUGACCAAAUGUUUUCUAUUGACAUUGGGGUCUACAUUUGGAUCUUGGCUGAAGCAUCAUGUCAACUUCUAUGACCAACUCCCCCACUCGUAAGACUAGCAAUUUAGGAAAGUACAGAAUCCUGUUAUGGAAAACUUCUUGUCAAAAGAAGAUGGUGAUGAAAAGUAGGUCAUGAAUCUCAGAAGAAAAAUGAUUGUCGCUGUUUAUUUACCUCUGUUGAGGAAGCAUCACUUCAUGAGUCAAAAGACAGCUGUUGUUCAUAAUUGUCAAAGAGUCCCAUUCUUUCCAAUCAGUCGCAGCCACUAAUAUCCAAUGUAAUUAUAUCCAACUUUUCAAAUCCCCGAAGCUGAGUAAAUUUCUUGCAAUUUCGAACUACUACAUAUUCUAACCUUUGACAUCCAUUCAAAUCUGGCAAAGUCUCCACUGAUUUGCAUCCCAUAAAAUCCAACGGUUCCAAGAACUUUGCCCUGUCAGGGCCUUGAAUUUUGACUAGGUUAUUGCAAUCCUCAACCCAUAAUUUUUUCAAAUGAUUUAAACAUGAAAGGUCCAAUCUCUCAAUGAAACUGCAAUCUCUCAUAUUAAAGUCUUCCAAGUACUCGAAUCGGUCGAGCUUAAGCGAUAUCAGCUUAUCACACUCGUGAAUAGCAAGUUUCAAGAGUCUUGAGGAAAGCUCAGGGAUGUCUUCAAUUAGAUGGCAAUGGUCAAGCCAGAGUUUUUUUAGGUGGAUUAGGCUAGAAAGCUGUGGCAACGUGGGACUCUGACAACAAACCGUCAGAUUCGUUAAGCCCGAAGGAAGCUGUGGCAGCAAGCAGAGCUUGUUACAGUAAUUUAGUUGAAGGGAUUGGAGAGAAGAAAGAUUCAAGAUGCUUUCUGGCAGGUCAGAUAUCGGCAUGUCACCUAUAUCAAGAAUCUGGAGGGAAGGCAAGUCACCAAUUUCACUUGGAAGUUUUUUGAUAGCAGACCAAUUCAAGUCAAGAUGUUGCAAAUUCUGUAAAUCCCCAAUUGAGUUAGGGAUUUCUCUCAGCGACCUACAACUACAGGCUCUCAGUUUCUCCAGCUUCCUCAUAGAACCAAUAGCACUGGGAAGCUUUUCGAUCGCAGAACGACUCAAGUCAAGAUGUUGCAAAUUCUGUAAAUCCCCAAUAGCACUGGGAAGCUUUUUGAUUGCAGAAUAACUCAAAUUCAGAUGUUGCAAAUUCUGCAAAUCCCCAAUUGAGCCAGGGAUUUCUCUCAGUGACUUACAAUCCCGGACACUCAUUAUCUUCAGCUUCCUCAGAGAACCAAUAGAUGUAGGAAUCUCUGUAAUACCAGAAUCAUUUAAAGAAAGUUCUUCUAAAUCUUUUAAUUUGCCCACCUCCUGUGGUAGCUCCUUGAGACGCCAACAGUGACUCAAAUCUAAGGAAACGAGGCUCGUGAGUUUGCCAAUAGAAGGGUGGAGAUGAUCCAAUGCCCAACAUUCGCUCAAUUUGAGAAUCUUCAACUGUGUGAAAGCCGACAGAUCAGGAGUACUUCUUAAAUAAGGGAAAUAUUUAAACAAGAGAAUUUUGAGCCCCUUUGACGCCUGAUACAAAAGGAGAAUAAGCCAUCAAAGGAGGAGUUGAUCGGUUGAAAAAAAAAAAAAACAAAACAAAACAAACCCUACAAUCGCAAAGAGAAUGUCUCCUUUUCCGAAAAUUACCAUGAAUGAACUCCAUUCUUUCCAAUCCUGUGUGAAGCCGAUGCCCCCUAUCAUCAGCACCGAUAAUUUCGGUAGAUGCAAAUUGAACGGCGGAAGGUACGAAUUGCUUUCAAAGACUUUCCACUCAAGCCAUCUCACUUCAUAAAGGAGUUUGUGGUUGGAAGUUCCGCUUGCAGCUGCCCUCAAAAUGCCGUAGAAUCUGGAGGGGAGUCCCUGCGAGUUUUUUAACUUUUUAGUUUUUGCUUUUUGAAAUCUUGGACUCGCACGAUCUGUAACCUUCCCAUCCUUUACGUAUAAAAAUAUGGACACGUGAACUUACAUUUGAUUUUUAUUUCUGCCGACCUUUCGAAAAUUGAACAAAUGAUGUGAAAAUUAAAAAAAAAAAAAAAAAAAAGAUAGUCAUUGCUUUAAAACAACUAAGGCAAAUGCACCUUAAUGUUUUAUCUUCUUCCCUUUUUUAAAUUUUGCAGCACGUGUAGUUGGACUUUUAUUUAAGACAAAAUACAUGAAACCAUUUUACAAAAUACAAUUGUUUACUUGUAAAUUUUCGUGUGUAUAAUUUCUCAAAAGAAUUUGUUAAAGGAUGUCCGUGGGCCACCUGUAAGUGGCUAAGGAAGCACUUGAUUUUGAUUUCAUUAGUUCAAUGUAAUAAUGCGGAAGAGAAAAAAAUGGGGAAUUUUCAAUAUAUUUUGAUAUAUAGAAAAGAUUACAUGGCUAGGACCAUUUAAGGAAAUCAAAAGAAAUCAAAGUAGAUAUGUAUAAUCAAAAUAGAUAUAAAAAAAUCAAAGGAAAUAUCUUAAAUAUCUUUAGAAGAUAUCUAAAAAAUCUUGAAUCAUUUCUUUGAAAACUGAAACAUUAUGUUUAAAAAGUGACAUGGUCACAUUGGUGAGCAAUUUUAACAGGGAUUGAAAAAAAAAAAAAAAGUUGCUCUCAGAGUAACUAAAAAAAUGAACCGAUUAACUAAAAAGUGACGUGGUGACAUUGUUUAAUUGUCAUAUGUCCAUUUCCAUAAGAAUGGCAUUGUUUUUUUUGCAUCUUAUAAAUCAAAACGUACUAUUUAACUUUCCUACUUAAACAGAUCAUUUAAUCAGUUGAAGAUGGUGAAAAAAAAAAUCCCUUUUAUGGCUUUGAUUGACUUUCAUAAUAAUACCUAUAUUUUCCCCCAAAAGUUCAAUUGGUUAGGAAUUCAGUAAUUCACUUUUAUGGUUUGACACAUUUCUUGUUAUCUCUGCUUUACAUAUUGACCAAGGAAAUGCAAUGGGUAUAAUUUAUCUUUAGUCAAUUUGUUGGAAAAGUCACUAAAUUGUUGUAAUCAUCGUCCCACGCUAUAUUUCAUCAUUUUCACAUGUACUUUGAUCUAUACUAAUAUAUUACAUUAAAAAGAUCUACUAUAUGGAAAGGGGAUUUCAAACCUCAAAUUUUCGUCAAAAGCUUCCGUGCAAUUUGCAUAUAUUUCACCAAAACGAACUAAACAAGUUGGAUAUAACAGAAUAGACAUGAUAAUAUUUGAAAUAGUCAAGACAAUUGGAAAUUAGUUCCAUAAGUAUUUCAUUUUUCAAAGUUAAAUAAAAAUCUCUCGAAUUGUACAAUCAUUUAAUUUUUUUCCCACACUAAUUAUCAUAUUUCAGCAAUUUUGUCUAUUCAAAACAGAUUUGCCCUUUUUUUUUUUUCAUUUUUCAAACACCGGUAUGGUGUGCUCUUUUUGCUAAUGUUAAGAAGUUACUGGAUCAACCAAAGACUGAAUUGAAUCAUAGGAAUGAACUAUUUCGAAUUAUAUCAAGAAUGUAAAGCUGUUUUGUUUGCCCAUCUCUUGGUUAAUUGCUAGGGUUAAUUCCUCACCUUUGAUCAGCCACGAGCCUACGAGGCAUCUCAAAUGGACAAUAUAUAAUAAUAAAAUGACAUGAACAUUGAUAAUUUAAGUAAAAGAUAAAACAUAGUUGAAAAAAUUUGCUUCAUGCUGAAAAUCAUAUCUCAUGAAGACAAGAGUAUGGAUAUAAUAAUAAGCAUGAUAUUUCCGGUAAUUGGUCAAGUUUUCUUUUUAUUUAUUUAUUUAUUUUAUAAAUAGUCAAGUCAAUCUAGACGUUUGUGGCACAAAAGAGGCAUUGUCCCUAAAAAAAUAAAUAAUGUAAAACAACUUAUGGCAGAUAGAAAUGUUUGUUACAAUCUAGACGUUUGUGGCACAAAAGAGGCAUUGUCCCUAAAAAAAUAAAUAAUGUAAAACAACUUAUAGCAGAUAGAAAUGUUUGUUACAAGAGAAUCCACUCUUUAUCAUACGCCUAACCUAAUCCAUGAAAUGAGCAAAUAAGAGUGUGCCUAGUGUCUUUUGCUGUCUGUUAUUAUAAGAAGGAGUGAAGAUAUGCGAACGAGGGGAGAAUGAGCUACAAGUCAAUGGGAUAAAACUUUAAAAACCAGUAAGAUCUUCCAAAAAAUAUUUUUAUGCGGAUUUUUGCCAUCUCAUCUAUUAAGAGGAAAUAAGAAUGAAAAGUGAUAGAUAUAACUAAUAGAGGGACCGAUAUCUUCAAAAUCAGAAUAGAGAAAAUGAUAUCAAACAUUGGAUUCCUGAAUCCCAAGAGCCCCCCAAUACAUUCGGCCAUACUAGAAAGCAAGCACAUGUCAUAAGUGUGAAAUUUUCUCCAAUCUUAUUGUUUUGAAUUAAUUAGCAGUUAUUGUAAUUGGCACAUACUAUCUUUCUUUUCCUUUUAACCUAGAAAUCUUCAUUUAUAUGAUCUAUGAUGUUUAUACUUCAUCUAAAUUCAUUCUUGUAGUCCUUUAGAUUAUCAAUAUUUUCAACUAGAUAUGACAAUCGCAUGCUUUUAGUAAAUAAGUUUUAUAGAGCAAAAUUGUAGUAAAAGGAUCUUAAAUUGAUUGUCAAUCAAAAUUCAACAGACGUAAUUCUUAUCAAUGAAAUCGAACCAAAUGAUAUAACUUUUUCAUCCUUGAGAUACUUAUAAUUAAUUUAGUUAUCACAUCUAAUCUACAAUGGACAUAAGUGGAUGUAUCAAUUCUUUUUUCCUAGAAAGUAAGAGCAUUUGUUCAUGCUAGACGAGAAAUUAGAAUACACCAUAUUAAAUACAUUAAAGUAAGAAGGAGAGAAAAUGAAGGGAGUGCCAUAUUUUACCUCUGUUUGUCUUAUUACUCUUGGGACUCCCCUAUAGUAUUUGUCCCAUGGUCCAGUACGUUUCUCAAGCUCAAGCGAUUGUCCUUGGCAAAAAAUGCUCCAUCCAAGAUCUCUAAGUUGAUCAUGCACUAGAAAUUCACCAUGAUCUCCAAUUUUAAUUAAGCACCUCAACUUCAACUCUUCAAUACCUUGACUUGGAUAAAACCCACAGUCCUCCCACAUGUACAUGGCAUAUUGAUGCAUUUCACCAAUAAAGAAACAAACAAUAUCGAGAAAAAUCUGUUUAUGCCCAUCUUCUAAUGCAUCAUAACUUAUUUGCAAUAUUUCUUGGACGUCUCUAUAUGGUUGGUUUUUUAACUUCUUCCGCACAUCUUCCCAUACUCCUCGAUUCAUUUUUUUAUACAAGUAUGAACCUACAACCUUAACUGCCAAGGGUAGCCCACCCAUGGUGGCUACAAUAUCACUAGAUAUACCCUCAAAGUCCCUCAGAGAAUAGUUCGUACGAAAUGCAUGUCUAUUAAACAAAAGCAUAGCUUGCACCAUAUCCAAUUCAUUCAGUUCAUACUUAUAGUCUACGUCAAAUUCAGAUUGAUCAAGAAUGGCUUUAUUUCUAGUAGUAACAAUGAUCAAACUUCCUGCCAUAAACCAAUCACGUUCCCUAGCCAACGCAUCUAGUUGAUUCUUCUCAUCUAUAUCAUCUAGAAGAAUGAGAACAUUUUUUCCUCUGAAUCCAGAUUUGAUUAUAUUAAUUCCAUCAUCAAUUCUAGACACUUCAUUCGUGUCUUUUAGUAUAUCCAAUAUCAAUUGAUGUUGUAGAUACGUAAUAUUGUGGCGCCUAGCAGUUUCUCGAACAUCUGGAAGGAAGCUAGCAUGCCCAAAUUUAUUCAAGAGGCUAUUGUAGAUGCACUUGGCAAGAGUUGUCUUGCCUAUUCCACCCAUGCCAUAAAUUCCAAUCAUUCGAGCACUCGUGGAAGGAUUGUCAAUCCAAGUCAUAAUUUCCUUCAUAUGACCAUCAAGUCCAACUAGCUGCUUAGGCACAUCCAGCAGAAAAUCUUCUCGUAAUAUGCUUCUAACAGUUUCGACCACAUGUUCUAUUAGUUUUCCCUCAUGCCUGUCAAACAACAAAAACAAUGAGAAGCUAUGAAGCUAGACAUAGUCUAUGAGAAGUAUUCUAUCCUUAUCAACUGAGCUAACCCUUGUUGGCUAUAGGAGGUCGAUUUUAUCUGGUGGUGAUCAAGCUGUGAAGACCGAGUAUUGGAGUCAUUUGGAGGCCUAUUGUUUAGUGAUUGAUACUAGUGGCUGGACGUAUUGUCAUUUACUUGUUUUUUGCUCUAUACCGGAGGAAAAUGUAAAAUUCUUGGGCACUAAGGGAUGCUUUGGUUUUUGCUGUUGUUGGUUUAGUUUUCAGGGACAUCUUGGUGAGUAUUGGCGUUUGUUGACUUCGAGGCGUUAUUGGGACUUUUGGGAAUCUUUUCUGAGUUUGCAGUGAAAGUAAUCGAUAUGCAUUUCAUUGGUUUUGCUUGAAGAAGAAAUCAAACUUAUCAAGACAAGAAAAGUUCAGUGACGUACCCGUCCUCCAAUUUAUCAGAUUCCCAUCCAUGUAAGUAACUAACUUCAUUAAGUGCUCGUUGCCAUUCCUGGAUAUCCUUCUCAUCAAAAUGCUCCCAACUCAAACGGAAGGCAUUUCCAAAAUUUCCCUUUAGAUGCCGCACAUCCGAUGGGGCAACUUUGUAAAAUAUAGGCAACACUAUGUGUGACGUUCUCUUCUUGCAUUUCAUGAUAUGAACGAGCUCACGGAGGCACCAUUUGCUCAAAGCAUAAUUUUCGGAGAUGAUGGGGAUCGAAAUCUUAGACCGUAUGAUGGCAUCGAGAAUCUCUGAACCAAAUUCCUCACCAAUUGGGAUGUUGUUCUCGUCCCUAAACACGCAAAACAGUACGGUCCCUGCCUUGACCAGAUUGUGAUAGAGGUGAUCGGUGAAUGUCUUGCGGGUAUCCGAGCCUCUAAAAUUCAAGAACACGUCAUAUUGACCGCUACGUAAACCUGUGGCUUCUGGAGAGAUGGAUGAAGAAGAGGACGCUUCCUGAGUGCUCUCUUCCUCUGCUUUCUUUCUCUUCCUCUGCUCUUUGUCCAUGGCAAUCUGAGAGGAAAAAGUUGAAACGGAAGAUUCUUUUUAUGCUGCUNNNNNNNNNNNNNNNNNNNNNNNNNNNNNNNNNNNNNNNNNNNNNNNNNNNNNNNNNNNNNNNNNNNNNNNNNNNNNNNNNNNNNNNNNNNNNNNNNNNNNNNNNNNNNNNNNNNNNNNNNNNNNNNNNNNNNNNNNNNNNNNNNNNNNNNNNNNNNNNNNNNNNNNNNNNNNNNNNNNNNNNNNNNNNNNNNNNNNNNNNNNNNNNNNNNNNNNNNNNNNNNNNNNNNNNNNNNNNNNNNNNNNNNNNNNNNNNNNNNNNNNNNNNNNNNNNNNNNNNNNNNNNNNNNNNNNNNNNNNNNNNNNNNNNNNNNNNNNNNNNNNNNNNNNNNNNNNNNNNNNNNNNNNNNNNNNNNNNNNNNNNNNNNNNNNNNNNNNNNNNNNNNNNNNNNNNNNNNNNNNNNNNNNNNNNNNNNNNNNNNNNNNNNNNNNNNNNNNNNNNNNNNNNNNNNNNNNNNNNNNNNNNNNNNNNNNNNNNNNNNNNNNNNNNNNNNNNNNNNNNNNNNNNNNNNNNNNNNNNNNNNGAAAAACAAAAAUCUUUUGGCAAAACGUUUUUGGCUUUAGGAAAGCCCUUUUUUUUUUGACGUUAAAAGGUUUGAAGAAAACGAAAAGAGUCUUUCGAAAACCUUUUUGGGUUUGUCUUUUCCCCCCCCCCCCCCCGGCCUUAUGAUCUAUUCUCUUUUUGUGUGAAUGUUGUUUCUCUAUUCGUUUCAGGUCCGUUGCUUCACUUCCUUUAUGUUUUGGUUCAAAUUCGACGAUUACAUAUUUUAAAUUUAUUUAAAAUUGGCAUAUUCUUAAUGAAGUUGGAAAUGCGAGGUAGAGAUUAACAAAUGAAUGUUGUCAUUUCCCUCUUAUUUAUUUCAUGCUCGCCCCACAUGCCAGUAAUUCUAUAUAAGACGAAUUUAUGAUGUAAUUUUACCGAGCUAUUCACUUCUAACUUUUAAAUUUAAAUUGUCGAUUGAUAUAUUGUCUGCAAAAUAGAGCUGUAAUUUGUUAAAUGACACCAAAUGAACAUAAUGCGUUAGUAUUAAGUUACUAAUGAUAUAUGAAAUACUUGUAUAUUGUCCUCGAGUUCUUUUCCGGGUCAUUUUCUUUUAUUACUAUUUUGUUGGCAUAUCAUUCAGCUCUUGAAAAGUCAGUAAAUCACUGAAAAAAGAAGUAUGCGAAAUAUUCAAAAAAAUAAAAUAUAAUUUAGGAAAAAGCAUAGAAAAGAAGGGAAUGAAGUGUUUGGGCCAACUGUUAGAAGGAAACAGUGAUAUUUAGAGUUAAUGUCCCAAAGGCUUUUAAAUUAUGAAUUCAUGACACAUGGAAACCUUCACGAACAUGAAUUGAAAGUAAAAAUGGGAAUGAAAGAUGCAUGGCAAUCUGGGGGUGAAAGUUGGAAUGAAAGAUGCUUUUCUUGCAUAAAAGGAUCAAUGAACUAAUCUCUACAAACGAACAUGAAUAUGUUACCACGCAAGAAAAAAUGAACAUGAAAUCUUUAAUUAAAUGGUAAUUGAUUGACUAGGAGUAGUUGCAGCUGCUUUUAGCCCACACCUAUCUUGUUUUUGACCUCACCCUAUUCAAGUCAAAUUUGUUGGCUUGAUCCCUCAUAAGUAACAUGGACGUUAAUUUUUUAAUUGGGCUAUAAAGUACUAGAAUCCGCGUACAAGUAUAUUGCAUUCAAUUAAAAAUACAAGCAUACAUUCAGUUUUUUAUUUGGUUAUUGAAAAUAGGAAUUUAAUAAAUCAUUUAAAAGAUAAUAAUUGAGUUGAAAUGGAAUUAGAAAUGUGUGAAAGACGUCAAGAAAGGACCAAGCUAGUGAUUUGGAAUGUGAUCUUAUAUUUUAAUUAUGUUUAAAAUUGUCAUGUUCUUAAUGCAGUUGGAAAUGUAAGGUAUGGAUAAACAAAUACUUGUGGUUAUUUAUCUUUCAUCUAUUCUACCGCCGGUACCACAUGCUGCAAUUCCAUGUAAAGUGAAUUUAUUUUGAACUAGUGUGUUAUCACCGACCCUUUCAUUUCAAAUUUUCAAAUCUAAAAAGUUGAUCGAUAUCUUAUGUAAAAUAGAGAUAUAAUCUGUUAGAUGGAACCAAACGGAGGAGCGGAUGCUCCCUCAGUGCUGUCUUUUCAUGCACUCUUUUCUUUCUCCACGUUAGUCUGAACGAUUAGAAAUUAGAUAUUGAUUCGAUGGAAGAAGGAGAAGAACAGAAGAAAGUAAAAGGAAGCUCCUGAGGAAAAUCCAGAGACGACCAAGGUUUGCAACAAUGGCGCUAAGUGCUUGUGCCCAUUUUUGUUGGAGGGGCCACCGUGAGAAUAUCACCGCAAAGUUUUUUUUUUUUUUUUAACCAAUUAAAUGGAAGUAGAAUAGGAUCAUCAGCUAAAUUCGUGAUAAGUCAGGUUAAAUUGAUUAAUCACAUUUUGAAGAACGAAUUAAAUGUUUGUAACAAAAAGAGGUGUAAGAAAUGAGUGACCUAAAGCUAGAUGAAUCUCCUAAUAUGCGCGUAUGGCUUGAUUUAUUUUAUUAUUUUCAUGUGUGUCAAAAGAUCACCUAGGUUUUUUUUUUUUUUUUCUUACUAUAGAAAAGGAAUAUACUUUCUAGGAUUAAUGAUCCAACAAUUCGAGGAAAACAUAAUAUUACUCAUAUGGAAUGUUCUAUAGGCAGGUAAAAUUGUCAAGUGAAAUCUUCCUAAGAGAAGAAUUACUCUUAGGAUGAUUGGUUUUAGGAUAAGUAGGUUCUAAAUUAAUAAUCAUGAACUUAUUAUGUAACACUUGUUUCUCCCUUUUUCUAAUUGAGAAACAAACUAGUUGACUUUGGAGCCAACCAACUUUUAUUUUUUUCGUUUGUUUUUAUAAUAAUUGAUCUAGGACCUACAAACACAGAGAAUUCAAGCAAAAUGUGGCAAUUUUCGCGUGAGAGUCUAGCGCUUGCAGACCUACUCGUUCAAGUUCAAAACAAGAUCCAUAUCGAAUUACGAUGCAACUAACAAUCAAAUGGUAAGGAAAUCAUAGGAUUUGCCAUAUCUAAAGUCGAAAACAAAGGCUUUCUUUUUUCCAUCGAAGUCAAAUUUGAGCUGGGGACAUACCCCGUCAAUAGGUAACAACAACUCCAAAGAGAGAAUAAAAAGACCCUCCUCUGCUAUUUAGCAACCACCCCACAUCCCCAAAGAUAGAAAGGGCCCAGAACACACUUAAUUCAGCCGAAUAUUCCAAUAACAAUAUGACGAAUCAAUAGAAACGACACGCUAUUAAGACAUGAAAAAGCGAUUACCUCCCACGAGCGAAGAUGCAAAGAAAGGCGCGAGAUUGUAGAGAGGAGACCCUAAACAAGCCUGGGUGAGAACUUUCAAGAGGGAAAAGAUCAAAGAAAGCGAGUGAGGACGGCAGUUUCAAAUUGCUCAGCAAAAGAGAGGCUGAACGUGAGAGAGAGAGAGAGAGAGAGAGAGAGAGAGAGAGAGAGAGAGGUGCAAUAAGUAGUGGAAAGUUUUGAAGAUGAGCGAUUCUUUUUGUGUUGUUCUCGCCUUAUGACAAUGCUCCGCGUUGCCACUCAAAUUAUUGAUUGACUGAUGGCACCCCUAUUGUUGAUUGACGUAGCAAUUGGAUUGUAAUUGGACUGUGUAGCCACUCAAAUCAAAUCGAAGAUGGGCAAUACGUUUUGAUUUAUCCUUGCCUUUUGCUUUACCCACCCCAUUAACAAAAAGGAUUGAUACUUUCACGUUGGAGUCAAGUUCACAUUGGAAAUUAGUUUCCAAGUGAUGCUUUUUCGAAAGAGUCAUGCAAUCACCCCCUUUAGUUAGCAACUUUUGCAAGGUGUUCAUAUCUGAAAUUACUACCUCUCUUGCCUCAAAAGAUAAGUCGGAUGUGCUUAAGAUACACACAAUCCUGCCAUGGAUUUGUGCGUCUUUGAUGAGGAAAUUUACUUCUUUAAUAGACUAACCCUCAUCUUUUGUUAGCUCUGUUUAUAAUGAGAUCACAUCAACAUGCAAAUCAAAGUGAAGACUGCUAGAGGCAUUGAAAUGGUCAAAAGCUACUAUUUAAGUCAUCUCUAGUGACUUGGAUCAUAUAUGGAUUAGCUAAAAUUUAAAAAGUAGGUUGUUAUGAAUUUAAAGUAAAAAAAUUAAUUUAAUAUAUAUUUUUAAUGAGUUUGAACAAUAUCGGGAUGAGGGCCAGCAUGUGAUAGUGAUUCCACCCAAUUCAAUCGGUCUAACCAUUCAUAACCAAUUAGUUUAAAUGAGAAGAUUGUAGUAAGAAAAAUUAGCAAUAUAUAUGUGCUGAUGAUUUUGAAAAAGUCGAGAGAAUGUCACAUGCAAUAUUUCGUAUGCUUUAUGAGUAAUAAUCAAAUGUAUUUUAUUAUUUGUCCGAUCAAUUAUAAUAGACCGGAGAAUAAAGGUUGUGCUUACCUCGAGGAGCUCACUGUGAUGGGUUUCAAUGUUUGAGAAGAAGUCGCCUCGAAGCAGAGGGAGUUGUUUCUGGGUCCCGAAAGGUAGUGCAAUCCCGAGGAUCAACUUCACGCCUUGACCUGGACCGGCUUGGUUUGGAAGUACGCCGAUGUAAAUUUGCAGAUCAUCUCAGGUCAGAACAACCCUCGUGUUCCGAGCGAAGACCGCACCACCAAACCCAGGAACCCUAAUCACGUCGACGGAGUCCACGAUCACAAAUUAUAGCAAGCGGAACACUAAAAAGUUGGAAACUUGACACGAUUCGAGUUGAUUUUACCUGUUAAUCGGUGCCCGCCGAAAACCCAGUCCCUCAAGAAAACUAUCGAUGGGGUCCUUUGAACCGGUGGCUCGGAAGGAGCGAUUGCAGGUGCUCUUCGCGACGGCCUCAGGCGUACUGCUCGAUGGAUUCGCGAGAAAGAAGAUCCCUUGCUUCCCCCGCCGAUUCAAGCUGAAGCUCUCGCUCUCGUCGUGGAGGCUUUGACGUGCUUCGGAGCUAUAAGUAGAGAGAGCCUGGUACUCGGACAACGCGGUCCUGGUUGUCUCUCUCUGCUGGAACAUGAUCGCGUGCCGUGGUUACGUGGAGGCACUUUCGUCUUGGACGCCGGAGCAUGAUCCCGUGUAGGUGGGGACACUUUUCUUGGACGCCGGAGCCCAGGGGGCUAAUUUUCUAAAGUAUAUCCGUGGCCCGUAACCCUAAAUGUUGUUGGGAACGUGAGGUAGAAAUAAAUAAAUGGACGUUAACUUUUGUUGUAUUCAUUCCAUGUUAACUUCAAAUACUAACUUUGUUAAAAAAAAAAAAAACUCCACAUAAUAACGAUUUCGUAUGAAUCCAAUACAUUUUAAAAUGAUACGAUAUUACCUAGUUAUUCUCUUAAACCUAAUAAAUUUUAAAUAAUUGAUCGAUAUAUAGAAUUACAAGUUGCUAGAUGACACUGAAGAAGAGAUGGAUGCUCCCUCGAUGCUAUCUUAUGCGGCGCUUUUGUUCUUCUUCUUGAUUGAAUACAAGCAUAGAGAGAACAAUCGGUGCAACAAGCACCCGCAAAGGAAUAAUAUAAAAUGAAAUAGGGCAUCCCGUUUUUUCCCUUUCGCCGGCUUUGCCCUUUCUCCAUAGAAGUAUUGGAAAAAUAUUUAAAAACGUGAAAAAUAUGAAAAAUAAGAAUUAUUGGAAAACUAUUAAAAAUGACGAGAAUAAUAAGAUCAAUUGUUUGAGACUUGCAAACACUAUACUUAAGGAUAAUUAUGUCUUUUGGAGUACAAAAUUCGAUGCGAUAAUCCCUAACAUCUAUCCUCUCAAGAUACAAUAAACAUUCUUCUUUAUUCCACACUGAAUAAUAGUAGGAACAUGAACAAAGUUAUGUGUAUAACCUGAUAAAAAAAGGAAAGAUAUGUGAAUUCUGUUAAUUCGGUGUAUCUUAAAGGAUUGUGAUUUGGAAUUUAAUCUUUUAUUCAAACAAAAGAGAGGGCCAUCAAGAAACCAUUAUAAAUUAAUUAAGAAUUAAUAAAAUGAUGACCAUUAUAAAGCCGUUACAAGAACAUUAUAGAUUAAUGUUACACAAAAACCAUUACAAAUUGGUGACGGUAAAAAACUGCUACAAAAAAACUGCUUUUCAUAACUCCUAUCAAAGCCAUUACUAUCAAAUAUUUUGAAAAACUAUCAGGUAGUAAAGUAAUGUUGGAAACAAUAUUUUUUAUAAAAAUUUUAUAAUCAUUUCAUUGCAAUAUUUAAAUUAAUAUAUACAAGAAAAAUGUAAAUUAAGAAAUAGUGUUACUUUGUUGAUAUUUUCUUUUACUGAUGCAAAGCAACACAUAAAAGAAACUCAGGGAAAAGUAUUAGAAAAGCCAACAUAUUGUAUUGGUACAAUUUAGUCCAAAUUUUUUUAAUGGUGCCAAUUUAAUCCUAAACCUUAUGGCCUAGUGUCAAUUUAGUCAUUCAAGCUACUUUUAGCCGAAUAUUGCUAACCGUCAGCAAGCCUACACGGCAUGAUAGGUCCUAACGUGGAUCAUUUUUAACAAUUUUGAAUUUUUUCUUUCUUUUUUAUCUCUUUUUUCCUUCCUCUUUCUAGUGGCUGGCACGGUCAUGGCUAGCGAGGGUUGGUCUCACAUGAGUGAGGGUGAACCUUGUCGACCUUGCUAGGGUGAGGGCAAGUGCCGAUGAGGCUGCCCUUGCAAGAUCUAGCGAGGCCAAGUGUUGCCUAGGCGAGGCUGGCCUCAUUGAUGCUUGCCAACCAUUGAAAAGAGGAGGAAGAUAAAAGAGAGAAAGUAAAGAAAGAAUUCGAAAAUUAUUAAAAUAUCAUUAAAAAUUAUCUGUGUCAUCACUAGCCGUAUCAUGUAGGAUAUCUGUCCAAAAAAUAGUUAGAAUGACUGAAUUAGCAAUAGGUCAAAACGUUUAAUACUAAAUUAGCACAAUUAAGAGAUUUAUGAUUAAAUUGACAUCAAUGUAAUAGAGUUAGGACUUUUCUAACACUUUUACCAAGAAACUUGAGAUUCAUCUUGUAGAUCUACCUGACCAAAUUUCCAUUGCAAUCUCUACACUUGAAAUUCAUCCAUUUUACUCAUAGUCUUCACAUUGAAUCAUAGUCAAUUCUUUUUACAUAUGAUUGAAACAUAUAUAUAUAUAUAUAGCAAAAACUGUCCACAUUAACACCUGUUGUGCCACAUAGGAUAGUUGGUGUAUGUCAUUAGUUAUCGGACAAAAUUGACAGGAAUGACUACAUUGGCAAAUCAUUAAAAGGUUUAUGAAUUAAUUGUCAAAAUUAAAAGAUUUAAGAUUGAAUUAGCACAUGUACUAUAGGUUUAAGAAUUUUUUGGUAAUUUUUCCGUUGAAAUAAGAAAACAUGGUAUUUGUCUGAUGCGAUAUUGCUUGUUAAUUGGAUUUGGUUGUUGAAUGUGGAAACAAAGAAAUAAUCUUCAUCCUUAAUCACUAAAAAACAAUAAAUAAAUAAAUAAAUAUAUAAAGAAGAAGAAGAUUUGAAUAGAAGGCACAGGGUUUAAAAAUUUUGUUCAAGAAGUUUUGGUCCAUUAUUAGAAGAUAUGUCAAAAAAUAGAACAAGAUUCGAAGAUAAUCGAGUGAAGAGUUAUUUAAAUCAGAUAGAUUAUUCUUUUAAUGAAUUCUAAAGGACCAUAAAUGGGACUUAUGUUUUUCGCUUGCCGAUCAUAAUCAAAUUUUGUCGCACUUUUAUUUUAUAUCAAUCUAGGUCGAGGAUAAUUAAUAAGUCUGACUCAGCCAAAAAAGAUAAAUAUGAGUCUACCCACUACUGACUAAUUAUUUGUCGUGGUAUUUUAGUAUGUGUGAGUCUUGGUCUUUGUUUUUAUUUUUAUUUUUGGCUAGAACGAGUCUUGGUCUUUGUUACAUCUUCCAGCUAUGUAAGAUGGAUGGAAUCCUAGUGAAAUUCUUCCUAAGAUUAAGAAUCAAUAAUUGCCUCUAAAAAUUGGUUGUCGGUAAUGAUAGAGAAAUAUACUAUUAUUGAAUUAAUUAUGAUCUGCCCCACUAGUGACUAAUUAUUUGUCUUGGUCUUUUAUUAUGGGCGAGUCAUGGUCUUCGUUUUUUAUUUUAUUUUAUUUUAUUUUAUUUUAUUUUAGGCUUGAAUGAGUCUUGGUCUUUGUUACAUCUUCCAGCUAGGUAACAUGGAUGGAAUUUUACAUGGUGACGUUCUUCCUAAGAUCAAAAAUCAAUGAUUGCCUUUAACAAUUGGUUGUCGGUAAUGAUAGAGAAAUAUACUAUUAUUAAAUUAAUUAGAGUUUGCCCCACUAGUGACUAAUUAUUUGUCUUGGUCUUUCAUUAUGGGUGAGUCUUGGUCUUUGUUACAUCUUCCAAUUAGGUAACAUGGAUAGGAUCUUCGAUAGUGGCAUUCUUCCUAAGAGUAAAAAUCAAUAAUUGCCCUUAAAAAUUGGUUGUGGAUAAUAAUAGAGAAAUAGACUAUUAUAAAAUUAAUUAAUGCAUGGUAAAAGCACAACAACUAUAAUAGAGAAUUUGGUAACUAUAAUAGAGAAUUUGGUAGUCUUCCUACCUAAUUCUAUUUUUAAAAUUGAAAUAAUAUUAUAGUUGUGGGUAAUGAUGUGGGUAAUGAUAGAGAAAUAGACUAUUAUUAAACUAAUUAAUGCAUGGUAAAAGCACAACAACUAUGAUAUCAUUUCAAUUUUAAAAAUAGAAUUAGGUAGGAAGACUACUUUUGUUUAUGGAUGCACUUACGCAAUACAAUCAUUACAUUAUUAUUGUUAUUAGUUGUAAUCUCGCUGAGCCAAUUCAAUGUUUCCUGGCGUUUCAUGUGUAUCUUUGUGAAUACAGCCAACACUCGAAAGAUCAUGGAAACUUCUCACAAUUAUGACAAAAGGGCAAACGAGACAAUAAUUGAAUGUUUGGAUCUUCGAAAUGUUGUAUUGUUUGAUAAACGUUACUUUCAACUUGGUUGCAAGAAGAAAACAAUAAGCAGAUGCUAAUCCCUAAAUUUGUUAAAUGAUUCUUGUCCAACUUCUUGUAAGUUAUAAACUUCAUUGAAUGUAUGAGUAUAUUUCAAACUAGUUAUGAAAUGCAUAACAUAGCAUUUUUCAUAGUCCAACCACAUAUUUCCUCAACCCACGCACUUUGAGAAUCAAGGGAAAAAUUAAACCAUUUCAUGGCAUCUUAUUUAAUAAAAUUGGAUCAAGCAUUGAAUGGACUCAAGUUAGAUUGUUAUUCUGAACAUGCAUAGAAAAUAUAUACAUGGGUGAAAUAUUUCUAGCAUAUCUCGGCUUGUCGGACUAUGAACUAUGGAAAUUGGAUUAGUGCUCACGGUUGAUCUGCGUCUUGAGAUAUGAUGUACGAUCAUAGGCUGGUUUGAUUUUGGGCUUAAUCACAACCGACGUGAUUUCCAAGCUUAAUUACAACUAAUGUAGUUUUGAGCCUUCUCACUUGGCGAAGCGUGACUAGGACUGAGCACCAAGGCAAGCUUGGGCCGACACAACCUAAGCACAGUGGGUGUUGCAAUGGGGCGUGUGACAUCCACAUUUUUGGGUUCUAAUUUCGACUAGAUAUGUAGGGCCGCUUUUGUUCAGUUGAAGCCAGGGAUUGUGAAUUCGGGAUACAAGUGGGCUAUACUGAUAAGAAAAAGUACCAUUUUGAUUGGUGAAAUAUUGAAUGAAAUUAUAGGGGUCAAAUUGAUUUGAUUCAAGUGGGAUUAAGGUUCAAUUUGGAAAGAAACCCUAGCAAAAUUCGUAUGCCACACUUACCCCCACAUUUUGGCCCAUCUAAAGCUUCUAGAAGGGGCAUUUUUGGCAAGAAAAAGGGAGUGGAAGACAACUGGAUUGGUGGGGCCAGAGAGAGAGAGAGAGAGAGAGAGAGAAGAGGAGAAAACCGAUUUCCCCUCUCUCCUCCGUCGGGCAUCUCCACCUUCUUCCCCUUUCUUUGGGGUUUCUUCUUCAGCAACAAUUGCAAAAGCCAAAGAAGCAGCAGCAGCUUCGCCCAUCGCUGCCUCUCGCCGUCGUCGUCGCACGCCCGCAAGUACCGGAGCUGCUCGUGCACCCGAGCUGCCGUCGUGCUGCCGUCCGCGCAUCUCCGCCCCUUCUCCCGUCGCUGUCUCUCUCUUCCCCCAUCUUGUUCUUCUGUUGUGCAACGCCAUGGAAGCCGAAGACCAAAGGAAGCAGCAACCAUCGUCGCUCGAACUAGGGUUGCCAUCGCCGUCGUGCCGGAGUCACCGCUGCUACUCAACAGCUACCCGCGUGCCCUCCGCCUCUCCCCCUACUGUUCGGCCGUCUCUUUUCCUUCUUCGGUGUGUCUUGAAGACUUCGAAUCCCAGCAGAUCUGGGACGGAUGCCGGAGCAGCAGCCGACGUCGCCGGGAGCCGUCACACACCGCCUCACUGCCGUUCGUCUCCCUCUCACUCGCUCGAACGCCGUUCGCCUCGUCCAGUCAUGCUACCGCCUCUGUCCAGCCUCUGUUUCACCUCUGGUCGGUCUCAUUCGGCCACCUCAGGCUGCCACCUGACCUCCUCCGGCCACCGUGAAGACUCGCCUUGGUCUUGUUCAGCUCCUCCGCCCAUUUCGGACCCAACCCAGCUCCGGAUCCGUCCUCCAUCGCCCCCAACCAGCAACGCACAGAGAGUGUAGAAAUGGGUAUCGCAGAGGGUUUUGGCCCGUUUUGGCCGCCUUCCCAAGCUCGGAUGCUCGGCCCGCUUUGAGGAAAGUUGAUCCUCGCGUCGAGCCCGUCGUUUUGAGUGAGUUUUACUCACUAAUGCCUUCUUAGUUUGCUAAUUAUACUUAAAGGUUGAUUUGUGUGAAUUAUGUGUAAUUAGGUGGUUAGAUUAGAAUUGAUUAGUGAUUAUUAGUUAAUUACUUUGCAUAUUAGUUGUGUGAUUAGUGUAAUUAGACAGAGAAUUGCCUAUAGUAUUUAUUGGAUGCUUCUUGAGAUUUUUCCCGUCCCUUAUCGGGUGUUAAUUAAACAAAUCGAGCAUAGGUGGAAUUUUUAGGAAUUAAAUAUUAAUUUUCGAAAUUAAUUAUUUAAUUAUUUAUUUCCCGGAAAUUCAACUAGGAUGGCUAGUGACCGAGAUUUUAUGCUGAUGAUCGUGGCGUAGUCCCUUUAUUUAAUUGGGUUUUAUAUUGUGCUAAAUUGAAUUUGUUGUAUUUAUUUAUCAAAAUUAAUUAUUUAAUUAUUUAUUUUUUGGAAAUUCAACCGGGAUGACUGGUAACCGGAAUUUCAUGCUGAUUGUCGUGGUAUAGUUCGUUUAUUUAUUCGAGCUUUAAUUUGUGAGAAAUUAAUUUAUUAGUGAUUUAAGGAUUUAUUCCUAAAUUGAAUAAUCUUUGGUUAUUAAUUGAAGAAUAACCGGGAAUCGAUUAAUAAUGCCAAAAAUAUUUGAGUGGACUACAAAAAAUGUGAGAGUUAUGGAAAGGAAAAUAUUAUAUUUGGCUAAGGCCGACCGUGUCCCCACACACGGCUAUUUUAUCGAGAAUGAUAAAAGAUGGAAUGGAUUGAAUGGUCGGAUAGUAUACUAUAUCAUCCUACAGGCUCUGAUAUGUCAGCUUAGCGAGAGCAGUAUACUGGUGUACUAUAUCAGCCUACGGGCGAUAUGUCAGCUUAGCGCGAGCAGUACACUUUAUCAGCUCAGUGUGAACAUCGGGGGUAUACUAUAUCAGCCUGCAGGCGAUAUGUCAGCUUAGCGAGAGCAGUAUACCGGUAUACUAUAUCAGCCUACGAGCGAUAUGUCAGCUUAACGAGAGCAGUAUACCUUAACCCUAUCAGCUUAGUGCGAGCUAUACUAUCUAUAUAUCAGCUUAGAGUGAGUAGUCUUGGACUAUGGUCGGACUUAUAGAUAGUAUUGAAUGUGCCGAGCAAGCAUGGGUCGUGAAGACAUGUAAUCGACUAGGUCGAUUGAUAAUUGCUUGAUCUAAUGUUGUGAAUGGACCGAUUGAUUGGAAAUGACCAUGAGAUGGUCUGAUUGACUUGUAAUCGACUAGGUUGAUUGAUCGAUUAUUCGAUCUGAGUGUGACUUGAUGUGAUUCAUUGCCUUGAAUUGAUGUUAUGAAUUGAUUGAUUGGAUGGAAUGAUCGGUGAAUGGUUGAUUGAGAUGUAAUCGACUAGGUCGAUUGAUCAUUGCCUUGAAUUGAUGUUGUAAAUUAGUUGGAAUAAUGGAAAUGAUCGUGAGUGGUCUUGUUGACGUGUAAUCGACUAUGUCGAUUAGAUCAAUGCUUCGAUCUAUGAAAUGAUUACUUGGGUGCCUAUUGAAUUGUGCUAAUAUGCAGGAGGAAUCUGAGGCCAAGGUAAGUCCUCUGACUCAUGUUGUGCAUAAGCAGCCCUAAGGUAUAUUAGUUUACUAAUCGGGUCUUAGGAGGUAGAACUUGCUGAGACGUUGUCUCAGUGGUUAUUGAAUAACCAUUUCAGGACCCGGAUUGAGGAGCUUAGGGAGGAACCUUGAGGAGAAAGAACUCGAAGAGGAGUAUCUGAAGGAGAACCUCAAGGAUGAUCUAGAGUAGGAUCGUGAUGUCUGUUGUUGUAGAAUCUAAUUGAGUAGAAACCAACAUUUUUAGUAUGGUUUGUGUAUGUACAUGAAUGACUGAGUCAUUACAAUGUACAUAAGGGUGUUGACUUUCAGAUUAAAUUUUCUAGUCCUAAUCUAUCCCAUUAUUUUAUUGUCUGGGGAUUUAUAACUGCUUCCGCAUGUGCAUAUAAAAAUGAAAGGGUCAGCAAUACAUAGUCCUGGGAUAUCGCACAUUUGAAAUCGACCAAAGGAAAGGGAUGUGUGCAUGCCCGAGGAUCGGGGCGUGACAGGGCGAGCGAUCGAACAAAAUAUAGACGGAAGAAGAAAAACAAAUUGAACACCAGAUUUACGUGGUUCAGUCAUAAAGACCUACGUCCACGGGGAGAGCAGCAGCGAAUUUCACUAUCGAUCAAGCGAUACAAGGAGAUUACACACUCAAGUCACUCAAACACUCUCUCGGUGUUUCCCAAACCCCAAUUACACCAAAUACACUAAUUUUUUGGAUGUAAAUCACGAAUAAGCUUCGCAGCACGAACAACACGAAGACCCAAAGCCAAGCACCCAGUACCUACGGACGUCUCUCACAAAUAGAGAAAACCAUGGCACUCAAAAUAAGAACGGUGCUUUGAUCAACGACCAAUCCUUUGGUGGCAUGCGGCUUCUCCUUUUAUACGUAGGUCUUUGGCCGCUUCGUAGGGUUUCUUUUUCACCGACUUCGUACAAGCGCACACCAAAGAAAAGGAAAUUCGUGUGCCCAAGGUCAAAUGGUUGACCUAGGCCCACCAAUUCCUUAAUUCGGCUCACUUCACAUGCAGAGGCUUCUCCCUUAGGCAGCAUCUUCCUAAAAGGAAAAGAAGACUUUCAAUUAUUUCUAUACGUGUGCCCUGACUUGGGCCCACCACGUUUUAUUUGUCUUCUUCACGCGGGUGGACUUCAUCGUUCGGAUUCCGCAAGCAAUUGAAGAAAACUUUGCUUCAAUUUAUUUUAUAUUUCAAAACUCAAUAAUUCGCUUCGAGCUUAAACUUGAGACAUAUUUUAACAAUCUCCACCUUGGCUCGAUGUUUGAGCCAAAUUACAAUCGCUUUGUAAAAAUUCAAACUCUGCUGCUACUUUCCCAUAGCCCCUCGAUGGGCUCAACCGCCACGGAUAUUAUCCAAGUUCAAGUCUCGCUUGAACUUCACCAUAACCGAGGACCUCAUCAGAAUACCAACUCCACAUGCACCUUUAACUACUCCACAAGGAUUUUCCGACGCAACCUCAUCAACCGCAGAUAAAGUAAAACCAUUUUUAUAUUCAUAUCUGUCAGGAGAUCGAAUACAUACCUUGUCAAUAUAGCAGUUACAGCAACCGUUGGCUCUAUAAGCUCCACCUCGCUAUGAGCACCAUCUGUGUCGAUUACUUUGCUAGUACUUGUACUCUCUACCUUAGGAGUUUCUGGUCGCAACUCCACCUCAAACUGAACACCGUCCAGAUCCGUAUUAAUACUGCCAUAGACACUCCUAGCCAGAAGUAUCGAAGACUUGUCAAUGGUAACUUCUCUGAUGUCAACAGGUGAAUUUAUAUAUGGGCACCACAACAGAUCACCCUACUCACCUUGUGCAUAGUCAUGGAAUAUGCACCUUGCCCUCCAAUCAAGUUUACCGUCACUUACUCGAAAAUAACACGGGCAACUAAACAUUCUAAGAAUAGAAUAAUCAGCAACAUUACCUGACAAUACUUCUUCAAGAGUCUGCCAUUCAAUAGCAGUUGAUGGGGAUCUAUUCACCAGGUAGCUUACCGUACUUAACACAUCAACCAAGAAUUUCCUAGCCAUACCAGCACUAGAGAUAAUUUUUCGGGCCAUCUCUAGUAAUGUUCUACUCGUCAAUUUUGCAAAUUGUUGUGAUUUAUUGGCAUUACUGUGGUGUUUCACUAUGCCCUCUUUCAUGCAGAAUUUAUUUGCCAGCUCUAAGCAAAACUCCAUGCUAUUAUCAGUCUGCACAUGCUUGAUCGACUUACCAGUCUCCAUCUCGAUCGAAGCUCUUGACUGCGGGAUCCUGACACCAGCAUUAAACUUGUGCCUUGGCACAAACACCCAGGUCUUCCUCAAGCAGUCAAAAGACUCUCGAACAAAUGCAUCGGACGUCUCUAGGGCGAAACUUGUCAUUAUCUCACCUUGAAGUUUAUACAAGCCAUCAAGCUUGAUUCCUUUCAUUAUCACCAGGGCACCUCGUACAACCUUCAGAACUCCACAUUUUGAAGAAAACCUGCAACCAGCUAAAUCUAGGGCACCCAAGGAAAUUAAGUUCUUUUUCAAUUUCGGAACAUGCCUCACUCCAGUCAAUGUCCUCAUCAUACCAUCAUGCAUUCUGAUUUUAACAUCACCGACACUCACAACAUCGCACUCAGCGUUAUUCUCUAAUUGGACUUUAUCACUACCCGUACAUUGAUAAGUGAUAAACCAAUUUUUAUUUGGUGUGACAUGAAAAGAACAACCAGAAUCCAUAAUCCAUCCAUCAAACGAUGAAUAAUCAAUGACAGACAAGACAUAAUCAGUAUUAUCUGCUACAUCUACAACAUUAUCUGCAGAAUCAAUAAUAAUUCUCUUACUCUUCUCAUUCUUCAGCUUAAGGCAAUCCCUUUUAAGAUGCCCCCUCUUACCACAGCUCCAACAAACAACAUUAGCAGUCCUAGAUUGACUACGUCUGUUCAUAUUAGUACUAUUAUUACCCACACGUGUUACAGAUCUUCCUUUAUUUUCACCUACUAGAGCAGUAGAUACAGAUUUGCCAGAUUCUCUUCUACGAGUAUCCUCGCUCAGAAUCAAAUCUCGAACCCCAUCAAACGUCAAACUUGUUGACCCAGAGGAAUUACUAACAACAGUAAUGGUAGUAUUCCAACUAUUAGGCAAUGAGGAUAAUAGAAUCAAAGCACGUACCUCAUCUUCAAAAUCAAUUUCAACUGAACUCAAUUGACUAACAAUAGCAUUGAAUUCAUUGAUAUGAUUUGCAACUGACGCACCUUCUUUCACCUUCAAGUUAAACAGACGUCGCAUCAAACAAACCUUGUUGAUCGCAAAGGGCUUCUCACACAUAUUCGAUAGGGCUUGCAUCAAAUCAGCAGUGCCCUUCUCCUUUAGAAUGUUAAAUGCGAUGUUACGAGCCAACGUCAGCCGAAUAACACCCAUAGCUCGUCUAUCUAGCAAAUCCCAAUCAGCUUGCUUCAUCAUCUCUGGUUUCUCUCCAAAUAAAGGCAAGUGCAGAUUCAUCUGGUAAAGAUAAUCUUCAAUCUGCAUCUUCCAGAAACUAAAAUCCUUCCCAUCAAAUCUGUUGAUUUUCACUUUUACUUCUUCUGUCGCCAUCGAUUAGCUUCAAUUUAGCCAAACCUGGCUCUGAUACCACUUGUUGUGAUAGGGCGAGCGAUCGAACAAAAUAUAGACGGAAGAAGAAAAAUAAAUCGGACACCAGAUUUACGUGGUUCAGUCGUAAGACCUAUGUCCACGGGAAGAGCAGCAGUGAAUUUCACUAUAGAUCAAACGAUACAAGGAGAUUAUACACUUAAGUCACUCAAACACUCUCUCGGUGUUUCCCAAACCCCAAUUACACCCAAUACACCAAUUUUUCUUGGAUGUAAAUCACGAAUAAGCUUCGCAGCACGAACAAUACGAAGACCCAAAGCCAAGCACCCUGCACCUAUGGACGUCUCUCACAAACAGAGAAAACCAUGACACUCAAAAUAAGAAUGGCACUUUGAUCAACUACCAAUCCUUCGGCGGCAUGUGGCUUCUCCUUUUAUACGUAGGUCUUUUGCCGCUUCGUAGGGUUUCUUUUUCACCGACUUCGUACAAGCGCACACCAAAGAAAAGGAAAUUCAUGUGCCCAAGGUGCAAAUGGUUGACCUAGGCCCACCAAUUCCUUAAUUCGGCUCACUUCACGUGCAGAGGCUUCUCCCAUGGAGAAAAUAUUGGGUACGUCUUAUGCUCCAGCGUGUCAAACAAGAAGGCACUCGGAGGACGACACGUGUCCUCGUGUCAGGCGCCAUUUUGAAAAAAUUUCGGACGGGAGACUGAAGGUUUUUCUUUCUUCGCGCCUCUCUCACCUCGCAGAUCGUCUUUCUCCCCAUUCUCCUCUCUCUCCUCUCUGUCUCUCUCCCCUCCGCCUCCGCUGGUUCCUUCCAUCGCUCCCCACGCCGACGCCAAAGUCGUGCCUCUCUUCCAGCGAAACGCGACGCCGAUGGCCCUCCACCUCCGCCUCCGCCAGUUGCCUCUGUCGCCCUCGACUCCGACGCCGACGCAGCCUCCGCCUCCUCCCCUGAACCCUACUCUGACACCGACGCCCCUCCGCCGGUUGCCUCAGUCGGCGUCGGAGUCCGUCGCCCCCGACUUCUCCGCCUCCGCCUACGCGCCCGACGCCAACGCGUCGAACCACGACGGCGAAAAUGGAGGAGAGAGAAACGACGAGCUCGACGGCGCCGGCGACGGUGACGAAGUAGUAGACGGAGACGAAGAAGCAGAAGUGCGCGCGCUCGGGGUUCUGGACAUGACUCGUCGCGUUGGUCGCGUUCCGGCUCGCCCUCGUCUACCUCCCCGGGAACCUCCGCCUGUCCACCCGCCCCCGAGGUCACCACCCCUCUCACCAGCAUUCGCCGCCGUAACGCCGCCUCUCUUCGCUCCGUCAAUCGAUUCCCGAUCCCCGCUCCCCCGCCCUCUCCUCCCUUGAAAUCUUGGAGGUUCAUUUUCUGAUACGAUUUCUGGUUUUUCUUGUUUGUGCCGCCUGCAGUUGGCAAAGGCUGGUUGAAGCAGUAAGCGAUGUCUCCGCAGGUUCGGCUCCGUUCGAUCUCUGUAGAAGGGAAGCUGCUUGUUUGCUUACUGGUGUGUUGCUGUUCCAUGCUUUGAUCCCUCCCAUCUUCAAUUUUCUUCCCCCCUCCCUCGAAAUCUCGUUUUUUCAGCAUUUUCACUUUGGAAAAAUCUGGGUGAGGAAGUAGAUUUUUUGGGAGAUGAUUGAUUAGUUUGGCAUGUUUUCCGGGUUUUGAAAUUUUUUUGACUGAGGUGAGCCUGUUUGGGAGAAGAUUAUCAUGCGUAAUGGGGUCUGGUGGUGUGAUUAUUUUGAAUGGAGGAAGCACUUGAGUUAUGGUUUUUUGACUGCUUCAACCUUUUUUCCUCCGAGAAAUUAGGAUGAUCUGGUCUAUUCUGAAUCUGGGUCGCCAUUCACGGCAAGCCUGAAUGGUGAAACGAACUCCUCUACCUAUUUAUGUGAUAGGACUGAGGAUCAUAUCUGAUUAUAGCUUUCUAAAAAAGGAAACUUUAUACUUGCAUGCUAUCCAGUUUCUCUAAGGGAUUAAAGCAACCUGCCAUGUAUGUGAAUCGUUGAAGCAGUGAAUGGACCCUGGAGAUUAUUUGAUCGAAUGAUCAUUAUUGUUUUUCUUAAUUAUAGAGAGAGGUACUCAUAUUGCUUUUUCUUGGAAUCAGAAUUGCUACUGCUUUAAGGGCAUCUUAACUUCUUUCAGAUCCAGGUAAUGGUGCUGUUGGUUUCAUCGUUGAUUGUGAACAUUCUUAUCGUCGCACUGUGCAGCUUAUUCAAUAUAGCUAUUUCUUCAUUUGUCUAAUUCAAGAAAGAGCUCCUCUGUAUUCUAGAUGAUGUUUUAACAUAUACACCGUGUGGUCUAAGAAAAUAAGAAGUUCUGCUUAUAAUUGUUAUCUUGGCAAGUUUCAUUGUGCACCUUAUUUAGUCCAUAGUCCCAUAUUUAUGUUUCAUGUGGAGACUGAAGUGAGGUGGAGAUUUUGUGCAUUCAACAAUCUGUUUCUUGUUCCAACAGGAAAGGGGUCAGCCAUUGCCAAAGUUUGGUGAAUGGGAUGUGAAUGAACCAGCUUCAGCGGAGGGGUUUACUGUCAUCUUUAACAAGGGAAGGUAUGAAAAAAAGACGGGUGGCAAGCCCAAAUCUCCGGCAAAGGCCAACCCUUAAGUCAAACACUCUGUUGAUCCGAGUAAACCUCCAACGGUAAGUUGUUUCUUAGGAGCCUGGGAACAAACUGUUUUAUUUAUGUAGGAUGCAUUAAUUAUUGCAGUCAUUUGUUCUACGAUAAUCUAUUAAGGUUCCAGUUAUGUAGUAGUUAACCUGUCUAAUAAUUAAAUUUAAACUUUCUUAUUUGCUAUGCUAGUCUUGAUGAAAAUGUAGAAAUGGAAAAUAGAACUCUCAAACUUGCAGAUAGGGUAAAAGAAAUUGAUUUGACAGUGUCAUAAAAACUAAGCAGGUUGGGCACUACUUGCUCGUUAGUAUUUGAAUCAUUCAAAAUGACCAUCCGAAAGAUGCUAUUAUCCUUUAUAGUGCGAGCAGGAAUUGAAUUUGAGUUGGACGCAAUUGUCUGUGAACAAGUCAGCUGCUGUAGAUUUUAUUUAUUUAUAUAUUUUGUUUUCAUUCUCCCAACCUUUGCUGCUUCGCUCUCUUACCGUGAAUUCUUUGUUGCACGCAGAAGAAAUGGUUUUGCUGCAUUCAGAGCCCAGCAGAAUCUUGACUAGGUUCUCUGGCGAGGAGCUUCCAAAAGAGACGCGUGUUGUUAGGCUAAAGCAGCCCCAGAAUGUUCACUUGAAGAAGAUACAAACAGUUUAGAGCCAUUGUUAUUGUUGCAGGAAUAGCUCGUGGUGUAAAUGUGGGGUUUGUGGAGAUGAGUAAAAUAAUGACGCGUCAUGCUUACUAUAAUCUAUCAGCAGUAUGGUUCUCUCUGUCUCUGCCUAUGUCUCUCUCUCUCUCUCUUCCUCUGCUUAGUUCUAUUGUUAAUUUAUUAAUUGUCUGCUUUCUUUAGUUGUGAAUUGGAUCUGUCUGAAAUGUCUACGCCUACUUUCAAUCUGGUUUAAUUUAUUGUUAUCCAUCGUUGUUGAAGACAUUAUAGAUACGAGUUUGUGACCCUUUCCUCUGUCAUCAAUCAUGCUAACGGAUGUUUCUGGUUGGGGGAACAGCGUGAGUCAUAGCCAUAUGCGUUUGUCAUUUCUCUUUUAUAGGAAUUAAGGUGUCAACUUCCGUAGACAUGGGAAAGGUCAUCUCCACGAAUCUUCUGCGUAGGGAUUGUUCAAAUGGCAAUUUCGAAUAUUGGUAAUCCUGAUCUCAUAAGGAGAAAGGCACAAUCUUUGCCCUUCUUCUUUGUUUUAGGAAAGGUUAGUCUUAUAUCAACAAUGGAAGUAACAAAAAUAUCUCUGAUGUCAUGCGUUCCUCAAAGAACAUGAGUUUGCAAAAUUUCGUGCAUGUGAAACGACGAUUGCGGUCAUGAACCAGCUUUAUCUAUGGCCUCUUUUUCCAUAGAUCAUUGAUGUAGUUGAUUAACUCCACACAUUCAUCCAUCAUUGAUGUAGUCCAUAAAAUUCCACAAAUUGGUAAGAUCAAUCGACGUUCCGCUUUUUCCUCUUCCUUUUUCCCACGACUGAUGUGAAUGACAUGGCUCUAAUAUCCCCCCUACUAAUGGUGCGGAAGCUACUUCUGUUAACACAAUCACCGCCAAAGACCUCAAGAAUGAGACCAAGGUUCCAAUUCCAGUAAAUGCAAUUCCAAAACUGUGGAGCUAUGGCUGUCCUACUUACCAAACAACAAAAUAAAACAAAGCUCUCUUCCUCACAUCUUUUCCUUCUCUUUGCUUCAAUUUGAUUUGAGCUUCACUCUAGUUAGGAAGAAGUUGUAAUUGCCAUGAACUUAACGAUGGAACCUAGUAGAAUGCCCAAUUUUUCUUCAUGGCCUGACGCAUUCUGUUUUUUCACCUCAAGGUCAUCUAUCAUAUGACCUUUUCACAAAGUAAACAGUUUCCUUGUCUACACAUGUUUCUAUGGAUAUUUAAAGAAAGAACCGAAGACUGGCGUUGGUAACAAAAAUCUCCAAUUACUUUAGCGUCAUCUAACAGUAUCAAUGUUAAACUCGAGAGAAACCAAGCUUCCUCUCAAAAAGGCGGCGGAGCAGGUAAACUUGGAGAACACUCGCCCCAAUAAGUGCUGCUGACUCGAAGAAAGCCUUAUGGACUGCCCUUCUGCUCAUUGCGUCGUUCACUGCGAUCACAAAUCAUCAUAGAAUGAGUAUUCAUUGAACCCAAUAUCUAUGUAUCGUCUGUUAGUGAACACAAUAUUUAAUUAGCAAGGUCAUCCCCAUUCCAUUUCGUGUGGCGAUCAGACACACUUCAAAACAUCUAGCAGAUAACACAAGUAAACAAAACCCAUGACCAUUUGAAACCCAGUACACCAAGCACGCAUCUUCUUUUUUGUUGCCUGCUUUGCUUUCUAAGUCCGCCUUUUCAGCUGCUGCCAAGUUAGGAAGGUUUUACUAUUUUCAGGAUCAAUAAACAAUAUAACCGAUUAGUUACGUCAAUCAGAUGGAUAAAAGGAGCUUGUCAAAGGCUCUAGAAAUAGCUUUUAACUUGUCUUGUGAGACAUCUACUUCUGAAGGUCUUUUAAGAACAGAGGUUGUGAGGACCUUUGAGAUUUAGGAGAUAACAGGAGUCAAAGCAAGCUAUAGUGGUCCACUCAGCAUUAAAUAGGAAAGUUAUUUCCAUCAGAGAUGAAACAGGGUUGGAAUCCACCGCGAUAAUUAGCAAGAGGACUUGACAUAAAAUAUCUUACCAAUUGCUUGACGUUCAGUCUCAGCCUCCAGCCAAUGCUGCUCAAACUGAAUGUUGUAGAAAGCCUCCUCCAGCUUCCCUAUCUGUUCCAACAAGGGGUUGAAAUGCUCUACAGAUACAUUCACAGCAGAUAAAAAAGAGACACACCCAGUAUGUUCUGUAAAGUUCGUCAGUUCAAGAGACAAGAAAACAGAAAAAAGGCAGUCCUACCGUCCUUUGCAUGCUGAUCAUAGAAUGUAAAAUGGCCAACGUGUACAUCAAAGUCGAUGGUUUCAUGAUAAUGAGACUUGUUAGUAAAGCAGAACCGAUGAACACCCUUAUGGUGAGCCACAAACUCAAAUUUCUCACUGAUCUUGUCGUGAAAAUCUUGAAUCUGUUCACCAGAAGGUCCUUUCAUCUGACAAUUUCAAAAGUUGCAAAAUACAUACAGUUAUCUAGGUCAUUAUCAUAGGAUUAAAGAUCAAUAAGAGAACUAUUGGCAGAAUCGAAGAAUGUAAUAAUCAAUAUAUGAUAUCAAUCUUAAUCAUGUCCCGACAAACAUGAAAAAGGAAAACCAAAUAUGCAUAUGCGAGAUCUAGUCGAGCCAUCUAGGCUGCCAAAGGUUAACAAAAUUCAAUGAAGAAUUUCCUUUAGGAAGAUAAUCAGCAUCCUUUACAAAAAGAAAUACAUGUGAGUACAGUAAUUCCUUUAGGUUAACGAGAUUUCGUGAUACAUGGAAUCUGUGGAAGGGAUCAAAGCAUGGAACAACAACACACCAGUAAGCAAACAAGCAGCUUCCUUCCUACAGAGAUCGAAUGGAGCCAAACCUGCGUAGGGAGACAUCGCCUGCUGCUUCAACCAGUAGCCUUUGCCAACUGCAGGUGGCACAAACAAGAAAAAACAGAAAUCGUAUCAGAAAAUGAACCUCCAAAAUUUCAAGGGAGGAGGGGGCGGGGGAGCGAGGAUCGGGAAUCGAUCGACGGAGCGAAGAGAGGCGGCGUUACGGCGGCGAAUGCUAGUUAGGGGGGUGGCGACCUCGGGGCGGGUGGACAGGCGGAGGUUCCUGGGGAGGUAGACGAGGGCGAGCCGAAACGCGACCGAUGCGACGAGCCAUGUCCAGAACCCCGAGCGCGCGCGCUUCUGCUUCUUUGUCUCCGUCUACUGCUUCGUCACCAGCGCCGGCGCCGUCGAGCUCGUCGUUUCUCUCUCCUCCAUUUUCGCCGUCGUGGUUCGACGCGUUGGCGUCGGGCGCUUAGGCGGAGGCGGAGGCGGAGGAGUCGGGGGCGACGGACUCCGACGCCGACGGAGGCAACCGGCGGAGGGGCGUCGGCGUCAGAGUAGGGUUCAGGGGAGGAGGCGGAGGCUGCGUCGGCGUCGGAGUCGAGGGCGACAGAGGCAACCGGUGGAGGCGGAGGUGGAGGGCCGUCGGCAUCGCGUUUCGCUGGAAGAGAGGCACGACUUCGGCGUUGGCGUCGGCGUGGGGGGCGAUGGAAGCAACCAGCGGAGGCGGAGGGGAGAGAGACAGAGAGCAGAGAGAGGAGAACGGGGAGAGAGACGAUCUGCAGAGGCGAGAGAGGCGCGAAGAAAGAAAAACCCUCAGUCUCCCAUCCGAAAUUUUUUCAAAAUGGCGCCUGACACGAGGACACGUGUCGUUCUCCGAGCGCCUUCUUGUUUGACACGCUGGAGCAUAAGACGUACCCAAUAUUUUCUCUUCUCCCAUGGGCGGCAUCUUCCCAAAAGGAAAAGAAGACCUUCAAUUAUUUCUAUACGUGUGCCCUGACUUGGGCCCUGACUUGGGCCCACCACGUUCUAUUUGUCUUCUUCACGUGCGUGGACUUCAUUGUUUGGAUUCCGCAAGCAAUUGAAGAAAACUUUACUUCAAUUUAUUUUAUAUUUCAAAACUCAGUAAUUCUCUUCGGACUUAAACUCGAGACAUAUUUUAACAGUGGGCAUGGGCUUAGACAACAUAAAAAAUUAAUUUAACCAGAAUUAAACUAAAAACAAUCGUAAUUUUUUUCUCAAAUAAUGAAAAUAAUGAGAAAUUAUUUGAGAGAAAUUAAUAAGAAAAAACAUUCAUUCAGUUAAACCAAAUCGAACACAAGUAUAUCUUCAAAUAAAUUUGAAAAAAAAAAAAAAAGCACACUUAGUGGUGCUCUAAUAAUGAUUGCACUUGAACAAUCAUGUCAUUCACCAUGAUUCAUACAAUCCAAUGCUGUGGGUGCUCUCGUGUCCAUGUUAGGCACCGAUCCUCGGAAGUCAAUCACUGUUUUGUCCAGACGUCUUGUAUGUGCCUCAAAACUAGGCACUUGAUGAUUCAUGUAUUCCACUGGAAUUGAGUGUUUUAAUUUAUCUUUUUUGUAUUUGUGUUCUGCAUCUACCAAUUGCUUUAUAUAGAUAGCCAUUUCUGAAAGUCCUACCUUUUUUUUCCUAUUAUUUGCAAUUAAUUGUAUCAUAAGGAUGCGCGUACUUUAGCCUCUGGCUGCAAAAUGGAUUCCACCCGAGAAAGGCACUCUAAAGAUCAAUGUGGAUGGCUUGUGUGCGAAGGGAGAGAGAACAGGAAUCAUCGCCAUCCUUUAUAGAGAUGAGUCUGGAAACAUCGAGGCUACAUUUACGAAGGAAGUAUGGGCGAACUCGGCAGAGCAAGUGGAAGCCCUAGCGUGCAUGGAAGCCCUACGCUUCUUUUGUUUUACUUUUGAACUAAAGGCAAAAACCUGCUGGCCCAAUACAAGAAGCGAGCCAGGUAGCUGAUUGGAUCUCUAAGUCCAUUGGCGAAAAUCCCUUCCCACCAACUAGGCUUCUUGUUCCCAAAAAUAUUGUGAGACCUGAUUUGUUUAGAGGCCCACUUAGUUUAUAACCAUGGAGCUACUUUUUUUUUUAUAGCAAGAACCAUGGAGCUACUUGAAAUAAUGAAAGAUGUUUACUUCGACCAAAAAAAAAAUAUCUAGAUUCCUCCAUUAUCUCUGAAAUAAAAUUUGUCUAGAAACACUUAAUUGUAAAAGUUUUUGGUGAUUGAGGCUUUUCCUGAAAUUCUAAUAACAUUAGAAUGACCUGAGUAGAGCUUAAACAUGCACGUCUUGAAGGAAUUCGUUGAACUGCUUAACUUCACUCUUUCCAAACACUAUAGAUUGUGUCACACAAAGACAAAAUUGGCGUGAAUGAAGAGAAUAAAUGAGUCGAAUUUGUGCUUCUGCUCUUUGAUUUGAUGGUCUUGUUUGAGAAUCUAGUAAUCUCACUGAACCUCUCGCUUAUCUCACCAUCUUUGCAUCAAAUCAUUUUUUUCACGUUGCUCUCAUACUUGCCCAUCCACUAAUGUGAAUGACUGCCUCCACAAAUCAAUCAGAGUCUUCGGCCUUUUGUGAUAAACAAAUGCAAAAAUGGCGGAUUGCUAGAAGAGCAACGAUGCUUUAUUCUACUGGAAGAGGAUUGAUUAGGAUGAACUCCUGGCCUUCACCUCCCUGUUUCACCCAACUCCUUGGGGGCGGCGGAGAAGAUGAAGCAUUGCACCCCCACCAUUAACACGACCGGUCACAUGAAUCCAAAGGAAAUGACUCCCAGCGUUUUUUGUCUCAGCAUUUUGAUGAAUUGCCUCUGCAAAUUGAAAAGACUAGUGGCAGAGGCAUUGAAGUUCUUUAACAUAAUGACUAGCCUGAGAAGUUGCCCGUGUUAUGACUUAUAAUUCCUUGAGACAUGGCUUAUGUUGCGUAGGCAAAUGAAAAAUAAAGCAAUGAUUUUGUUAAUGAAUACAAUGCGAUUUACUAUCCAUUAUUAAAAGAUUUGCAUCUUGGAAAUAUUUUAUUGUUCGACAACCAUUAACCUUUCACGAUAAUUACGGGAAGAGUUAUCGAUGGAAUCGAAAGGAUCAUCAAUAGAAUUUACUUUUUUUGUUGGCUGAUCAUGUUGAAGUUUUGUCACUCUUUCAUUUUAUAUCGAUCUAGGCCAAGGACAACUAAUAUAUCUUAUUUGGACGAAACAUCUUUUGGCUAGGUAACAUGGAUGGAACUUUAGACUUCAUUUGUUUAGCAAAAAACAUUAGCCUAUGUGAUCGCAUUGAGCUGUCAUGAACCCAACCCUUCACUAAUAGGGAGGCUAUCAUUAUCUGUAAGCACAUAAAUUAGCACAGUUCCUUCAUCUUCAUCUAUGAUAUUGUUGUAGUCUCAAAAGCUCAAGAAUAUGUUAAAGGGAUCACUUCCCCCCAUUUGUUAGUGUUGGAGAGACAAACGUAGAUGUCGAUGUCCUGUUGAUGCUUACUUUUUUGGCGUGUGGUAUUGCUUCCGCUCUUUUUCGUCGUCUUGAGAAGAUUAUAAGCGCACAUCCAAAGAAGAAUUGGCGUGACAAGCGCUAUUGAAAGGACGCCCCAAAAUGAACUGGACUUAUGCAUCAGCUCGAAAAGAUCGACGCUACACGCUCAGAGAAAAGUGCACGACUUCUUUUAUCCAGAAAAAAAAAAAUAAAAGUUACAGACCCAAGGGUGUCAAUGAAACCAGGAAAACUUAUGGCGGGGCAAAAAUAGAGUUUAAACAAACUUCAGGCGCGAAAACAGAAUUUCAAAAAAAAAUUGAAAAAAUAUGGUUCGAAAUCUCUCCCCUUCUCCAGCGCAUAAAAAUAGGAAGCAGAAAACAACAUCAAUCCCCGCCAUCGUUGGGAAUAUUUUUUGAAAGAGCACUUCGAGCGCGUGCUCUCCAAACAAACUAGCAAUCGAUUCGAUUCAAUUCCGGCUGGUUCAUCAUCGAUCGAUCGAUCGAUCGAUCGGAUGGCGUCGAACAGGUUGAGACUCAAUGGAGGAUCGGGGCUUGGAGGAGGUGGAGAAAGCUCGGGUUGCUGAGCUUGGCUCUCGAGUUCAGCUUCGACGAGCAGUCCACCAGCUAGUGCUUGGACCGUCUCGUUUUGCUCUCUACGGUAACUCGAAUCGUUACUUUAUCGCCCAUUUUUUUACGCUGAAUAGCGUUGCUGAGGUUAUGUAGGUAUUUCAUUGUCCCACACGAUGAGGAUGGCCGUGGAAUAGUCUGCUCUUGGUUUGAAUAGAUCAGGGCAGGUUUGGUGAAGUAGUCUUGUUGACGAGCGAAAUGUGUGGCACAGUUCCAGUUUGAUGUGUUGAGGUUCCUUCGAAUGGUGGUUUUUUCUUGGUUAUUAGCCGAGUCGCGUGGUAUCUGGUGAUUAGGGAGUGACGUAAUCCCUUGUGUUGCGUGGAUAAUCCGUGAAUCGAUUGAUUGUAAUUCCUAAAUAAGGAGAUUUAUUGUGGUUAGUUAUCAUUCUGACGAUUGCUGUGGAAUGGUGUACACUUUGGAUUUGUGUGGGCUGGAGGAGCUGGUUAAAUCUAGUUCAUUGAGUGUUAAUCCCAUCCCCAUUUCUCUAUGGGUUUUGCAGAGUAGUCUUAUUGACUAGCGAAAUGUCUUACUUAUUUUUGAACUCACUACGAAUUACUUAUGGUGUCUUGCUACAUAUAAGUAUGGUGUCUCACUGAACCAACUGCAAACUACGUAUUGCGGAUUGUGUUUAUAUGAUCUCUUGUUUGUCAUGAAACUUCCAAAAUCACAUGUUUCUUCUUUUGGUUUCCUUAAGGUGACAGAGGUCGAGAGUUUAUCACUGUGGAGCACUGUGGUGAUGAUUUUCUAGCAAAACUUGCCCAAACUAUGCAAGGCACUGAGGAUUGGGAUGAUGUGCAAGCUGCGGAAUUGGAAGCUUGUGGAGUUUUGACCGAUACGGUUGGCCAAGAUAUCUUAUGGUGAAUGCAAUGUUAUGCACAAUGUCAAUAUUAUAGAAGAUUCUCCACAAGCUAUGAAAAAUCAAAUUUUCCUUGGGGUUGAUUCCUCUACUGACAGUAAAUACGAAGAUGAUGUGUUGGGCAGUAAAACAGGUAGGAAAUCCACAUGCUAUAUUUCUGAUUAAAGUAGUAAUCUAACCAAUUCAUCCACUCAACCUGUGGCCAGACAGGCUUUAGGACCCAUGGUAUGCUUCUCCCAUGGACAUAGACAAUAUUGCCAAACCACUUAACUCAGUGUGUCACUGUCCUUUUCUCUUAUAACUUGUUCUCUGCUUGAUUGUUUCCAAUUUGCUUUGAUUCUGUACACAGCAAAGGACCUACACAAUGUACAUGUACAAAAGCAUCUAGUAAAUUUCUUAUAAGGCCUCUCGUCCAAUUAAAUAUCCAAUAGAUACUCCUAACUUUUGCCAAUUACUUCCAUAAUCUUCAAGGUCCAAAAUGACAUAUUAGAAAAUUUUGGUUAGUAAAGAAGUUAAUUUUAGUUUUGGAUGAUGUACAAAAUACCUAUUUUUCUUAAGCACUUUGAGAGUAUAGCAAAUCAUCAAAGUGUGGAACUUAGUAAUCCAGCGUCAUUGAUAAAAUGUUUUGCAUAAAUGAAGGCUUGUUAUUUCUUUGCGCACAUUUUUCAUUUUCCAUGACAAUCCACGUUAGAAACUAUUACGAUGCUUAAGAGGCUUAUUUUUGUUGACGAAAUGUAAGAGAAAUGUCACUCAAGGUUCAAUAUCGUCAGUUUCAUAUAAAAUACAUUGCUCUCAGAUUUCGACAUCCAAACAAGGGACUCUGAGUUAUGAGGAAUUGCAAGUUUUUUAUGACGUAGAAUUGGCAAAUGUUAUCAUAUUCGGAAAUGAGGCAUUUGGACCAAUGCAAAGAUCAAGCUUGUAAAGCUUCUCUAGCAAAGCAAGAUUGCUUUAUUCUCAUGCCCACUGGAGGUGGUAAAAGUUUAUGUUACCAGGUUAGUGAAUGUUAACAUUGUCUCGGCUAUAUAAUGAUUGUAUGUAGGAGAGUGUGGAGACAAUGUUAAGAUCACAAGCCUCUCAAUGGUUACACCAACUAAAUGUAAAAGGGUAGACCUGUAUGUCAAAAUUUAAGCUUGAUGAGAUCUUCUGAAUUGCAAGUUUUUUUUUUUUUUUAAAGCACUGUUGAGAAGGUUGUGAACUUAAGGAAGGAAAUGUUUUUCAAAUGAAAGUUAAGCGAUAGGAAGUGAUUUUGGUACAUAACCAUGGCUUCCAAUUUAUGGCAUAAGACAAAAUUAGACAAUAAGGAAAUAUAGUACAUUCUCAUUCUGCCUUCGCACAUCUCUAUUUGUUGCAAUUUCUAGAAUUUUAAGUUUGUGCUAUGCUUCUUAGGACCUUCUGAUCACUUACUGGAAAAUUCAAAUUGGCUAUGUAUGUUUGUGAUGUUGUCAAUCAUGAUUCAGGUCCAAUACAAAUGGGUUGCUAUUUCUAAGAGGAAUAAAUUUUCAAAGUGCUUCCACAAAAUAUGGGUUCUAGAUUUCUAUAUUUCCUCACAGUUGUUGGCUAUGCCAUUAUCUCACGGAGCGUGAUGAUCUAUGACUUAUUUUUUCCCAUAAUUGGUUUGAAAUUAAUUUCCUUCAAUAUACAAUGUAUCAUGGUCGCAUGCAAAAUAUUUGGUGUACUGAAUUAAGAAGGAAGAUAUUAUAUUGGAUUUAUUAAGCUGAAUUUUUUAGAAGUGUUUUCUGUGCAGUCUUGAAGCAGCUGAUAUAUUUUCCUAGCUGAAAGUAAUUAUAAGACAAGUAGUGGCAACUGGUCAUUCCUGAUGAACUGAAGGUGAAAGAAAUAAUAGCUCCCUUGUCCCUUCCUUUCUUCAUGCGCUCUUUUGAUGUUUUUACCCUUUGUUUCAGCUGGCAGCAACUCUUAAAACAGGUGUCACAGUUGUUAUAUCUCCCUUGCUAUCUCUCAUCCCAGAUCAAAUAAUUAAUCUAACCCUCAAGUAUGGAAUACCAUCUACUUUCUUGAACUCUCAAAAAACUGCUGCCUAAGCGGCAGCUGUUCUCCAAGAACUAAGGCAAGGUUUAGCUUUAUUAGACUCCUAGAUUUUUUAUGAUUAGUGUCGUGACUGUCAAAUUAUUUAUCUCCACCUCUACUUUGCCUGCCUCUUCAGAAAAGGUAAACCAUCGUGUAAGCUAUUGUAUGUAACUCCUGAAAGGAAUGUGGGAAACCUAUCAUUUCUAGAGAUAUUGAAAUGCUUGCAUAGAGAGGUAUUGUUUCUGAUGCACCAUUACUUUUUCUAGACGGUUCGGUGUAUAUUUUUCAUAUUUGACCAUCAUGCAUUGCCGGCACAACUAGCUGGUUUUGUUGUUGAUGAGGCACAUUGUGUGAGGUGUGCAUAAUCUUUGACAUGCCUUUUGUAUGAAGAAAGAUCAUGCUAGAGUUACUACAAAGGAAUAAUUAUUUGUGAUGUUGCCACUACAAAACUGUUGUCCUUGUUCUUGAUAAAUAUAAGCAAGUUAACUUUCCAAACUUUUCUGCAUUUUCCUUGUAUGAUGAAAAGAUUUAGGUUCCGUCGUUUGGGAACACUUAGUGGCACAUCGUUCAUUGUAUUGAGUAAAGAGCAUACACUUAAAGUAGCUCCAAUGGAAAUUACUUCCUAGAGCAAUUGGAACCGUCUUGUGUUUUAGGGCAUCAUUUCUUGAGAAAUCUGUUACUUUUUGAGGUCACCAUCAUAAGUUCUGUAGGUCAUAUGAUUUGUAAUAUUCCUCAAAAUAUAGUAAUCUGCCAAAGUUUUGGGUAAAUUUCUUUUCUAUGGUUAGUGAAUUACCGCAUGGAUCAUAACUUUCCUUUGGCAAUGUAAUUGUCCUCGUUAUUAGUAAUUUUACCUAUAUGACAUCCUUUCAUAUGUUUUCUUUUGAGUUUGGACGUGUACUUUUUCUUUGGAAGUCAUAAAUUCUCUGAAACCUAUGUUUGGUGAAAUUCCACAAAAAUAAUAUUUAUUCAGUUAAUAGUAAAUUUCUUUUGUAUAUUUUUACUAUAAUAUGUCGAUUGAUCAUAACUCUCCUCUUUUGUGUAUUUUUAUUGAAAUAUGUAGAUUGAUCGUAACUCUCCUCUCCUUUUGUGACGACCCGAGCGGCGGUGCGCGGGGAGGAGGGAUGGCGGUGCGUCCGCGCCUCCGGUCCUCGGACGUGCGCAAGGGAAGGCAAGGGAAGGGGAAGGGAUUCCUCUCCCUCUUGUCCCACAUCGCUUAGGGAGGGGUCAUGGGCCUUGUAUAUAAGGCUUGGGGUUCCCUUAACUUGUGAAGACGCGUUUUAAAACCGUGGGGACUCAGUGUCCAAAGCGGACAAUAUCACACAAGUGGGACCUGGGAUGUUACAAAUGGUAUCAGAGCCGACUCCCGACAGCGUGUGGGGCCACAGCGAGGACGCUGUGCUCCCAAGGGGGGGAGAGUGUGACGACCCGAGCGGCGGUGCGCGGGGAGGAGGGAUGGCGGUGCGUCCGCGCCUCCGGUCCUCGGACGUGCGCAAGGGAAGGCAAGGGAAGGGGAAGGGAUUCCUCUCCCUCUUGUCCCACAUCGCUUAGGGAGGGGUCAUGGGCCUUGUAUAUAAGGCUUGGGGUUCCCUUAACUUGUGAAGACGCGUUUUAAAACCGUGAGGACUCAGUGUCCAAAGCGGACAAUAUCACACAAGUGGGACCUGGGAUGUUACACCUUUGCACUUGGCAAAGCUUUAAGACCUAUGUUUUAGUAAUUUUCCUUACUCAUCAUAACUUUUCUCAAUCAAAUGAUAAUUUGAUCAAGUUUGCGUCCGCAACUUUCCUUUAAUGUUUAGAAGUGAUGACAGAAAAUCGAUUUUGCAAAAUAGAUUUGAUGGGUCAUGUUUUUCCCUUUUUAUCCAACAGUCCAUGUUGGAUGCAGGACCGAUCUCAUACAAGAGAACUUUUGCUCAUGAAAUUUCCAUCACAAUCAAGACGUAUUGGCCAUAAUAGAGUAGUUCUUUAGUUUUUACCAAAUGGAAAAGUAGUGUUGGAAAUGUUUUUUCUUCCAAAAUUUUGUAAAUCGUUCCAUUGAAAUAUGUUAAAGGUAAAAAUGUAACUAACCAACUAAUAUUCCUUUGUCAAUGUCUUCUUUUGCUGAUGCACAGCAACAGAUAAAUGAAAUUUGAAUGUUCUCUUUGCAUCCGACGUGGGGCCUUCCUCCGCCUUCAUCAGGGGUCUUUGGACUUUGGUAUGGUGAUGGCGGAUCGACUUUGGCGUGGCUUAAUCAGCUCUGUCGUCCUACCGUUCGUUGGGUCGGUCACGAACGAGAAGUGCGUUCUUUCCAUUGGAAAGGGCUGGAGCCCCAGCUACCCAAAAAAGCUUCAUUCAAUAAACUAGACUCGAACGAACAAGAUUUUCGAACCCUGUAAUUUUCAUGUUUGGAGUGAAAUCGAAAUGCGAAAUUGGGUUCCACAAGGAAUGAGACACUAUACUACAGGCCCAAUUCAAUCACUUUGCCGCCACUGCCGUUGCCCGCAAGUUGCCGCCCCCAUUGGUCCCUAGUCGCCGGUCCCUAGCCUUGGCGUAAGCUUUUAGUUUGAAUAUGAAAACGCCUUCCCAUAUCUUAUGUAUUACAAUCCCAAGAUAUAAGAGCGACCUCUCAUUUCGGCAUAUACAAGACAAUUUUUUUUAUUAAUACGACACACAUUGCAUUUUUAGAAUAACAAAAGAAUUCACAGUAAACUUUUGUAAGGGGAAAAAAGAAAGAGAGACUAAAGUGUAAUCCCACCGUUGGUUGGUUACUGAAGAGAAAUCUAAUAACAUUCGAUGUAUAUUCUUGUGAUUGAAUGUAAGUGCAAAUAAGGAAAAUGACGUCCAUCUGGGUUACGUGUCUGCUCCUCUCUCUUGAUCGUAUGAUUUUCGUAAAGAGGCUAUCUAAAUUCAUGUCAGAAAAUUGUGGCAACUUGAUAAUUUUGUUAGCUUAAUUCCAAUCUUGAUUCACUUCUCAAUUUUCACGCGAAAUUGCUCAUGUGGUGAUCUAAUCAGUAUCGAGCAUUUAAUAAGAUACGGUUGGUGACAUGACAUGAACAAUUUUAAUCGAAACGUUUCGUGAAACCUGCUUUAAUUUUAGCAAGUACGAUUCUCCAAUUCGUCAAAAAACUCUUUCUUUGUUUGCGACAAAGUUUGGUGUUGUCUCUUUUUGCGUCCGUUGGCAAGCCCUCAUAGGAAUUCCCACAUUUGGAAAAAUACGUAAGUCCAUCUUAACUUGCUCUUUUUCAUAUUCUAAGGUUUGAAUCUUCAUGUUGUUCAUCCUCGACCAUUUUUAACGCUCUUCUAUCUCUGUCUCUCCCAGCAUUCUUUGGCAUGUCUUGGUCCCCGACGUGAUUCUGAUGGUGAAGUCAAUGGGGAGGGAUGGUUGUAUCAUCCGUCGCCAUCGCGCUUGUUGAUCUUCUUAUCUUAUCUUUGUAGUUUUUAUGUCCCUAAUAUAANNNNNNNNNNNNNNNNNNNNNNNNNNNNNNNNNNNNNNNNNNNNNNNNNNNNNNNNNNNNNNNNNNNNNNNNNNNNNNNNNNNNNNNNNNNNNNNNNNNNAACACGUGUUUUCGGCAAUAUCAGCGACGCAACCAGGCCGAAUCCAUUGGGUAAUUAGGCUUUCCGGGCCCAUGUUUGUCUCCAUAUAUCCUGAAUUUCAUUUGCUAUGAUGAUCCGGCUCAUGAUAUUGAGUCUUAAGAAAACCCGCAUUUCUCAAAAAAGCAAAAUUGGGACGUGCAGCAUAAACCCAUCAAGAACAUGACAAUCCAAAUUUUAUAAUAGACAUGUAAAGCCUUUUCUUUGCAGAGAAAAAAAAAACAGAAAAGAAAAAGAUGUGAGGAAGUAUUUUACGCGAGAGUUAAGUAUACCAUCUACGUGAGGGUGGUGUUUAUAUAAUUUGAGAUUACGCGGUAGGUCCAUGACUUAGAAAUUCAACAUAUGAAGGAAAUAAGGAAAAGGAAGUCAUUGGCACAAAAAAAAAGAAAAGAAAAAGAAAAAGAAAGGACAACCCUAAAAGAAUAGGAAAAAAAUACGCAACGAAGAAAGGAGAGGAGAUCUUCUUGGAUUCCAUGUUAUACAAAUUGGAGUUUAUAUAACUUGAAAUUACAAAAAAGAAAAAAGAAAAAGUAAAGCUACUUUGCCGGUUAUAAGGAAAACUACCCAAUCAGUUAUAAAUUUAUUGUAUAUAUAUCAAUUCAAUUUGAAAGUUUUUCAAUUUUAUCUAUUUAGUCUUAAAUCUUUGAGAGAAAUUUCAAUCUAGUCAUUCCGGUCAAUUUUCGCUAAGAAUUGUUGACGUGAUAGUCCAAUACUGCUGGCCGUCUUACAUGGCACAUUGUAAUGUCGACAACUUUUACCGAAAAUUGGCUAGAAUGAUUAUAUUAUAUUUUUUUAGCAAAGAUUUCAGAUUAAUUUGAUAAAAUUGAUGAGUUUAUAACUAAAUUGACAUCCGUAUAUAUAAUUUUAAAACUAAUUGGACAAUUCUCUACUAAUUUUAACCGGCAACCAAUUUGUUAAAUAACACUUAGCUUGAUGUAUCAUGUCGAUGGUGGUAUACUUGUAACUCUCGCGUAAAACACUUACUCUUCUUAUGAUACUUACUCGAACCCAACCCAAGAGUGUCAAUUGUCAAAUGAAACGAGGAAAACUUAUUAGGGAGGCAAAAAAUAGAGCUUCCAACAAAAUUCAGGUGCAAAACGGAAUUUUUGAAAGAAUCGAAAAAAAAAAUGGCUCCAAUCUCUCCCACUCUCCAGCAGGUGAAAAAGCAGAGCAAAAAACAACAGUCCCGCCAUCGCUGGCAUGGUUUUUCUUCGAAGAGAGCGCUUCGAGCGCGCGCUCUCUCUCUCGAGAGACUACGGAUCGAUUCGAUUACUACCCUCGCAUCAUCGAUUGAUCGAGUCGAGUCGUGUCGAAUAGGUUGAGAUUCCAUGGAGCAUUGGGAGUUGGAGGCAGAGAAGUCUCGGGUUGCUGAGCUUGGUUCUCGAGUUCGGCUUUGACGAGCAGUCCUUCAGCAAGUGCUUGGGACCGUCUCGUUUCGCUCUACGGUAACUUCAAUCGUUACUUUGUCGCCCAUCUUUUUUUUAUUUUUUUUUUAAUGCUGAUUAGCGUUUGUAGAGGUUAGGUUGUGUAGGUAUUUCAUCAUCCACCAUGAUGAUGGUGAUGACAGCUGGGGAAUAGUCUGCUCGAAUUUUCAAUAGAUCGGAGCGGGUUUGGUGAAGUAGUCUUAUCUCUGAUGAUAACUGGGCACGCGGCAAAUUUUUCUUGCUUAUUGGCCAAAAUGCGCUGUAUCUGGUCAUUAGAUAAUGACAGCAAAUAAUCAAUGUAUUGGUAUUAUGCACAGUUGCAAAUGAAUUUAUAUAGAAAUGAAGCUCUUCUGCUAAUGCAUUUUUCAUUUUGACUUUUAAUUCCAAAUUGCUGAUGAGUGUACUGAUUGAGCCUACCAAUGGCAAUACUGGCAUUGCCUUUGGCAUUCAUGGCGGCAACAAAGGGCUACAGGCUAAUCAUUACAAUGCCAGCAUCUAUGAGUUUGGAAAGAAGGAUCAUCCUCCGUGCUUUUGGAGCUGAGGUGGUCCUGACCAAUCCUGCCAAGGCCGUGAAGGGGGCUAUUCAGAAGGCAGAGGAGAUAAUGGCAAAGAAACCUAACUCUUACAUUCUUCAGCAGUUCGAGAAUCCUGCUAACCCAAAGGUACAUGUGUGGUCAACUGUCAUGUCUUGUUGGUUGUAUAUGCAGGUGAUAACAUGAACUUCGGCUUUGUUGUCAUUGUUCUGUUUAAAUACAUUAUAAAACAACCGGACCAGAGAUAUGGAAAGGCUUGGGCGCCAAAGUUGUCACGCCCCGAUCCUCGGACGCGUGCACAUCCUUCUACUUGGUCGAUUUUAGAAUGCGAUAUCCCAGGACUAUGUAUCGCCGACCCUUUCUUUUUAUUAAGCACACGCGGAAGCAGUUAUAAAUCCCCAGACAAUAAAACAAUGGGAUAGGAAAGCAGGCCAUAUUUUUCAUAUUGAAAUUCAUAACCACACUUUCAUUAACAUCACCACUCAUAGUAUAUUUACAAUACUAUUUACAGCAUAAAAGUCUCACACCUAUCUAUACCAAGACAGGGUUCACAAAAGGUAUGGGAUCUCAAUCCACAUCCGGGUUAUAUUCAAGAUCCCUCUCUGGAUCAUCUUCUUCCUCAAAAGUCUUUCUCCUCUUCAGGUUCCUCUUCCUUAGAUUCUCCUCAAGGUCCUGAAAUGGUUAUUCAAUAACCAAUGAGACCACGUCUCAGCGAGUCCUACCCACUAAGACUCGAUUAAUAAACUAAUACGCCAUACGGUUGUCUAAGCACAACACGAGUCAGAGGACUUACCUUGGCCUCAGUUCCAACCUGCAAUUCAAGGUUAAACACAAGCAUUCAAACAAUUCACGACAUCCGAUUAAGCAUUGAUCAAUCGACUAAGUCGAUUACAUGUCAGCUAGACCCUUUCUAGGUCAUUCCCACUCAUACCACGCUUUCUCAGUGGUGUACUCCUUCACCAAAUCACAUGUGUUUCUCGGGCGUCGUUUUCGCCAAUGACAUACCGAUCACCGACACCGUGCGUUCUUUAAGGCGCCGUUUUCACCAGUGAUAACCUUGAUCACCGAACCACGUGUCCUUUCAAGGGCGCCGUUUUCGCCAAGGUGACAUCGGCUAUAGACAACAUCGUGCGUUCUUUAAGGUGCCGUUUUCACCAGUGAUAUUCCCAUAACCACCGAACCACGUGUGUCUAUAAGUCAUUUACGUGCGUUCUUUAAGGCGCCGUUUUCGCCAGUGAUAUUUCCAAUCACCGAACCACGUAUGUCCAAUAAUAUCGUACCUGAUUGGUCUCACCAUUCUCCCUACUAUAUAGCCCAUCAACGUACUGGCGCUAUAUAUCCAUGCUUAGCCAUUACCAAUCAAAUACUCAAUAACAAACAAUUUAGGACAAUUCCUAAAAUUCCACAAUAAAUUCAAUUCCACACAACGUAGAGCUCAAAUAAAUAAACGGUCUGCACCACAACAAUCAGCACGAAAUUCCGGUCACCGGCCAUCCCGGUUGAAUUUCCGGAAAAAUAAUUAAUUAAAUAAAUAAAUUUCGAAAAUAAAUAAAUAAACAUUGAAAAUCCAAUUUAGGCCUAUAUUGCCUUAUUGGAGCCCGAAACGGGUCGGGAAAAAAUCCCGAGAUGCAUUCAAUAAAUAAUCAAACAUUUCUACUUGCUAAUAGCUAGGUCUAACCACCUAACAUGCAUUAAUAAGUCACUAAAUUAAUUGUUCUAACCUAAUCUAACCACCAAAUUGCACUUAAUUAAAUCUAACCAACCUUAAGCAUAAUUAGCAAACUAAUAAAGCAUUAGUGAGUAAAACUCACUUGACAAAAGCAGAGACCGAAUCACCGCAACGGCGACGCGACGGCGGCCGAAAUCGGACUUCCGACAACACCGGCGGGCUUGGGACCGGGCCUUGACCUUGGCCCAACAAAUCUCAGUCCAAAUGAGAUUUGUUCUUGCACUGGAAUGGGCUGGACCUGCUGAAUUGGGCUUGCGAAAUUCACUUGGGCUUCAAGUGCUGGAAUCCUUGGACUGAGCCUGAACUUGGGCUUGAAUCAAAACUGAAUUGGGCCUGCCUUUCAAACAACUUGGGCUGAAGCUUGGGCCAAAAUUUGCUGGGCUGGACUGAGUGAAAAAAAAUGCUUGCUCACGGACUGGGCUUGCUAUGAUUGAACAAGCUGGGCCGAACUUGUUGCUGUGAAGAUGGGUCCACGAGAUUGAAGCUUGCGGUUUCGGUGGUCCAAGGAGCUGCUGCACGAUUGUGGGACUUUUGCGAUCAACCAAGCAGCUUCGGUUGCUGCCGCUGUUGACCGAGCCAAGAGCAUACUCGGACGCGUGGAGACUUCUUCCUUCGGUGGGUUGUUGCUCACGCGGAUGGACGGACGAAGAAGCGGAUAAGUAGCCGACAGAGUCAACCAACGGUGAAAUCAAGGACUGCUCGUGGACGAUGGAGGAUGUCUGGCCGUGCGAGGGAGUACUGGUCUUCGGUGGAUAGCAUGGUUGACUGCCUCCGUCCCGCGGCUUCGCUGCUGGUGUGGCGUGAGUGGCCGACCAAACUUGGUGGAAUCGUGGGCUUCAAGCGGUCAACCAAGGCUUCGUUCUUGCAGGUGUUGACCGAGGGAUGCUGGGUGAUGGACAAGUGGCGAGGAUGAGGGGCUUUUUCGCUGGUGGAGAAGUUGACCGAGAUGGCGUGCGGACGGCAGAGGCGUGGGGGCUUCGGUGGAGGCUUCGCUCGUGGAGUCUUCGGUCAGGUGGAGCUCAGAUCUUUGCGGGCAGAAGACGCGAACGAGGGAGCUUGCAGCUGCAGGGAAUUUGCCCGGUCUUCUUCAGCGGCUAUUGAAGAUGUCGCACAAAAAAAGGAAAAGGGGAGGGAGAGUCCGAUCGGUUGAGGAGGUGAGGGAAAGAGAGAAUGGAUAGGGAUGAGUGAGGGGCCCUUUGGCUUUUAAUCCUCACACAAAUAUCUCCCCCAAAACCAUUCUUAGCCAUGUAUAAUUUACUUGGCUCACAAUGGGCCUCUCAAGAACUCUUCUAGAAGCCAAAAUGGUCCAAAUGUUGUGGCUAGGUGGGGGGUUACGAAUUUUAAAAUCUCAGCUUCAAUUGGACAUUCAUCCCAUCCAAAUUUCAUUUCCAUUGGCCCUCACAAAAUCAAUCGGUCAUCCAUCAAUUACCUCGGCAUUUUUCCUCACCCAAGGAUCCACCAAAAAUCCCAAUUUAUACCAAUGUUGCACGCCCCCAUCUUAAGAUUCGAUUUUUAACUAAGGCGAACUAAAUUUCAAUUCCAAUCUCUCCAAAUUGAGGUCCAAUUUUGAUGUAGAAAAAUCCCAAGAAAUUUUCUAUAAAUCUCCGACACAUACGGGCUCAACCCGAAAGUCAAAUUUCCCAUUAAUUUAGCCAAUCUGAACUUCGGCCAAACUUCCACGAUGUCCGAACCCAAUUUCCGUAAAAAUCUCGGGACCUCCGAAAAAUCUUCUGAGACUGGGUUGACGUUCCUAAAAUAGCUUGUGACAUCACUGAACUUUCAAUUUCUGAAAUCUGACUCAAAUCGACGGUUAAUUUCACUCCGGCGUGCUUUUAGUGUGACCUAGACUACCGGGUAGUUUUCAGAACUUUUUAGGGCAAUUGACUCGUGGUCGAUUUUCUUCGAGCCAUAAUGAACCCACUCGACACAUUGGUGACUCUCAAUUGUCGUGAAAAUCUCGAGGGCUCGACUACCAACACAGGGUACCAAAACGACAGAAAAUCAAAUUAGUGCCGGUCGACGAGAAUUUUCCAAUUUAGUGGAGUCACCCACGAUCGGCCACACAUCUCAGUCGAACCGACCUAUCUCUGAUCUCAAUUCGAUCUUUACUGUGCAGUAAUGACCUCUAAAGAUGAACACGGUCGAGAAGCCGCUUCCUGGUCGAAUUCUCAAGUCUAUUGCCUUAAUAUUCUUUAAUGGCUUACCCAGCUAGUCUAGUUAUCUCGAGAGUGAUCAGCUCUGAGAACAACCCUAUAGACACGUCAAUGAAAUGCCCGAUUAAUUUAAUAGAAAACAAUACUGAAAAUUCUGGAUGUCACAAAAGUAGACGCCUUUGUUUCUGGGAUAGGAACUGGUGGUACUAAAACUGGUGUUGAAAAGUUUCUGAAAGAGCAAAACCCUCAUAUAAAGGCAGAUUGUUUUUAUGAUACUGUUUAUCACGUGUUGAACGACAAAAUAUUGUCAAUUUUGGGUAAUUAUCAACUAUGGAUGCCUUGAAUAAAAAACCUUGAGCCUGAACAUUCUUUUUGUGUUGAACCUGUUGAAAGCCCUGUAUUAUCUGGAGGCAAGCUUGGUUAGUUCCCUUGAACAUGUUAUAACUUUCGCGAUUAUUAAAUCUCCAUGCACAAUCUAGUUUAUCAUCCAAUUUUGUUUCAUUAAGAUUGGUUGAUGACCUGUGAGAGAUUGAUAUGAUGUGGUCUCAUUUUAGUCCUUAUAGUUCAAGGCUCAUGGUUUCGCAUCAUUGCAUGGGAAGAGAAAGAAACGGUCUCCGUAGAAAGCUAAAACAUGAGAUGAUAAAUUGUUGAUAUAAAUAGGCUGAUAAAAAAAAAAGAAAUAGAAAAGAAAAAGGAAACUAAAAAUAAUUCAAAUUAAAAAAGAAAAAGAAAAUUAAAAAAUAAUUCUAACAAAAAAAGAAAAGAAGAAAAAUAAAGGGGGGAAAGAAGUGAGGAUUUAUAGAGGUGUGAGAUAAGAGAAAUCAAGUUAGGAAAAUGUUUUCACUUUUCAAAAGUAGAAAAUAUUUUCUUUUACUUUAGAAGACUUUUUUUCCUUUCAUGGAAAACAUUUUCCUCAAGGAAUUUGUUUUCCAUAAAAUGAAUGCUGAAAAAUCCGGAAAACAUUUUCCCGGAAAUUAUUUUCCGCGAAACGAACAGAGUCUUAAAUGUUGAUAAUUUUCCUUACUCAUUAUAACUUUUUUCAAUCAAAUGAAAGUUUGAUCAUCUUGUGUUCGCAACUCUCCUUUAACGUUUGCAAAUCCAAAUUCUAUGACAAAAAGUCGAUUUUGCAAAACAGAUUUGACGAAUUGGUUUUUUUCCCUUUCUUAUCCAGCGGUCCACGUUGAAUGCGGGACCAAUCCCAUAAAAGGAGAGCUUCGACUUAUGGAAUUUCCAUUGCGAUCAUGAUGUUUAUGGCACAACAAAAUAGUGUUUUCUUUUUUGCCAAACAGUAAAGUAGUGUUAGUACCAACCAAAAAAAAAAAAAAAAAACAAUGUUGAAAACCUAUCUUUCCAAAUUAUUUGAAGUUCGCUCUAUAUAUAUAUAAAGCUAAAAAUUUAAAUUAACAUAAGUAUUACUUUAUCAAUUUUUCCUUUUGCUGAUAUACAGGCUACAGCAACAGAUAAAAAGAAAUUUGAGAUACUUCUCAUAUUCUUAUGUAUACAAAGAAGCCUUUACCCAUAUUCCGAUCUACCAAGUUCAAGAAUGAUUCAAGCCCGGAAAAGAAAAAUGUAAAAUAGAAAGCCCCCCCACCCCCAAAACCAGCCAGACCCAACCGUGGAGGCAAAAAUAGAACUUCAACAAACUUCGGGUGCGAAAACGGAAUUUUCAAAAGAAUGGAAAAAAAUAUGGCUCAAAUCCCUCUCAUUCUCCGGUAUAUAAAAAUAGGAAAGGAAAAACAUCAUCAAUCCCGCCAUAGUUGGCAGGGUUUUUCGAACAGAGCACUUCGAGCGCUCUCUCUCUCUCUCUCUCUCUGUCUCUCUCUCUCUCUCUCUCUCUCUCUCUCUCUCUCUCUCUCUCUCUCUCUCUCUCUCUCUCAAGAGACUACGGAUCGAUUCAAUUCCAUUUCGUGCAUCGUCGAUCGAUCGCUCGAAUCGCGUCGAGCAGGUUGAGAUUCCAUGGAGGUAUCGGGGCUUGGAGGUAGAGAAAGCUCGGUUGCUGUGCUUGGCUCUCGAGUUCGGCUUCGACGAGCAGUCCACCAGCAAGUGCUUGGAUCGUCUCGUUUCCUUCUACGGUGACUCGGAUCGUUACUUCGUCGCCCAUUUUUCAUGCUGAUUACCGUUAGCAGAGGUUAUCUAGGUAUUUCUCGUCCCCGCGAAGAUGAUGGCUGUGGAAUAGUUUGUUCUAGGUUUGAAUAGAGCACUUUUUGUCCUGGUCAGCGUCGCAGAGGUUGUAUAGGUCCUCCUGGAAGUCUGCUUUAGGUUUGAAUAGAUUGGAGCUGGUUUGGCGAAGUAGUCUUCCUGGCGAGCAAAGUGUCUGGUGCUGUUCCAGUUUGAUGUGUUUAGGUUGCUUUGGAUGGUGGUUUUUCUUGGUUAUUAGCCGAAUCUCGUGGUAUCUAGUGAUUAGGGAAUGACGUAAUUGCUUGUGUUGUGAAGAUAAUUUGUCAUUGAUCGAUUGUGCAUUUGUAAGGAAGGAGAUUUAUUGCUGUCAGUCGGCACUCUGAUGAUGGCUAUGGAAUAGUCUCCUUUUUGGAUUUGAAUGGACUGGAGCUGGUUAAAGCUAGUUCAUUGAGCGUUAAUCCCAUCCCAUUUCUCUGUGGGUUUUGCGGAGUAGUCUUAUUGACUAGCGAAAUGUCUAACUUAUCUCUGAACUAAUCGCAAAUUACAUAUGGUGUCUUGCCUACAAUUAAGUAUGGCAUCUCACUGUAUUAGCUGCAGAUUACAUAUUGUAGAUUGUAACUAUUUGAUAAUUUUUUUGUCAUGGAACUUGUAAAAUCAUCUCUCUCUUCUUUUGGUUGUCUGAAGGUGAUGAAGGUCAAGAAUUUAUCACUGUGGAGCACUAUGGCGAUGAUUUUCUAGCAGAACUCGCCGAAACUAUGCAAGACACUGAGGAUUGGGAUGAUUCACAAGCUGCAGAACCAGAAGCUUGUGGAGUUUUGACUGAUAUGUUUGGCCAAGAUACCCCUAAUGAUAGCGAAUGCAAUGUUGUGCACGAUAUUAAUAUUAUAGAAGAUUCUCCACAACCUGAGAAAAAUCAGACUUUUUUUUAGGUGGAUUCCUCUACUGACAGUGAAGAUGAAGAUGAUAUAUUUGGCGGUAAAAUGGGCAGGAAACCCACAUGCUAUGUUCCUAAUCAAAGUAGUACUCCAAGCAAUUCAUCCACUCAACCUCUGGCCAGAAAAUCUUCAGAAUACAUGAUAUGCUUCACUCCUUUUUGCCCCCACCCCCAUGCCCAAAACUAAUUUGGUCAAAUAGUUGUUAAGUUUGUGGCUCGAGUUUUUGAUUCAUUUGGCUUGGCAUUGGCCCGUGUAAUUGCAUGGACCAAAUACACAGCUUGAAGAAUGUCUCAGUAUUGUACAAGGUUGGCCUUUUGGUGAAGCAACUGUGGACACCUGAAGAGGCCACAAUAUUUACAGGGCAAAUCCUAGUAGUCUGUCCACAAUGGUCCAGUCAUUUAGGAGGUUGACAAAAAGUUGGCAGAUCUGGGCACGGCGUUUUGUUCUUUUAACAAUGAUUCUGCAACCCAUAUAUCCAUUUAUUUUUGUUGCUGAGGUAUGUUGGGGUCAACAAGGAUAAUGAGAAGAAUUGAGAACAGAUUGUCUUGGUUUUUGAUCAGGAGAGAUUAGAGAGUCCUUCUCAUAAAACUCUUGGGAAACACUUUCCACUCAUCUCAUUCGUUUUUGAUUGACUCUUGCACCUGGGGUUUUGGUUAGUGAGAAAUUGAUUAUAACUUAUUGUAAUUCCCUCUUGGUCACUGUGAAACAACUCUUAUUGACAUAGAUGAAACUACACAUCCCCUAAAAUUAGUGUCACUAUUCUUUGCUGUCAAAAAUAUGUCUUUCCUUGAUCAUUUCCAGUUUGCUUGUAAUUCUACUCCCAGCAAAGGACCUUAUGCGAGAUACCUGUACAUAAGCAUUUAAUAAAUUGCUUAUGAGGGCUCUCAUGCGAUCAAAUGUAUAGUAGACACUCCUAACUUGCCAGUUACUUCCACAGUCUUUAAGAUCUAAAAUGACUUUAUUAGAACUGUUUGGCCAAUAAAAACAGUUGACUUUUGUUUUGGAUGAUGUAACAAUACCUAUAUUUCCAUAUGUCCCAUGAUGGCCUUAACUCAACUGCCACUCAGCCAGUUCAUGAGGUAUGAAACUUGCACAUUGUCCUCCAGAUUAAGUUAAAAAGUCAUUUGGCUCUUAUCGAAAUGUACUUCUAUUGCAGGAUAUCCUAAAAGCUCUCGGGAUCCGCCAUGCUUUUGCUCUAGAGACAAGCUUUGACAGACCAAACCUAAAAUAUGAGGUCUUAGCUAAGACCAAGGAACAACUGAAGCAGCUUGGAGAGCUGCUAAAGAAUCGGUUUGCUAAUUUGUGUGGCAGUGUAUUGUCUCUCGAAUAGCGAAUGUGUUGAUGUUGCAAAAUACCUGAAUGAUAAGUGUGGUAUAAGGACAAUGCACUAUCAUGCUGGAUUAGCAAACCCAUCAAAGAGUAGCUAUUCAAAUGAAAUGGCAUACUGGAGAGGUCCAGGUUGCAUGUGUAGCCAUUGCUCUUGGGAUGGGAAUAGACAAACCUGAUGUUGUAAGUUGAAAUGGAGUCUAACCCUUUGCCUAUUUUUAGUUUAAGAAUCAAGGUGACAUGCUGGCAAAUACUCGACUUAUUCACUUUUUCUUUCUAAUGUUUUAGUUUCACUGAUUGGUUUGUUAGUGUGCUUGGAAGUAAACUUUGCCGGUUCCAUGGUCCAGUGGCCUGCUAAAUUGCCAUUCUUGGCUAUUGAUUGCAGGAACUAGCAAAUUAUGUGUCUUUUUCAAGUCAUACUCUUUCUUCCAUGCAUGGAACUUUGGUGUGCUGAAAUUAAGUUAAACUAGGAUAAAGUUCUCCUCUUUACUGUAAAAGUGCCAAAUGAAUCUGAUCUAACUUGACUUUCUGUUAUAAUGUUUGUCAUAUUUCAACUUAUUUUUGUUGGUUCAGUAAUUAUUUUUUUAUGGCAUGUGGUCAGUGUUUUUUCAUCCACAACACAAUGUCCAAGUCAAUUGAAAGCUAUUACCGAGAAUCAGGGAGGGCAGGAAGAGAUAAUCUACCAGCAGUGUGCAUUGCUCUGUAUGCCAAAUAGGAUUUCAGCCGGGUUGUGUGCAUGUUAAGGAGUGAUCAAGGAUGUAAAACCGAAAUCUUUAGAAGUGCAAUGGCUCAAGCUAGGAAAAUGCAGCAAUAUUGUGAACCCAAGGUAAUCCAAUUUCUCAAGUUAUUGCUGAUGAUCUCAACUAAGCGAUGCUUCUAUUUUGUGUUUACACUUUCCACUUUGUUCUAUUGAUUGUUGUUAGUGUUAGUCUGGCAUUAACCCGUGUGGGCACUGGAUCAUUAGAUGGGUCUGUUGGCAACAUAUUCAAAUAAUAAUGGAACCUUUGGGCUAAACUCAUAUUCCGCGCUCCUACAUGGAGCAAAGUCUGUUGAUAAGCGUGUGUUUCCUCUCUAAUUUGCAAAAUUUUCAGGAUGAGUUUUUGGCGGCAAACCUUACUUGCACACUUUGGCAAGUCUUUGAAUCGGAAAGACUAAAUAUAUCUCUAAUCCUUGUGAAAAUUGUCUCAAAGCCUCUUCAUAGAGGUAAACAUUUCAGGUGUCAACUCUCUUGAGGGCGAAAGGAGGUACCAACUUACACAUGAUUUUGAGCCUCACAGUUCUUCUGGUUCCGUCAUCAGCAAUUAUUGGAAGACUCCAUGGUAAUGGAGGAGCAAGGGUCCUUAACUAUGGACACAGAAUUUCUCGGUUUCGAUGGUUCAAUCGGACGAUUCUACCAAUUGACCUUUAGACUAGAACCCAAACCGGUUUUUUGACCGUUCGGGGUUUGGAAGUGGUGUUUGACACGAUUGCAAGACCUGAUUAUUACACGUGAACAAAAAUUGCCAGCUCUCACAGUGAUAACAUUGUGUUAACGUGGAGGGUUGAGCGGCACUAACUUGGCGGAGAUACGGUGCUUACUUGAUGCUGACAUUAUCUUCCUAAGAAUGAUGCAAGAGCAGGCAGUGGCGGCAACUUGUCUGAUGAGUGGUUCGUUGACAAAUGAGGGUCGAAGGGCGGCAGGGUAUGAUGGCACGGAUUGGACGAGUUUGUGUUGUCCCGGCUCAUGGGGCUUUCGUCCAUGAUGGAGUUGGGUCGCGGUGGGUGUCAAUUCAGCAAUGUGAUUCUUGGAUUCAGUCUUUCGUAGUAUAUGGUUGCGGAGGCUGUCUCAAUGGCGAUGCGAGUUUUGAAAUGCUUGCAAGAGAUGAAUGAACUGAAGGCCUUUUUACAUAACUAGAAUGUCUAAUACAAGUACGGGGGAUCGAUUAUUUAGACCCCAAACUAAUAGAGGGAUACACAAUAUCAUGAAUGUAGACAUAACAUGACCAUCUACAAGAUACGCUCGAUAUUUUGAAUAUAGAAGGGAUUCAGUAAUUUUGCAAAAGACGUUCACCACAAACAUAUAGGACAAGUUGCAACAUUGCUUUAAAAAAAUUAAUGAUUUUUAUCCGAUGUUACAAUUAAAUAGACUGUGGGUGUUCAUUUGAAGGGAGGUUUUUACCUUAUAAUUUUGUCAGAUAAAUUGGAGUCUUGUAUGGUUUUUACUCUCAAAGUUGGCUUUCUAUAUGUACAAACUUUUUAGAGUUUGAAAUCAGGUUUUGAUUCAAUUUUAUCUCAAUUUUUGAAACUCAAAGAAAAAUUUUCAAAGCUGGCGUUUUAAUUUGGUUCAUAGGAAGAAAAAUUUAUCGUUAAAUAUUUAUGGGUUGUUGAACGCAUGAAAAUGAGAAAACAUGGUAUUCGUCUUCUGCAGUAUUUGCUUGGUAACUGGAAUUGGUUGAAUGUGGAAACAAAGAAAUAAUAUUCAUGUCGCAAAAAAAAAAAAAAAAUAGAAGAAGAAGAAGUAGAUUUUGAAUAGAAGGCAGGCAAUUUAAGAAAUUGUUCAAGAAAUUAUGGUCUAUUAUUAAAAGAUAUGCCAUGUUGACACCUAAAUUUUACCUAAUCAUUUAGUAAUUAGUUGCAUGAAAAAAAAAUUAAAAAAUUAAAAAAAAUUAGUGAAAUUGCAUUUCAUGUAGUUGCAUUUGCAUUGGUACCAAAAGACAACAAGACGUAGCGGCUCGUGGUUGAUUACAUGCACAAAAGUGGUCUCUCUCUUGCUAAUAUGAAAACACACAAUGAAAGUCAAAGAAAGAAGAAAGAAGAGUUCUUCACGUCCAUUGUUUCUUCCUCAUUAAUGCAUGCACAUGCAUGGAUAAAAUAAGGAGGACGUGAAAAUUCUAGAGAAGCCGCAAGCGUGAAGAAACCAAAGAAAAAUUCUCCACUGCACACGCGAGAAUUCCGGAGAAGGUCUGCAAGAAGAUGGGCUUACAAUUUUAUAAUAUUCUCUCCUUCUUAGAGAGCAAAUCAGCUGGAGAAGAAAGAAGUUCCUACACGUCCAUUGUCUCUCACUCAUUAAUGCAUGCACAUGCAUGCGGCAAGAUUUCGGCGGACGUGAGGNNNNNNNNNNNNNNNNNNNNNNNNNNNNNNNNNNNNNNNNNNNNNNNNNNNNNNNNNNNNNNNNNNNNNNNNNNNNNNNNNNNNNNNNNNNNNNNNNNNNNNNNNNNNNNNNNNNNNNNNNNNNNNNNNNNNNNNNNNNNNNNNNNNNNNNNNNNNNNNNNNNNNNNNNNNNNNNNNNNNNNNNNNNNNNNNNNNNNNNNNNNNNNNNNNNNNNNNNNNNNNNNNNNNNNNNNNNNNNNNNNNNNNNNNNNNNNNNNNNNNNNNNNNNNNNNNNNNNNNNNNNNNNNNNNNNNNNNNNNNNNNNNNNNNNNNNNNNNNNNNNNNNNNNNNNNNNNNNNNNNNNNNNNNNNNNNNNNNNNNNNNNNNNNNNNNNNNNNNNNNNNNNNNNNNNNNNNNNNNNNNNNNNNNNNNNNNNNNNNNNNNNNNNNNNNNNNNNNNNNNNNNNNNNNNNNNNNNNNNNNNNNNNNNNNNNNNNNNNNNNNNNNNNNNNNNNNNNNNNNNNNNNNNNNNNNNNNNNNNNNNNNNNNNNNNNNNNNNNNNNNNNNNNNNNNNNNNNNNNNNNNNNNNNNNNNNNNNNNNNNNNNNNNNNNNNNNNNNNNNNNNNNNNNNNNNNNNNNNNNNNNNNNNNNNNNNNNNNNNNNNNNNNNNNNNNNNNNNNNNNNNNNNNNNNNNNNNNNNNNNNNNNNNNNNNNNNNNNNNNNNNNNNNNNNNNNNNNNNNNNNNNNNNNNNNNNNNNNNNNNNNNNNNNNNNNNNNNNNNNNNNNNNNNNNNNNNNNNNNNNNNNNNNNNNNNNNNNNNNNNNNNNNNNNNNNNNNNNNNNNNNNNNNNNNNNNNNNNNNNNNNNNNNNNNNNNNNNNNNNNNNNNNNNNNNNNNNNNNNNNNNNNNNNNNNNNNNNNNNNNNNNNNNNNNNNNNNNNNNNNNNNNNNNNNNNNNNNNNNNNNNNNNNNNNNNNNNNNNNNNNNNNNNNNNNNNNNNNNNNNNNNNNNNNNNNNNNNNNNNNNNNNNNNNNNNNNNNNNNNNNNNNNNNNNNNNNNNNNNNNNNNNNNNNNNNNNNNNNNNNNNNNNNNNNNNNNNNNNNNNNNNNNNNNNNNNNNNNNNNNNNNNNNNNNNNNNNNNNNNNNNNNNNNNNNNNNNNNNNNNNNNNNNNNNNNNNNNNNNNNNNNNNNNNNNNNNNNNNNNNNNNNNNNNNNNNNNNNNNNNNNNNNNNNNNNNNNNNNNNNNNNNNNNNNNNNNNNNNNNNNNNNNNNNNNNNNNNNNNNNNNNNNNNNNNNNNNNNNNNNNNNNNNNNNNNNNNNNNNNNNNNNNNNNNNNNNNNNNNNNNNNNNNNNNNNNNNNNNNNNNNNNNNNNNNNNNNNNNNNNNNNNNNNNNNNNNNNNNNNNNNNNNNNNNNNNNNNNNNNNNNNNNNNNNNNNNNNNNNNNNNNNNNNNNNNNNNNNNNNNNNNNNNNNNNNNNNNNNNNNNNNNNNNNNNNNNNNNNNNNNNNNNNNNNNNNNNNNNNNNNNNNNNNNNNNNNNNNNNNNNNNNNNNNNNNNNNNNNNNNNNNNNNNNNNNNNNNNNNNNNNNNNNNNNNNNNNNNNNNNNNNNNNNNNNNNNNNNNNNNNNNNNNNNNNNNNNNNNNNNNNNNNNNNNNNNNNNNNNNNNNNNNNNNNNNNNNNNNNNNNNNNNNNNNNNNNNNNNNNNNNNNNNNNNNNNNNNNNNNNNNNNNNNNNNNNNNNNNNNNNNNNNNNNNNNNNNNNNNNNNNNNNNNNNNNNNNNNNNNNNNNNNNNNNNNNNNNNNNNNNNNNNNNNNNNNNNNNNNNNNNNNNNNNNNNNNNNNAAAAGAUGGGCUGACAUUUUAUAAUACUUUCCUCCCUAGAGAUCAGGCGGUGGCCACCAUAUUUGAAAAAAAAGAAACAAACUUGAACAAGCAAAGGAAAGUUGCGGCUGCUCCUGUUCACCUGUUGCCUAUAAAUAAGCAAGGAAAGAGGGGGCAAAGAAAGGGGAGAGGAAGCAUUCACUGGAGAGGUUUUGUGAGAGAUUAAAAAAAAGGAAGAGAGGCUCGUCGAGAGAACCAAGGAAAAAUGAAGUGAGGGGGGAAGUGAAAGGAGAGGGGGGGAUAUUAAAAAAAGAGAUGAAUAGAGAGUCUGUCAGAGAAAAGACCAAAAAGAAGACGUGAGGAGAGAGGGAGAGGGAGAGAAAAAUAAAAGAAAAAAAGAAAAGGAAAGGGGUCCACUGUGCUUCUUCUUCGUGGGUUCCUUCUCCACAAAAGCCGCACGCCGUUCCGCUGCUGCCCACCGCGCGCGCGCCGCACCGCCGCUCCGCCACCUCUGCGCCGCCGGUCUCCUCGCGCUACAGGACCACCAUCUCCGACGCCGCGUCACCGCCCAACGCCUCAGCUCGACGCCCUGUCCCGCCAGCUUCCGCUCCUGCAAACCACCGCCACCAGCAACGCCUGCACCUCCGUCCGACGCCCCGAGCACCCACCUCUGCACCUGCAGCCCGUGCCUCCGACGCCGCGCCACCACUCAAACGCCCGCAAGCUGCAGCACCCGACGCAGCGCCCUACACGUUGCUGCACCGCCUCACCCGAGCGACCACCCGAGCCGCUCCCACUGCUCCAGACCCGAACGCUGCCUCGGCUCCACCCGAGUCGGAUCUGCCCCUCCGCCGCGACGCCUUGCCACCGUCUCCGGACGCCGCUGCUCCGCGCCCCCGAAGUUGCGACGCCGCCUGCACUCGCGUGCCUCCAGCUCUACUCCGUGCCUCCUCCUCUGUCGCUGCCCAAUCUGUAGCUCCGAACUGUUGUCCCCUGUGCGAGCAGCCCGCGGCGAUAGCACCACCGUCGACCCGCCGCACCUCCGCCUCAGCCCCGCCGCGACCCGCCUCCUCGACGACCCCGACGCUCGCCGCUGCUGCAGAUCGCGAUGCCAGCAGCCCGUUGAAGCCUCCGCAGCGUCGCUGCUGUUCUGCCCGAGUCCGCUGCUGCCAACGCCGCCGGUCCGCCCUCGCCUGAGCUCCGACGACUACGCCCACUCCGACGGUGACCUCCGGUGAACCACGAGCAAGCUGUGCGUGGGAAAAGAGAAAGAAGAAAACAACAAAAAAAAGGAAAAAGACAAAAGGGGAACAUUAGGUAGUUUUUUUAUUUAUUAUUAUCUUUACUUUUUUAUAUAGUUUAUAGUUCCUUUUUAUAUAUUUUUAGUGUGAUUAUUCAUUAACACAUGAUUGAAGUUCCAAUGUGAAAUAACCCCUCAAAUUAGGGAUUAGGAGUCCGAUUUUCGCGCCCGAAAUCCGACUCAUAAUCUCUUGCAAAAAUUGACAAUUCAAUCUCAUGCCCGAGAUUCGAUUCGCGAUUUAAUUUAAAAUUGACCAACCCGAUCUCAUGCGCGAGAUAUGGUUCGUCAAUUUUGGGUAUUAAUCUUAUCUUGAUUGGAUUGGAUAUCGGGUUAUUUGAAUUAACUUUUUUUUUUGCAUAAAAAAAUUCAAAAAAAAAAUAUAAUGCGAGUUAGAUUACGGCUAGGGUUAGCAUAUUUAGUUAUUUUGUCUAAAAAAAAAAUCAAAAAAUGCAUUUAGGAUAUUAGUUUUUUUUUUUAAGAAUUGCACGUGUCAAUUUAGAAUAGGAUUUUUGAUUUCAAAUUUUUACAAAAAAAAACCAAAGAAAAAUUAAUUAAUUUAGGAUACUAGUUUUUUUUAGGUUGCAUAAUAGGUUUUUCAAAAAUGCAUGUUUUAGAAGAAAUAACAUGUCCCUCUAAUUUUCACUCUAGUAGUUUUUUUAUUACAACUUUUCAUAAAAAAAUCAUCAUGCAUUUUAGAAUAGAAUUGCCUGUCUCAUUUUAAGUUUAUAUCAAUUUGUAUCUUUGGUUAGAAAUGAAUAGAUUAAAAUAACGUCUUAGUUUAAAUUAGGAUUUAGCAUGACUUAAUCCUAAGCUUAAACUGGAUGGAAUUUUAAUUUAGCUAGGUGAUUUUUGCACUUUUCUUGAUUUCGCAUAUCAUGAAAAAUACAAAAAAAAUUUUCUUUAGAUAAAUUAGUUUCAAGUUGUAGGAUAAAUUGCAUUUUUAAGGAAUAGAAAUAUCAUGUGCACGUCAUGUAGAAUUAGGUUCAUAUAAUCAAAAAUUGCCCGUCAUUAUAAUUAUGGCAUUUUAAUUUGCAUAUUUAAUUAUUGCAUGUUCAUUAAGAAAACAUAAAAAAAAAAAAUAUUUUACUCACGUCAUGUAGUUUAGAAAACAUCGUCAUGCCAUUCCAUGUUAGAUUAAUAGCAUGCAUUGCAUAUUGCACGAUUCCCAUUAAGUAAGUAAAAACCAAAAAAAAAGGGAAAUUGCAUGUUAAUUAGAAAUCAUAUCUAGGUCUGUUGAUGUGAAUUCUGAUCUAACAAUGCAGAUGCUUUCGUUGCUAUGAGGUAAGUCCUGCGAUUUAUUCAUCGUUUUCUUGGGUGUUAAAUUGGUGGUUUGCACAUCCGCAUGAUCACCUCACAUGUUAGGAUGAUAAAUUAAAAUCAAUUCAAGCUGCCUGCAAAAUAUUUUUUUCAAAUAAAAAGAAAUGGUACCGAAAGGGCAUUAGAGAAAUCUAGUGUAACCAAGUCCCCAAACUCACAAUCUCUAGUUCGUAGGAGUGAAGUAAUUCUCCCAUUACUUUACUUGGGUUUCUAAUCGACCCACCAAAAAUAGAUUAGUGGCGACUCCAUGAUAAACAUCAUUUGCAUAUUAAGAACUUGAACCUAAGUCACGAAUUGGUAUGGGAAUAGAAGAAGAAGAAGUAGAUUUUGAAUAGAAGGCAGGCAAUUUAAGAAAUUGUUCAAGAAAUUAUGGUCUAUUAUUAAAAGAUAUGCCAAAAAAUGGAACGCUAUUUACUGUCCAUUAUUAAAAGAUUUGCAUCUUGGAUAAUGUUUCAUUGGUCCAUAAGUAAUGAUUUUUUGAAAAUAGUCGCGGGACAAGUUAUUAAAGCCAACUAGAUUGUCCCAUCCAAGAAUUACAAAUGGGGAUUAUUUUUUUGAUGGCCAAAGUUUCGUUUUAUAUUGAUCUAAUCCAAGGAGCACUAAUAAGUCUAAUUUGGCUAAAAAAAGAAAAAAUAAUAAGUUUACCUCUCUAGUCACUGAUUAUUUGUCUUGGUCUUUUAUAGUGGUUUGAGUAUUGGUCUUUUUUUUUUCCUCUAAAAAGAGUCUUAGUCUUCAUUACACCUUCCAGUUGGCUAACAUGGAUAUGAGCUUAGAUUGUGACAUUCUUCCCAAGAUUAAGAGUUAAUAAUUGCCUUUUAAAAGUUGGUCGCAAAAAAACAAUAAAAAGAAGAAAGAAGAUUUCGAUUAGAAGGCACGCGGUUUAAGAAAUUGUUCGAGAAAUUAUGGUCUAUCAUAAGAAUAUAUGCCAAAAAAUGGAACACUAUCUACCACCCAUUAUAAAAAGAUUUGCAUUUUGAAUAAUAUUUUAUUGGUCCACAAACAUUGACUUGUCAAAAAUAGUCACCAGACAAGUUAUCGAAGCCAACCAGAUUAUUCUGCCGAAAGAAUACCAGAUUAUUCUGCCGAAAGAAUCAUAAAGGAGUUUUUUUUUUUCUUUUAAUGGCCGACCAUGAUCAAAUUUUAUCACGCUUUCAUUUUAUAUCGAUUUAGGUAGAGGAAAACUAAUAAUUUUUUUUUGGGUACCUAGGAACCUCCGUGCGCCGCUUCGCGGUGGAGUAAAUCCUGGAAAACUAAUAAUUUUUCUUUUUUUGGUACUUAGGGAACCUCCGUGCGCCACUUCGUGGCGGAGUAAAACCUAGAGGAGCAAGAGAGUCACCACUACCCUUUCUACCCCGAGCAAGUUGUGGGUUCCUUUCCAACAAGGCAGACAAUGCAAGGAUUCGAACUCCAUACCUCUCUCGAAAGGAACUGAAGCUCAACCACUACGCCGCCACCACAGAUGGUGAGGAAAACUAAUAAAUUCGAUUUAGCUAAAAGAAGAAAAAUUGCUUCGCUAGUCAGUGAUUAUUCAUCUUGGUCUUUUAGGGUGUGUUUGGUAAAAUUUCUAUUAAAAAAUUGUUCAAGGGAAUAGAAAUAAAAAAAAAACUAUUUAUAUUAUGGGGAAUAAUUUUUGAACAAAAGAACGUGUUUAGUAAAUUUGUUCUUGGAAUAGAAUAGAAUAGAAACACAUUUGGUAAACUUGUAUACUUUUUUUGUUUCUUUUAAUUUUUUAAUAUUUUAUUUUAUUUUUCCUUUUUUAUUUUUUAUAUUUUCCUUUUUCCUUUUCUUUUUUCUUCCUUUUGGCCGGUUGCCGGCCUCGGCCAUAGCCAGCGACCGAUCGUUGAGGGCCAGUGGCCUCGCCAGCCCCCGGCGACACUCGACAAGGUUGCCGACCAAAGAAAAAAGAAGAAGAAAAGAAAGAAAAGAAAAAAAUAGGAGAGAGAAAAAUUGUUUAUUGGAAGUGUUUCAGGAACAAUAAACAAGUUUUUCUUGUUUCUUGUUUCCGUUCUAAAUUUGUUCCCAAUAACAAAAAUAUAGAUUUGGAACAAAAACGCAAACAAACUCGUUUCUAUUCUUUUUUUGUUCCGAUAGAAAUUGUAUUCAUAAACACGGACUAGGAACACAAACAAACAGCCUCUUAGGGUGCGUUUGGUAAUAUUUUUGUUCAAAAAUUGUUAUAGGGAACAAAAAUAGAAAAAAUUAUUUCUAUUCCGAAGAAUAAGUUUUGAACAGAAUAAUGUGUUUGGUAAACUUGUUCCUGGAAUAGAAUAAGAACAGAAACAUGUGUUGGUAAACUUGUAUAAUUUUUUUAUUUAUUUAUUUUAGUUUUUUAGUAUUUUUAUUUUCUUUUUCUUUUUUUUUCUUUUUUCUUCCGUUUGGUCGGUUGCCGGCUUUGGCGAUGGCUGGUCACUGGCCAACGAGGGCCGGCAGCCUCACCUAGCCACGACGAGGCUUGCUAGGGGCCGGCGACGCUCCGACAAGAUUGCCAACCCUCGACGGCGUUGGUGGCCCUUGACAGCCGGUCGCCGGCUAUGGUUGAGGCCGACAAUCAGUAAAAGAAAAAAGAAGAAGAAAAGAAAGAGAAGAAAAAAUUAUGAGAGAGAAAAAUUGUUUAUCGGAAGUGUUCUAAGAACAAGAAACAAGUUUUUUCAUUUCUUGUUUUUGAGAAUAAAUUAUGUUCCAAAUUUAUUCUUAGAAACAAAAUAAUAGAUUUAGAAUAAAAAUAUAAAUAAACGCGUUUCUGUUCUUUUUUUGUUUCCUUGAACAAAAAAAUAGAAAUCGUGUCCAUAAACACGGACUAGAAACACAUACAAACAGCCCCUUAUAAUGGUUGAAGUCUUGGUCUUAGUUUUUUAUUUUUUUCGCUGGAGAGUCUUAGCCUUUGUAACAUCUUCUAGCCUUUCUAACAUGGAUGGGACCUUAGAUUGUGACAUUCUUCCAGGGUUAAAAAUCAAUAAUUGCCUUUUAAAAGUUGGUAGCAAAAAAGGAAAAAAAAUACGAAGAAGAAGAUUUUGAAUAGAAGGCAUGUGAUUUAAGAAAUUCUUCAAGAGAUUAUGGUCCAUUAUUAGAAGGUAUGCCAAAAAAUGGAACGCUAUUAACUGUCCAUUAUUAAAUGAUUUGCAUAUAAGAUAAUGCUUUAUUCGUCCACAAUCAUUGAUAUUUCAAAGAUAGUUGUGGGAUGAGUUAUUGAAUACAACGGAUGAUGGGAAUUAUAUUUCGAUGGCUGAUCAUAAUCAAAUUUUGUCACACUUUCAUUUUAUAAUGAUUUAGGCAGAAGGUAACAAAUAAGUUUGAUUUAGCCCAAAAAAGAAAAAUUAAUAAGUCUGCCUCACCUGAUUAUUUGUCUUGGUCAUUGGUUUGAGUCUUGGUCUUUGACUCUUUGGUUUUCUUUUUCUUUUUUUUCUGCCAUAAAGAGUCUUGAUCAUUGUUACAUCUUCCAGCUGGCUAACAUGGAUGGGAUCUUAAAAUGUGACGUUCUCCCCGAGGUUAAGAAUCAAUUAUUGCCUUUUAAAAUAUGGUUGUGGGUAAUGAUAGAGAAAUAUACUAUUUUAAAUUGAUUAUUGUAGGGUAAAAGAACGGCAUAUAUAAUAUUAUUUCAAUUUAAAAAACAAAAUUAGAUAGGAAUACUAAUUUUGUCGUACUUACCCAAUAUCAUCAUUAGAUUUCUCCACCAUCUUUGAAAUGUAGAAGAACUUACAAAAUUUUUGUGAAAACACUUAAUUGCAAAAGUUUUCGGUGAUUGGGGCUUUUUUUGAAAUUCAGAUAACUUUAGGAUGACUGGAGUAGAGCUUGAACCUACACAUUAUCAAGGAACCUGUUGAACUACUUAACUUAAUCCUCUUCGAACACUAUCUUAUGAAUGUGCAGAUUCACAAAAAGACAAAAUGGGCUUAAAUGAUGAGAAUAAAUCGAUUUGUGCUUUUGCUCUUUGAUUUGUUUGAGAAUCUGGUUAUCUCACCGAACCUUUCAUUUAUCAUCCUAUCUUUGCAUCAAAUCAUUUUCCCUUGCGUUCGCUCUCGCACUUGCCCAUCCACUACUAUAAGUGACUAAUUCCACAAAUCGCUCUGAGUAUUUGGUUUGUGAUAAACAACUACAAAGAUGGCAGAUUACUAGAAGGGCGACGAUACUUUAUUCUACCGAAAGAGGAUGAUUAGGAUGAACCCUUUGCCUUCACCUCCCUGUCUCACCCAACUCUUGGGGGGUUGUGGAGAAGAUGAAGAAGCAUUACACGAUCGGUCGGAUGAAAUCAAAGGGAAUCACUCCCAAAGUUUUUUGUCUUUGCAUUCUGAUGAAUUGCCUUUGCCAAUUUUAAAAGGUCCAAUCUUGAACUCGAACCCACAACCGUGAGCUUUUAACACUUCGAUCAAUGGAAGACACAAGCUGGGAACUAGAUGUUGUCCUAGCCUAAGUCGCCCAUAUGUUGUCACUUAUAAAUCCUUGACAUGUAGCUUACAUUGCAUAGGCAAAUGGAAAAUAAAGCAACGAUUUUAUUAAUGAAUAUAAUGUGAUUUUACUGUCCAUUAUUAAAAGGAUUUGCAUUUUGGAAAUCUUUUAUUGGUUGACAAUCACUAACUUUUCAAUGAUAGUCAUGGAAAGAGUUGCUAAUGAAUUCGAAAGGAUCAUAAAUGGGGUUUACUUUUUUUGUUGGCCAAUCAUAAUGAAAUUUUGUCGUGCUUUCAUUUUAUAUUGAUCUAGACCAAGGACGACUGAUAUAACUUAUUUAGCCGAAACAUCUUCCAGUUAUAUCUAGAUAACGUGGAUGGAACCUUAGAUUCCGUUUGCUUCAUGGAAAACAUUAGAUUAUGUGAUUGCAUCAAGGAAUAAACCAAACCCUUUACCAACAGAGAGGCUGUAAUCAUCAGUGAACGGAAAUAUUGGUACGUUUCCUUCAUUUAUGAGAUUGUUGUAGCCUCGAAAGUUCAAGAAUACAUCAUAGGCACCACAUCCCCUAUACAUUGGUGUCGUAGAGACGAACGUAGAGGUAGACGCUCCACCGGUGCAUAAGUAUUGCUUCCACUCUUUUUCCUUGUCUUGAGAAGACUAUAAGCAGACCACUAAAAGAACGCCCCAAGACUGAACCGAUGGCAUUUCGUUUUUUUCGUUGAUCUGGUUCUUCCCUUUAUCUAUAGGGGGCGAAAAUAGAGGUUCAACAAACUUCAGGGCCGAAAACGGAAUUUUGAAAAAAUAAUUGAAAAAAUAAGGCUCCAAUCUCUCCCAUUCUCCAGCGUAUAUAAAGAAAUAGGAAGCGGAAAGCAUCGUGAAUCCCACCAUCGCUGGGAACCUUUUUCGAAAAGAGCACUUCGAGCGCGCUCUCUCCAGAGAGAGACUAGCGAUCGAUUCGAUUCGAUUUCGGCUCAUGCAUCAUCGAUCUCGAUUGAUCCGAAUCGUGUCGAACGGGUUGAGAUUCCAUGGAGGAUCGGGGCUUGGAGGAGGUAAGAGAAAGCUCGGGUUGCUGAGCUUGGCUCUCGAGUUCGGCUUCGACGAGCAAUCUGCCAGCAAGUGCUUGGGACAAUAUUUUAAUUACUUCGUCGUUCAUUUUUCAUGCUGAUUAGCGCUUGCAGAGGUUAUGUAGGUAUUUUAUCGUCCACCACGAUGGGGAUGGCCGUGGAAUAGUCUGCUCUAGGUCUGAAUAGAUUGGACCUGGUUUAGCCAAGUAGACUUGCUAACGAGCGAAAUGUCUGGCAUGGUUCCAGUUUGAUGUGUUGAGGUUGCUUCGGAUGGUGGUUCUUCUUUGUUAUUAGCCGAAUCGCAUGGUAUUUGGUGAAUAGAGAAUGACAAUUGCUUUCGUCGUGUGGAUAAUUCGUGAAUUGAUUGAUUGUGCAUCCCUGAAUAAGGAGACUUAUUGUGGUUAGUCGUCAUUCUGAUGAUGGCUGUGGAGUGGUCUACCUUUUGGAUUUGAAUGGACCAGAGCUGGUUAAAUCUAGUUCAUUGAAUAGAUUGGAGCUGGUUUAGUGAAGUAGUUUUGCUGACAGGUAAAACGUCCGGCACCAUUCCAGUUUGAUGUGUUUAGGUUACUUUGGGUGGUAGUUUUUCCUUGUUUAUUGGCCAAAUUGUGUGAUAUCUGGUCAUUAGGGAAUGACAUAAUUGCUUUUGUUGUGUAAAUAAUUUGUAAAUUGAUUGAUUGUGCAUUGCUAAUAAGGAGAUUUAUCAUGGUUGGUCACUAUUCUGAUGAUGGCUAUAGAAUUGUCUAUUUCGGAUUUGAAUGGACCAGAGCUUGUUAAAUUUAGUUCAUUGAGCCUUAGGCUCAUCCCUGUAUCUUUGUAGGUUUGGCGGAGUGGUCCUAUUGACUGGUGAACUGUCUGGCUUAUUUCUGAACUCACUGCAAAUUACAAGUGGUGUCUCACAUUAAUAUUAAUAUCGUGUCUCACUGAACUAAGUUCAAAUUACAUAUUCGUAGAUUGUAUUUAUUUGAUCUCUUGUUUGCCAUGAAACUUGCAAAAUCAUCUAUUUCUUCUUUUGGUUUUCUUAAGGGGACGAAGGUGGAGAGUUUAUCACUUUGGAGCACUGUGGUGAUGACUUCCUCGUAGAACUUGCUGAAACCAUGCAAGAUUCUGGGGAUUGGGAUGGUUUGCAAGCUGUGGAAUCAGAAGCUUGUGGAGUUUUGAAUGAUAAAUUUGGCCAAGUUUGUAGUGUUUUGGCAGCAAAUGCAAUGUUAUACACGAUGUCAAUGUUAUAGAAGGUUCUCCACAACCUGAGAAAAGCCAAAUUUUUUUGAGGUGGAUUCCUCUACUGAUGGUGAAGACCAAGACAACAUCUUUGGUAGUAAAAUGUGCAGGAAAUCCACAUGCUAUAUUCCUGACCAAAGCAGUACCCUGGGCAAUACAUCCACUCAACUUCUGGCCAAACGAUCUUUAGAAUCCAUGGUAUGCUUCUCCCAUGGACAUAGAAAUACUGCCAAACCACCUAGAUCAGUGUUUCACUGUUCUUUUCUCUUAUAAUUUAUUCUCUCCUUGAUCAUUUCCAAUUUGCUUGUGACUCUGCACACAGCAAAGGACCUACACAAUGUACAUGUAUAAAAGCAUUUUGUAAAUUGCUUAUGAGGCCUCUCAUCCAAUCAAAUGUCCAGUAGACACUCCUAACUUUUGCCAAUUACUUCCACAAUCUUCAAGAUCUAAACAUAUUAGAACUCUUUGGUCAAUAAAGAAAUUGCUUUCAGUUUUGGAAGAUGUACAAAUACCAAUGUUUCUCAAAUACUAUAACAGUAUAGCAAAUCAUCAAAGUGUGGACUUAGCAAUCCAGCAUCAUCGAAAGGAAUAUGUUGUGUAAACGGUGGCUUGUGAUUUCUUUGUGCUCAUUAUUCAUUUUCCAUGACAAUCCAUGUCAGAAACUAUUAUGGUGUUGAAGAGGCUUAUUUAUGUUGAAGGAUUGUAAGAGCACUAUUACCUAAGGUUCAAUAUCGUCAGUUUCAAAUAAGAGACAUUGCCCUUGGAUUUCAACUUCUAAACAAGGGACUCUGAGUUAAUUAGGAAAUGCAAGCCAUGGAUGACAUAAAAUUGGCAAAUGUUGUCAUAUUUGGAAACAAGACAUUUUGACCACUGCAGCAUCAGGCUUGUAAAGCUUCUGGAGCCAAGUAAGAUUGCUCUAUUCUCAUGCCCACUGGAGGUGGUAAAUGUUUAUGUUACCAGGUUAGUGAAUGUUAACAUUGUCUCAGCUUUGUAAUGAUUGUAUGUAGAAGAAAGUGGAGACAAUGUUUAGAGCACAAGUCCUGUGCACUUUGCUCAAUGGUUCCACCAACUAAAUGUAAAAUGGUCCAAAAUUUAAGCUUUGACAUGAUCUUCUAAGCUUCUUUGUUUAGCAUUGCUGAGAAGGUUGUGAACUUGAGGUAGAAAAUGUUUUUCAAAUGAAAUUUAAGCGAUAGGAAGUGACUCAGGUACAUAAUGGGUUCCAAUGUGUGGCAUGAGACAAAAUUAGAAAAGAAGAAAAUACAGUACAUUAUUGUUCUGUCUUCACACAUCCCUAUCUGAUAUGCAAUUUCUGGAAUUUAAAGUUUGUACUAUGCUUCUAGGACCUUCUAAUCACUUACUGAAAAAUUCAUCUUGUUUAUACAUGUACAUGUUGUUGUCAAUCAUAAUAAAGGUCCAUUUCAAAAGGGUUACUAAGUCAGAGGAAUAAGUUUUCAAAGUACUUCCACCAAAUAUGGUUCUAGAUUUCGAUAUUUCCUCACAAUUAUUGGCUAUGCCAUUAUCUCGCAAGGGUUGAUGAUCUACGACUUCUUUUUUCCCAUAAUUGGUUAGAAAUUAAUGUCCCUUAAUAUACAAUGGAUCCUGGUAGCAUGCAAAAUAUUUGAUUUACUGAAUUAAGGGCAAAGAGAUUAAUCUGGAUUUAUCAAGUUGAAUUUUUUCUAAGUGUUUUUUGUUCAUUAUUGAAGUAGUUGAUAUAUUUUCUAGCUGAAAGUAAUUAUAAGACAAUUAGUGACUAUGGGUCCUUCUUGAUCUGCUGAUGGUGAAAGAAAUGAUAAUUCCCUCAUCCCUUCCUCAUCCCUUCCUUUCUUCAUGUGCUCUUCUGAUGUCUUUACCUUCAUUUCAGCUGCCAGUAACUCUUAUACCAAGUAUCGCAGUUGUUGUAUCUCCCUUGCUAUUUCUCAUACAAGAUCAAAUAAUUACUCUAACCCUCUAAGUACGGAAUACCAUUUACUUUCUUGAACUCUCAACAAACUGCUGCCCAAGCAGCAGCUAUCCUCCAAGAACUAAGGCAAGGUUUAGCUAUAUUGGACUUCUAAAACUUCUAUUCUGAGUGUUGUGACUAUCAAAUUAUUAAUCUCCCCUUCUGCUUUGCCUACCUUUUCAGAAAAGAUAAAUCAUCAUGCAAGCUAUUGUAUGUGACUCCUGAAAGGAUUGUGGGAAACCCAUCAUGCAUAGAAAGGUAUUGUUUCUUAUGCACCAUAACUUUUUCGAAAAGGUUCUCUAUAAAUUUUUUAUAUUCAACCAUCAUGCAUUGUGGGCAGAACUAGCUGUUUUCGUUGUUGAUGAGGCACAUUGCAUGAGGUAAGAGUAAUCUUUGGCACACUUUGUACAUGACGAAAGAUCAUGCUAGAGUUACUUCGAAAGGAAUGGCUAUUUUCGAUGUAGCCACUGCAAAACUAUUGUCCUUAUUUCUGAUAAAUAUAAGCAAGUUAACUUUUAUAUAUGCCAACUUAAACUCUUUUUCCAAAUUUUUUUUGCAUUUUCUGUGUUUCUCGCCAAAUUAAAUUGUCAGUGUUACAUUAGACCUUCUGAAAUCCAAACCCCUGUGAAGUUCUAAUAUAACAGAAUGUAGUGUUCCUUGUUUGAACUUUGGAAAGGAUCUAGGUUCUGUCAUUUGGGAACACUUGGUGGCACAUCAUUCAUUAUAUUGAGUAAAGAACACGCAACUUAAAUAAGCUCCAAUGGAGAUUACUUCCUAAAGUAAUUAGAACAGGCAAAAGCUUGGAUAAGGAUCCCAUCUCUUGUCUAUGUUUGGGAUGAUACUCAGUCACUUAAGCUGAUUCUUUAGUCCCUAUUUAUUCUAUUAACGGUUACACUAGAUGCUAACAACUUGAGAAAGACAAAGGUUCACUCAUGUGGUCAUUGAUUGUGUUUCUCAUAAGGUCUUAACUGGAAUUGCUCUGCCUGUGUGAUCUCAUGAAAUGAACGUACUGCUGGUUUGAGCUUUUCUUGUAUAUUUGACUGAUUAAGCAAGGCUCAUUGAUUGUCACAUUUGUGGUUGUCAUUAUUGAAGUCAAUGGGGACAUGAUUUUCGUCCAGAUUAUAGGGGACUGGGAUGUCUCAAGCAAAACUUUCUGUAUGUGCCAGCAAUGGCCUUAACUGCAAGUGCCACUCAUCCAAUUCGUGAGGUACUAAACUUACACAUUAACCUCCAGAUUAUGUUGAAAUAAUCAUUUGGGACUGAUUGAAAUGCGCAUCCGUUGCAGGAUAUCCUCAAAGAUCUCAGGAUCCCCAUGCUCUUGUUCUUGAGACAAGCUUUGAUAGACCAAAUCUAAAAUAUGAGGUCAUAGCUAAGACCAAACAACCAUUGGAACAGCUUGGAAAGCCGCUAAAGAAUCGUUUUGCUAAUUUUUAUGGCAUAGUAUAUUGCCUUUCGAAGAGUGAAUGUGUUGAUGUCGCAAAAUACUUGAAUGAGAAGUGGCAUAUAAAGAUGGUGUACUAUCAUGAUGGAUUAGCUGCCUGUCAAAGCAAAAAGAAAUGGCAUAAUGGAGAGGUCCAGAUUGUAUGUGCUACCAUUGCCUUUGGGAUGGGAACAAACCUGAUGUUGUAAGUCGAAAUGGACUCUGCCCUUUGCCUAUUUCCUAUGUUUUAGAAGCAAGCUGACAUGCUGGAAAAUACUCGGCUAAUCAACUUUUCUUCUAAUACUUUAGUUUCACUGGUGGUUUCAUAGUGCGCUUGAAAGUACACUUUGCUUGUUCCAUCGUCCAGUGACCUACUAAAUUCUGUCCUUCUGUCAAUCUUGCAUAGUGAUUGCAGAAACUAGUGAAUUAUGUAUUGAUUCGAGUCAAAUUCUUUCUUCCAUGGAUGGAAAGUUGCUGCCCUGUAAUUAGUCAGACUUGGUUAAAGUUCUUUUCUUUACUCUAAAGCGGCAAAUGACUCCGAUCUAACUUGACAUUCAGUCUGACCUCCAGCUAUAAUGCUUGUCAUAUGUCGACUUAUUUUUGUUGAUUCAGCAAUUAUUUUUUAUGGCAUGAUGGUUAAUCAUGAUGCUGAUUGCAAAAUAAGAAGACUGCUUUCAUUUGUAGGAUUUGAUGUUGAGAUCUACUUCGUGAUUGAUUUCAUUGUUUAGAACUUUUUUGUGGCCAAAUGUUGCUUAAGCCUCUAUUUUGGGGUUCUUUAAUGCCCUAGUUUCCUCAAUUCAUCUAUUUCGAUUCCACUUCGUUGUACGAUUCAACAUAUGGCAAAAUCUAAAAUCUUGUGCAAGGGUUUUAAAUAAACUGAGCUUGCCAUAGUCACAUUUUGAUUUGAGGAUGGUUUUCAUAUUCUGGUACCAUCCCGUCGAGCUCGGAGUUACAAAAAUGAGGAAAACCAAAAAGCCUGAAGCGAAACGUCUUUAAUCCUGUCAAAACUUACAUAGUUAUUGUUCAAAUGACUUUAAUUUAUAGGAUCUUGAUGUAAAUUGUGAUAGAAACUUCAAAAACUAUCCACCGGUGGGCAAUUGCACUGAUUGGGCUCUACUACCUCAAUGCCGAGGGAAUGAGUUCGAAUUUCCGUGGUGCUAACACAUCUUAAGUGGGGGGCUAUGGUGAUGGGAUCCCGUGCUAGCCUCCCUUUAGGUAUAGUUGGUGGUUUCCGUUGGGCCUGUUGGGCUUGCGGCGGCUGUGAGCACUUGUAAUGUAUGCUAGGCCAGAUCUUGGAUAUCAAAAAGAAAAGAAAAGAAAAGAAAAGAAACUUCAAAAACUAUGCUCAAAGCAAAUCCCUGGCAUGAAAUUGAAGCUGAAGGAAGAAAGGUACAAAAACCCAUGAACAGAACCGAAUCAGUUCACUUGGUUAACCAUGUUCAUCCAGUUAUUCGGUCGAUUCACGGUUUUCCAACUUCAAAUCAAUUCAGCCAAUUAGGUCGUGACUAAUGUUCUAGGAGUGGUCAAACACAGAGCUACUGUCCUUUGGAUAAAUUUGUCUAGACACUGAUUAAACAACUAAAUAAAUAAAGUGUAGAGUCAAUAUAUUGACUUGCGACUUUUCUCGUGUAAUGUUGGACUGAUAUUCUGAAAAUUAAAUUAUUUCAUGUUAAGUACGUUUAACAAGUAUUUCAACACGACCUGCAUUAUAUAUGUGUUAGUACUAGUGGAUUCAAACUUGGCUUAAAAAGCUACCUGGCCUUAUCUUGAGCUCUUUUGAGUCAAAGUUUGAGUGGACAAGCAACGAAUCAGACUCUUAUGAGUACCUUGUGAGUAGCUUUCAACUAUUAAAAUUCCACCACGAUAAUCAAGUAUAGAUUUUAGGUAUACCAAGAGUGGCCUUAAAGAAAUUGCUUCGAUUGAAACUUGAACGCGUGAUCGGUGACCACAAUGGUGUAGAAGAGUGUGAUUAUUAACCAAUUAGAUGACCCUUUAAGUUUUUCAAUCAAGCCAAAUGAGUACAAAUUUUGGGAAGGACUCUUUUCCCCCUUCCAAAAAUUUUGCCUACAUUUUUCACUAGUCUUCAACUAUAGCCAAUGCCAAAAAAAAAAAAAAAUUGUUUCAGGUACGAAAAUGUACAUGGCUAAUGUCCCUUUCUGCUUUUGGAUUCGUGCGUAAAUAAAUUAAGUUUGGGAUUGUACGAUCAAAGUGAUUACAGAAUGCCUAUAUAUGAAUUUUUGGGUGUAAUCAGAUGAGAGAGAUGAUUUUACGCUAAUGAAGGCUUUUAUUUCGCAUUCAAAAUUCUUUCAAAUGAAAAACUACUUUCUUCUUGAAAACCAUUUCCCUGAAACUCCUGGCGGCAAUUGACAGAUUAUUUGUAGACUCCACGGCAUUCAUUCACUUUUCCCACAAAAAGAUUGUCUCCCAGUCACUAAAUUGUAGCUUGAAGUGGACAUCUAACUGGUAAUGUUGUUAACAAAUCUCAGUUUAUGCUUAACUUACACAUAUAGAACCACCUGCACAUGCGAUACGUUAUUUGGCCAUUGCUAAAAAAUAGCAUGACAUCAAAGCUUUGCGAAGGACUAAAACACCACAUGAGAGGGAUCGCUUUAUGUCAAGAAUCAUUUGAAGAGCAUUAACAACACGGUUAAAUGAUAAACGCCAAUAGCAAAGAACUUCGGAAUGCCUUUCCAUAACGACAAAGCCCAUUCCUGCCCGUAUCUCCACCCGUGGUGUUUGGGGACUUUCUCCAAGUUUCAAUGAAUGCAGCUUGAAUCUACACAUGGAGGAUAUGACUGACUCAUUAUCAGUAAAUGAAGAUAUGCAAGAUCGCAGCAUCAUAAUUUACCCCAUGAAAGAUAAGGUACAAAUGAGUAAACAUCAUUUACACCAAUCGCAGUUGGACCGCAAGUAACAGAGACUUCAUUAGCUGGCCAAUGAAAAAGAACACGACAGGCUUAAAAGAAGUAAGCAACUAGCAACAACACUUUCCUUGUUUGUGUUCAGGAACAGAAUUGAUGUUAAUAAAAUUAUGCUGUAAAGGUGAAGUGUCUAAAUUACGUAAUAGAAAGAUGCAUUUGUUACUUGGUCAUUGGCAAUAUCCAAUCAGCAAAAAUCAGCGAUUUGGAAUAAUUUGUGAGGAGGUCUUACAAAUUCAAUACCGCACAAAUGAGGACUGAGCUUAUCAAAUCAGAAACCUAUAGAACAACAUUCAAACCAUAUCAUUACACAAAUAAACUGAUAGAAAUGGGGGAGCUUAGUAGUGCAUACCUCCCUCUGCAAAGCCUCAUCGAGUUCAGAAGGGACAUCAUUAGAAUGCAACCGCAUCAAAGAACACUGCAUCAGGGUAACGUACAGAAAAAUCAGCAGCUACUCAUUUGAUAAGCAAAGAGGUAGAACUUAACGAGCAUACAGAAAGUAGAUUCAAUUUUUUUUUUUUUAAAAAAAAAAACUACAUUUACUAUCAUUCAUGUAUUUGCUAUUGUGACCAGACCAAGUGUUUUGGAUCUUCACAAGCAUCAAAACUUCCUUGGCUGCUGCUGACGCUUCCUCUGCAAAAUCCCUUUCGUUCAUUUUUAUCGGUCUUAGGUAUGGAAUUUGAAGUUCCUCAGCCAAGUGGGCCACAUCCAAAUCAGUCAUGUGAUAAAACAAUUCCAUGACAACAAUAAGACCAAAUGAGAUGUAAACUAAUUAGAAAAUUCUUGAGCUCCUCUACCCAUCUUGUUUCAUAGACGGGUAAAAAAUUGUCCAAUUAUGCAAAAGGUCAUCUAUACAGCUGAUUGAAUUGAAGUCCUGAAGUAAGCCUUGAUCAUUACAUACACCAACUGAACCUGUCACAGAAGCUGCACCAGUUUACCUUGCUUGAUAAUAUUUCAAAAAAACAGUUUGAUCAUUGGUAAUGCUAAGAGGGUAUACAUUCAUAUAUGACAGACUAGCCAAAACUACUAAAACUUCUUUUUUUUAUCACCAACUAGAAACAGUUGAACCUUAUAUUUAUUUUAGCUCAGUUCAUCAUACCAACUGGGAAUUGAUGCUUUUCUUAGAAGGUUCAAGAUGAACAUCAAGGGAACAUUAAGAAACUUGAUAGGGUUUUGGUUCAUCUGCCAUUAGUCAAAUUUGACACGAGAACUCACAAAGGAACUCAAAAUGGCCAGGGAUUUUUUCCAAAGAAAAUGUGAAUUUUGGGCAGGGAAAUUAUGGGCGUAGUUUACAAUAUUGAGUAGCAGAAGAUCAUCAGCCUCUAGGAAAAAUUUCAAAUCCCAGGUUUACCUAGGGGGAAACUAUAAAUCACUAGGGAAUUCUUAUUUACCUAUGUUUGAUAUUUUCAUCCUUGCCUCACAAGCCACUAAUCUGUUUGCAGUUUACAAAAGCUGCCAAUGGAACGAUAAAUGAAAAGCAUUGCUAUAACGUAAGCAACAACAAUAUAUGUAGGCAAAUCCAGAGUUUCCAAAAUCAAUCCAGUAGAUACCCGAUGUGGUGCAAAUCAUUCUAAAAAAGAUAGAACUUCAAGAAAAAUAUUACUCUAUUCACUCAAGCUGGCCGUUCAAGGAUGAAGAAACUUACUAUCUUCUAUUUACAUUUGGGUCUACAUUUUUAUCUUGGCUGAAGGAUCAUGCCAACUUCUAUGAGCAACUCCCCCACUCCUUCAAUUAUGUAAGGCUAGCAAUUUAGGAAAGUGCAGAACCCUGUCAUGGAAAACCUUCUUGUCAAAAGAAGAUAGUGAUGAAAAGUAGGUCAUGAAUAACAGAAGAAAAAUGAUAGUUUACUGCUUAUUUACCUCUGUUGAGGAAACCUCACCCCAUGAGUCAAAAGACAGCUCUCGUUCAUGAUUUCUAAAGACACGUGUUCUCGUAUUGCUUCCAAUGAGUUACAACCAAAAAUAUCCAAAUCAAUGAAAUCCAACUUUUCAAGUCCCUGAACCUGAGUAAGUUUCUUGCAAUAUCGAACUCUUAGAGAUCAUAACUUCUCACAUGCCAUCAAUUUGGCGUAGUCUCCAUUGAUUUGCAUCCUGCAAAAUCCAACUCUUCUAAGAACUUUGCACCGUAAAGACCUUGAAUUUCUACUAUAUUGUUGCACCCACAGCCGCUAAUUUCUUCAAACAUCAUGAUUCUGGACAGAGAAGCCUUCUAAUGUAAUUGCGGUCAUAUAUAAAUAUGACCUCCAAGAAUGCCAAAUUAUCAUGGCCUUGAAUUUCAAUUAGGCUAUCGCAAUGCUCAAGGCGUAAUCGUUUCAGACGAAUCGAUUGUGAAAGGUUCAAUCUUUCAAUGGAACUGCACUUUUUUUUUUAUUUUUUUUUAUGGAAGGCUCUUCCAAGUACAUGAAUCCAUCAGGCCUAAGCAAUAUCGGCUUAUCACAUUCCUCAACAUAGAGUUUCAAGGGUCUUGAGGAAAGCUUAGGAUGCGUUCAAGUAGAUGGCACACCUCAAGAUGGAGUUCUUGCAAUCGGGGGCUCUAAUAGAUCUGUUAAGUUUGGAGGAAGCUUUGACAGCGACCGGAGCUCUUUACAGCCCUUUAGAUCAAGGCGUUGGAGAGAAGAAGGAAGCUCUGGCAGCAACCGGAGCUCCUUACAGCCCUUUAGAUCAAGGUGUCGGAGAGAAGAAGGAAGCUCUGGCAGCAACCGGAGCUCCUUACAGCCCAUUAGGUCAAGGUGUUGGAGAGAAGAAGGAAGCUCCGGCAGCAACCGAAGCUCCAUACAAAACUGUAGGUUAAGGUCUUGGAGAGAAGAAGGAAGCUCUGGCAGCGACCGGAGCUUGUCGCAGCCUCUUAGGUUAAGGCUUUGGAGAGAAGAAGGUACCUCUGGUAGCAAUCGGAGCUCCUUACAGUCCCUUAGGUGAAGGCUUUGGAGAGAAGAAGGAAGCUCUGGCAACGACCGGAGCUCCUCACAGCCUAAUAGGUCAAGGUGUUGGAGAGAAGAAGGAAGCUCUGGCAGCAACCGGAGUUGGUUGCAGGCCCUUAGGUCAAUGGAUAGGAGAGAAGAAGGAAGCUCUGGCAGCGAUUGGAGCUGGUUGCAGGCCUUUAGGUCAAUAGAUUGGAGAGAAGAAGGAAGCUUUGGCAGCGACUGGAGCUUGUCGCAGUUUUCUAGGUCAAGGCUUUGGAGAGAAGAAGGAAGCUCUGGCAGCAACUGGAGCUUGUCGCAGUUUUCUAGGUCAAGGCUUUGGAGAGAAGAAGGAAGCUCUGGCAGCGACCGGAGCUCUUGACAGAACCUUAGGUCAAGGUGUUGUAGAGAAGAAAGAUUCCGAACGCUUUCUGGCAGGUCAGAUAUCGGUGUGCAAGAGAUAUUGAGAUACUCAAGGGAAGGCAAGUCAUUGAUUUCACUUGGAAUUGCCCCUUUCAUACUUCUACAACAUUUAAGAUAUAGAGUCCGCAAAUUUUUCAACCUUCCAAUAACAAUGGGAAACCUUUCGAUCGCAGAACAACUCAAGUCAAGAUGUUGCAAAUUCUGUAAAUCUCCAAUUGAGCUUGGGAUUUCUCUCAGUGAAUUACAAUAGCUAGCACUCAAUUUCUUCAACUUCCUCAGAGAAGCAACAGACGUAGGAAUCUUCAUAAUACUAGAAUAAUCUAAUAAAAGUUCUUCUAAAUCUUUUAAUUCGCCCACCUCCUUUGGUAGCUCCUUGAGACUUACACAACCAUGCAAGUCCAAGGAAAUGAGGCUCGUGAGUUUGCCAAUAGAAGGAUGGAGAUGAUGUAAUCCGUAACAUUCCCUCAAAAUGAGAAUCUUCAACUUUAAGAAAGCCGAGAGAUCAGGAGUACAUCUUAAUUCAAGGCAAUGUGCAAGCAUGAGAACUUUAAGCCGCUUUGACGCCUAAUAAAAAAGGAGAAUAAGCUGUCAAAUAAUGGGUUGAUCGACUAAACAAAAAUAAAACCCUAAACUCAUUCUUUUCUCAAUCUUACCAUGAAUGACCUCCAUGCUUGCCAAUCCUCUCUAACCACGCUCCCAUAUAAAGUCAAUAUUGAUAAAUUCGUUAGAUGCAUUGAAAGAGACAAAUCGCUUCGCUCAGUCUUCCACUCAAGCCAUCUCACUUCAGAAAGGAGUUCGUUGUUGGAGCUUCCGCUUGAAGCUGCCCGCAAAUUGUCACGGAAACAGAAACAAGAGAGGUGUCUCCGCAAGAUUUUGUGGAACCAAGAGGGGGACCUGGAGGGGAACCAGUCGGGGCCUCCCUGCAAGAUUUUUAACUUUUUAGCUUUUUUUUCUUUUCUUAAAUCUUGGAUUUUGCACGAUCUAUAACUUUUCUAUCCUUCCCAUGUACAAUUACAAAUAUGGCUUAUAUUUUUUUUUUGACGACCUUUCAAAAAUUAAACAAAUGACGUGAAAAAAAAUGAUUAUUGCUCUAAAACAACUAAGGUAAAGGCAACUCAAUGUUUUAUCUUUUCCUUUUUUCUUUCAAAUUUUGUAGCCCAUGCACUUUGACUUUUAUUUAAUACGAAAUAUAUGAAACCAUUUUACAGCAUACAAAUGUUUACUUGUAAAUUUUCAUGGCUUUUGUAUAAUUUUUCAAAAGAAUUUGUUGAAGAGUGCCAGUGGGCCACCUGUAAGUAGCUAUGGAAACACCUGGUUUUCAUUUCAUUAUUAAAAUGUAAUAAUGCCGAAAAGAAAAAAAAUGGGAAAUUUUCAAUAUAUUUCCAUAGAUAGAAAAGAUUAUAUGGAGAGCCUAUCUAUAAAAUUUAUUAUAGGAUUGUCUAAGGAAAUCAAAGAAAAUCAAAUUAGAUAUACGUAAUCAAAAUAAAUAUAAAAAAUUAGAGAAAAUAUCCUAAAUAUCUCUAGAAGAUAUCUACAUAUCUUUAACAUCAUUAACUAUUGUUGUGAAGCGUUUAAUCAUUUCUUUGAAAACUUAAACUUUUUCUUUUUGUUAAGUAUGUUUAAAAAGUGAUGUGGUGACAUUGGAAAAUAGUGUAUAAAUCAUAUCAUGAGGCGGCUCAAAUGGACAAUAUAUAAAAUAAAAUGACAUGAACAUUGAUAAUUUAACUAACAGAUUGGCUUCAUGCUGAGCAUCAUUAUACUCAAAGGUAUGGAUAUAAUAAUAAGUAUGGCAUUUCCUCUAAUUAGUCAAGUUUUCAUGGAUUUUCUUAUGACAAAUAGUUGUAUGUGUUAUAAGUAACUUAUAGAGGAUACAAAUGUUUGUUAUAAGAAAAUCCACUCUUUAUCAUACAUCUAACCUAAUCCAUGAAAUGAGCAAGGUCAACGUGAUAAAACCUUAAAAAAUAGUAAGAUUUUCCUAAAAACACUUUUAAGUGGAUUUUUGCUAUCUUAUCUAUUAAAAGGAAAUAAUAAUUAAAAGAGAUAGAUAUAACUAGUAGAGUAGAGGGACGAGUAUCUUCAAAAUCAAAUUGGAGAAAAAAAAACCAAACAUUGGAUUCCUAAAUCAUAGGACUACCACCAAUACAUCUGGCCAUACCAGUAAGCAAGAACAUGUAAUAGGUGUGAAAUUUUUUCCAAUCUUAUUGUUUUGAAUUAAUUAUCAGUUAUUAUAAUUGGCACAUGCAAUCUUUUUUUUUUAAUCAAGAAAUAUUCAUUUAUCUUAUCUAUGAUGUUCAUACUUCUUCUUCAUUCAUUAUUGUAGUCCUUUAGAUUAUCAAUAUUUUCAACUAGAUAUGACAAUUACAUGCUUCUAGUAAAUGAGAUUUAUAGAGUAAAUUAUAGUUGACGGGUCUUUAAUCGAUUGUCAAUCACAUCGUUACAAAUGUAAUUUAUAUGAAUGAAAUCGAAUCAAAUGCUAUAAAUUUUUAGUCCUUUAGAUACUUAUAAUCCAUUUAGCUGACACAUUAAAUCUAAGAUGGACAUAAAUGGAUGUUUACUCCUAGAAAGUAAGAGCAUAAGUCAAUCCUAGAUGAAAUACUAGAAUAGAUUAGAUUAAAUGUAUUAAAAUAAGAGGGAGAGAAAAAGAAAGGAGUGCCACAUUUUACCAUUCCAUGGCAUUUCAGCACUUUUGGGACUCCCUUAUAGUCGUGGUCCCAGGGUCCGCUACGUUUCUCAGGUGGUUGUCCUUGGCAAAAAAUGCUCCUUCCAAGAUCUCUCAAUUGAUCAUGCAUCUCAAACUUAUCGUGAUCUCCAAUUUUAAUUAAGCACCUCAACUUUAACUCUUCAAUACCUUGACUUGGAUAAAGCCCACAGUCCUCCCACAUGUUCAUGGUGAAUCUGCUCUUUUUGCCAAUGAAGAAACAAACAAUAUCGAGAAAAAUCUGCUUAUGUCCAUCUUCUAAUGCAUCAUAACUUAUUUGUAAUAUCUUUUGGACAUCUCUAUGUGGUUCAUUUUUUAAUUGCUCCCGCACAUCUUCCCAUACUUUUCGAUUAGUUUUUUUAUACAAGUAUGAACCUACAACUUGAAGUGCCAAGGGAAGCCCACCCAUGUUGGAUAUGAUAUCACGAGAUAUACCCUCAAACUCCCUUGGAGAAUGGUCCAUAUGAAAUGCAUGUUUGUUAAACAAAAGCAAAGAGUGCACGUUACCCAAUUCAUUCAAUUCAUACUUGUAGUCCACCUCAAAUUUAGAUUGAUCAAGAACGGCUUCAUUUCUAGUUGUAACAAUGAUCACACUUCCUGCCAUAAACCAAUGACGCUCCCUAGCCAACGCAUCUAGUUGACUCUUGUCAUCUAUAUCAUCCAGAAGAAUGAGAACCCUUUUCCAUUUAAAUCUAGAUUUGAUUAUACUAAUUCCAUCAUCAAUUCUAGACACUUGACUUUUGCUUUGUAGUAUGUCUGAUAUUAGUUGACUCUGUAGAUACGUAAUACCGUGGAGCUUGGUAGUUUCUCGAACAUCUGGAAGGAAGCUGACACGCACAAAUUUAUUUGAGAGCUGAUUAUAGAUGCACUUGGCAAGAGUUGUCUUGCCUAUCCCGCCCAUGCCAUAAAUUCCAAUCAUUCGAGCAUUGGUGGAAGGAUUGUCGAUCCAAUUCAUAAUUUUCUUCAUACGAUCAUCAAGUCCAACUAGUUGCUCAGGCACAUCCAAUUGAAAAUCUUCCCAUAACUUGCUUAUAACAGUUUCAACCACACAUUCUACUAAUUUUCCCUCAUGCCUGUCAAACAAUAAAAAUAAUGGGAAGUUAUGAACUUAGACAUAAUCUAUUUGAAGUAUUCUAUCCUUAUCAAUUGAGCUAACCCUUGUUGCCUAUAGGAGUUCGAUUUUAUCUGGUGGUGAUCAAGCUUUGAAGACAGAGCAUUGGAGUCACUUGGGGGCCAAUUGUUUAGUGAUUGAUACUAUUGGCUAAAGGUGAUGUCGUCUCUUUGUUCUUUUUGGCUCUAUACUAGAGGAAAAUGCAAAUUCUUGGGCAUUGUGGGAUGCUUUGGUUUUAGUUGCCGUUGGUUUAGUUUUCAGGGACAUCUUGGGGCGUGCUGGUGUUUGUUGUGUUCGAGGCAUUACGGUUAUUUAUUUUGGGGAUCUUUUUUGAGCUUGCAGUAAAAGUAAUUCAUCUGCAUUUCCUCGAUUCUGCGAGAAGAAGAAAACUUACUUAUCAAAAAAGAAAAGUUAAGUAAAGUACCCGUCCAGAAUUUUCUGAGAUUCCCAUCCAUUUAAGUAACUGACUUCAUUAAGUGCUUGUUGUCCUUCCUGGAUAUCCUUCUCCUCAAAAUGCUCCUGACUUGAAUGGAAUGCAUUUCCAAAAUUUCCUUUUAGAUGCCGCACAUCCUUUGGGGCAACUUUGUAAAAUAUAGGCAAAACUAUGUGUGACGCGUUUUUCUUACGAUCCACGAUAUGAAAAAGCUUGCGGAGGCACCAUUUGCUCGAAGCAUAAUUUUCGGAGAUGACGGGGAUCGAAAUCUUAGACCAUGCUAUGGCAUUGAGAAUCUCUAAACCAAAUUCCUCACCAAUUGAGAUAUUGUUCUCGUCCCUGAACACGCAAAAUGGUACAGUCCCUGCCUUGAUCAGAAUGUGAUAGAGGUGAUCGGUGAAUGUGGUGCGCGUAUCCAAGCCUCUAAAGCUCAAGAAAACGUCGUAUUGACCGCUGCCUACACAUGUGGCUUCUGGAGAGAUGAAUGAAGAAGUGGAUGCUCCUUCAGUGCUCUCGUCCUCUGCCCUAUUUCUCUUUCCCUGACUCUGCCCUCUGUCCAUGGCAAUCUGAGGCGGAAAGUUGAAAAGAAAGAUGUUUUUUAUUGCUGCUUAAAAGGAUUGUUGAACAACGAAAGACGCUUUUACGAUGCUUUUCUGCAAAAGCUUGUUGGCUCCGAAUGACGCGUUCGUUAAUUCCCUAGGUAAUAAACACAUAACCUUCAGUUAAGUAAGCUAAUGUCGUUUCUCUGCAGAAAAUUAGGUGGCCCUGAAGAGGUCCCCAAAAAGCCCACAUCAUUUUCUUGUUUAGAAAAACAAAUUUGAAAUUACACAAAUUGCAUUGUAAUUAAUCGACUUCCUUAAUACACAUUUGAACAAUUACAUAACUUCAUGCAUGUGUAUGAUAUUUAAAGGAAAAUUCUUUCGGUUCAAGGUAAGCUAUUGAAAUUAUGUAGGCAACUCCGUGGAAGCAUCUUCUUCUAAAUAUAAGCUCACAGGAUGCCUAAUCCUUGUCAUAAUCUUCAACCUUUUUUUUUCUUUCUGGGUCAGACAUAACCUUCGACCUUACUCUUAUUAUUUUUAUCUAAUAUAUAAACAAACCUAACUAUCUCCACCACCUCAUUUUCGUAACCCCUCCUGUCUAAUCCCAUGUCCACUGGCCAAACUAAUGAAGUGUUGUGUAAUCGUUGCCCAACAAACCACAUCCUCUAGAUGUGUGCACUUUCCUAAGUGGAGGGAAAUUCCAUCAAUCACGUUUGUAAUUUGGCGAGUUCCAAGUUUCAGGCAUUGCUCAUAUGUAAAAUUAACUAAAUCUAAUUGAGGAAAGAUUUUCAAUUGAUCAGUUGUUUUGAUUAUGAAGGAAGUCGAUGAAAAUGAUUCUAAAUGAAAGGGAAAUACUUCCUUUUGGGCCCACAUUUUAUUUCUUUCUAAAAGUGCAUAGAAAUGAGAGGAAAUGCAAAAAUUGCACUUUUCUUCCAAUUGGCCUUACUUCCUUUUUAAGGAUAAAUAGAAUGAACGUUAAUUAAGUCUAUCAAUGAAAUUAAGUUCCAUUUACAUCAUUUCCACCGAACAUGUCGAACAUGUAUCCAAACAUAUUUCGAGGACUUUUAACUUAUUUCUCCAAGAAAACUCAAGCUUCUCUCUUCUCUCUUCCAGUGGCUUGGAACAAAGUGCUCUCCCCCUUGCUUAACUUCAAUCAAUCUUAGACCGUCUUUGUUCUUGUUUCCUCCCUCUCUCUCCCCCUCCCUCCCUCCCUCCUAUGUUCGUUUCUCUUUUUCCUAUGUUCUUUUCUCUUUUUGUGUGAAUGUUGCUUCUCUAUUUGUUUUGGGUCGUUUGCUUCACUUCUUUGAUGUUUUUGUCCAAAUUUAGUGAUUUCAUAUUUUAAUUUUAUUUAAAAUUGUCAUAUUAUUAAUGAGAUUGGAAAUGCAAGGUAAAGAUGAACAAAUGGUCUUCGUCAUUUCUCUCUUAUUUAUUUCGUGUUGGCCCCACAUGCCAAUAAUUUUAUAUAAGAUGAAUCUAUGAUAUGACGCUACGAAGCUAUUCACUUCAAAAUUUUAAAUUUAAAUUAUUGAUUGAUAAAUUGUCUGCAAAAUAGAGUUAUAAUUUGUUAAAUGACACCAAAUGAGCAUAACAUGAUAGUAUUAAGUUACUAAUGAUAUAUGAAAUACUUGUACACUGCUCUUGAGUUCUUUUCCAGGUCAUGUUUUUAGUACAAUUUUGUCGGCAUAUCAUUCCACUCUUUGAAAAGUCAGUAAAACAAUGAUAAAAGAAGUAUGCAAAAUAUUCAAAAUAUAAAAGAUAAUUUAGGAAAAAAACAUAGAAAAGAAGGGAAUGAAGUGUCUAGGCUUACUUGUAGAAGGAAGCAGCGAUAUCUAGAGGUAAUGUCCAAAAGGCUUUUGAAUUAUGAAUUCACAAGACAUAGAAACUUUCACGAACAUGAAUUGAAAGUAAAAAAGGGAUGAAAGAUGUAUGGCAAUUUGGGGGCGAAAGUUGGGAUGCUUUUUUGCUGCAUAAAAAGGAUCGAUGAACUAAUCUUUACGAACAAUAACAAACAUAAAUCCAUUACCGCACAAGGAAAAAUGAACAUGAAAUCUUUAAUUAAUUGGUAAUUGAUUGACUAGGAGCAGUUGCAUAUGCCUUUAGCCCCCGUCUUAUCUUCUUUUGGACCUCAAAGUAUUCAAGUCAAACUUGUUGGCUCGAUCCACCCACGAGUACCGUGUACGUUAAUUUUUCAAUUGGGCUAUAAAGAACUAGAAUCUGUAUACAACUCUAAGGCAUUCAAUUAAGAAUAUAAGCAUAUGUUUGGUUUUUAUUUGGUUAUUGAAACUAAGAAUUUGAUAAAUCAUUUAAAGAUAAUAAUUGAGAUGAAAUGGAAUUAGAAAUGUGUGAAAGACUUCAAGAAAGGACCGAGCUAGUAAUUGUGGAUGUGAUUUUAUAUUUUAAUUUUGUUUAAAAUUGUCAUAUUCUUCAUGAGGUUGGAAAUGUGAGGUAGAGCUAAACAAAUGCCCGUGGUUAUUUAUCUUUAUCUAUUUCACACCGGCACCACAUGCUACAAUUCCAUGUAAAAUGAAUUUAUUUUGAAUUAGUAUGCUAUAACCAAGCCUUUCACUUCAAUUUUUCAAGGGAUAAGUGCUAUAGAAGUCCUAAAACUUAUCACAAAAAUGUAAUUAAGUCCUAAAACUUGCAAAAAAUGCAAUCGAGUCCUAAAACUUGUCAAAUUGUUUCAAUUGAGUCAUAAAGUUAAUACCGACAAACUUACUAAUAGAAAAUGUUGACAUGGUGCGGACGUGGAAUUUUAAAUAAUUUUUCUUUUUCCACAUGGAUUUUUUUAUUAUUUUUUAUUCAAUUUUUUAAAAAUUAGAUUUAAAAACUAAAAAAGAAAAGCUAAAAUUUAUUUUUAAAAAUUGUUAAAAAUAAUAGAGGCAGCUCCUCCCUCACCACUGUCGCCGCCCAUCGCCGGAGGGGCCGGUGACCCUCUGACGAUGGGCGGCGGCUGCCAUUUUUUUUCUUUUCUUUUGAACUGUUUUGUUUUAAAAUAAAAUUUAACUUUUCUUUUCUAAUUUUUAAAUCUAAUUUAAAUAAAAAAUUUUAAAAAGCCACAUGGAAAAUAAAAAUUCAUUUUAGAUGCCAUGUCAGCAUUUUCCGUUAAAAAAGUUGACGGUAUUAACUUUAGGACUCGAUUGAAACAAUUUGACAAGUUUUAGGAUUUAAUUGCACUUUUUGCAAGUUUUAGGACUCAAUUGUAUUUUCGUUACAAGUUUUAGAACUUCUAUAGCACUUAUCUCAAUUUUCAAAUCUAUAUAGUUGAUUGAUAUCUUGUCUAUAAAAUAGAGCUAUAAUUUGUUAGAUGGCACCAAAUGGAGGAGUGGAUGCUUCCUUAGUGCUCUCUUUUUAUGCACUCUUUUUUCUUCUUAUUGAGAUUAUUGAAUACAAGCACAAAGACACAAGGAGCACUGCAAAGGAACGACUUGAAAUGGAAGUAGAAUAGGAUAAUUGGCUAAAUUUGUGAUAAUUCAGGUUAAAUUGAUUAAUCACAUUUUGAAGAAUGAAUCUAUUGUUUGCAAAGAAAGAGGUGUAAGAAAUGAGUGAUAUAAAGCUAGGUGACUCUCCUAAUAUGCAUGUAUGGCUCAAUUUAUUCAAUUGUUUUCAUGUGUGUGUCAUAAAAUUGAUUUAUAUUUUUUUUCUUACUAUUGGAUAUCAUGUAAAAGAUCUUAAUAAGUAUCAUACUAUGGACUUUGGUAUGUUUUAUAUUGCAAUGAUUGAAAUUCUGAUGAGUUGUGAGCGGGUAAAAAAUAGCAAUAUAGUUAAAAUGCUCAAACUCUCACCUACUUUUUAAUUCCUUAUUUACUUUUCUUUUCUUUUUCAAGAAAAGACUUGGCCAAUUUUUAAAGCUUUGCAAGAGAAAAUGAUUUUUUCUCUUCUUUUUUCUUGCUAAAGAAGGGGAAAAAAUGAAUUAGAGGUGAAAGCAAAUACACUUUCUAGGACUAAUGGUCCAACAAUUAGAGUAAAACAAGAUAUUACUCAUUUGGAAUGUUCUAGAGGGAGGUAAAUUUGUUGAAUGAAGUCCCCUUAAGAGAAGACUUGCUCUUAGGAUGAUUGGUUUUAGGAUAAGUGGGUUUUAAACAAAGAAUUAGGAACUUAUUACGUAAAGAUUGGUUCUCCUCUUUUAUAACCAAGAACCAAACUAGUUGACCCAGAAACCAGCCUACUUUUAUUUUUCUGAUUUAGUUUUUCAUAAAUUGAUCUAGGACCUUCAAACAUAGAGAAACCUCACAAUGCAUAAGAAAAAUAGAAUGGUCUCUGAAUUCAACCGAAAUGUGGCAAAUUUGCAGGCGACAGAGUCUAGUGCACUUGCAGUCCUACUCGCUCUAGUUCAACAAAAGAUUAAUACUGAAUUACGAUGCAACUAAGAAUCAGACAGCAAGGCCAUCAUAGAAUUAGCCACAUCUAAAGUCGAAAACAAAAGGCUUUCCUUUUUUCACUGAAGUCAAAUCUAAGAUGGGGACAUACCUCGUUCAAUAGGCAACGGCGACUCCAAAAGAGAGAAUAGAAGACCCUCCUUUGCUAUUCAGCAACCACCCCCGCAUCCCCAAUAGACAAAACGGGCCCAGAGCACACUUAGUUCAGCCAAUUAUUUCAAUAAUAAAGUGACAAAAUCAAAAUAAACGAGAUGCUAAUAAGAGAUCAAAAAGUGAUUACCACAAGCGAGCUAAGAUGCGAAGAGAGGCACGAGAUCGGAGAGAGAGGAGACCGUGAACAAGCCUGGGCGAGAACUUUCAAGAGGGAUAAAGAAUAAAGAAAGCGAGUGAGGACUGAUUAGUAGAUGAUAGUCUUGAACUCUUCUGCAAGAGAGAGGCCGAAUGCGAAUGAUAAAGUGAGAAAUGAGAGAGAGAGAGAGAGAGAGAGAAGACCAAUUAGUAGUAGGCGAUAGUCUCGAAUGAUUAUUUAUGGACCUAUAUCUUUAUAUGGCUGAUUGACUAGUAGCAAUAAAAUUGUUUUCAGGUGGCAAGCCAAGUCAAGCCACACAAUUUGGACUAGAGUACGGAAUGACCGCUUCUGUUCAUAUCUACUUAGAAACCAUUUUGUUAACCUGAUAAUCGUGGCUCUAACCGACAUGUGAAUCUUCCAUUAUAUUAUUUUCAAAGACGUUCUUACUCCUAUAAAUGCUACAUUCUCCUCCCACCCUAAACACGCAUAGAUCAUAUUGUCAAAUCCAUCGUAAGUUAGUAAUUUUCUAUGCUAUAUAUACAUAAAAGUCAUGUCUUUGCUCUAAGCACUAAAAACGCAUGAAAAUCACACUUAAUGAUGAGUUUCUCUAAUUCAAUAUGCAAAGAUAAAGUCCACCUAAAAAUUGUCCACAUAUUAAAUAUGCGCAAGUACGUUGAAAGCAGCAGCUUUGCUCACUUUCAAGUUUUCCAUUGUAACCAGCACAAAAAAUGGUAAUAUUGUGAAUUUUUCUUAAUUUCCGGAAGACAUUUGAAUUAUGAAUUUGGUGAAUUUAAAGUUAAAAAGAAAAUGAAAGACGCAUGGCAAUCUAAGGGUGAAAGUUGGAAUGAAAGAUGCUUUUAUGCUGCAUAAAAGUAUCGAUGAACUAAUCUCUACGAACAAGAAUGAACAUGAAUAUGUAACCACGCAAGAAAAAACCAACAUGAAGUCUUUAAUUAAUUGGUAAUUGAUUGACUACGAGCAGUUGCAGAUGUUUUUAGACCUCGCCUUGUCUUCUUUUGGACCUCACACUAUUCAAGUCAAACUUGUUGGCUUGAUUAACUCACGAGUGACGUGUUCAUUAAUUUUUCAAUUGGGCUAUAAAGAACUAUAAUCUGUGCACGAGUAUAUUAUAUUCAAUUAAAAUUAUAAGCAUGCGUUUGGUUUUUUUUUUUUUUGGUUAUUGAAAAUCGGAAUUUGAUAGAUCAUUCAAAAGACAAUAAUUGAGUUGGAACAAAAUUAGAAAUGCGUGGAAGACAUCGAGAAAGAACCAAGCUAGUAAUUGUGGAUGUGAUUUUAUAUUUUAAUUAUGUUUAAAAUUGUCAUAUUCUUAAUGAAGUUGGAAAGGAGAGGUACAGAUAAACAAAAAUGCUUGUGGCUAUUUAUCUUUUAUCUAUUUCAUGCCGGCACCGCAUCCUCCAGUUCUAUGUAAAAUGAUUUUGAAGUGGCAUGUUAUCACCAAGCCUUUCGUUUCAAAUUUUCAAAUCCAAUAUCUUGUCUAUGGAAUUAGAGCUAAAGCGCUCUUUUCUUUCUCCAUGUUAGUCUGAACGAUUAGAAAUUAGGUACGGAUUCGAUGGAAGAAGGAGAAGAAGAGAAGGAAGUAAGGGGAAGCUGCUGCGGAAAAUUCAGAGUCGACCACCUUGAGAAUGGCAUUGAGUGCUUGUCCCCAUUUUUGUGGAGGGCCCAUCUUGAGAAUUUCACCGCAGAGAGGUGUAAGAAAUGAGUGAUAUAAAGCUAGGUGAAUCUCCUAAUAUGCGCGUAUGGCUCGAUUUAUUUGAUUGAUUUCAUUUGUGUCAAAAGAUCAACUAGAUUUUUUUGUCUAGGAUUAAUGGUCCAACAAUUUGAGGAAAAUAGAAUAUUACUCAUUUGGAAUACUAUAUAGGGAGGUAAAAUUGUUGAAUGAAAUCUCUUUAAAAAAGACUUACUCUUAGGAUGAUCGGUUUCAGGAUGACUAGAUUCUUAAUUAAGAAUCACAAACUUAUUCUUUAAUGAUCGGUUCUCCAUUAUUGUAACCGAGAACCAAACUAGUUGACCCCGGAACCACCCAACUAUUUUUUUUCUAUAAAUUGAUCGAGGACCUUUAAACACAGAGGAGCCUCACAAUGAAUUAAAAAAAAAAAUUGGUCUCUGGAUUCGAGCGAAACAUGGGAAUUUUGCACGCAAUAGAGUCUAGCGCACUUCCAAACCUACUCGUUCUAGUUCAACAAAUGCUCAAUACUGAAUCACAAUGCAACUAACAAUGAGGCAAUAAGGCCAUAAUAGGAUUAGCCACAUCUAAAGUUGAAAACAAAGGCUUUCUGUUUUCAUCGAAGUCAAAUCGGAGCUGAGGACAUUCCUCGUUAGGAGGUAACAACGACUCCAAAAGAAAGAAUAAAAGGCCCUCCUCUGCAAUUCAGCAGCCACCACCACAUCCCCAAUAGACCAAAAGGGCCCAGAACAUACUAGUUCGGCCUAUCAUUUCAAUAAUAAAGUGACGAAUCAAUAGAAACGACAUGCUAAUAAGAGAUGAAAAAGUGAUUACCUUUCGUGAGUUGAGAUGCAAAGGGAGGCGUGAGAUCGGCGAGAGAAGACCCUAAACAAGUCUGGGCAAGAACUUCUAAGUGGGAAAAGAACAGACAGAGAGUGAGGACUAAUCAGUAGAUGAUAGUCUCGAAUUGUUCUGCAAGAGAGUGCAAGAGAGAGGCCGAAUGUGAAGAUAAGAGAGAGAGAGAGAGAGAGAGAGAGGACCAAUGAGUAGUAGACGAUAGGCUGAUUGACUGGUAGCAAUUAAAUUGUUUUCAAAUGGCAAGCCAAGUCAAGUCACGCAAUUUGGACCCGAGUACGGAAUGCCCACUUCUGUUCAUAUCUACUUAUAAAACAUUUUGUUAAACAGAUAAAUGUGGCUCUAAUCGGCUUGUGAAUUUUAUGUCAAAGUCGUUCUUACUCUGUAAAUGCUACAUUUCCCUUCCACCCUAAAUAUGCAUAAAUCAUAUCGUCAAAUCUAUCAUAGGUCAGUAAUUUUCUACACUAUAUAUACGUAAAAGUCUUUGUUGAAAGCAGUAAAAUCGCAUGAAAACCACACUUUAUGACAAGUUUCUCUAAUUCAAUCCGCUAAGAUAAAGUCCACCUAAAAAUUGUCCACAAAUAUGUGUAAGCUCAUUGAAACCAGCAGCUUCGCUCACUUUCAAAUUUCCAUUGUAACCAGCACAAAAAAAUAGUGCAAUUGUGAAUUUUUCAUAAUUUCCGGAAAACAUUUGAAUUUUCUGUCAUUUUCUAGAAAUUACGAAAAUUGCCAAUAUAAGGGAAAAUGGUUUUAUGGACAUUUAAAAAUUCUCUAGUUGACCUGAUCGGUUCAGAUAAAUUUUUGUUGUUGACAAUUAUGAUCCAUAGCCUUUGAAAGGUUUUGUGCGACUCUCGAAGAGAAUAGACCAGCACGAUCGAUAUUUGGAAAAAAUCUAGUUUUUAAAUGUAUUCAAGGAAAAAGAAAAGAAUUAUUUCUGCAAAAAUUGAGUAUUUUGGAUGUUUCAGGCUUUAAGUACUGUUGGCUCCGACAAAAAAAAAAACAAGUAAUUUUGGACAAUUAGGGUGAACAUAGGGCCAACAGACGCAAAAUUGGGUUUAGAAGGGUAUUCUCGUAAUUUUAAUCGAACGGGCUUUUUGUCCCAAGGGAAUUUCACAUGUAUUAUUCUGUAGGCCUUUGAGGAUGUUAGGCGAUAAAGCGGUGAGUAAUAAUCAAAUGUAUUUUUGUCCUAUCAAUUGCAAUAGACCGGAGGACGAAGGUCGGACUUACCUCCAGAAGGGGGUAUUCAGAGAUGAAAUCACUGUGAUAGGCGUCAGUGUUUGAGAAGAAGCGGCCUUUGAAGCAGAUCGAGUUGUGUCCGAGUUCCGAAAGGCAGCACAAUCCCGAGGAUCACCUUCACGCCUCGACCUGGACCGGCUUCGUUUGGAAAUACGCCGAGGUAAAUUUGCAGAUCAUCUCAGGUCAGAACAUCACGAGAAAGGACAAGUAGUGGCUACAAAAUCACCAACAGCAGGCAAGGAACUUACUAUCUCUUGAUUAAAUCGCAGCUCUUCUCCGGUAUAUCUGGAGAUCCCAGAAACAACCCUCGUGUUCCCAGCGAAGACCGUGCCACCAAACCCAGGAACCCUAAUCGCCUCAGCGCAGUCCACGAUCAGAAAUUAUAGCCAGCGGAACACUAAAAAGUCGGAAACUCAACAUGAUUCGAGUCGAUUUUACCUGUUAAUCAGUGCCCGCCGAAAACCUAGUCCCUCAAGAAAACUAUCGAUGGGCUCCUUUGAAGUCGGUGGUUUGGAAGGAGCGACUGCAGGUGCUCUUCGCGACAGCCUCAGGCGUACUGCUUGAUGGAUUCGCUAGAAAGAAGAUCCUUUGCUUCCUCCGCCGAUUCAAGCUGAAGCUCUCGCUCUGGUAGAGGAUUUGAUGUGCUUC
RNAcentral lists this long non-coding RNA (296719 nucleotides) under Eucalyptus grandis. Its description in RNAcentral is "long non-coding RNA (EGRA_LNC000896)". The record is from RNAcentral. Lineage: Eukaryota; Viridiplantae; Streptophyta; Magnoliopsida; Myrtales; Myrtaceae.